This 254380-nucleotide long non-coding RNA is filed under the name Ananas comosus (pineapple). RNAcentral's name for it is "long non-coding RNA (ACOM_LNC003801)". The record is from RNAcentral. Lineage: Eukaryota; Viridiplantae; Streptophyta; Magnoliopsida; Poales; Bromeliaceae.
AAUAGGCGGGCAGUCGAGGGGCGUGACAGAUAAGAUGGUAUCAGAGCAUAAAAGAAACAUAAAAAGAAUAAUAGAAAAUGGUUUAGUUGGACCUAGGAGACCUUAGGAUAGCAAACCAUAGGAGAUUAAGGUUCGUAAGAGACGAGGACUUGUGACUAUUGGCGAAAGAUAAAUUGAUUGGGUUAUGUUGUAAACCUCUAAAACGGAUGUUAGAGGUAGAUUCAAGGUGUGGUUUAUUCUCAACCGAGGGUGUUCUUGUUCGAUGCAUACAACAUGAAACCGCGUAAUGAGAAUAGACGACCUUGCGUGACUUUCGCCCUAUUUGAGCCGGUAUUAAGUGUCUUGUGUUCGACCUAGAAGGUCGAGGAUUAAUAGAGUUGUCGCGUUUUAGGAAGCGAUAGCACCGCGUAGGCGAUCUUCUUUUAGAUCGGCGCGGGAUGGGCCAAAUGGUGUCCCUGGGCAAUUUGAGGCGAGCGGAGACUGGGAACUUCGCGAGUUUUGGCGUCUCUCAUGAUCUUUGAGAAAUUAACGGAAUCCUCGUCGUGUUAGAUCACUUUUGGUCAAAUUGACCAAAGUGCGUCGAGAGAAGUAGUUGGACAAAGUCCAAUUGGCAUUCCAACAAUGUUGGAAGGGUGAGAAUUGAGUUCUAAAAGAGUUAGAAGGGUUUUAGCGUUGCUCGGCGUGAAUUGGAGUCGAAGUGAUGCAAAACCGAAAUUCUGGAACAUGUGUUACUGGUUUGACACCAGGGGUGUACCGAUACAGCGUGGUUGUAACGAAGUGAAUUCUCGAGAGCCGAGAGUUGGACUUCGUCCAGGAUUGGCUAGUUGUCGAGUGGGUAUGUAAUAUACUGAAACUUCGGUAACCAAGUAUCGAACUUUAGUCAGAAUGACCAAAGUGCGAGGUUGGUAUGCUUCGGUAAGGCCGAGGGCGUCAAAAGGAGUAAAGGUGCGUCAUUGGGGAUCUUCGAGAGCUAGACAUUUGAAAAUCUGCAAAGUACAGGUUUUCUGUUCUCGGAGACCGGUCCCUGCGGGGAGAGACCGGUCCCCGAACGCGCAGGUAGCAAGAGGAGAGAAAAAUCGGCUAAGUCUCUGGUGGAUAGCUCUCGGGAACCGGUCCCUGCGGGGAGAGACCGGUCCCCAAGAGACCGAUCCCAUCAGGGGAGAUCGGUUGCCUCGUGCGUAGGCUGCGCAGAUCGCGGGAGAAGCUCUCGGGGACCGGUCCCAGGCAGGAAGAGACCGGUCCCUAAGCAUGAAAAUUGCCCAGUUUGGGCAGUGCACUGGAUAGAAAGUGGGAGGGCCUAUUUGCAAAUAUUGCAACAUGUUAUAUGCCCUAUCCCUCUCCCCCACAGCGGUGUGAGCUACGAGAGGGCGUUGAGGAGAAUGCAACCUAAGGGUUCGCGGCGAACGCUGGGUGGUCGUAGAUACGCGACCCUGGUUGAGGAACCUGCUGCUGACGAUGUCGUUGCAGGUAUGAGUUAUUUAUGCAAGCAUAUGUUUUGCAUGAUCUGAAGUUGAUGCAUUGCAUGCAAUGGUUAUGUGGUUAAUCACUAUUGUCAUGCAUGAGCAUAGUAGAGACCGAGUGGACGGGUAAAUAUAGAUACCCGGGCAUGCUCGUGUUGUAAGGGCGCAGUACCUGCCAGUACAGGUAUAGAGCCAGCUGGCACUAGCGAAGUGCUAGAAGUAAUCUAUGGCGAGAAGUGAGACUCGCGUUAGAGAUAGAAGUGGCGAAACGACUUUCUGAGGAAUAUGAAUAGUAAAUUACGAGAGUUGAGCCAUGAUGCUUAUGAGAAGUGGUCCGAAAAUUUCGGAUGUCAUUCCAGUAGAUCGAACAGUGAAAGUAGCAUCACUGUUGAGAGAACGGUCGAUUAGUGGCCAAGCUUGAGCACGUGGGCCUAGUAGUACCUCAAGGUGAGGUAGGCGGUUGUGCUCGUGCGGCUGGUGUGCAUAGGCAAGAUUGCCUAAUGCUGACUUUGUGUGGAACGUUGUAGAGGCGUAGAGCGCUUGAGUGUAGGUACCCGUAGAGUGCUGAUGUGGAUUCAACCGAGAGAGUGUAUUGGCAGUAGCACUUGAGCAUUGCUAGGUGUGAAGCGUGCCAUGGAUCACUCGUGGGACUAGCGACUCACACUAGGUGCAUAGGAGUCGAUAUUGGUAUGUGUGACUCGGUAGAGUAUGUCGUGUAGGACGACGACGGCGGGUAGUGCUUGGGGACGACCCGUGCCUGGACUAUUUGUGAACUGUGGAGCCUGGGCCCUUUGGGCAGGCGCAGUCAGCUGUGAGUGACAGCGGCCCAGUACCUACGGGUAGGGCAAUGUUCUGGUCAGGACGGUAGUCCGAGUUUAGGCCCGGGAGCGUGAAUGCCACGUGAUAGAUUGUGUGACCGAUGAUACACCGAGUAUGGUUGUGACCCAACCCGAGGACUUGACGUGGUUUGGGAUCUUAGUUACUCCUGGUUGGAGUGUGUGCGAAUUCCCAUGUGAGAAUUUCGCCCGAUGAUGAUGGGGUCUGCAUUUGCCAGCGAGAGACGCUGCGUGUUGAGACAGGUUUAGGCGGUAGGCCUACAUAGGAUUGGUGGCCUUUGGUCCACCUGUGGAGACAGAAGAGAGCGAUUUGGCGGAUAGCCUUAUCGAGGGGUUUGACUCAAAUUCACGAACGAAGCACUCGUGUGAGCUCGUUGCGGAAAUAGUUCGAUAUUGACCGUGGCAUAUGGUAUCAGAAGAUGAAGUGCUCUUAGUGAGACCUUGAGCUAGUAGAAAGCCACGUGAUGUGGAGACUAUGCUCGUAAACGAACUAAAACUUGAGAUGUGCUGAAGUGGGCCAUCUCGCGUUAAAGUUAAGGGUCAGUGCGAAAUUAGAGCACUCGCGAUGGAGCGAUGCACCGGUGAUAUUGCUCCUAAGCAAUGUCGGUGAUCGAAUCAGAAUGUAUUCUCUGAAGGGAAGGUAAGUGCAAAGAAGAAUUCUUUGUGUAUCGAAUGGUGAGUGGUGUUGGAGCGCGUAGAGUCGUCGAGCAUCGACUUGCGCUGCCACUAUUACUUGCAAGACUCGUGAUGCCCUUUUGCAUCACACUUUGCAAAUGAGUUUAAGAUUAAACCCACGUCCUUCAGUAUGAGCCGCUUCUGGAAGAACGAUUGUGUGAAGCCGCUAUGGACUGGGAGAAUGAGUUGGUACCCUUAAUUGCUUAUGGAGCUUGAUUGAGGCGUGGUUUGAAUUUCGCGGACGAAAUUAUUUUAAGGGGCGGAGAAUGUAACAUACUAGAUUUUGGUAUAAAGAUAAAAAUAAAUAAAAAUAGUGUGAGAAACUAUUUUUAUUAGAUUUGUAGAAGUAAAACAUAAGUCAAAAGUGACUUGUGCUGAAAUCAGAAUGAAAACAGAAAAUUUAGAAUUUUCUGUUGGAAACGGGACAGAUAAAUUAGCAGAAAAUGCACAGUCUCAGAAAAUUAUGAAAAUUGGAGAAUAAGUCAGAAUAUUUUUAUGAGGCUAGAUUUAAAGUUUCAUAUUUUUCUGACACCCGUAGAGUGAGAAAUAAAAUCCGACAGCUAUCAGAUAAAGAUUACAGUUCGGUACAAUUUUCGGUGACCAAAUCGGGUCGAAACUGAAAACUUAAAAUAUAUUCUUACUCAGUACGUAAAACUGAAUAUGACUGUCAAGUUUGAGCUCAAACGGACAUUCAGGGAGCUCCGGCGAAAGUUAUAAGAUUUCAAGCUGCCUAGAGUGAAUAGUGUUUGAGGGGUAUUAUAUAGAAGCUGAUGCUUCUUCUCCCUCAACCGUGCGCCACACACACACCCGCACGCCACACAUGCACACACGCUUGGAGAGGGAAAGAGAGAACCCACCCAUUUUCUCUCUAAAUCUCUCCCAAAAUUGAAGGUUUUGGUGGAGAAGCAAGCUUGAAAGUUGAUCUUCAUCUUCUUCGUCUUCUUUCUCUCCAUUGGAGCUAGCUUUGAAGGUAAGCUUCAAACUCUUUAAUGGCAUUUCUCUCUAGUUUGAUUUUUAAGCUCUAAGAAUGGGUUUAGAGGUAUUCUAGCAUGCUAAUAAGAGGUUUGAUGCUUGAAAUCGAGGCUCUAAUGGCGAAUUUUUAUCUAGUUGAAAUUUAGGGCUCAAAAAUGCUAGUUUUGUAAAUAUGAGGGUUUGAUCUCAUUUGACCCUCUGUAAACCUAAUUGCUAGGUAAACGAACGCGUUGGCGAAGUCGGUUCGGCGAUUCGUCGAGCCGUUGCGAAGUUAUUAAAGAAACGGACGUUUAGGCUUCGUUUUCGCCUGGAGGGCCGAGGCGACAUCGUAAACCCAUGAAAACGGAUUUGAAGUAUCGGGCACAUAACGGAUAAGACCUUUAAUUUUUUUUUCUUGGGGAUCGCUGAAUUCGUGAGGCCCUGUCUCGGAUGGUCCGCGAGAGAUCGGGCCAAACGGGUGCGGUGCCGCGGCGAGGCCGAUUGCAGUGGCGACAAGCAAUCGGAAUGCGAAAUGAAGUGUGGCGUUUGUGCUUACCGAAGCGAUUAGGUCGCCUGUAUAUGAUCUAAGAGAAAUGAGCAUUUCAUAUUGAUUGCAUGUUGACAAAAUAUAAUGUUGAAAUGCUAAAGCGAAGCAUAUUCGACAUAUAUAAGAAUGUGAAAAAGAAGUAUGUUAACAUAUCUAUAGAAUGCUUAGAUAAAUUGCAUGUUGAAUUAAUGAUUAGAGAGUGCAUAAGAUAAGGGCAUAUGAAUGUUAACAUUAUAAGAAAUAUGCUUUAAAGAAAUGCCAUAAUGGACAUGUAUGUAGAGCAUGCUGUGGGAUACUCCCUAGAGUAAUUGUAUGAUAAGAUGUAGAAUAAUGAAUGCAAGUAUGUGGUUAAUGUUAGAAAUGGAAAUGUGCAUAUGGAUAAUCUGAUAUACAAUAGAUCUGGUGGCACAAAUCUAGAGUCAUGGACAUGGUUAAAACAUGGAAGCUAAUGAACUAUGUCUUGAACAUAGGUUGAACAAGUUAUAGUGUGAACCUAGUGUCGAUGAACUAGUAACACUGUGCGCAUUUGAAGCAUAUUAUAUUUGUACCCAUUUCAUAGUACUGAUAGGGCUAAAACAUGUGAACUUGGUUGCUUUCAAUGACAUGUUUCUACGAAGUGAACAGUAGAGAAAGGUAGAACCAUACAUGAAAAUGUAUCGUUGGAGGACCCUAUUAUUGUGUUGAAUUGUUGAGAGUUUGGACGGUUGGAACAUUUAGUAAACAGUGUGGACAUGGACAAUAGAGACAUUAAUUGGCAAUACGACGAACAUAGUUGCUUAAACAUAGUUUAACAAGAGUGGAUUGAGACCAAGAAUGACCUAGAGAGCGCGCCGCAACAUAAAUAUGUAGAAAGCCUAUCAUGAUUGUGGCCAUUUGUGGCAUUUGAUGGCUUUUGGGCUAUACAUUCCUAAAUUGGGAAUGGAUCAUACUCACAUUGGUCUUGGCUUGAGGUGAGGUCGCGUCGCUCCUCAAGCGAGUGUUUUUCCAGAAAUCGACACCGCAUGGAGCGAGGUUGUAAUACACUGAACUUUUGCAAAUUCGCGAAGUAUCGAGUGUCGCUGCGCACACUCGCGCUCGCUCGCUCGCGCACUCUCACCAUGUUCUUAAAGGUUAGGCAACAAGUGUCUUGGACAAGUUUGAGAGUGAUUGGAAUGCAGCAAAAUAUUAAGGAAAUGCUAUUGUACCUCCGAGAACUUUCAGCAUUUUCUGCUUGGCUGUACCGGUAAGCAUUACUUGUCGGCUACAAGCUGGCAGAUUCAGUGCAUAGCAGGUGCCAAAAUUGGUCAUUUCACAUCUUGUGCUACCUAUUUCGAUGCCCAGCCACGACUUCUUGGAGCUUCUGGACGUGUGCCUUUAGAGCCCAGAGAAGCAACUUGAUCAUUUUUCUCUCUCUCUCUCUAGGGUUUUUCUCUCCUAACAAAGAAUUCCCCCACGAUUUCGUCGUUUCGUCGUCGCGGCGCGUUGCUUCGCUUGGUUGCAGGCGUAUCCGCAGCCGCCUUGUGCACUUGCAAAAGAGCGUUUUUGGACAAGGCAUUUUCGGCAGCCCUGGACAGUGGGGUGCUGGUUGAAGCUUGAAAGGUAAACGACUCGGGAUUUUCAUCCUUUAUCAACGUUCUAGUACGUCGUUUACGUUUGCGUUUGAGUUAUUGCUUCUCAGUUGCUUUUAACCUGAGAUUUCCAGCAAUAAAGUUGGAAUUAAUUAAGCUGUGAAUUACCUCCCUUAGACCAGGGUUCAGCUAACUUUAAAGCUAAUGGUAGAUAUUAGCCAUUUAUGAAGCUAUUUUGGAACGAAAUCUAUUGUUUGAGCGAACUAAUGCAAAUUGGGGAUUUUCCUUCGCAGCAGGUCUUCGAGCUUCGUUGAGCUGAAUUGUACCCUUAGAAGCUGGUUGGGAAGCUGCUCUAACCUAGGGUAAGCUAGAACUUCAGUUAGAAAACUGAAAUCGCAAGUUUCCGGCUAUAUUUAUUAAUAGUCAAUGAUUUUGACGCCGUUUUGAUAUUUUCGCAGCGAGAAGGUAUUUGACCCUUGGAUCGCCUUCGUUUGGCAUUGGAGCGGCCUUCCGGAAGCUUAACGUGAGGUAAUGAACUAAACCAAAACAUGGAAUUGAUGGAUUGAGCUUCCACUUUGUAUCAUUAGGAAUUUUCCGAAAUUGGAAUUGUAAGUAAUCGGCUCGGUGCGGUUUUGUUACCUUGUUUUCAGCAGGUUUGGGACUUUGUUGAGCUGAUUCUUGAGACGUCUUGGACUGCUUUGAGCAUAGUACGAGGUGGGUCGGACCUAACCAGAGCAAGUGAAGCUCCUCUAUGUUCUAUAUGUCACUAUAGAGAAUCGAUAUACUUGUGUGUUAUUGUCACUAUGUAGUUACUAAAGGAUUGGGGACAUCCGUGUGAUUAAGCUUAGCAUAAUGGAAAUAGAAUCUCUAUGAAGUAGAGAGCACUCGUGCAUAAGUGUCUUUAUGCUUAUAUUUAUGUUUAUAUUUAGUUAAGUUAACUAAUGGACAUAAUGAUGAUGAUUUUGGAAAGUAGAGAACCAUGACAUGCUUUAUGCCUCCAUGAUAGUGGAAAGAUUCUAAUGCUAUAUGUAAAUUAGCAUUACCCCUGUAUACUUACUAAACUAGUGGAUUCUAGUUGUUGUUAAUAUUUGUUAUACUGAAAUGUCGAUCAAAGGAUCGAGAACGAGAAUAUUGUGAACUAAAACAUGAUAAUUGAGACAUGUUGGACUGUGGACCUUGCUUGCUUGCCAUCGUGCUCAUUCGCACACGCUUGUGAGGGUAGCUCCCUACAAGCCGGCACUCCGGAGUUGGCCUACACGACAGUUGCUCGCCCGUGCGGGAUGGUGCCGAAGUGGAUUGCCGUGGGGAGUGUAUACUACCACGGGGCCAUUAGGCGCGGCGCAAGCUGGACUACCUGAGUAGAUCCUGUGAAUGAAAGGAAAGUGCUAAAGGAAAUUGGACAGUAUGAAUAAUUACCAGUUACAGUGUACAGUAGUUACUUACACACUUAUGCUACGUUUAUGCUUAUAGUAGUAGCCAUGCUUCUAUCAUUCAGUUGAUUCAUUACUGUUGAUGCUAUGAUCACAUGUUGUUUACAUGUUCAUUAUUUGUUUAACAUUGGCUUAUGAAUUGUUAGCAUUGAAAAUAUAUCAUGCAAAUUACUGCUUUUAUUUUCAUUCUGUACAUCUUCGAGCCUAGUGGUGUAAUUCGCCGAGGCUGGCGGCUUACCCACUGGGAACUAUUGUUAAUAGUUCUCACGCCCUUUUGGUGGUUGUUUUUACAGAGCCUGUUACAGGAGAGGCUAGGGAUCGUGGCAAGGGAGUCGCGCCUAGCUAGGGACUACUAGGAGCGUGCUAGUCGAUCACCUUGCUACUCGGGCUACGGCCGAGGGUGAUGUCCAUAUAUAUAUAGAGAGACCACCAUUGUAUCUAUUCUUUUUGUACACCCGUGAUGUAUAUUUACUUUCGGGGUUGAGAUUAUAGUAGUGUUACUUCUCCUUUUUGCUGAGUUCAUGGUUUGUAUACACUUUGGAUUUUGACUCGGAUUGGAUACUCGUUGUAUAUCGACUUGUACUUUGCUCUGAUAUCAGGAUAGGACUCUCUUGUUUUACUUCCUAUCGACUUGCUUCUCGUAGACGCCUUAUAUACUGCAGGUGUAUGGCGGGUCUGUGCACGUGCCGGAUAUGCUUCCGCUGGUACCCGGGCGUGACAGAGGUCCCUGAAGACGGUCCCUAGGGGUGGUUCGGGGCCCCCUGCUUUGAUGGGAUUUUGGGUUGUGAGUUCAAGGGGAACUGGGUGAACCUCGAUGCAAUUGGGUAAAAGCCAAGUGAAUAUACAUUAAGCGUUAUGAGCUAUAGAUUGAGUAUCCCUGUCGAGUGGAUUUGGGGCUGAGGUGUAUGUGAGACGUCCAUUACCUCGAGCUUGGAUUUAUACGAUAUUCUGCAGAUGAUUGACUCGAGACCGAGUCGGAUGGUUAGCUUGGCUAGGGUAGAGGAAAACCUUAGAAGCAAAUAACUAACGAUGUAAAGUGACAAGAUGUAUAAAUUAUGGAAAAGCUAUGGAUAGCAUAAUAGAAAGUUAAAUCAUUUAUUCUACUUGUAUAGUUGCAUGAUUCGCAUAUAGCAUGGCAUUAUUGCUCGUGAGGCAAUGCAUGGUUUUAUUAGUUGCAUAAUAAAGAUAUAUAUUUAUCUGUUUAUUGAACUAACUUGUAGUUGCCUCCCUUGGACCUAUUGGUCGAGCUUUUCUCUUGGGUGGCCGUACCCACUGGGAACCAUGGAGUUGGUUCUCACCCCACAUUGUUUUGGGGUGUUACAGGUUCGCACGUGAGCGGCGCGGCAGCGCGAGGCGAGGGCGUAGCAUCAUAGUUAGCUCCCUACCACCGAGACCAGAGAUAGCGGUACCCUGAGUCAGUUACUUAGGGAUGUAAAGAGUGAAAGAAUCAAGUUGUAAUAAUCAUGUUAAAUCGGAUUGUAUUUGGAAGUUAAGUGAAAGCUAAUGUAAGAACCUAAUGAGAUUUGUGAUGUAAAAAUAUGUGAAUGUGAAUGCAUGUAAUAACAUAGGAUGUGUUAUGUUGUUUGAUACCUUCCAUUAUGCAAUCUUGAUUGAAAUGUGUUCCUGGUUGGAACUUUGUACAUUGUAUUGAUUGCGACGCCUUGAAUGUACAGGGGAGACUCUGUCCGUGGUACAGGGAAAACCCUAUCCGUUCGUCGGUCUGUUGCAGCGCCGCGACCCGGCUAAAUAGGCGGGCGGUCGCUGGGCGUGACAGAUUGGGCACACGGCUUGACUUUAGCACGGCAUUUCAUCCUCAAAGUGAUGGUCAAUCGAAAAGGACGAUACAAAUACUUGAGGAUAUGUAUCAACCGUGUGUACUUGACUACAAGGGCGGUUGGCAUGAUCAUUUACCAAUGGCAGAGUUCGCGUACGAUAACAGUUGCCAAGAAAGUAUCGCGAUGGCGCCAUUCGAGGCCUUUUAUGGAAGGAAAUGUCGCUCUCCUAUGCAUUGGAGCGAGGUGGGAGAGAGAGUGGCUCUUGGCCACGAUGUAGUGCGUGAGGCGGAGGAGAAAGUUCACCUCACCCGCCAACGACUUGUUACGGCGGAAUCUCGGCAAAAGAGCUAUGCCGACAAGCGAAGAAAGGAUAUCGAGUUUGCGGUUGGUGACCACGUAUUCUUAAAGAUAUCGCCAGUGCGAGGAAUAAAACGAUUUGGAAUCCGUGGGAAGUUAAGUCUCCGGUACCUUGGACCGUUCGAAAUACUAGAACGCAUUGGCACGGUGGCCUACAAGAUAGCAUUACCACCGAAGCUUGCGGGAGUGCACGAUGUGUUUCAUGUAUCGAAUCUCCGCAAAUAUGUUAAUGAUCCCGAGCAUGUCCUCUCGUUUGAACCGUCUAAGAUUCAAGAGGAUAUGACUUAUGAGUAGUUCCCGGCAUACAUCAUCGAUUGAGAAGUAAGAAAACUACGGAACCGCGAGAUUUCGUAUGUUAAAGUCCAUUGGUGCAACCACGAUGAUCGGGAAGCCACUUGGGAGCUCGAGAGCGUGAUGCGGGAGCAUUAUCCCCAUCUCAUUAAAAAUCUGGAUUGAGGUAUGAACCUAGAACUUAAUUAAGUUAGUUUUGCGGACGAAACUAAUUUUAAGGGGUGGAGAAUGUAACGUACCGAAACUCGGUAGAGAAACUCGAACUUUGCCCAAAUUGGCUAAAGUGUGAGAAAGAAAUAGUUGGAUAAGUUCCACUUAGCAUUCCAACAAUGUUGGAAGGGUUAAGAGUGAAUUCCAAAUAGGUUAGGAAGGUUUUAGCAUUGCUCGACGCAAAGAGAAGCCGAAAAGAUGCAAAAACUGCAGUCUGGGCAAAGUGUACCGGUACAACAUCGAUGUUGUACCGGUACAACAGUGCUGCCCGAGAGGAAGUUGCUCUCAGGUUGGAGAAAAAUGAUCGUGUUACCGGUGACACCCCUGGUGUGUACCGGUACACUUUGGCAAAUCCCAAACAGCAGCUCUCAGGUUGGCCUCUGCGCAAUCGUGUUACCGGUGACACCCUAGCUGUACCAGUACACAAUGGACCUGACAGCAAGAUUAAGUCUGCAGCAAAUUAGAGAAAAAGGAGGGUUUUAUUGCAAUUGUUACAAUAUAAUAAAACCCCAACACACCCUCCCCUCUCUCUUUCACAGCCAAUACACCCACUCCCUCUUAUUUUCCUCUUUCUCUCUCUAGAAACCUCUCUAAAGAGCAAGGAGAAGGUGGAGUAGAAGGCUUUGGAGGAGAUUUUUCGUGGGUUAAAAGGCUUUGAAACUCUCCUACAAGGUGGACAUAGGAGAGCUUGGGGCUAAGGUGAGUCAUUGUGCAAGAAUAGCUUUAGGGUUUGGUUUUAUACCCUAGAAAACUAGGUUUUGAUCUUCUCUCAUGUAUAGGAACUUAGUAGGAACUUAGAACACAUGGAAACCCUAGUUUCCUCCAUGUGCUCUAAUGGUAGAUUUCUAGGGUUUGCUUUAUAUGCCCUAGAAAUGAUUUAGAUGGUUCUAGAUAGGCUUCUAGACGUUGGACAAACUUUCUUUUGCUUAUUCUAGAGAUCAAAACCUAGGUUGGAGCAAAUGGCAACAUUAGGGCACCAAAUUUGGGACUUUUGCCUUAGGGUGUUUAUAAGGCAAAUUGACCUUAUAGAAACCUAAUUACAGGUUUACCGACGCAAUGAAAAACUCAGUUCGACGAAACGAAAAAGUUUAGAUAAAGAUAUUGUAUAAAAAACCUAAUUUGGCUUCGUGUUGCCGCAGGCGAGCGAGUAGGCACCCAAAAAUUUCAAGAAUUAAACCAUAGCAUCCCUACAACCAUCCAAGGUGGGUGGUGUAUUCUGAAGACCUCGAAAUUUUCUUUAUGUCUAAAGUGUCAUAUUUGAGCAUAUGUAUGUAUUGAGCAUAUUGCAUAUUAGGGUUACUUGUGAGCUUCUCAUUGCAUGCUGUGAGUUCAAAUGCAUGUGAAGUACUAGUAAGAAAGUGAGAAUUUAUAAACUCUAUGUAUGCAUGAUAAAUGACAAAAACUUAGUGGACUUAGAAAACAAAUGUGACAUGUGGACAUGAAUGUAGAGAGUGGCAUUGUUGAGUCAAGAAUGCUAGAAUUGAACACUUAGAGGACAUGUGUGGCAUGUGUGUGUGAGUACAAAGUAGUGUAUAUGACACUAGCGAAAGUAAAGAAUGCAAGUAAAGGAGUGAUUGUGACAUUAUGAUAUAGUAACCUUAGAGUUAAGGGUCAUAUGUAUAUUGUUUCCUUAUAGUUAAUGAAUGAAUUGAACUUGACAUCCUUAUAGUUAAGGAUUGGAUCAUACUCACCUGUAAGUCCUUGCUCGAGGGCGGUAGCUUCCCCUCGGGCGAUGUGCUCCGGAGUUAUCAUCACUGGAAAGUGAAAUCCCCAGAGGAUGGUCCCAUCGGGCGUAGUAGUCUCCCCGAUACUUGGGAUUUGAGUUGGUGAGUCUAUUGAGGUCGAAACCCACGGGCUAGCUUAGAGAUUGAGAAUCGAAAAUGUGACCUUGCAUUCAUCAUGAGUAUUCUAUCGAGCAUCGCAUUCUUUAUUGUUCAGGCAUAUUAGCUUCAUUUGUUUAGUUGGUUACUACCUGUUUGUUCUUCUAUUAUGCCUGAUUUAGACCUAGUGGGAAAGUCGGCGUGGUUGGUUGCCGAACCCACUGAAAACUUUGUUGUAGUUCUCACACCCCACUUUCCACAGAGCCGGGACCAAGCGAACCGGUAGACGACCGUGGUAAGGGCAUCGCGCUGUAGAUAGAGACCACCCGAGAUGGUUUCAUAUUUUAUAGUUAUAUUUUCUUUAGUAUCAUCUUUUGUAUUUGAUGAUUCUAGAUGUUUAAGAGAAUGAUGUAAAAGAUGUUUAUUUUCAACGUCAAAGGUUGUAUUUUGGAGAAUGAGAUGUAAAAAGAUAUGAUGAAAAAGAAUGUAAAAGGACUUGAUUAAAGUAAUAUGCAUGUAUAUGAUUUAAAGUUAAUUAUAGUACUUGUAUGUUGAGUAGUUAGAUCUUUCAUUUUGGCUAGCUAUUAUGUUUGCUUCCGCAUGUGCAAAUUUUAUACCCUAUUUGGACUUGUUGUUGAGCCUUGGGCGGACAGGAGAGGUGCUGUCCGUUCGACGUCUAUUCGACGGGUCCGAACCGGCCAAAUAGGACCAAGUUCGAGGUGUGACACAUAUGGAACUCUAGCUAAUCCGAUUUGGUUUGACUAGAUCUAGACCAUUAUAAAUUGGUUGCAUGGUCCGAAUUGGUUUAUCUAGAUGAUUUAUAUAUUAUAUGAGAAGCUUGUAUAAUUGCUAGGUGAAACGUGCAAUCAAAAUAUAUUUGGAUAUUAUAUUCGAUCUUCAAGUAUUUUUUUUUCUUGGAUAAGAUAAAGCACGUGGUAGAUGAGAUAUACCAUCAUAUCAAAUUAUGGAUACAAAAUCUUUCAAGUAGUAAAUAUCAAACUCCUUUCUUAGAAUUAUACUAUAAAAUUCUUAUACCAAAUAAGUUAUUCCGAUAUCCAAACAAGACGCAAACGUACAAAUUGUUAGGCGUAUGCCCUAGAAGCCAACCAGGCCGACACCUGUAUUCUUUUUAGGACAUAAAUUUGUAUUUGACUUUAAAAUCUUAUGAAUAAAUUUGGGUCCUUAAUUCCAUUCAUAUUGUGUAUGUGUCCAUGAAUCGUCCAAGAAAUUAAUAAGAUGAUGACAUAUAUUUUCAAGAGUUGAGAAUUUGAGACAUGUGUCAUUAGUGGUUAAUUCCUAAAUGCUCCCGAUCAAUGGAUCAUCACGGGGAUGGUGAUUGAUCCGGUGAGAUUGGUGCAUAGGUCGCUUCCCUUUUUGGUAGACGGGUUUCGAGUCGACAGUGUGGGACACUAAAGUGAAUAUGCAGGUGGUUGUUAGAGAACAAGGAUACCGAGCGUGACCAACACGAGAAGUUACUUGGAUGUCUACUCACUCGUCAGUGACUUACUCAAUGUUGCAGUAGUGUGACUGGUCCUUUGACCUGCGGUGCCUCCAGUAUUCAUAAUGAGGUUACUGUAGUUUGACUGUACAUACACUUGAUCCCUAGCCAUUUGGGUCCUUGCGGUGCAUGUUGGCUGCAGUAGGUUCAUUGUAGGAAUAGGGUGCGCACUUAGAAGGAAUCUAUCUCCCUUGGUAGAUAGGGGUGUUAGUCCUAUGUGAUUUAUGAGACCGAGUUUAGAAGACCUUGGCCAGUGCAGAGUUAAUAGCGAAAAAUGGUUUCUGAUAUUAGAAACUCGAAUCGAAUAAAUUUAACAUAUGACAGACGAUGGGGUUUGACGAGUUAUUCCAUAACCUCCGUCUAGUCGGGACUCAUGAUAGAAGGAUUGUAUCACACGGUAACUGCACCAAAGGGUUCUGUAUUCCAUUCUACUGGAAUGCCAUUACAUGCUACUAGGCGUCACUGGUGGAUUGUGAGACUCAUGAGAAUUAUCUAGAUGAUCGACAAUUCUUAUUGGGCUGAGUUGGAAUUAUUCCGAUCCACUGAAAGGAGUUUUAGUGAUAUUGUUGAUAAUGAUCAAAAUAUAUCUCACUACCAGAUAGAAUAGAACCUAUGGGGUCACACACAUAAGAGGUUGUGAUUGAUCGGAUAGCUAGAUCACAAUUAUUGAAUCGCCGGAGGACCUAAUUGUCAAUAUGUUGAUACUUGGACUAAUUUGUAAUUAUUACAAAUUAGUGGUAUUAAAGUGUAAAUGUUACAAGAUAGAACUUAAUAAUAGUUAGUCAAUUAUAAGAGGACUUAUGUGCAAAUGUUGCAUUAUUAAUUUGAUAUGAUCAAAUUAAUAUAAAGUUCAAGUCGAAUCAAAUUAGGAUUUAAUCGAUCUAACCAAUUAAGGAAAGGAUAAAUUUAAAUUUAGAUUUGUACUUAUCCUUAAUGGUUAUUAUAUUAUUAAAAAAAGGAUUAUAUUCCUCCAUAUAAUAAUACGGGAGUUUUUAAAAAACCCUACUUGUCAUCUUUCCUCUCUUCUCUCUUCCAUAUUCUAGCAAAAAGACAUCCUUUGUAAGGGAGCUAGCACCCCGGUGAGGAUAUCGAUCAAAUCAAGAAUCUCGUGUGGAUACCUAUAGAGGCCGGACGUGUGUUCGGCUUCAAGAGAACCUGAUUCCACGAUCAUCAAGUUGAGGUGAAAAUCUAUCUGCGAAAAAGGUAAAGAUUCGAUCUUACUUUUCUCCUUUAAUCUUAAAGAAUAUGAGGGAUCCUAAUUGCGUGGUUUUUGAGAUUAGAUCUCGAGAGUUUUCAAAAUCAAGUUUGUUUGAUUUCUUUUUCUGCUGCGUUUUUACCGUACGCAAUUUUCUAACACAAAUUUCUCAAGUAAAUCAUAAAAAUACACCAAACAAGAUUUUCGUGCAUCCAAAUAGGACCGAAGAGUGUAACUUUUUACUCAAAUCGGUUAAAAGUUUAACCCAUGUUUGGUGACUAUACAAUUCGAAUUUAAGGUAAGAUGUUUGGUCAUCAAAACUCGCCCAGGUUGGAAUCGAAAAACUUUGAUUGAGUAGUAAUAUUUGGCUCGAAUUCUGUGUAGACUAGUACCAUACGUAGUGCGCACGCGCUAUUAUUUGAUAUCUUGUUGAACUAUAUAGCACUAUAAUAUGAGAUCAAUCCUACCUAAAUCGUUGUGCGCCCGAUUCGAUCAAUUGUCACUUCUACUAGAAAAUUAUGUUAUAAGGAAAAAAUUCCAUCAAUCGUCAAUAAUUUUAUGAUAAUUUUUCAUUUCAUCUGUCGAAUUUUAACUCUCUUGCUAGAGAUAUUAAAUUUAAUGUUUGUCCAUUGGAUUGCCUUUUUAGGCCCCGUUUGGUAUUGCGGUAGGAAGCCCAAAACUCUUUUUUUUAAGUGCUUGGGCUAAGUAUCCCAUUUGGUAUUCCAAAUAAUAUCCCACUUUAUCCAACCGCUACCGCAAAUAUACCCCUAAAAUGCGGUACGUACGAAGCAUCCCACUCGAUGCUUUCUCCAAAUUGGAGUUUGGGAUUUGUGCGUUCCGCACAAAUAAAAUAAUUGAUAGACCAAAUUACCCCUAAAUUUAAUCAAAAUUUACGAGCUAUUUAAAACCCUUAUUUUUUCCUAAAUAGAUGAGAAACCCUAUUUUCUCUUCCAUUGGAUGUCUUUCUCUAGCCAACUCCCAGUAAUUAGGAGAGGAAAAAUUCUUUGGUUCGUUUUUCGAAAGGUGGAUAUCAUAUUCUCUGCCGUCUUUAAAUUCUUUAGCAUGUUUGUUUUUUUUUUUCAGUUUUUUGAGAGAAACAUGUUUUUUAAAUUGUUAAAUUUCUUCAAAGUUUAUUGUAUUAAAAAGAACUUGUGCCCAAAAUUUUUUCUUUUUUUGUUGACAUUUGAUGGUAUUUUGCCUAAUCAGAUUUGUUAAAUACAAUUAUUUUAGUUUAAUUUUUACCUUUUUGUACUGUAGGCGAUACUUUUGGGGGUAUAUAAUGUCUAAAAGUAAGGAUAUUGAGAGCAUUGAAUCUCGCACAAAAGCAACAUGGGAAAAAAAAUAUUAUUCAUAUAUUUUGUGACCUCUGUUUAAAAGAAAUUGAAGUAGGUAAUCGACCAGGAACUCACUUUAAUAAGAAUGGUUGGAAUAACAUAGUUAACAAUUUUAAAAAAGAAACAAAUAGAUAUUACGAUAGACAUCAGUUAUAGAAUAAGUGGGAUCAACUAAAGAAGGAAUGGAAGCAAUGGAAGCAAUUGUUAAAAAAUGAAACUGGAAUUGGAUGGGAUUCAUGGAGGAGAAUCGUUGAUGCAGCAGAUGAGUGGUGGCGGGAUAAGCUAAAGGUAUAUAUUUCACAUAUAAUACAUAACAUCUGUAUAUUUUAUUAUUCUUCAUAUUUAACAAUCAAGUUGUAUUUAGGUUUAAUAAUAUAUUGUUCAUUAAAACAUGUAGGUUUAUCCAGAAGCUGCCAAAUUUAAGUUACAAGGAAUCGAACUUGAUCUUGAAGAGAAAUUAGACCGGAUGUUUUUGAAUACUGUAGCAAUGGGAGAUGAUGAAUGGGCACCAUCAUCAGGAGUUAUUCCUAAUAAUCAAGUGGAUACAUUGAAGGAUAAGACAAUAUCAGAGGUUGUGGGAGUUGAUGAUUCUGAUGAGGAACCUUACAUGCCAACAGCAUUAGAUGACACAUUAGGUGAUGCAGAAUUUCAUAGUAAUGAGCCAACAAGAAAGCCCAUUAUACUUCGAAGGUCUAAGAGAGUAGUUGAUGCAUCAGCCUCAAAUGUUUCAAGAAAAAAGCAAACAAAGGCAGUGGGAGCUGCUAAACUGUCAACUUAGAUCGAUCGUUUAUGCGAUGUGAUUGAAAGUAGGAACUCAAUGUUGAAAGAAAAAUCAGUAUCGGAAUCUGCAAUCACCGAGGCAAUUCGUCCUUUGGACACCAUUCAAGAGAUUCCUAGAAAUAGCUCACUUUAUUACUUUGCUACUACAUUGCUAAUGAAUAAGGAUAAAAGGGAAAUGUUCAUGGUACUUGAAGCAGACUCAAAAGAGUGGUGGCUCAGGAUGGAAGAAGCGGCGAACAAAAAAUAGGAUAGUUUAUUGCCUUUAGGAUUAUUUAUGAAUAAUUUUUCUCUUUAGCAAUAUCAUUUGAUACUAUUUUGAUGUUUUGUUAGCACAUCAAUAAAUAGCAAAAACAAUGAUGAAUUUUUUGUAUUCGUAUUUUAAUAUACAAAAAUUUUUCAUUAAACUUAUAUUUCAUUUGUGGUCGAUUUGUGUUAUUGUAAUGUAGAAUGCAUAUGAAUAGGUUCUGAGAGUAUAAGGCAUAUUAAUAUGAAUUUGGUUGUAUAGUUAUAAAAGCAUUUUAUAAAUUUCAUGAUGUAGGUAAUGGUCCUAAUGGAUUGUUAUGUUACUCACAGUUCUUCAAAUAAUGAAAAUGAAUACACUGACAAUGAAAGUCAUUGUGAAGCAAUAUUGGAGGACGAUAUUGACUAUGACAACUUCGUAUUUGUACGAAGUUGUUUAAUAUCUAUGUAUUACCAAAAGUACAUAUGCAAAACUCCGUGUAUGACUUCAAAACAAACAGGAGAAGUUUGGGUGCGAGAUGUAUUAUACGGACAUAGGGAUCGAUGCAUGAUAAACUUUAGAAUGCCAAAGGAAGUCUUCGUUAGUCUAUUACAUGAUUUGCUAACCAAAUAUGGUUUGAAAGGAUCAAGAAAUAUUUCGACAAUAGAAAUUCUAGCAAUGUUUUUAUACAUAUUGGGACAUGGAGCAUCAAAGAGAGUUAUACGUGAGCGUUUUCAAAGAUCAGGCGAGACAAUCAGUAGGUGUUUUACGUACAUCCUUUCUUGUGUUUCACGUAUGGCCUGCGACAUAAUUACGCCACUUGAUUCACAAUUCAACAACAUUCCAGAACCAAUAAGAAAAGAUCAAAGAUAUAUGCCUCAUUUCAAGGUAAAGUAGAGCAAUAUUACCAUUUUUUUGUUGAUAAAUUUAUUUUUUUGACUUUGCCUUGAAUAAACAUUGUUGAGAUUUUCAUAUGUAUUUCAUUCUUAAGAAAUGAAUACUUGUAGGAUUGCAUAGGUGCGAUCGAUGGAACUCAAGUGCAAGCUCGUUUACCUCCCAAAAAACAAGUACCUUACAUUGGAAGGUCAGGUAAACCGAUACAAAUGUUAUGGCAGUGUGCGAUUUUAACAUGUGCUUUACAUUUGUGUACGCUGGUUGGGAAGGUACCACACAUGAUACUAGGAUUUUUUUGAGGGCACUAAGAACUCCAGAAUUGAAGUUCCCUCUUCCUCCACUUGGUAUUCAUUUUGAUUAAGUUUACUAUUUUAAAUAAUCCUUUCUUUUUUUUCUAUUAAAAGAAUUAUAAUGUUUUUAAUACAUGCUUAUCAGGAAAGUACUAUCUUGUUGAUGCGGGAUAUCCUCAAAUUAGAGGAUUCUUACGACCGUAUAAGAAUCAAAGAUAUCAUCUUCCAGAUUUUCGUCGAGGUGGGCAACCAUUAGGUUUACAAGAGGUAUUCAAUCGUACGCACUCAUCAUUACGUAGUGUGAGACCCCAGAUAGUCCUAUAUAUGAGAUAUAAUAGGGCUAAACUCUUAACCCGGCUUAAGCAUUUUGGGUGGUGGCAAGGCCCAAGAGGUUAAGAGAGUUAAGCGUGCUAGGACGGGAGUAGUCCUAGGAUGGGUGACCCCCUGGGAAGUCGGGGCGUCACACGUAGUGUGAUCGAGAGAACUUUUGGAAUUUGGAAGAAGAAGUGGAAUAUAUUACGAGAUAUGCCUAGUUAUCCAUUCAACAAGCAAGUACUGAUAGUAGUUGCAACAAUGGCAAUACAUAAUUAUAUACGAAGGCAUUGCUCACGGAAUGAUAAAGAUUUUAAGGAAUAUGAUGAAAAUCCAGAUUAUGUGCCUGAAGUGGAAAGAGAUGAUGAUAGGGACAAUGAUGACGAUGGUGAGGAUUGUAUCUGACGACGGGGUUAAUGAAAUGACCCAAUUGAGGGAUAAUAUUGCAGCUAGUUUAAGGAAUAGAUGAUCAUUCAGCUUUACUAUGUUCUUAAUUUGAAAACGCAUAUUUACAGAUUAAUUAUUUUUAACUUUAUGAAAAACCUCAUUAGUAUGUUGGAUUUGGUAUUUCGAAAGAAAUUUAAUUAGUGCUUGUUUUUUUCUUUAACUUUAAUUUUCGGAGUUCGCUUUCAAUUUGUAUGUCAUGGUGUUCAUGUAAAUCUGCCACUUUUAUGGAUACUAGUUAUAGUGCACGUGCAAUGCAUGUAACAUUUAAUUAAAUUAAAUUUAUAUUUAUAUUUUAAAUUUAAAUAAUUAUUGGUGGUAUAAAUUUAUUUAUCAGUUAAAUUUUUUCUAACAUUAAUUUUUUUUAAUGUGUAUCCAAAUUUUAAAAAUUUGAAGUAAUUCUAAAUUUUAAAUUAAUAAAUUCAGAUUUAAAUUUAUGAAUAAAACUUAAAUUUUGAAAUUAAUUUUGAAUCCAUAAUUUCAAUAUAAAUAAUUAUUAAAGACAUUAAUUUAUUUAUCAUCCCAUCUAUUUUUCAAAAUUGAUAUAUUUUCAAGUUAAUUAAUUAUUUUCAAUUUGAAAUACUGUUUACACACCCAAAAUAUUGAAAUUUUAAUUAAUUUCAAAUUUUAAAUUAAAAUAUUAAUUCACAUUUGAAAUUAUGAACCAAAUUUAAAAUUUAAAGUUGAUUUAAUAAGCUUAUUUAAAUCAUUUUAUUUUUCAAACCUUUUUUUUUAAUUAGCUAAUUGAGAGAUAGUAGAUACAAAAUAUUUUCAAUGUUUGUUGCAUAGAGAUUUUCGUUUUUUUGAUAAGUAUGGAAUAUUAUUUUAUGGGGCGCUUGUGAAAAAUAUUCUACAGCAAAUAUCCUUCAGUUGACAAAAAUUUGGAUAAGUAUAAAUUUCUUUCUAUUCUCGCAAAUGAAAUGCAAUAUUUUUUCCGACUAAAAAAAGGUUUGUCUGUGUCAACAAUUAUUUUAAUAAUUAUCUCAAAUCAAUAUCAAUUUGUGAAUCAUAUUUAUCUACAAAUUUAAAAUUUUAAAUUGUAAAUUUAUAUGUUAUAUUUUAUUGAAAAAAUAUCUCAUAUUUCAAAUAUUAAUAGGUAAAAUUGAGAUAAUUUUUAUAUAUUCACCUUUUAAAAUAUAUGAUUAAAUAUUAUAUAUGCGGAAGGUAUUAUGUGAUUGGAUAUUAUAUAGGGGGUGGAUAUUAUGUGUGAGAAAUAAAAUAUUUAGAAAUGCGAAUAUUAUUUGUUAUAAAAUAUGAUAUUAUGUGAGCAGCGGUUAUUAGAAGAUAUGUCAUGUAUAUAAAAAGUGAAAUUUGAUACGUACUAUUUGAGGGCAAUUUAGGUAAAAAAAGUGACAGAUACUUAAUUCGUCAGUCAUUGGAUUAGGUCUAAUGACUAAGAAUUAAUAUAUUUUAUGAUAAUUUAAAAAUAAAAUAAAAAUUGUAUGACUGUGAUUUAUUCCAUUAAAGUUGAAUGAAUGACAUUAUUAGUAUGUGAUUGAAAUUAUAUUAAUAGGGACCGGCAUUUUUGGAAAGAGAAAAAAAUUCAAAGCUCACGCUUUUAUAAGUAGUAUAGAUAUAGAUAGUUGAGCAUGAUGAGUAAAACAUAUUUUAUUCACAGGAUGAAAGUUGUUCAUAUAUGCUGGUAGUACAUGAGUACCAUGCUUAUGAAAUUAAUAGAUAAAUAUAUAAGAAAGUCGUAUCUAUUCUUUUGAUUUUAUAUUUAUUAAAUUGUCUGAUUUUAGUAAAUUAGAUUAAAAAUUAUAGUAAAUUUAUUAAAAGUUUCAUCAUAUUUAGCAGGUUUAAUUUAUUUAUUUUAGCAAAAAUUAAAAUAUUUAAUGAAUAAAAGUUAAUAGUAAAUUAAAUUAAUUAAAAUAAAAUAAAAUAAAAUUAUAAAAAAUAUUAAUUUUCAAAAGAAAGCAUAGUUGAAGGACCUAUUUUCUAAUGAAAUAUAGUUGAGGGUGUUUAAAUACAUAUUUACCAAACUAAUUUACCGAUAUAACUUUCGAAUCAAAAGUCCUGAUUAGUCAUUUUACAUUAUAACAGUGUUUUGAAUACUAAUUUACCAAACGCAUAGAAUGAAAAAACUAUCACGCUACCAUAGUCAUAUAGUUGUUUUGCCAAACGUCUGCAUACUUUUCCUACAACAGUUUCUAUAUAAAACAAUUUUUUUACAACAACUUUUAGAAAUACUUUUGCCACCGCUACUGCACACCCAAACUAAGCCUUAGACUCCGUUGGUAAUUCUAAACAAUAUUCCAAUAUAAAAUAUAUCCUCUCUUUAAGUUAAGUUAUGAAUAUUUUGUAUACCCACUAAGGAUGACAGCAUCGCCAUGAAAAUAUUACGUGAUGAAGCUAAAAUAAUUUAAAAUGAGGAACCUAUAUAUAUAUAUAUAUAUAUAUAUAGUCCUAGAUGGAUCCUUAGCAAAAGAAUAACCCCUUUCGGUGGCAUGGACCACAAGUGACUUUCCCCAACCCAUAUAAACAGCGUUUUGGUUGGAUUAAUUCAAUGCUGGCCCCACCAGCAUCCAAUGAAUGCACACAAGACUACACACACGAAUUAUGAUUCCGAUCCCCUCAACAGCCCAACCCUAACGGCUGACAAGGAGAAAUUAAUAACCAUUUCCUGACCCGUGUGUAUCUUAUCCAUCUAUUGUACAAAAAUUACUAUGAUCUGACUUUUGAAAAUUAUUAAAAUGUCUAUCAAUAAAUAAUCACGAGUAUUAAAUUCUAUUACUUCGUCAAGAAGUAGUCUUAAAAUCAACAUUAUCAAAAGAAAUUUUAUUCAACUCAAAAGAAACUAGGAUUCAAAUAAAACUUAUGAAUUUUGUUGUAUAGGCCAUUCAAAUAAUAUUAAAUAGAUCGAAUGAUUUGCGAGCUUCAUGUAGCAAUUAAUAUUGUCAUUUCUUUUCUUUCCAAAAUACUAAUUAUAUAUAUAUACAAUUAGAUAUACCUACAGAAGUACAUUACUCUUGUGUUUAAGGUUGUUAGCCUGUAAUGCAGCCUAGCUAGCUAGUACAUGGAUAACGAUUUAUUUAAAAAUAAAAAAAUCAAAAAAUUGCUCUUAAGUUUUUAAAUUUUUGUUGCCAAAAAAGAAAAAGAAAAAAGGAACAUACAGAUAGAAAUUACAAAUAAUCUGAUGCGGGUAAUUUAACGUUAGAGUUUCUUGAAAAGGGCGACUCAAUCAAGAUGAACGAAAUUUGCCCGACCUUGGUAAUUUUUAUAAUUGGUGUGAGAAAUUUAUAGACGGUUAUAACUUUUAGCUCGAGCGUGUGAUUUCAGCGAGCAAUCUCAACUCGAAACAUACUUUUUGAAAUCUACAAAUUGAACGGUAAGGCCGUUUUGGCCGAGUUUGGAACUCAAAUUUAAUUGUUUCGGUCUCCGUUUUAAGUUAUUUUUAGAAAGCUGUACCUUUUUUUCUUUUUUGAGUCUAAUUAUUUGAUUGUUUUUAAUCUGAUUUGGUUUAAAAAUAUAUUAAAAUUUAUUAUGUUUGUUUAUAGUAGAAUUUGGGCAUAUCAACCCUUUAUAUAUAAUUAGUUUUUAGAGUCAAUUAACAAUAUUUUUUAUUUUUGUUGAAAAAUUGAUUUUUCGUGUAUAAGUCUCUCAUCAUUCCGGUGCUUCUUCUCUCUCAACGCGGCUUUGAUCUGCAUGAUUAUCUAUCAUCCACUCCACUCAUAAAAUAUUUUAUGCACAAAUUAAUAUUUAUAAAACUAGCUAGGAGAAAAACUGCAAUGGAGGGGGUAGAUUUUGAAUUUGCGGUCCGUGUCCGUAUUAAUUAUUUAACAUUUGGACUGCGGUGCAUGUGGUGCAGGCAAAUUUUUGCGCUGACAUGAAACACCCACAUGCUCUCUGCCUCCCCCAUGUCGUGCUCGGAGAGGGAAAUGGCUGGAGAAACAGCUGGGCCCCGCAUAGAUUUGCCUCCCCCCUUUCCUUAAAUUGUCCCCGACUUAAAAAGAAGGGAAAUUAAGGAGACAAACACUACACUACUAGUACUAGUACUAGUACUAGAGCCUAAUAAGAGGAGCAUCCAAGGAAAAGGACCCGUGUCGGUGGGGUGUUGGGUCCCCUAAAAGCCCUGCACCCUGUUCCCCCUCUAUAUCUCUUCCCUCACUCUCAUGCCAUGCCAUUUUGCUCGAUCGUCUCGUCUUCUCUCGCUCUCGCGCUCGCGCUAUAAAUAAAUAAAAACCUUCACCGUUUUUCUAUCCAGUCUAGUCCAUUAAUUCGUCAAAUUAAUAAAGCUUGCAUCUCUCACUAUUUUCUUUUGCGACGUCCGAAUGUAAAAAAGGAAGAACACAAAAUAAAAUGGAGCUUGAAUUGGGACUAGCCUUACCCAACAACGAUUUGAUAAACGAAAUCGAUCUCAAUGAUUACACCUCCUCCUCCUCCUCCUCCUCCUCCUCUCACUACGUGGAGAAAGAAGAAGAUGAAGGAGAAGNAAGGCCGAGGAAACGAUGAUAAAGAUGAUGAUAGUGAUCAUCAAAAGGCCUUCGGCAAGUAAGUUAAAUGAUGAAGAGAAACUUUUCGGAAUGAUUUUGCCAAUCUUGUUCUGUUGCUUCCACUGAAUUGAGACGUACGUGGUGUAUAUAUAUAUAUAUGUACUAAUGGGGGCAGAGUGUUGGUGGGGUGGCCGCCGAUCAAAAGGAGCGGCAGCGGGGGCGGCAGCGCAAGGGCAGCGAUUUUUGUGAAAGUUAAGAUGGAAGGGGUGGCCAUCGGGAGGAAGGUGGAUCUCUCCCUUUGCAACUCCUAUGAAGCACUCUUCCGCACGCUUGAACGCAUGUUCCCCAACAGGCCGAAUGGUAUCAUCCUAUAGACCUUAUCUAAAUUAUUAUGGUGCAUCUUGAAAUUAUUAUUCGAAUGCUUAAAAUCUUGAUUUUACCGUAUAUAUAUUCUUAUAAUUUCAGGCUGUUUAGUUUCAGGUUUGUAAAGUUCGGAGAAUGGCGUAUAUUUUAUAUUUGGAAUUAAUGAUAUACUUGUUACUAACUUGUCAGCAAGUUGAGUUAGAGAGGUUUGUUACAAUUAGUAUUUUUUUUUUUUAUCGACGUACUACUAAUGAUUCUCAUUAAUUAAAUAUGAAAAUAAAAAUAUCUCAUAAAUCAUAAUAAUUUAGUAUUCGUGCCACCUAUACGUGAAACUAUAAUAAUUUCAGUACUUCACUAAUAUCUUGUGCAACUAUCUUAUCCAAUUUGAGUUGAAUAAUAAUGAUUUGAAUAUUUUCAAUUGAAAAUAUUUAGGAUUAUUGGAAUAUUUCAAACCGUGAAUCAAUUAAUCAAAUGGCCUUUUGUUUAACUUUAGUAUGUUUUUGUCAAGAGUCAACGGAAGAAAUUGGUUGGGUAUGAUUUGUAAACAUUUACCUUUGUUUUAAAAUUUCUACCAUUUUUCACUCCAAACUUGUUUCCUCUUUGGCGCUCAUACUAAUUGGGAUCAUAAUCUUGACAAUGGGAAUGGCGCAGAUGGUAAAACAGGUAAGCAAACGCCUAAUAAUCGUCAUCACUACGUGGUCACUUAUGAGGAUGGAGAUGGAGACUGGAUGUUGGUGGGUGAUGUGCCGUGGGAGUAAGUUGAUUGUGUCCUUAAUCUUCCCUAACUAUUGACCUCUGAAUCUAUGCAACAUUAUCUCCUCAUUGUAGUCGGUUCUGAUUUAAUUUGUUGCAGAGCUUUCAUCCGGUCGGUUAAGCGUCUCAAGAUACACAACUGAACAAGAAUUUGGGGCUUGUGCCCUUUCUCUAUGACCAUCAUUGUGCUUACUCUAUAGAUGGUUUUUAUUAUAUUUCCUAUGCAGUGUAAUUUAGGGCAGAACCAACAUAUUUCAUCAGCACUCUGCUUGUAAUCGUCAUUAUCGUCAGUGACUACAUUUUAGAUGUAUAAAACUACAGACUCUUGUAGGGUUUAUUUUGCUUGCUCGAUAUGUCAAAUUGACUUUUUAUGUUGGCUGCUUAUUUCUUUCCUCAUUACUGACUGCUUAAGUUGAUUUUUUAUUGAUGCUCGAUGACAGUCAGCAUUGCAAUAAGUUGUUGUUGUGUAAAAGGUAAUGCCUAAAGUUUUUAGCUUUUGCUAUUUUUCUCUUUCGCAGCCCAAAUCAAUUGAGAAAACCAGAGAGCUAGUGAAAGAAACUCAUAUCUCUAUUACCAUGCAGUGGACGUUUGUUUGUUUGCGUGUUUGUUUGUUGGUUUUUUUUUUUUUUUUUUUGGGGGGGGCCGUGCUAUCUUGUGAUUUCCGUCAGUGCUUAGCUUGUGAGUUCCAUCAGUGCCUUUGGAGAGAUUGAUAAAUUAUUCUUUGUCUUAGUACUUUUUCUUGCUUCCCCUCUUUUUUAUUCUUUUCUCAACCCGUAAGUGGAACUCUGUGUUUGCAGACUUUUCCUAGUUAAGGAGUAUUCAGUGCUUGAACAGCUUAGAAGAAUUCAAAGCCUGCUGCAUUUUCCAUUCAAUCUUUUGAGCUUAGAAGAAUUCAAAGCCUGCCGCAUUUUCCAUCAAAUCUUUUGAUUAGUUUUGAGUUAUGCCUGUAGUGCAAUGAACUUCUACAAAUUGUGGAGUUCUAGUGAAAAGAGUCCUAAAAGGGCUAUUCGAAUAGUUCCGACGAGGUUUGAAAAAUAUUCGAGUAUUUUCGGUGCAAACCAGGUGCGAAAACGGAUUCUGAGAUGAUAAAUCUGCCAAGUUGUAGAUUUUAUAUUGAGUAUCAGUACUGGAAUCUAGGUAUCGGUACACAAUACAAAAUGGUGAGGAGUAAGCUCUCAGGUUUUGAGGAAUUGAGAUCUGUGUAGCGGCAAAGAAAUUCCAGGUUCUAUAUUUAUAGUACACUGAACUUUAGCAAAUUGCAAGGUUCUAGUGUAAAAAUAGCGUUUUGAACUAUUCUAGCUGUUUUGGGGAUCAACAGUAGUGCAUCGAUUCCUUACUUAAGCUCGCUAAGUGCGAGAUUGGAAUACUGACAUUAAAAUUUGCAAAUUGCAGGGUUUUGAGUAUUGAGUUCCGGUACCUGAGUGGGGUACCGGUACCCCAGAGGGUUGCCAGAAUGGGUAGCUCUCGAGUUGAGAAGUUGGAUGUUGGGUACCGGUACUAAGUCGGUGAGUAUCGGUACUGGAGUUGAGUACCGGUACUGCAACAGGCAGGUACCGGUACACUAAAAUUUGCAAAUUGCAGGGUUUUGAGUAUUGAGUACCGGUACCUGAGUGGGAUUCCGGUACUCCAAAGGCCAGGGUUGCCAGAAUGGGUAGCUCUCGAGUUGAGAAGUUGAGUGUUGGGUACCGGUACUGAGUCGGUGAGUAUCGGUACUGGAGCUGAGUACCGGUACUGCAUAAGGCGGGUACCGGUACACUGCAUUAAGCCCGAAGACCCCACGCUCGGGUUUUUGCAUAUUUGAGUGCCGGGUACCAGUACUCCAAUACGAGUACCGAUACAUAAUGCGGCAAAUUGAGUUGGUAAGGGGUCUUUUAGUAAUUUGGCUGUUGGGUUUAUCCCCAACAGACCCAGCUGGCUCUUAUUGUGCCAGAGCGUGAAGAAAAACUGGUAGGCUACUCCUUUUUCUCUCUCUAGCUUUCAUUUCUAAUUUCUUUGUGAAUUUGGGGAUUGAUCUUAUUUUAUUCACCUUUUCUUUGGAGGAUUGUUCUUGCACCUUGGUGAAGAUUGCUGUGAAUUUGGAGGUUAGUUUGAGGAUAAACUUCAAAUUCUAGCUCAAGGUUGGGUUUGGCUUGGAGCUUUGAGAGGUUAGCUUUUUAUUUGCCUUUUCGGUAUGUGAUUUUCGUAGAAUUGGAGUUUGAUUUUGGGAUUGUUCUUGGCUGAGCAUUAGAACUUAAUUGGUAAUGGUUAAACUCUCUUCUAGGUUGGACUUAAAGCAUCCCAACCUUAGGUGGAGUGUGGAAUAGAGUUCUUCUCUAUUUCAGGUAUCUUUCUAACUAUUUUUUGGGUUGAAUUAUGAGGAUUUUAUGGGAGGCGUAUUAGAAACUCCUAAUUGAUUUAGAAUUGUUGUUAAGGUGCUAGAAGGCUAGAAGGCAUCUUCGUUCGAGCAACGAAGGGAUCCGAGGAAUAUCCGGUGGGUUUAACCUCACCGAAAUGGGUGAACUCCCCCUAUAUUCUUGUUUUUAUUAUACAAUUGGAAAUCAUGCAUACUCAUAUUAGAUACAUUAUAAGUGAAUUUUGGAUGUUUUAAUUAUGUAUGUCACAUAUGGCUAAGUCAUACCUUUAUGCAGUGGAAAGUGUUGCUUAUUAAUUAUGUGUAGUAUACCUUACAUGACUUGUAGUAUACUUGUGUAGACAAGUGAAAAUGGCAAUUAUAUGAUAACAUGUAGCAUGAACUUAAUAUUGAUGUGUAUGACUUAUUUAAAUGAUUAGAACUUGACAUUGUGACAUAGUCUCCGACCUAUGGGUCGUUAGAGGACAUGCCAUGUUUUAAACAUGACGAUUGAGAGUUUUGUAGUGUGGAUCAUGCUUGCUUGCCAUUGUACCCAUUCGCACAUGCUUGUGAGGGUCGCUUUCCACAAGUCGGCACUCUGGAGUUGGCCUACGUGACAUCAUGCUCACCUGUGCAAGAUUGGGCACCGAAGUGGAUUGCCGUGUGGAGUGUAUACUACCACGGGGCCCAUUAGGCAUGGCAUAAGCCGGACUACACUUGUGUAGGUCCUUAUAAAUUGUGUGAAGUUAACCAAAUGAAUUAAUUCACUGUCAUUACUAGAUAGUGUACAUUGGUGGACAUGACAUUAGCAUGUUUACUCAUAUUAGAGUAGUCUUUAUUUUUGUUAAAUUUUAUGUGCAUUGGAGGCAUGGUAGCAUUAGCAAUUCAUUACUUCUUUAAUAUUCAUAUUGUGUUAUAGUUAUGCAUGCUUAUUAUUUAUGCCUCAGGGACCUAGUGGUGUAAUUCGUUAAUGUCGGCGGCUUACCUACUGGGAACUAUUGACUAAUAGUUCUUAUGCCCAGUUUGUUGUUGUUUUUGUUUACAGAGUCAUUCACAGCGGGAGAGGCUAGGGAUCACGAUAAGGAGGUCGUGUCUAGUUAGGCAUAUCUUGGAGUUCCUACUAGGUGGUUGACGUCGAAUACCGGUCCUAAUAAGCACUAAAAGUCAUGUCGCUUUUUUUUUUUUUUUACUUCUUGAGUCGCUUAAUGCAGCGAGGUUGGUGAUGCCGUUCCUCCAAACGUCGGUCUCGAUUGAGGCCAGCCGACGUCACUAUUUGUUAUAUUUUGUUAGAUUUAUAGUUACCUAAAUUAGAGUUAAAUCCUAAUUUAAUUGGCAUUGGAUAUAAUUUGGCAUAUAUGGAUUAUAAGUCGGAAUCUAAUUCAAUUUUGAAUUAGAUUCGACUUGUGUUUAGAAAUCCAAUUAGAUUAGAGUUCUAAUUAGACUCUAAUUUGAAGCCACAUCCUAUAUAAAUAUGUGGCCAUGUCAAUGAAGCUGGAGAGCAAAUUAAGAGGCCAUUCAUUAAUUAAUUAAGUCUCUUGGAGGGUACGGAUGCUGCGGAGAGAGCCGAGCUUCAUGCUUAAUUUGGUGUUUCGUACAGGUGGCAGCAACAUCAUGAGCCAAGAGCAUAGUUAGUUAAUUCGGAUUCGGCAAAAAUUCGGUACGGAUAUAAUUCGGAUAAAAUUCGUUUUCUAAUUUUUAAAUUUAUUAAAAAAUACGGCUAAAAAACGGAUUUGUCAAUUAUUCAAAUACGUGAUUUAUACAGAUAUUAUACGUUCACCAAUUAAAAAUUCGGAAUAAAAAAUUCAGCUAUUAAAUUAAAUUUAUUUUCUUUUAAGAUUUAUGUUGUUAGCAUAAAUAUUUAUAUUUCUUAAGAAUACAAGAAUAAAGAGCUACAAAAUUAAACUGAUUAAGUAAAAAAAAUAGCAAACUAUAUUAUGUUUUAAAAUAAAUAAAUAAUUAAAUAAAUAAAAGAUUAAGAUAGUCUAUAAAAAAUUAAAUUUUUUUGAUCGAAUGAUAUCUUUAUUUUGGGAGAGGGGGCAAGCGUUGACGGAAUUAUUUUUUUUUUCUUUUUUCCUUUUUCUAUUUCUUGUUUCUGUUUAUGCCUUAAAAUAAACAGGAGGUUUUUUUUUGUUUGGGCGAGCGGCGCUCGAGCACUCGCGCUCGCGAGCGAGCCGCGAGGCCCGCGAUCCGUGCGCGAGCGCUCGUGCUCGCGCUCGCGGGCCGCGAGGCCCACAGCCAGCGGGCGAUCGCUCACGCUCGCGAGCCGCGACGCGGUGUCUUUUUUGGCAAAUUAUUCGGCACGCGGAUUAUUCGCGAAUACGUUUUUGUACCCGAAAAAACACGUUUUUUUUCGAAUUUUUAGAAAAAAUACGUAUAUGGUCGAUUAAUUCGUUUUUUUAAAAAUUCGCGAAUAAUUUACGAAUAAUUUAUAAAUUAACUAACUAAGGCCAAGAGAGAGUUGGAGCUCUAAUUAAUUAAGUGAGCAUAUGAGGAGCCGUAUGCACUAAUUCAGAUCAAGUUGUGGUCCGUACGGGUGGUGAGAGAGAAGCCAAUUUUGGAGUCUCUUAUACGGCUCGUCUUUCGGCGUUUCGGAUCUAAUUAAGUUUUGAGAGAUUUUCUUGUACUCCGUCUUUCGAUAUUAAUAAAUUAUUUGCUCCGUCUUCGCUUGUGGACGUAGGCCGGUGGCCGAACCACGUAAAAAUUAUUGAAUUUUAUUGGGUUUUAUUAGAUUUUUUGUGAUUUAAAACUUGGUAAAGCCUCUUGAGAGCUCAAUAAUUAUUAAUGAGCUGCUUGGGAGCCCAACUAAAAUUUUUAUGUUUGAUGUUUAUUCCUACAUUGAAAGCCAAAAGGGUGUUUGUGCUUUUUAUAUAUUUCUUUAUUCUCAAGCUAGUUGUUUGGAACAAAGUGAGAGUAAUGCUCCUGUUUAAAUACACGCACGCACGGCACGAGCACGAGCCGGGCGACGGCGCGCAGUCCAUACACUCAGUUUAUUUUAUUUUUAUUUUUAUUUUUUUCGGUUUUAUCUUUAUUUUAAUCCUUAUCUUUAUCAUAAUCCUAAUGUUUAUCCGUAUAAUCGUAGGCUUAUCUUGUUCUAUACGGAUUUAACGCGUUAGAGUAAGAUUCUCGCCUUGAUUAUAAAUAUUCGGCGAGGUUGCAUGAGUUGAAGAAGAACCCGAGCAUACUUAAACCCUCUCGUCUUUUCCUGCUUACUCGCUAUUCAUCUUGUCCACCGAUUUUUGCCGAGUUUUUUUUUGCUGGAUCUGAAUCUUGCACCUCCUUGAAAGCGUGCCGACAGGAUGGAAUGUGGUCGUUGUACCGCUAGAACUAAUUGCUGGAAAGCCUCGCAUGUGGAGGGGCAAUUUCGCUUCUAGAAUAAUGCUCUGCACUCCUCGCUUCUAGGACAGGUGAUUCUUACUCAUGGUUCGUCCUCGUUCACGAUCUGUAAGAGAGCGGAACGUUUUGAGUCUAAUAUCCUUAUACCUUGAGAUGGAGUUAUUACAGAAUUAGAAUUAGAAUUAGAUCGGGACUUGUAUAUUAUAUAUUUAUAUAUAACUUGAUGUAAAGAUGUUAAAUCACGUCCAUUCAUCAAGAACAUAUCCAGAUACAUUCUGACCGUUAAAUCUAUCGUAUUUUUAUAAAUCGGUUUGAAUAGAACGACUCUAUCGUUAUAGAUCACUUUGAAUAAAUUAUAUGGGCCACAUCCAACAAUACUCUCACCAAAAGUUUUAAAAAUAGCCCGUAUGGUCACUGAUUUCACACAAUUAAUAAACGCUAUAAUUUUUUCUGAGUAGAUCAACGCAACAAUAAUAUUAUUCACAAAACUUCGUGCACUUAUGCAAACGGCAGUAAGAUGUACGUGCGUCUCGAAAGGUUUGUACAUAUGUAUAACACUUGCUUACUUUAUACUUAAUCAGUCCUGUGAUUCACAUGAACUGAAAAGAAGCACAAAAGGACGAGAGAAAGAAAAAGAAGGCAGAAAAAGAAGGCAGUAUGUUGUGUUGAAUUAAUUUAGGUGGUCUCGAGGGGCUUGGAACCGAGCUGCUCGGCGGCUGGCUUGGAAGCCGGCAUGGACAUGGACCGAAGCAGCCGUGCCGACGAACUCGAACGGUGGAGGCGGCACCGGAAAGAGCCCCUGUGUUUCGUCGGCGAGCACAGGCACCGCCUGGCAUGUGUCGUUUGCGAUGACACCGUCGCCGCCUUUGACUCGGCCGCUAGUUCCUUCUUGCUCCCUUCGCCCGCGGGAGAGCUCAUCGCCGAAGUCUAGUCGAUCUACACGCGCUCUCCCACUUUCUUAUCUCUGUGUAGUGCGUGUGGUCUGCUUUAUCAGUGUGUGCUCUACUUUAUUCGCCACAAAGGAAUUGAAUUAUAUUUGUUAGAAAAAUUAAUUGCAUCAAAAUCGAUCAUCAAUCAGGAUUUAAUUGUAUGGAUGCUCCCUAUGCUAUCCCGUUAAGUCAAGUUGGUCCCUUUUACUUUUUAUUUACGUCAUUUAAUUUCUAAUUGAAAAAUAAACUAUUUUUUAUAAAUGAUCAUUUUUUUAAUAUAAAUGCCUUUUUUUCGUUUAAUCUAUUCUAGCAUGAAGGAGUUGAAACCUAAUUCAUAGCAAAAAUUCAAGAUUUAAUGAGUAAUGCUUCUAUACUUUUUUUUUUCGUUACCGUUCAUUCACUCCCAUUCAACAGUUCAGAUUUAAUUUUCUUAAAAUUGUGACCUGCAAUAGCAGGUCACUUUGGGAGAAUUACCAGUAACUAGGUAUCUAAAAAAAAGAUAUUUUUGUCUUUUAAUACAUGAGCAAUUUAGUCAUUUUAUCUCUACUAUAUUAUCAACAUUUUUAUUCUCUUUUUGUUUCUUUUUUUCUCUCUCUAUCUUUCCUCUCAUAUUUUGACAUUUCAUAUAAGAAAAGUUUCAAAUUAUUUGACAACAAGGACAUAAGAUUAUUUUGUGGAUCAACUAUGAAUUUUGUCUAUACCCAUCUUGAAUCCGACCCGAAUCAUAUAUAAAGUUUAAUAUUAUAUUCGAAUUUAUAUUUUAAAAAUUUAAAUUUAAUAUAAAAUAUUUUGAAAUAUGGUAAAGAGAAAUAAUUGUUUUGUGUUCCGGUCUUCGGGUUUGGGUUUGGGUUUGGUUUUAGGUUUCGAAAAAUUGAUCAGUUUCGGGUUUAGAUAUAAAUUUUUGAAAUUCGUCGAGUUCGGAAAUAGGUUUUACAAUUGUUAGUCGGGUUCGAAUUCAAAUUCCUAAUCAUUUUUUUUUUCUAAACAGUAAUCCUAAAUUAAUAUCUAAAGUAAAACAAUUCUAAAUUUUUUUAAAUAAUGAUACAAAAUUAAUGUCUAAAGUAGAACAAUUCUAAAUUUUUUUAACAUAUUAAAUACAUUUAAUUUAUAAUUUUUUACCUACAUUCAAUUUUUUUUAAAUAAGUGAUACAAAAUUAAUGUCUAAACUAUAGGAAUUUAAAAUUUUCUUAAACAUAUUAAGUAUGUUGAAUUAAAAUAUUUAUCAACAUUACAAAUUUUUUAAAUAGUAAUACAAAAUUCCUCUAACUUAAAUUUCAAUUUUUUAAUUUUAAAUAUUUAAUAUUUAAUAUUUAAAUUCAAUGUAUUUAGAAAUAGAACUAUUUCUAAAAUUCCUAUAAUUUAAAUUAAUGCCUAAAUUUUAGAAACACUAAAAUUUCUAAAGUAAAUGCGUAAAUUAAUGCCUAAUUAAUGCCUAAAUUAGGGUAAUCAAUCAAUUUUCUAAAUUAGUGUAAAUUAAUGCAUAAAUUUAAAAUAUCAAUUAAAAGUUUCUUUAAAUGUUCUAUAGUUUAAUUACCAAAAUAAUCUCGAAUGAUAUAACCCUUUUACCAGCUAAAUGUUAAAAUUAUAUCUUUACUCUCUAUUAAUCAACGGUUAAGACCUAUUUUAUUUUUUUAAUAAUAAAGUACCGAAUCAUUUCUCUUCAUAAUUUUGAAUAACUAAAGUAUUCACUUAUCAAAAUUUAAGGUCACCUUUGAUAUCAUGUUUACUUUUUAUAUUUUAAAAACUAACUCUAUAUAAUUAAUUUGAUGUAGCGAAUUUUUUUUUUUUAUAUUGUUAUAUUUAAUUAGCUUAUAAUGUAUUCAACUAAGGGUCCAUUAAGUGAAGUGAUGGAACUCAACUUCUAUCACUUCCGUUAUUUAAUUUUGUGUAAGUCAAAAAUAUAAUGUAACUCAAGUUAUAUUAGAUCUUCACUUCACCUACUCUCAACUCUCUCUUCUAAAGUGCCGAACUCGACUUCCGCCAUAUUCAACCUCUUCUAAAAAAUUUAUUAAAUAGUAAACAUAAACUCUACUUCCUUUAUAAUUGAUUAGAAUUACCUUAUUUAUAAUAAAUUAGGAUUAUCUUUAAAUAAUAAUAAAAAAUUUAAUUAUAUAAUAGGUUAAAGUUUAUAGCAGUAAAUUUACUGCUAUAUUUAGGAGAUAACAGGAUUCACUUACUUACAUCAAAAUAAACAACGGAACUUAAAAAACUAAUUUUAUCAGCACCAAGUUAUAUCAAAAUAAAUAGAAGAAGUAAUUGAAUUUAACUUUCAGACUGUACGAGUUAUGUCAAAAUAAACAGCAAAAAAAUAAUCACACUUCAGAAAAACUCAAACACCACUGCACUUGACUUACGUUGAAUCUACAGAUUCAUCAAUCCAGACGCCCCCUAAGUGCUAGAUGAUAUUUAAUUUAAAAAAAUAUUGGAAGCAAAAAAAAUUAUUGCCAAAUCUUUAUUUUUUUUGCUAUCAAGUAAAUAAUGCUGGUGAAAUGGUUGCAAAUAUUCACUAUUCAUUUCUAUUUUGUUUAAUAUGCAAAAUUUUAUUAAAAAAUAAAAAUAAACAUAAUACCAAAUGUGACCUUAAAGUGUAUAAGAUUAGAAUGUAUAGGGACCAACUUGUAAAACGGGAACAGUUUGGAGCCUGUCUAUAUUUAUUCACGGUGAACAGUCUUUUUACUGGUUUUGUGAGGACUCGAUUGUUUAGGGAUACUCACUUGCUGAACGUAGGGGUGGAAACAAGCCGAGCUCGAGCGAGCCUAUCUCAGCUUAAGCUUGACUUGAAAUUAAUUUCGAGCCUAAAUUUAGACUCAAUCUAGGCUUGAAAUUAAUUUGAGCCAAGCUCGAGCGAGCCUAACUUCGAGUCGAGCGAGCCUAACUUCGAAUUGAGCGAGCUGGAGCUCCAAACGAGCUGCUUGAAAUUCUUAACAUCGUGCAAUCUAUAGUUUAAUUUUUAUAAAACAUUAUCUAAAAUUCGAUACAAAAAAUGUUUAAUAGCUCAACAUACAAAAUGAAUGCAUGAAAUACAAUAUUAUAAGAUUAAAAAAAUUAGGAAAAGCGAUUCUAUGAGCGAAUGAAAAAGAGAGAGAGAGAGAGAGAGCAAUUAGAGUAUGAUUUUGCUGGUUUGAUUUUGUGAGCCCAAUAAUCUAAAUUCUAUAUACAUAUAACUAAAAUACAUAAUAUAUAUUAUUUUAUGUAAUUAAAAUAUAUAUUAUAUAUAAUUAUAUAUAGAGAGAGUUCAGCUACUAUAGUCCUAUUAGUAUAGACUCAUUUAUACUCAUAAGUUUUCGAUCGUUAGAUCUAUACUUUUGACCAUUUCUAUCUGUUUAUCAUACUAUUCAACCAAUCACCCACUCAAUCCUAGGGGACCACUAUCAUCCUAAUUGCACAUCCAACGGCCAAAAAUUUAUAAGUAUAAAAGGGUCUAUACUCAAAAAAGUAUAAUAGCCCUAGCCUCUAUAUAUAUAGAAUUAGAUAACUAUACUAUUAAUAGUACCAACCGCUUGUUAUUAGGUUUUCGGCCCUUAGAUGAAGAGAUGUGUCAUCAGGAUGAUUGUAGCCCCUUUGGGUUGAGGAGGUUGGUAGUUGAAUAGUAUGAUCUAACGGAUGAAAAUGGCCAAAAAGGUAGAUCUAACGACAGAAAACUCAAUAGCACCAAACGCUUGGUACUAUUGAUAGUAUAAUAGCCGGACUCUAUAUAUAUAGAUAGAUCCAACGGCAGAAAACUCGAUAGCACAAAAUGAUUGGUACUAUAGAUAGUAUAAUAGUCGGACUAUAUACAUAUAGAGAGAGAGUCCGGCUACUAUAUUAUCGAUAGUACCAAAUACUUAGUACUGUCGAAUUUUGUGCCGUUAGAUCUACCUCUUUAACCAUUUUCACCCGAUAGAUCAAACUAUUCAACUAACCACCCACUCAACUAUAGGGAAUCACUAUUAUCCUAACCGCAUAUCCCUUCAUCCAGGGCCGAAAACCUAAUAGCAUCUGGUUAGUACUAUUAAUAGUAUAGUAAACUAUAUAUAUAUAUAUAUAUAUUUCGAGCUUUCGAGCCUAAUUCGAGCAAGCCCGAUAAUACUCAAGCUUGGCUUGAAAUUAAUUCCGAGCCUAAAUUUAUGCUCAAGCUCAACUUGAAAUUAAUUCGAGCCGAGCUCGAGCGAGCCGAAUAUCGAGCCGAACGCAAGCCGAACACGAGCCAGCUCGCUCAUUUGCCAGCCCUAGCUGAACGUGCUUGCGGUUAGAAGGUUCGACAAAUGAACCAAGACUCGUUGGCUCAAAAUUUAUGAUUAAGGUUCCGGCCGUCAUAAGGCUCGUUUGGAUUGAACUGGAAUUACAUAAUGUACAGUAGCAACCAGUUCAAUAAAUAAACCGCACGAAAAGAGUGGGUUAAAAUAUAUUUUCUACAGUCCUAUUAAAAAAUAAAAAAUAUUUUUCUAUUUGUUUGGAGCCCUAUCUUCCUUUUACCUAAUAGCAUUAAAUGACGGGCCAAUUUGGUUCGUAUUAUGUAGCAUUAUCUAUUAUCUCCAGAUAACUAGUGAUCUGAUAUAUCAUUAUUCAGAUUACUUAAUGUUAUUUUACUUCAUUUCGUUCAGUACAAUAAUAUAAUAUCAGGUUACUGUAUGUAUAAGAUUAUUUUAUUUGUUCCAUCAUAUACAUUUCAAUAAUUUAGAUAAUAAAGUUUUCACUAUUUCAAAAAUGCGCUUAUUAUAUCUUAUACGGAUUAGAAAUUUGAAUAUAAAUUUUGAAUUAAAAUUUUCGAUCUAAUUUUCGAUCUAAUUUUCGAUCUAAUUUUUGAUCGUUCAAAUUUAGUUUUUUAAUCUAAAAUUUUACUUUCAAAUUUAAUUUUGAAUAAUUUAAAUUUUAAAUUCAAAUUCAUUCAAGUUCUAAAUUUGAAUUCAAAUUAUGAAUUCAUAUUUUAUUUUGAAUUUAGAAUUUUGAGUUCAAAUUUAAAAUUUAAAUUGAAAUUUGGAAUUAAAAUAUAAAAUUUUAGACCAAAUUUCAAUUUAAAUCAAAAUUUUAAACUUAAAGUUACAAUUCAAUCUCAAAUUUAAAUUUGAAAAUUUAAUUCAAAAUUAAAUAUUUUAAGUAAAUGAGAAACAAAAAUUUAAAUUUAUAUCGGAAAUGGCCGGGGAAGGGUAAUUUUAUAAUUUCACAUAAGUUGCAUGAAAAGCAAUAAUACAAGAUAUUCACUCCCCUCCAUAGUAAUAUUUUGAAAGUUAUCUUGUGCUAUUAGUAACACUGCAUUACCAAUUAAAUUACUUGUAGCAUGAAUCAAAUAUAGUAGUAUAAAAUUAGCCCUAAACCAAGCAGUAGUAUCAAAUUAGCCCUAAACCAAGCAGUAGUAUCAAAUUAGUCCUUGCUAUGAGCCGAAUUUCUCAACCCCUGACCCGGUCAAAGAUUUUCCUAAAGAAGCGUGCAGAGAUUAAAUACAGCUUCAAGUAGUGAUCCUCGAAGUUUGCGCCCUCCAACGGAUCACGUGAUUCGGCUGAUGAGGGAUCGGAUCAGCCAAGUUCGAAAACCUUCACUGUAAACUGAAUUCGGCUGAACGAGCCGAAUGAAUGAGCUCAAUCCCGGCAUCCCUUCAUAAUUUCAGGCGAAGCAAUCUUUAUAUUUUAACAGCAACUCCUUCAGUUUCUCCUGUUGUUGAGCCGAAAGUUUGACGCUAACGUUCGUCGGCCGCUUAUCUUCAUCAGACCCCAAAUUUACUUCUAAAAGUGGGUCUUGGGUCUCUAGCUUCUUAUUGCCGACUUUGAUCGGUGACUCUUCCAUAGAUUCCUUCAUAAUUUUAUGAACUUUUGAGCCGUUUUCAUCAUUAGACUCGGCUGCUUUACGAGUUCUAUCAUUUUUACUCAACUCGGCUGUUAUACUUGAUGAUUCAUGAAAUAUUUCCUUAUCGGUCCCCAUGGCCGAUUCCAUGAGCAAGUUAUAUUCGGCCAACUUGGCUGUUUUGAAACACGAUAUUUCAUCGGCCUAGUCAGCCGACUUACUACAAUAGCCGACCUCUCCAGUCGGCUCAUCUGCCGAAACUUUUUUAAAGCUCCAGUUCAUGACUCUUGGCAUUCCAUUUCAGCCAGCUUAGUGGCUCUUCAGCUGCCACCAUUGCUUCCUCAUCUUUCACAAGUAUUAACUGAAUUCCUUCCUCGGUCACCCAUACAAAGGAGAUUUGAUCUGGGUCAGUGUCGGCCCAACCGAUAUGGCUGAUUCCCUCCGAAUUAAUAUCCACCAUCUGAGGCCGCCCCUCGGCCCUAAUUUCUUCCACUUUAUCUCCAAUCCAUUGAAAUAAUUUUCCGUGAAGCAUCGAAGGCACAUAUUCAUUUGCGUAAAUCCAGUCACGCCCAAACAAUAAGUUGUAGUGUCUAUCUGCAUCCACCACAAAAAAGGUUGUAUGCAAGGUUUUAGAUCCUACCGUGAGCUCGGUUGUGAGCAUACCUUUGGCUUGUUGACUACUACCAGUAAAAUCGGUCAUAAUUGUGUUGGUAGGCUUCAAUUCAUUUUCACUUUUACCCAACUUCUUAAAGAAAGAAGAGAGCAUGACAUUGACCAUUGCUCCUCCGUCUACCAUUACUCAGCCUACUGGCUAUCCUUUUAUCAACGCCCUUAUAAACAAGGGCCUCACAAAUCUUGUCUGCAUGAUUGAUGGUUUUUCAAAAACCACCGAAUCGACUAGCUUAACAUUUUUUAACUAAAGUUGAGCCACCGUGAGCUCCUCUCCAUCAUAUGUUGUUUCUUCGUAUUCGACAGACUCCACCUUGAAUGACUGAGACAAAGUAUACACCAUAUUCACAUCGGCUGGACCUUUAUCAAGCAAUUUUUCUUAUAUCUUUUGUUUCUUUUCUUCUGAUUCCUUUGCCGUCUUGGCUAAGGAAUGACUCUCCAUGCAUGUCUCUCUCUCUCCUUAGGAGGCCAUCUGUCUCGUUUGAUUAUGAUCUCCAAAGAGCCUAUUUUUUCCUCCAACUCCUUCCAAGUUGCUUUCUUUUCCAGCCCAGCCGGGAGUGGCCGUUCUAUUUUGGAUCUCAACCAAAGGACAGAUGUCGAACCACCUGCAUCAUUAUCAUUCUUCAUGGGCCUAAAGGGAAGUUGUUGCUCAUGAGUUCACCUCCACACAUUCAGUUUCAUCCCUUUAGCCUCCUCAUAAUGUUGUCUCGCUUCGGCUUGCAACCUUUGCUGCCGAUGUUUCUGAGUUUUUGUCAAUAUCGGCCCAUGCCAUUUGGCCGAUACUUUUGCUUUGUGCCAUUGAUCGACUAGCACAUUUGACGGUACUUUUACUGUCCUGAGAUGAUCUCUCAGGAUUUCUCUUCUCUCACAUGGCCUCGGCCAAGGCUGAAUGCCAAGUUCAUUGACUAACCUCCGAUCGAGGAACUCGAUGUCGCCCUCAGUCAUUCCUUCGAAUUCAGGUUCAGGUCUCGGCCUAGCUAGAUGUUGCCAGUUUGGCCGAUAUCCUGGGAAUCUUUGUUGAAAGCCGAAUGGUUCGAAGGAUAACUCCAUCUGCUAUUACGCUCUUCCCUUCAGCUGUUAUAGUAAUCUUUUUAGGCCUUUUGUAUUAAUAGUUCUCUCUUGUCUUUCACUGAAUCAAUUUUCUGUUCGGAAUCGUUUGAGGCUUCUUCCAAAUCUUCCUCCAAUUUGUUCUCCGCCUCGGGAAAUGUCUUCCCACUCUUCGAGGAAUGUCAUGAACUCUCUCCAUUCCCUAUACAGUUUCUUCUCAUGAAUAAUCGCUUUCGAAUCUUUUCUUGUCAUUUCGGCCUUACAUCUUAUGCAUAGCCGUAACGUCCUUUUGGUAUAAGCAAUACCAUCAUCCAUCUUCUUGUCCGCAGGAGCCUUCCCCUUGAUAUCUACCAUAUUGACCUGCGAAGGAAAAGGAUUUUUGUCAAUUUUCAUAUUUUUGUUCUCUUAGUCGGCAAAUUUGAGCCGAUCGACCUUCAUUUAUCUCCUUUUGAAUAUGCCUUUUAAAGGCAGUACAAUCAUUUGUUCUAUGGUUCUAUGAAUGGUGUCAUUUACAAUAUCUUCUCCUUUUCAACUCUUAUCCAGAAGGUAUCGUUUGGCCCUCUUAGAGUUGAAUUCGUCCAUUCUUUAACAAGCAAUCAAAAAUUAAAUCAGUUUUUGACACAUCAAAUGAAUAAGUGUAUGCCGCUACUCGUGCUUUUGCUUCACUAGAUUUUGUGGGUUUAAGUAAAGCACAUUUAUAUGGCUGGCGAUUUUUUACUAUCUCAGCAGCAUAUAUUUCGGCUACAUCAGCCAAAUCCUCUAUUUCAUCCGACAUAUUCAGCUCAUCUUGAGCCGAAGAUUCUUCAACAAAGGAAAUAUUUUUCUCCUUCCCCUUAUUCUAAUCUUUGUUUCGGCUCCACCUAAGCCGAUCUUCAUUAUUCUCUUUUCUAAAUUGCUCAUAUUGAGCAACUCGAACUCCCAAAUUGAAUAGAUUUGAAAAAUACUUGUCUUCAAAAUGGUCCUUGAUUUUGAAAUAUAGACCAUUGAAUGCCAUUUUAGCAAAUUCUGACUCUGGCAUUCUCACAAAGCAACAGCUUCUUACCGUUUUGAAUCGAUUCAAAUGUUUUUCAACCGAUUCUCCAGAUCUCUGUCGAAACUAAGCUAGAUCAACCACCGAAAGUUUCGGUUCUGAUCUAUAAAACUGCUCAUGAAAUUUUCUCUCCAGUUCGUCCCAAUCUCGGACGGAAUUGGCUGGCAAACUCGUGUACCAAGUAAAUGCAGUUUUGAUUAAUGAAGUAUUAAAUAAUCUAAGUUUUAGAAAAGAAUUCGCAGCGUUCCGCAUCGAUAUUUGUAGGGUAAGGGGAUCUAAACAGAGGCAGCAUUGUCGGUCUUGCCCCAACUCUGAAUGUAUUCCAAAUAGCUUCCUCUAUUUGAGCAUAAAGCUCAUUGUUAUUCCCUUGUAUGAGGAUAGGAGCUUGCACUUGAACCAGGUUUGGUCCUUGAGGAAAUCCAUGACUCUAUACUACAGGGUUCACUCCCUGCGUAGCAUUAGGGGCUCGUCCCCCAGCUCUAAUCCCCGUAUUUUGGAGCUGAUAUGUCACCAAUGGCGGCGGAGGAGAUAAUCCCUAUGUUAUUUCUGAUUGUUGACCGACAGUUAAAGCAGCCGGUCUAUAAGCCGCUUGAAAAGGUGCCCCCUGAUGCUGAGGCUGAACAUUUACCGGUGUUACAGGAUUUUGUAAUACCGGUGUAGCUACAGGUCCUUGCAAACCCGCUGUAGGUUGCUCAAUUCGGAUUAAUAAUUGCCCAAUUCAGGCAAUAUUCUCAUUAGAGGCUGUAAUUGCGGCCAGUACUGCAUCUAGGCAAGCAGUACUUCGGUGACUAUUUUGGUCCAAAACUUGUAGGACGCAUGUCAUCUGUCCGAGCGCUUGAGCCAAACUUGGCUCUUGCUGGUCUGAUUGACCACUAGCGUCACCUUCGAUUGGCAAGAUCGCUUGGCGCUCUAUUGCAUUAUCUGAGUUAUUGGCUUGGUCGUUCCCAGAAUUUCGAGGAACGACUCUGUUACGCAAAUUCAUGGUAUUAUUAUCAGCCAUUGUUCCCGUAAGGAAAUAAAUUUACCUAAAUGUGUCCCACUGGGCGUGCCAAAAAUUGCUAUGAGCCGAAUUCCUCGGUCAAAGGUUUUCCUAGAGAAACGUACAGGGAUUAAAUACGGCUUCAAGUAGUGACCCUCGAAGUUUGCGCCUCCGACGGAUCAAACAAUUCGGUUGAUGAGGAAUCGGAUCAGCCGAGUUCGAAAACCUUCACUGUAGACUGGGUUUGGCUGAACGAGCCGAAUGAAUGAGAUGCAUAGUGGUUGGGUCGGUUGAAGAACCGAAUACCUUUGUAUAUUGAUAUUAGAUCUGGAAACUUAUACAAAAUAGAAUGUGUCUCUGGGGCAUACAAACUCCGAAAAUCUAACUCUAAGGCUACUCCUAAGAAAAGCAGUAAAUGCGAGAAAGCAAAAGAUUACAAGUAGACUACUCCUAGAAAUGCGAGGAAAAUGCAGAAAGAAUAAAAGGUGGUCUUCUAUUCACAGGAAAAAGACUCCUCCUUUAGGCGUUACUUGCUUAUUUAUAUUCCACUAUUAUUGUUCAGUUAUUACUCACGAUCGGCCACUUCCCUAUUUUUGUGGGCCAUGCCACUACGAGCUGAUCCUUACUACUCAUAACCGUUUGCAAUUACACCCUGCGGUUAUGCUAUUAUUCCUUUAUUACUCCCGGUGCACCAAAAAUUCAUUUAAUCCCGACUUCUGAGAGUCCCGGCUGAACCGUGCUCCAACAUGCCACAUGGCGUUUUAUUAUUGGCCUUAACAACCCUAAACCUAAUUUUCAUGCUGUGUCAAAUUGGAAUCUAAUGAGCCUAACAACUUUGAUAAGUCUUGCACGUAAGCAGUUAACAAUAAAUAACCUUUUACAAGUUUAAAUUUAAAUGUAAUUGAUUAAUAACUGAAAAACCAAAUCUAGUAGCUCUUGAGGAAAUAUUAUAGGCGAGUCAAGAUAGGUGAUUUAUUUAUGGUGAUAUGAAGAUCAGUUUUCAUAAUACAGAGUAACAUGAUAUUAAUAAAUUAAAUAGCAAAUGAAACUCUCCCGAAGGACGCCGAACAAUUUAACCCUAUUUCAUUGAAAAAAAAAAAAGGUUUUAUUUAGUAUUCUUUUUUUUAAAAUUUGUCUACAGACCCUCGAAUCGUAGAAUUCUUCCACCUAAUAUAUCGAAUUUUCUUCUAACAGUGAAAACUGAAGACUCAAGCACCUUUUUGCCAACCAAGAAAUUGAACCAUAACCUUUUAGACUUAAUUUGGAAUUGCAUUUUCAGAAAAUACAUAUUUUUAUGUUUUAAAAAGCUUACAAAUUUUAAAUAGAUAUUUUUUCUCCAUGGCAAUAUCAAAUUAAACCUCAGAGGGCAUAUAUCUUGGGUAGUCUAGUGGCUGUUAGUGCAACUUGACGUCGUCCACUAAUGAUUAAUCGGUCGGCAAGUGAAAACACGAGAAUAUAUAUAUAUAUCUUGUGGAUUUUAUGAUCAUCGAUUCAAUCCAACGCCUUCAGUUUUCACAAGAAAUGCGUGGCAGCACUGCGCCCGGAGGUGAUAAUUUGGGAUGAGAUUGUGAGCAGACUUAUAUAUAUGGUGGAGGGAGAUUCCAAUUUUCAAAGCGAAAAAAAGAAAAGUGCCGCUUUGAUUUAAUUAGAUAGAAUAAACAAAUGAUUGAUUUAUUAUGGCCGAGGUCUUCUAGCCAUGCCAUGCCAGUAGUCGUCAUCUGAUUCCCACCCGCUUUUGUUCUUGCUCAUUCGAUCCCUCACUCUCUCUUUCGGAAUAAACUCUAUUUAUAUUUAUAUAUGCAUGGUUGUGGUUAAGUGCGGGAUUCUUUUCAGACGCCACUCGAUGUAUGCUGGGUGUACGCGCGUCCGCUCCACCGUCUCUGCAAUUAAUUAAAUUAAAAUUAGAUCACCCAUGCAGUCCAUCUCAUCGAUCUCCAAGUAGGGAAGUACAACUUCGGAAUGAGAGAUUUUCCUUCUCCGAGUACCCUUCUUUUGACUGCUAGCUGUACAGAAUUAAUUAAAUUGUAUUAUAUUUGUUGCUAGAAUAUCAUUAAACUAUUGCAAUUAGAGCUUUGGAAAAGACAAUUUAAUUUUACAGCACUAGUUAAUGCCGCUUAACAGCUCAAAAUAAUUUGAUAAUAGUGAUACGAAAUAGGAUUAGUUACACCGUUAAUCACUAAUAAACGUCUAAUGAUAUUUCGCUCUGAUCACUGAACUUUAAUUUAUUUCAAUUAAAUUAUUGCAUUUUAAUUUGUAUUUUAAUGAGAUCAGUUUGUUAAUAUUUCUAUAAACUUUUAAGUAAAUGACAAAGUAGUCGCUAAUAUAGUUAUCACACCAUUUCUAAACUUGAUUUUUAUUACCAAAUUAUCCUUUUAAAUAAACUAACCAUCAAAUCAUAAAUAAUAAUAAAUUAAUCCUUAAAACUAAAGCCGUCCAAAAUACUCGAUAUCCCAUACCCGACCCGGACCUAUCCGGAUCCGAAUCGGACCCAAUAAAAAAUGAAUAGUAUAUAUAUGGGUAAUAAAAAAAAAUUAUCCAUUAAAGUUUCAGGUAUGAGUCCGGAUACUUUAUUCCUAUAUCCGACUUGGACUUGACCCGAACCUGACCUUUUAAUCGGUAGGGUCCGGAAGAGUUUUUAAAUUCGGACCCGGACCCGGACCCAGACCCGGACCGGGUGAAGCAUCCGAUAGUAAAUAAAAAAAAUUUAAAGUUGAUGGAUUAAUUUCAAUAUGACUUACAGUUGAAGGGCCUGUGUAUUUACAUCCAAGUGAAAACGCUAGUUUCCCUGUUUACUCUUUUUUUUUACUCCUCAUUUUUUUAACCCUAGCUGUUUACUAUUUGAAUUUUUCUUUUGAACGAGUUUUAUUGGACGAUACAACUAAUUAGAACGCGAGUUUCUAUAGUUAGAGAUUUAUGAUUUGUCCAUAAACUGUUUAAUAAAGUGUAUAAAAAAUAUGGUUAAUUGCAUACACGUCCUUGCAAAUAUGGUGAAUUGCAAAUAUAUCCCUACAAAGCUCAACUUUCAUAAUUUGUCCCCGCAAAAGUCCUAAUGUAUUUAGAUAUGUCCCUCUGGCUAGGACCCGUUAGAGAAUUGUUAAUUUUUUAACAGUAUGCUGGUGAAAUGACAUUUUUGCCCUCACAAAUAUGUCCCUCCAAAAGUACUCCCUCUUCCUCUUUCUCUUCCUCUUCGGGCCGUGGGAGUGGACGGCGGUGGCGGCGGAUCAUCGACGACGACGACAAAGAAGAAGGAGGAGGAGAAGAGGAGAAUACGAAGAAGAAGAAGGAGGAGACGGUGGAGGCCGGAGGAGCUCGGAGGCGAGGGGGUUCGCGGCGAGGUUGCAGAGGUCGCCGACGGUGGAGGAGAGGCGAGAGGCGGCUGCGGCGACGACGCAACACCGAGCUCGGAAGCAUCGCGCGGCGAUGGCGGUGGAAGAUACUUCGGAGAGGAGGUGGCGGAGGUCGGCGUCGACGGCGCUUCGGCGAGGUCGGGGUCGGGUUUGCCGGCGACGAAGAAGAGGGAAGAGGAAGAGGGAGAGGAAGAAGAAGGGAGAAAAGGAAGAGAGAGAAGAAGAGAAAGAGGAAGAGGGAGAGGGUUCGCCGCCGCAUCUCCUCCCUCCCUGGCGACGAAGAAGAAGGAAAAGGAAGAGGGAGAGGAAGAAGAAGGAUGUAAAAUUGUCAUUCACUUAUUAAUUAACCAUGGUUAAGUAUUUUAACUGUGGUUAACGAAAUUUCUCUAACGGAAAUUAACGGCAGGGACAUAUCUGAAUACAUUAGGACUUUUGCAGGGACGAAUUAUGACAGUUGAGCUUUGUAGGGAUGUAUCUGCAAUUCACCAUGUUUGCAGGGAUGUGUAUGCAAUUAACGCUAAAAAAUAUAUGCAUAUGGGUAUCCGUACCCAAUCUAGAUCCGACCUAUAUCCAAUCUAUACCUGGUCUUAAGUCGGUAGUAUACGGAUAGUCACUACAUAGACUUGCUCAAAUAGACCCGAUGGGUAUAUUAUUAUCUUAAGAACACAGACCCGGACCCAAUCCGAAGUUAAAUGGUUAUGGUAUAUAUAUAUAUAUAUAUAUAUAUAUAGGCUAGGGCUACUAUACUCUUAUGAGUAUAAAGCACUUCGUACUCAUAAAUUGUCUUCAACGAUGAAGCUUCCGGAUCGACGAUCCACUCCGUUAAAUAUGAUCUAAACUAUUUGAAACUUGUAGAAAAUAAAUUUCGUAAUUUUUCGAAAUCAUAAUAAAGUUCAUCAAGCGGGUAUAAAAUGAACGGUCAAAAUUGAACGAUGUCUUAAAAAUGGAUGAUCAAAUCCUUCAAUUUAAGAUCAGAGUUAUUGAUCUUUAUCUAUGUAGUGAAUAGAAUUUUCUAUCAAAAAUUCAACUGAUUUCGAUUCUUUUACACCGUUAAACUAGCAAAUAUUCCAUACCGACCGCUAAAAAUUGCCGAUUUGGUGACCUUUGAUCGUAAGGUAAAUGAUGUCGAAAAAUUAUAAAAUUUGAUUAUUAGACGUUUUAAAUGCUCUAGAUAACGUUUAACGGUGUGGAUCGUCGAUUCGGAAGCUCUAUCAUCGAAAUCAACUUAUGAGUACGAGGGUGAUCGUAUUCAUAAGAGUAUAGUAGCCGGACUAUAUAUAUAUAUAUAGAGAGAGAGAGAGAGAGAGAGAGAGAGAGAGAGAGAGGAGCUAGGCUGGUAUACUAUCGGUAGCACGGAGGCCUCUGUGCUACCAAGUUGUUUUCAAUGAUGUGGCUUCCAAAUCUACGAUCUGCUCCGUUAGACUUAAUGUAGACUAUUGAAAGUAUUUGGAAACUAAAUUUCAUAAUUUUUCGGCAUCAUUUACCUAUCGAACGAGUAGUCUAAAAAUGAACGGCUGAAAAUAAAAAUCUCAUAAAAAAUAAUGAUAAAAGACUUAAAUUUAAGAUCAGAUGUACUGAUCUUACUCUAAAUAGUGAAAAAAAAUUCUAUAAAAAUUUCAUUAGAUUUGGAUUGUUUUACAUCGUUAAAUUUACAAACGCACCACAUCUACCAUUAAAAUUGUCAAUUUUGAAACCUUCUGAUCACUAAACACAUGGAUGGUCAGCCAAGAAGUCAGCUAUUGCUUGCCCUUUCACCACCUUUGCCAGAACGUAAUUAAAAGGAAAUUCAGACAACGCUAACAUCCAUCUUCCAAUUCUUUCUCUUAACACCAAUUUAAAUAACAUAUACUUGAUCAAAUUGGUUUUGCAAACAACUAACACUUCGACUGGCAGAAUAUAAUAUCUCAACUUAGUACAGGCAUAAUAUAAUGCGAAGUAUAAUUUUUCUAUUGCCGAAUAUCGUUGUUCGGCAUCUAACAAACGUCGACUGAGAUAACAAAUACCUGUUCUUCUUUCUAACCAUUUUCUUAAGCUAACAAGCAUCCCAGAUUUUCAUCCACAGCCGAUUAUAACUUCAUUAGCUGACCCAAUUGAGAAGGAAUGAGAACUGGAGGAUUAGCCAAAUACUUUUUGAUGUUUUCAAAUGCUUCUUGUUGUUCCUCCAUCCAUAUAAACUCCUCUUGGUUUUUAAGCCGAAGUAACGGAGUAAACACCCCUAUUCUACCGGCUAAAUUUAAUAUUAAGCGUCGUAAAUAGUUCAUUUUUUCUAAAAGGCUUUGCAAUUUUUUUAUGUUCUUAGGCGGCGGCAACUCUAUAUAUGAUUGCCUUUGCCUUGUUUUUAUCUAUUUUGAUUCCUCUUUGAUGUACUAGAAAUCCGAGAAAAUUUCCUGCUAAAACUCCAAAAGCGCACUUCAGCGGAUUCAUUUUUAAAUUAUAUAUUUUCAUACGCUUAAAAGCAAGUUCUAAAUCAACCCAACGAUCGCUUGGCGAUGUAAACCUCCAACAUUUUACCGAUCAAAUCAUGAAAAAUAAAAUUCAUUGCCUCUGAUAAGUGGCUCCAGCAUUUUUUAAACAAAAUGGCAUCACUAUCCAUUUGAAAUUUUCAAUAGAUCCUGGGCAUCUAAAAGCCGUUUUUGAUACAUCUUCUCUGACAAUAAAAAUUUGAUUAUAACAAACAUGACCAUCCAUAAAUGAUAGAAUUUUAUAGCCGGCUGCCGAGUCCGCUAGUAUGUCAGUUAUGGGCAUCGGAUAUUCAUCUUUAGGCGUAGCCAAAUUCAAAUUUCUAAACUCAAUGCAAACUCUAAGUUUGCCAUUCUUUUAUCGCCCUGGUACAAUAUUAGAUACCCAAUCAACAAAAUGGAUUGCUCUAAUAAGCCCAACCUUUAAAAGAUUUUAAAUUUUUUUUAAAUUUGAAAUACAAUACUCGGUUCAAACCUAUGAACCAGCUGUUUGUAAGGCUUAUAUCUCUUUUUAAUAGGGAGCCAAUGUUCUAUAAUUUCUCAACUCAACGCAGACAUUUCCUCAUAACUCUAAGCGAAGCAGUCCUUAUAUUUCAUCAGCAACUUUAUUAGCUCCUCUUGUUGUUGAGCCGAAAGAUGUGAGCUAAUAUACGUUGGCCUUUUAUCUUCGUCCGACCGUAAAUUCACCUCCUUUAGUGGAUCCUGAGUUUCCAGCUUUUUCUCGCCGAUCUUGAUCGGCGAUUCUUCUAUAUGUUCUGUUUUGACCCCUUCAGGAAUUUCAGUGCAAGUCUGAUCAGGCUUUAACACAGCCUUUAUCUCUUGAGCCGUAUCCUUUUUUCUAGAUCGGCUCUAGAACUUAGAGUUUCAUCAUGUAAUUCUUUGUUGGCCACCUUAGCCGAUUCAAUGCAUGAUCUUUCCUUGGCCGAUUUUGCCGAUCUCAUUACUGAUUUCGCAUAGAACUUUUCAUCGGCGAAUUCAGCCGAUCUAAUACAUGAUUUUUUAUCGGCCAACUCAACCGAUUUGAUAAAGUAGCCGACUUCUUUGGUCGGCUUAUCUUGCCGAAGCUCGGCUAGAGUCUCAGUCCCAAGCUUUUAAUAUUCUAUUNAUAUAUAUAUAUAUAUAUAUAUAUAUAUAUAUUAGCUAUUGGUGGAACGUGGAGAGGAUUGGUUUCGUCGUAAGUCGGCGACCAAAUCGGAUGAAACAAAAAUUGUAGAUUCGAUGCCCCAGUCGUGCUGAACGCGCUGGCACGAUCCGAUUGAAAAUCCGACGGACGGAUCUCCGAAAAUCGCAUAAAGUUCGCUGAGGGGUCGAAAUUGGCAAAACAAAAAAAUUGCCAAAAGCCCUAUAUUUUAUGUACCGUUUUACGUGAUUUCAAAUGUCGAGGUGCGUAAGUGCGAAAUGCUCGAGCUGUGAGGGACUUGGCUAGAAAUAUGCGGCUGGGGAGGACUAAAUUGCAUUUUUGCCAACCUAUAUAAGAGCUAAUGUUAGGGUUUCCAUGCAAACCCUAACCCUAGUUGCCAUAGCUCCCUCCAGCUGCGCCCUAGCCGUCACCAGCACCCCCUGCCCUUGCCACGCCGACGAUGAGAGACUCCGGCCGCCGGAAAAAGGCCGACAUUGCCUCUCCUCCACCACACUCUCCACCAAGCUACUGUCACAUGGCCGUGGACCUCAGGGUUAACCAUACACAUUGGAUCCCUCUUCACUGGCCGCAACCCGGCCUUCGGCGCUGUUCCCGCCGGCCGCUGUCGUUCGCGCGCGCAGCUGGCCAAUCUGCAGUUUGGCUCAGCCAGCUCAGGCCAAGCUUAGCUCAGAUCGUGGCCCGCGAGCCACCAGCGCCCUAGACCGGCUGUGCCACCUUCCUGGAUCUCUAGCGACCUCCCUCAUGCUGCCCCGUGGCCUCGGAGCUCCACCGGCCGCCGCCCUAGCUCCCUGCGGCCGCCCAGACUCAGCCCGGGCCGAGGCUUGGCCGCAUAGCCUCCUGCUCGCCGCCGCCGCUGCCCACGAUCGGCUGUGCCGUCCUCCCUCGGCCUCUGACGACCGGUCGCCGUUGCCCCGGAGCUCCCCCGGCUGCCGUUUGGCCGCUGCUACCUCCCUGAACCGAGCGGAGUUGUGCGGGCUCGCGGCUCUCCACCACGUCACCGGCCACCUCCCGCCGUUGGCCAGCGAGAGCCCNGGGCCGAGCUUGAGUCAGCUCAUAGCCGCGAGCUGCUACCGCUUCGGGGUUGGCCGCGCCGCCCUUCCUCGGCCUCCGAAAACCCCUCGUCGUCGUCUCUGCGGGCCCCCGGCAGCCGCCGUGUCUUUCUGCAGCCACCCGGUGUAGGUACGGGCCGAGCUUGGGUCCGCGUCGUCUCCGCGCGCCGCCGCCGCCACCCACCAUCAGCCACGCCGCCCUUCCUCGGUCUCCGGCGACUGGCCGCCAUCGCCUCGGAGCGCCCUCGGCCACCACCAAGCCGCCGCUGCCUCCCUAAAUCGAGCCAAGCCAUACGGGCUUGUCCCGGUCCACCGCGCCACCGGUCGCCUCCCACCGCCGGCCAGCGCAUGCCCGGGCCUCCUCCCACCGGCCGCAACCAUCCUGCGCCGAUGCGCCCGCCGUCCAACUGCCGCCGGCCUUCCUGUGCUCCCACUGGUACCGGUAAGUGCAGUUUAUGAAUUCUGCACACUGUUUCGAGUUCGGAUCGCUGUUCCGGCAAUCCGAGGACACCCCGACGCUCCUGGAAGUGAGCACGACAAUCCCUGGUCUGUGCCGAUCAUCAUGCUCACCUCCUUUGGGGUCAGCGAAGCCCCGAUUUGCAUGCUAAGCACUGUUUAGGCACUGUGUGCGCUAUUCACUGAAGUUCGCGUCGCUCCCGCCCUCUCCACAGUGGUCGGCCAUGCUUCGAAGUGUGAGCACGGCCUCCGACACAUCGAGACCUGUCAGCAGGUGUCUCGGCCAGGCUCGAAUGUCCUCAGUUUGCACUGUCGAGCAGUAAAACCCCAAAAAUCACAUAACAUGAUGUGAUUUUAGGUAGUCUCAGGGGCUUAUAUGCAAUUUUACAUUUCAUGGCUGCUAUGGGCAGUGUGUGCAGGCAGCGGGUGACCUCUGGACUGGUUGUCCAAGUUUCUAGGCCUUUUCGAAAAUCGAAUGUUGAUUUCUGGUGCGUUUUUCGGCGAAAUCUGCCGACAGAACACGAUUCCGUUCAGAAUCAUUCCGACGGUGCCUCACGAAAAAUUAUAUGGUCGCUGUGCCUUGUUGGCUGGUCACCCGCGUCGUUUUGAGGGUUCAAAAACGACGGGUAAGCGACGUUGGGUUCCGGUGUCGAAAUUGACACUUCCGGGAACCCGGAUCGGAACGAUUAUCUGACGAUAAUCGUUUCAAUGUGAGGAUAUGUGUUUGCUACCAGGUCACACAAAUUAUUGUGUUUAGUGGCAGUGGGUGACUCGUGGCAUGAGUCGAUGAGUUCCGGGACGGUUCGUGGGUCCCAGUGGAGUCCCGAUGCGAUUUUCAAGACUUCCGGCAAGUUACGGCAAUCGGUUUUAGAAAAUCGAUUCCCGUGGGGAUUACUGGUGGGGAUUGUGAGAGUUAGUGGUUCAUAUUCGUGGAUUGGGUUCUAACCCGGUGGACCCUUCGUAGGUCCGGUUGAUAUUUCUUCCGUAGUUGGGAGAUCAGUGCUGCGUACGUACAGGUGGGUACUUCGAUCCGAAAUCAAUACAGUGGUGCACGCUCGAUGACAUCCUUUCCACCCUUCUCCUACUAUCAUGUUGCAUUCUAUUUGUUGAGCCUUGCACCUUUAUUUCCUAUUUAUCGCUCUACUUGGUUUAUUUACAUAUCUAGCAUCAUAAGUAGAAGUAGAGCAGGUUUAUCAUUACAGAUGAGAUUUGUGAACUAGUUGGUCGGUUCUUGUAUCUCAUACUUUGACCUGUUCGGUCGGUUCAUUGCAUCUAGCAUUAUGACCUACUUGGUCGAUUGGACUACUUGGUGACCUAUACGGUCGGUAUACCCUGAGGGGUAGGAUUGUCGGCUAGUUGCCGAUGGUUGGCUAUUGAGCAUAUCAGUAUCGAGCGCCACUACUCAUUCGUAUUUCACGAACACUAGCGGUCUGAUCCACCGCGGCCAAGUGUUCUUUUCCGAAAAAGUGGUUGGACAUGCCAACCCGUGAGCCCAGCGGCCUAGGCUGGGUUAUAUGCAGGUAGAGUGAUAGUGCCACAGGCCUGAGGCCUAAGGACCGAUAUGGCAGGUUUCAGAUUGGAUAUUUUUUGACUUAUCGUUCGAUUGAUGCAUACAUACAAUAGCGAUAGUUAUUCAUAUAUACAUCUCGAUCUUUUAUUUAUCGCUGCUACUGUAUUACUUUUACCCAUACUUUUGUUUAUCCUCCUUGACUGGUGAGUACCCUCGCCCUCGUCGGCUUGCAGUACCCACCGGGAGGGGAGACAUGUAUACAUGUUCUCACCCCCCACCCCCCUUUCAGGUGACGUCACGGGUCCGAGUCGGGAAGAUUCGUGAGGUGUGCAGCUUAGCAUUCGAUAGAUCCAUCAUGUAGUAUCCUUGUUUUAUUUAUUAAUUAAUUAAUGUACUUAAUUAUUUUAUGUCGGUUGGUGCAUGCAAAUUAAGGUGGCUUGGAUGCCACGUGCACCCAUGCAUGCUUAUCAACAAAUUAGGUGGGCAUUGCCUAAUUUGUUUACUUCUCUCUUUGUUCGACCGAAGCAAAGAGCUCGGUGGAGGUAGCCGCGAGCACGAGUUCGACGCCAACGACGCGCCGCGAAGCCGUUCGAGGGUACGGUUGGGAUCGUAGCGCUGCGAGGAAGCUAGGCGAGGGUGUGUUUUCGCCGUUCUCGACGCCGCGUCAAUGUCCGAUUAGCCUUUGAGGUGAGUGUUCCGUUGCAUUGCUUCAAGUAUUAUUAUUUCGAGCUUGGUGCUGAUUUGCAGAAUUUCCAGCGUCGACCGUCGGUAUUUCAGUUCGUACUCGGCGUAGGAGCGUCGGGUUUCGACGGGACUUGGUUCGUUGGAUUUGGGACUUCGAGAGGAAUCCACGAAGCCCUUACUUGCUGGAUUUGGUAAAGGUUUGCUAGGUCGGAAUUUCGCUCCUCUCUGUUGCUGUUUUUGGAGGCAGAAUUAAUGUUUAUUGUCGGAUUCUCCGUGUAGAGUUUAGCGGGAGCUUGACUUCGGGGCCUUUGGAGGUUUUCGGACGUUUCGGCAAGUUGUUCCGCAGCCGAGGGGAGUUCCGUGCUGCCAGGGAUUAGCGAUCGAGGUGGGUUACAUCGGUUUAUUCCUAAGUAUUAUAGUAGUCGACAUGUAUGAUUUCCUGUUUUUGUAAAUCAUGUGGUAGCUCAAUUUCGUCGAUUGUAUAAUGAAUGAAAUUAGCUUGAGGGCAUGACUUGUAACUAUAAAUAUACAUGUUGGACUUAGAAUUAAACUUAGGAGAAAACCAACGUUCGGGACCUGGCAUAUGUUAAACUACCUGAUUUAGCCUAGGGGCCGUUGUAUUAUUUUAUACUGUUGCAGUAUCCUCAUAGUGAGUAUUCCAGGUAGUUUAGUUUUUAGUUACGCUCGUGCUGGGAUGCCGAGUGUAUUUUUACAGUAGCGUUCAGGCUGUUCCGGACUGUUGGGUGUCGUCGGAGUUGACGGUGGACUCGUAUCGCCUUUUUGGCGUUAGAUUGUGCCCCGAGGGCACGUUACCUGUUGGUUGUUAGACCAGUUAGAGUAGGUUACUUGACUUAGCCUGUGAGAGCAGUAUGAACUUGACAGAGAUACUUGUAAACUCGUUGGGUCGCGCCCACGAAUGCCAUUCCGGAAUGAGGUUUCAGUGCGAUGAGUGUCGCAGUUUCUGUUGGACAGUUCUUGAGCCGGCUACCCUCGGGGUGGUGUACGGCGCAGCUAGAUACAGGCAGGGUGGGUCCGUUUUGGGCAGCCCGGAUAAGAUAGUGAGUGACGCUUUUCCCUACCUUUGGUGAGGUUGUGACGUGAGUGGAGUCUUAGCCGUCCUAUUGGACCUUUUCUGGAACCGACUACUCUUGUGAUAUGGUGUAGUCUAAUUAGGCGAGACGGGUGUAUUCACAGUCUUCAGAGAGUUUUCUCCGCCGGUUACUCUUGAGAUACGGUGUAGUCUAGUAGACGAGACGGGUGUAUUCACAGUCUCUAGAGAGUCUUCUCCGCCGGUUACUCUCGAGCUACGGUGUCACCUAAUUAGACGGGAUGGGUGUAUUCACAGUCCCUAGAGAGUUUUCUCCACCAGCUACUUUUGGAGUAGGUUACGGGUUCGAUCCGACAGGCGAGACGGGUGUGUUCAUAGUCCCUAGUGAGAUUGAGUUAGUUGUGACUUUUACUACAGUUGGUUAGUGUAGAUCAUGCUAGUGUAGCGAUAUGUAGCGGUAGAUUUCUUUCCAGCUUUUCCUGCUAGCCUUGUUACCUUCUGUAGACUUAGUGGGUGGACCGAUGAUUGUUGAGGGCGGCACCCACUGAGGACUACUUGUUUCUACAGUAGUUCUCACGCCCAGUUGUUACUCCGUUUUUACAGAGUCUUCGUAUUCGGCUGCUGCUGUUGUUGGUCAGGAGCUAGGCAAGGGCAUCACGAGUUAGAGCCCUACCCGAGGAGCAGAGCUAGAGGCACCCCUACUGCAGGUAGAUGUUUUGGUUUGGGUUCAUGUACAUACAGACUUUUAACUCGCCAACGCGAGUAGCUUUGUACUCUGGGAUUCAGUGUAUGUAUAUGGAACUCGAUUUUUUUUACUUUACUAGUUCUUCUAGCAGCUCUAUACUACUGUUUGUAGUAUUGUAUAUUUUACAGGUACAGCUGUCACUUCGUAUACAGGAGAAAUUCCUUUGCAUACGGCGGAUUUGUCGGCGUGCCCGGGGAACGUGUAAUCCGGGGCGUGACACAUCAGCCCGUUACUUUGGUUAAAUUCUCAAACUCAUCUUUUAAAUAAUUAACUUAGACUUAUUGGUUCAUGAUUUCCCUUAUUUGAAUAAUUGAGAUUUUGUGAAUGUAAUAAAGGACUUACAGUUUUCUUUUGAGAUGAAAACUGUUUUCUACCCUUCGUUGUAGCAUGUUUUACAAGAAAAGGUUUUCGUGUGGAAAACAAUUUUUAAAAGGUUUUCUUCUUGGUUUUCAGGACUUAGUAUUUCAAAAUGAGUUUCCGGAUAGAAAAUAUUUUUAAACUAAUAGAUGUGGAUAUGUGAUUAUCUGUGAUGAAAUGAAUGUGAAUGGUGAAUGUAUGUAUAUGCUCAUAUGAUUGUGGUUGUAUAUUGUACUUGUGCGACGCCGUGCAAAUACAGGAAAGACUCUGUUCGUGUCAACAGCGGACUUCCUGUAUUUGUGGCGGAUCUGACAUACUCUGGGGUCAGGUGUUUCAAAAAAAAAAAAAAAAUUGGGUGCUUUUGCAUUGAUCGCAUUGAUUUUUAAGUCAAAUCGGGACCCCGGGGCGUGACAACUCCCUCCUCAGUAACCUAUACGAAUGAAAUAUGAUCCGGGUCAAUGUCGGCCCAGUUGAUCAUAUGGCCAAUUUCUUCUACAUUAAUAUCCACCAUCUAGACCGUCCCUUGGCCCUAAUUUCUUCCAUGCGAUCUCCGACACAUUGGAAAAGCUUCCCAUGCAAGGUGGACAGUACACAUUCGUUUGUGUGAAUCCAAUCAUGCGUAAGCAACAGAUUAUAGUGACUAUCUGCAUCCACUACGAAAAAAGCUGUUCGAAAGGUCUUGGAUCCUACGUCGUGAGCACACCCCUCGCCUGUUGACCGUUCCCAGUGAAAUAGGUCAUGGUUGUAUUAGUGGGCUUGAGUUCAUCCUCACUCUUGCCCAAUUGCUUGAAAAAUGAUGUAGGCAUGACAUUGACCAUUGCGCUACCAGUGACCAUAACUCGGCCUACAGGCCGUCCUUCUAUCAUGACCCUUAUGAAUAAAGGCCUGACAAAUCUUGUCUGCAAGGCCGAUGGCUUUUCGAAAAUCACCGUAUUGGCCGCUUUCGCAUCUUCAAGCUGAAGUUGAGCCACUGUAAGCUCUUUCCCAUUGUAAUCGGUUCUUCCAAUUCUAUAGAUUCUGCCUUGAAUGAGUGUGGUAGAGCAUAUACCAUGCUUAUAUCAGCCGAACUUUCUUCGGCCGAUUUUUCCUACACUUUUUGUUUCUUAUCUUCUGAUUCUUUGCUGCCUCGGCCAAAGAAUCACUUUCCGACCGAACCUCCCUCUCCUUGGGAGGUCACCUGUCUCGCUUGAUGAUCGUCUCUAACGAGGCGAUCUUCUCCUCCAAAGCCUUCCGAGUAACUUUCUUUGUCGGUUUACUCGGUGUCAACUGUUCAAUCUUGGAUUUCAACCAUGGUACAGGCCUAGAACCGCCCGCUUCAUAAUCAUUUUUCAUAGGCCGAAAAGACGGCUGUAACUCAAGCCAAUUCCAGACAUUCGGCCUCAUCCCCUUUGCUUCCCAAUGAUAUCUUGCUUGGCUUGCAUUCUUUGCUGUCGGCGAUUUUGAGUCUUCGUCAGCAUCGGCCCAUGCCAUUUGGUCGGUGCUUUUGCAGUGUACGUACCACUGAUCAAUUGGCACAUUGGCAGGCACCUUGAUGGUCAUGAGAUGUUCUCUCAUAAUUUCUCUUCUCUCCCACGGUCUCGGCCAAGGUUGAAUGCCGAGUUCGUUGACUAAUUUUCGACCGAGGAAUUCAAUGUCAUCCUCGGUCAUCCCCUCAAACUCAGGCUCAGGUCUCAGCCUAGCCUGAUGAUGCCAGUUAGGCCAAUAUCCCGGUUACAUUUGUUGUGCGCCGAAGGGCUUCUCAGGGUAGCUUCUUCUGCUCAUUCUUUCUUCAGUUUGACAAUUAUAGUAAUCAUCUAGGACCUUUUGUAUCACCACGUCUUUCUUAUCCUUUCUAGACUCCACUUUUUAUUUGGAGUCAUUCGAAUCUUCUUCCGAACAGUCGUUCGGAUCAUUUUCUGCUUCAGAAAGAUCUUUCCAUUCUUCAGGGAAUACCAUAAACUCCUUCCAUUCCCCAUACAGUUUCUUCUCUUGUAUAAUCGCCUCCCAGUCACGGCGAGUCAUCUCGGCCUUGCAUCGUAUGCACAGCCGAAGAGAUCUCUUGGUAUUAGCAAUGUCUUGAUCAACUUUUCCCUCAAAUGAUGCUUUCCCUUUGAUGUCCACCAUGUUAACCUAUGAGGGAAAAAGAUUUUGAUCAACUUCUAUAUUUUUAUUUUCUUGGUCAGCAAAUAUGAGCCGACCUUCAUUAAUCUCUUUUUGAAUUUGUCUUUUGAAGGCGAUACAUUCAUUAGUCCUGUGGCUCCACGAGUGAUGCCACUCGCAAUACUUUCUUCUUUUUAAUUCUUCUCCGGAAGGUAUUGUUUGACCUUCCUGAAGCUUAAUUCUGCCAUCCUUUAACAACCGAUCAAAGAUCAUAUCGGUCUUUAAGACGUCAAAAGAAUAAGUAUAUGCAAAAACGGGCGCUUUCGCUUCGCUAGUUCUAGCUGGCUUCAGCAGCGCACAUUUAUAAAGUUAUCAGUUUUUAACCAUUUGCGCUGCAUAUAUUUCAGCCUCAUUAGCCGAAUCUUCAGUUCCACUAGAAGUAUUCGGCUCAUCUUGAGCCGAAAAUUUCUCAACAAAAGAGAUAUUUUUCUUUUUCCUCUUAUUCCAAUCCUUACUUCGGCUCCAUCUUGGCCGAUCCUCAUUAUUGUCUUUCCUGAAUUGCUCAUAUUGAGCAAUCCGGACGCCCAAGUCGAACAGAUUUGGGAAAUACUUAUCUUCAAAAUGAUCUUUAAUUUUGAAGCGCAAACCAUUGAAUGUCAUUUUAGCAAAUUCUGAUUCUGGCAUUCUAACGAAACAACGACUUCUUGCCAUUUUGAAUUGGUUUAAAUAUUCCUCUACCAAUUCCCCCAGCUUUUACCGAUAUUGGGCUAAAUCAGGGACCAAUAAUUCCGGCUCUGAUCUAUAAAAUUGCUCAUGAAACUUUCUCUCCAAUUCAUCCGUCUUGGAUAGAAUUGGCGGGUAAACUAGUAUACUAAGUGAAUGCCGUCUUAGUUAACGACGUGUUGAACAAUCUAAGUUUAAGAAACGGAUCUACGGCGGCCUCUCUAAGGUGGCCUCUCUAUUAUUGGGCCAUAAACCGCGCCACGUGUUCGACCAUGUUUUCGGUCUCAGCGCCCAAAAAUUUGUCGAAUUUUGGCAUUUUUCAAUUUGUUGGGUAAGAAUGUUCUAGAUCUAUGUUCGCAGGAUAAGGAGACCUAUAGCCCCCACUCUGAAAGUAUUUCGAAUGGCUUCUUCAAUCUGAGCGUACAACUCAUUAUUGUUUCCUGGUGCGGGAAUAAGAGCCUGUGCCUGAACUGGGUUCUAUCCUGGAGGCACCCAAUAUUUGUGCCGCAAGAUUCAUACCUUUCAUCACAUUGGGGGCUUGCCCCCUAGGCCUUACCCCUAUAUUCUGGGGCUGGUAAGCCGGUAAUGGCGGUGGAGGAAGUAAACCCCACGCCACUUCCAGCUAUUGACCGGUAUUUGCAUUCGCCAAUCUGUAGGCGGCUUGAAACGGUGUUACCUGAGGCUGCGUAAUCGCCGGUGUAACUGGAUUUUGCAACACCUGCGUGCCCACAGGUCCUGGCAGGCCCGCAGAUGGUUGUUUGUUUCGAGUCAAUAACUGCCCAAUCCGCAUAUGGCUGAAGAGCCGAAAUACUUAUAUAUUGCUCAGAGUUGGUUGAGAAAAGAGAAAUACAGAACCAAAGUAUGCCACUACAGUGCACACUCCCGAAAGGAAAUCUAAUCCUACAAACUACCCCUAGGAAAAGCAGUGAAUGCGAGGAAAAGAGAAAAAUUACAGUUAGACUACUCCUAGAAAGCAAGAGAAAAUGUGUGGAAUUGAAAGUGGUCUUCUCGUUCGCAGAAAAAAAAAGACCCCUCUAUUAGGCGUCCUCUUUUUAUUUAUAGCUCUGCCUGCUGGUUAUUCAGUUAUUUUCCAUUAUCGGCCACGUUCCUAUUUCUGUGGGCUGAGUAACUAGGCCAGGUAACUGAGUCCGUUAUACCCACUCUUCAGUUUUAGACGCAUCUUUUCCCAAUUCCUGUCGCAUCAUAUGUGGUCUAAUAGCUGGCUUCAGGGGUCGCUCUCGUGGUACACUUGGUCUACCACAUGGCGCAAAUUUUGUGGCAUGAACUACAUUGCAGUUUUGGAAUUUUAGCUAGCAGGGAUUUAAUGUACCUAAAUUGAGAGCCAAAAGAACUCUAUCCUGGACCUGCAGCUAAUUAACCUCGGGUUUCCAAGAAUAUUUUUUUGUGAGAUAGGUAGCACGCUACCCGCUUCGUUUAUUUCAUUUAGAAAUAAACUUAGCUAGAAAUGUGAAUCAACUAGGAUUCGAACUUAGGUCUCGGGUACCAACCACCAAGAUUAUUGAGUUACCAUCUGAGGAGAAAAGAGAACCUUUAAAAUUUUUAAUAUAAUAGAACGGACUUUUGUAGUUUAAUUACUUCAUAAACCAGAAUCAUCUACGUUAAAGUUGCACCAUGGGAGAAAUCCACAAAUAGCCAAAUAGAUUGUUAAAGUUGUACCAUGGGUAGCCAAAUAGAUUGUCCUCAUGACAUAAUUUGUCCGCACUGCUCACUACUAUUCUGUACAUACCACGAAAGGGAAAGCUCCAAAACACUCCGGUGUUUUAGAAGAAUCAUAGCCAAUGCAGUCUGCCAUCAAGAAACUGCUUUGUCAAACCAAGCCUCAGAAGCCUGAGAAUAACACACGGAAAUGUGAUUGCAGUUUGUGAUCAAUAAGGGCAUAAUUAUUGAGAGGAUGAUUUGCAUAAGUUUGACUGCAACAAAACAAAAUUAACACUUACUGUCACUUUCCAAAUGUGGAAAAGGUGAAAUUUUACUUUUCUUAGCAGGACUAAUUAAAGAUUUAAGGGAAAUCCUCAUAAAUUAGGAAUGUACAUUUGAUCAUUGUUGCUGUAGAUACAAAAAUCUCAAGGCUGUAACACUGAAGAAGUCCAAAAUUUUAUCCCUAACGAAAUCCAAAAAGAAAAAGUAGGUAGCCUUGGUUCUCUACAAGAUUUGAGAACCCUCCCAAAAUUUCUUCCUCACGAUUAAAACUCUUUCUUCUCCGGAGGAAAGAGCAUCAACUUUUGGCUCCACUUCUGAUGACCAGUCAUCCCAUCUCAAUGCUGCCAACAACCUCUUGAUGUACUCUAUAACAGGAACUUUGUCCCUGAUAAUGGCAAAACCAAGAGGUCGCAGCAUCCGAUCCAUGUCGAUAAGUAGAUCCUCCAAACUACAUCCUUGUUUCUGUAUCUCAGAGAACAAGAGCCAAGCAUGAAGCAAAUCAUAAGUGCGUGGGUAAGUCGAAAACGACUCACACCUGCAUUUAAGAGAAAUAAGAACAAUUUAACAAGCAUCCGAAGUAACUCACACUUGAAUUUAAGCAAAUUAUAAAUAAUUGAACAAGCACUUGCUGCUGUCCAACAAGGAAAACAAAACACAAUUUGGAAUUUGUCCUAUAACAAAAGCCAUUUGUAUAAAAACAAGCAGACGAAAGUUCAGAUGGACCAGGAAGAUAGUAGAACUUUUAUCUCAAGGGAAACCAAAAGUCAAAUCAGGAAACUCGACAAGUUCAAGAAAUAGAUCAGCGCCAUGUUGAAAGGUAUAGGUUGUUUGGUUUGCACGGACCAUGUAAUGACUGCCACCAAAUAAAAGAACAGUUCAAAGGUUAAUUAGGGGUGGCAAGGCUAUUCAUUGUGUGAAACGGAAAAUACAGAAACUUGGAAUUAUCACUGAAUUAUCACUCUUAAGUCUUGAAAUUCAUUAGACAAUGAUAAGGCGAGAAGCUUGUAAAUAUGAGAAUGAUGGGAAAACUUCUAGAGUAGCAGCAUGGUUAUGGAGGGAAUGAAAGACUUCAUUAAGUUUUUACACAAUGUAUGCUUGAAAAGAACGUGAGAAAAGAAAACAGUAAGAAAUCAUUCAGAGAACCUAUUUAACAGUUCACUGCAUCAACUGUGCAUGGUCAAACUCAUUGUUUAUAUUCUUAUACAAGAACAUAGGCCCGAUGCAGUACCGUUACUCGAUCCCGGUAUCGGUACUCACCAACAGAUACCGGUACUCAACACAAAGAUGCACAAACCCGAGAGCUCCCCUUCGUGUAAUCCCUCUAGUGUACCGGUACACCUCUCAGGUACCGGAACACAACACUCAAAAUCCUGCUUCUACAGAUUUUAGUGUUCGAACUCCAACUCGCACAGCUCUGAGUCCGUUUUUGCGCCUAUUUCAUGCCAAAACGCUUCUAACUCGUCCCGACACUCUACAGAUGUAUCGACAAGUCACUGAUGCUGCAGUCAGUCCAACAGCUAAACUCCAGAGACGCUAUAUUCUCCCCCACUACAAAAAGUUUCGUCCUCGAAGCAUAAAGUCAUACCGACAUAAGAGAAUAUGAUAACUUAAGAGAAUAUGGUAACUCCUACCAGUGUCAGCUCAUGAUAGUGCAGAAAUCACUAUCUGUGAGAUCUCCUACCAGAAGAUCAACUAGUAAAGAGUCUUAAUGGCUAAUAUAAUAUUAUUAUGAUUAUCAGAAUUUUAGAAGAAAGCAAAACCAUAAAAAGUUAGGCUGCAAGAUAAAAACAUAACUUGAAAAAAAAAAUGAAAUUUAUUUGGCGGAUCAUGACAUGGAUCUUACAUAUCAGAAUUAGUUGAUGGUCCAAAAUUUAAGCAAUCUGUUGAUUUUUAUAUUCCUUCAACAUUUCCGAAAAUAUUCGAUGAUAUUGAUUUUAGAGAGUCAUAGGCCUGCUAUCUCAGUCCAAUUGUUAUUGUAAAGAUUUAUGUUCAGCCUCAAUAAUGAGAGCAUGAGUAGUUUCACUGCGGCUUAAUCAUUACACACAUACACCAUCAAUAAGGAAUUGUGUAAUGAACCAACAGAGUUACAUGGAGCUGAAAGUUAGGAACAUACCAGUCAUGAACAGUUCCUAUUAAACCUCUGUCAUAGAUUAUCUUCAGUUUCCCAGAUUCAACAGCAGGAACGACAUUCAUCACCCAGACAUCUUUAUUUGUGAGUGAUGCUGCAAAACCCCCAACGUUUGCCCUCAUAUCCAUAACAUUUCUAAACAAAUCCUUUUCUAUCUCAGAUUCCAUUUGCUUCCAAUACUGUGUCACCCUAUAGUGCCAAAUCUCCUGAUUUAGCCAAUAAGUACAUGAUUUCAGGCUUGGAAUUUGAUAACAAAUGAUUGCAUGAAGGAAACUACGACAAAAGAAUUAUAACUAUACCACAUUUCACUCACAUGGUCUUCAAAGAACUUCUCAGGACUGGAUCCUAUCUCUUCUAAGCGAGGGGGUGGUGCUGUAAGCCUUUGCGGCCAUGGAAGCAGUUCACUGCCUUUUGCCCUAUGAAUUCCUGCUCCAGGGUAUAAAAAAAUAGAAUAUUGUUAGGCCUCACAAACUAUAGCAAGGCAAAGCUGUAAGCCUGUAACCAGCAAAACCUUCUGUUUAAACAAAAUUUCAAGCAGAAAGAAAUGUUAAGCUUCAAAAUAUUUAGGACCUUCCAAUGAAAACUUGGUAAUUUCUAACAACACAAAUGUUCAAGCACUUAGUUCUUUGACACCAUGUGUGAUACCCAAUAGUCUUGCAUCAGAUAAUGUGGGCGAGUGUGAAGGGCUAAUAUGUGACGGAGAUACUAGAAAUAAUAAAUAGGCUCCAGCAUUUUAGGCUAGUGGUUUUGACCCUAUGAGUAAUUACAGCUAAUGGGAUAGGUUGUCACAAUUGGUAUCAGCGCCAGUUCACCAGCCGGAAGUGUGAGAUUAGCCUUUCACAUCGUCUGGUGAUCUUGAGUUACGUCUGUGAUAGGACUGUCAAGUACAUCAAGACCUAAAAUGAGGGGAGUAUUUGACACCCCAACAGUCCCACACAUAGUUACCUAGAAUAGGGUUCGAUGUGGUACAUAGUACUAGGCCAUAAUUUAUCCGGUACCCAAUAUGAAGGGGGUAGGAUUGUGCGGAUUGCUACUUCGAUACCAAUUGGGGUUAGGGUAUUCUACUAAAUUUAAAUUUUAAAGCUCGAAGUUCAAAUAUCCAAAUACUGAAGUCCAAAACAACAAAGCUAACAACACAGACACAAAUAUAUCAGAAUAACAAUCCAAUUCCAACGCAAGUGGAUAAAGAAAAAAAAAACCUAAUUUUUUAUCACUUAUUCAUCUUUCCUUUGCCUUUCCCACUGCUUGCUGCAAAACUUGAAAUACUUGUCUGAUGAAGUCCGAUGCGACAAACUUCUUGCGCCUUUCCAACAACAGAUGACGUCUUUGAAGUCUAACUUCCUUUGACGAAUUUUUUUUUUUAUAAAUAAGCUUACUCAAAACUUCUUUUAUAAAAAUAGUCCUCUAAAUUUUAUUACAAAAAUAGGCCUCAAAUAGGCUAGGUCAGCGCGGAUAUGUAAAAUCUUUAUAUGCGGUGAAUGGUUCACCGCAUUUGUGGGACUCGGGCAAGCCUGGAAAAGUGCGUGAAAAAUUAAGAAUGUAGUAAAUUUGUUACUGCGUUCUCUUAAAGGCGGUGAACAGUUUACCACGUUUAAAGACGGUCAACCGUUCACCGCAUUUAAAGACGGUGAAAGAUUCACCGCCUUAAAAUGCGGUAAACCGUUUACCCCUUUUAUAUGUGGUAAACAAUUCACCGCCUUUAAUUAGAAUACACGAGCCCCGCCCGAACCCUUCUCUCCCCGAACCCUUUCUCUCUGACUCCUCUCCCCGAGCUCCUCUCUGUCCCCCUCACUCCUCUCCCUCACUCCGCCCGAACCCGACGACUCCGACGCCGCCGUCGCUGCAGCCGUCGCCGGCGUCGAAGCCUCUGCUGCUGCUGCCACCGCCAAGGCCGCACGAGCUCCAAGGGGAAAGGGGAUACUAGGUGAGAGCAUUUGAUGGAGGACAGCGUUUUGGGACAAUGACGACAAAUCGGUCGGAGAGUUUAAAUGGAGUGCUUAAAGGUGUACGUGGUUUACCUAUCACGGCAUUUGUGGCCGCUACAUUUUAUAAGGUGACCAAUUAUUUUGUUAAGCAUCGUGAUAAAGGUGAGACAUACUCUACAGUAUUGGUACCAAAACAGGAGGCGCUAAUUAAGAGUUGUAUGAUAAUCGCAAGAAGACAACAUGUGCAUCGCUUCGGAGUAAACGAGUGUCAAAUUACUACCGGAAAUGAACAAUUUGAGGUGGUUCUUGAUGGAAGAAGCUCGACUUGUUCAUGCCAUGAGUUUGAGCUCACUAGGUUGUCAUGCUCACACCUUCUAGCUGUAUGCAGUAAUGGUCAAAUGCACAUUGACUAUUAUAGUCUGUGUUCUGAAUGGUAUACAUGUGAGUAUUACCAUGGUGCUUACUUCCCGCAAUUUCACCCUGUUCCAGACAAAAAAAGCUGGCCACGCCCUCAAGGACCACCGCUGGCACCCCCACCUAUCAGGAGAAAGAAAGGCCGUCCGAGACCAACUCGUAUUCGAAACGCCAUAGACGAGAGAGAAGGAAUGCGAAGAACUAUGUGCACUAUUUGUAAAUAACAAGGACAUUAUAGGACUACAUGUCCAAAUAAUCAAGAUAGAACAAAUGAAGGCCGUAGACGUAGAGCUUUAGGUUGAUGACUUAUGUUUGACUACCUAUAGUAUUUCUUUUUUUAGAUUUAUCUUUUAACGUUCAAAUUAAUAGUCACUAAUUUGUAUACUUUAUUUUGCAGAUGGACGAUCACGAGGAUCCCAGGCCGGUUGAUCCAUCAAUUCUAUCAGACCAGGCUAGGCAUCAUUUGAGAUACGUGCGAUCAGAGGUAUGUUAAGCUAUGCAUAUACAAAGAAGUUUGUAAUUUAAAUACUUAAAUAGAAAAUUUUUAAAAAAGUGAAUAAACUUUAUAGGGGUACGCGCCAGUUCAGUUUACGGAGCAUGGCCGUAAACUGAACACAUGGACAGUCAAGCAUCCGGAAGUGAUAGACCAUACGGCAUGCUAGAUUUUUCUACGUCUCCCGCCUCAGACGAGUACAGCUUGAUCAGGCUCUAUUAGGGGCGUUGAUAGAGUGAUGGAGGCGCGAGACGCAGACAUUCCACCUACGAUACGGAGAGAUGACAGUUACGCUACGUGACGUGGCCGUUACAGCUGGACUACGAGUCUCCGGGAAGCCUAUUACGGGACGUGCUUCAUUUGAUUUGCCGCAUACAUGUAAGCUCCUUAGGAUGAUGUCGUCGACGGCCAGAUCCGCUUGGAGCGGUUGUUUCAACAUUUCCGGCAUGUUACUUUGGAUGCUCCGCCGGCCAUGGUUGCAACAUCUGCACGAGCAUACAUUUUAUUUCAAAUUCGAUGCAGUUUAUUUCCUAACCCCACCGGAUAUCGAGUUCACCUCAAGUGACUACCGCUACUUGAGGAUUUUGACUUUUGCGGAGGCCUAGCUUGGGGCGCAGCUACCUUGGCCCAUCUCUAUCGGGCAUUAGGGAAUGCCUCUAUGAAGGGAAAGGCCGAGUGUUGUGCCUUUGGUACACUACUACAGGUAAAAUCACUAUUUCACUAGUUAUCGCAAUGUUAACUUAGUUUCUUUUACUAAUUUUUUAAUUAACUUUUUUUAUUCUUAGAUCUAGGCAUGGAACCAUAUACACAUUGGACGUUCCGAUCGAGUUGGAGCUCCACCGGAUCUCCAUGAUUGUCCAUUAGGUUGUCGAUAUGCAAUGUAUUUGCAUAUAAUAUAAUAAAAUAAUAAAAUUUGAUAUUGUAUUGAUGUAUUAUAAAAUAAUAAAAUAUAUUAUCACUUCUGCAGGUGGAACACGGGAUUGUGAUUUCGUGGAAAUGUCAGGGUGACUGAACUUGAGUUUUACCGCGAUGAGCUAGAUCAGCAGAGAGUCACAAAUACGUAUAGAUUUCAUGAAUUAAAUACACGCACAUACAUUCUAAAAUUUUACAUUCAUUUUUUUAAUACACUUGUACAGGUUACAUGGAUGCCCUACAUGGAGGAUGUUUUGAACGGUCUUCCUGCAUUUUGUCUCGAGGGCUCUGCAGUCUGGCGUUCGAGAACUUGCUUGAUAUGCUAUCAUAUUAUGGAGCUACAUCUACCUAAUAGAGUCCUGCACCAGUUUGGAUUGCUGCAGCAUACACCGGAGCCCGUUGAAGCUAUAUAGAGGAUCACAUCGCAGGGUAGAUCAGGCGAGGACUGGGCAGCGUUUCAUGCUCCAUAUAUUCAGCGAUGGGCAGAUCGUCAGGAGCAUAUUGCGGAGCAAAGUCCUUUUGUCUAUCCAAAUCCGUUACGAGCAACCUCUGUGUACAUGAAGUGGUAUUGGGGGAUCACGAGGUGGAUUUCUCGUCCUGUACAGCAGCCUCUACUUACUUUUCUGCCGCAUAGGCAUGUCAAGCGAAGAUUGGUAAGAUAAUUUUAUUUUAUAGUUUGUUUUAUUAUAAGGAUAUUCAUUAUAUAUAAUCAUGUAUUUCUUUACAGGUGGAUGCUAUGCGGCAGACUUAUAGCAGCAUUGGUCAUUUGAUGGAUGAUCCUCCGGAGCCAUCUAAAAUGAUUGAUGCUCUAGCACAUGUAGGUAGGACCUCGAGAGUGUGUUAGAGAGCCUUCCGACAUUACCCGUGACAGGGCAUCCGGAUAUUUAUUCUCCGACUUUUGCUGAUUACAGUGAUAUUCCCUCCACCUCCACGCCUGCAUAUGAUUUCGAUGAUAUUCCCUCCACCUCCAUGCCUGCAUAUGAUUUUCCAUCAACAUCCGUCCCGAUUCAUCCAUCUGAUGUCCCUUCGACAUCGGAAGUACAGUUUGAUAUCCCAUUGGCAUCCAUCCCUCUAUUUGAUAUUCCAUCAACGUUAGAGGUAUUCUAUUUUGAUAUUCCAUUCACAUCUAUCCAUCCUUCUGACAUUCCAUCCACAUCGCAGGGUCGUCGCGAUGUUGGAUAUCGACGUAGGCCACGAUGACAGGGUCAUAUUGAGACGCAGGUGGGGAUACUACCAUCGGCUGUUGAGCAAGAGAUGGAGCCGAUUGUCGAGAGCAUCGCCAUCGAGCGUAUUAAUCAGAUGUAUGUCAUUGAGCCCGUGCAGCCUGAGAUAGAACAUGACAUGCAUAUUCGAGGACAGCGUCGAGGAUACGGCCGUGGACGCGGACGUGGACGUGGCAGCGGACGAAGGCGAGAGAAUAGGAGUGGGAUGGAGGGGACUUGAUUUUUUUUUAUCAUUUUUGGGAUUCUCAUGUAUAUUUGAUAUUUCAGAUCUUUUCUACAUUGAUUUUUUAUAGUAUUAUUUAAAUUUAUUCAUAUUGAAGUGUGUUGAUAUUGGUAUAGCUCAUUUUAUAUGCUUAAAGUGUGGUUGAAGUUGGUAUAGAUGAUUUUAUGUAUUUAUUCGUGUAAUUGAAAUGCUUGAAAACAUUAUUAUUUUGUAUAAUGUGGAAAUUUUGCAAACUACUUGCUGCUUGGAGUGGGUAAUGCUAAAUGCGGUGAACCAUUUACCGCAUAUAAAAGCGGUGAAUGUUUCACCGCCUAUAAAAGCGGUGAAUCAGGCGGUGAAACAUUCACCGCGUUCAUAACUAUUAUACCUACGCAGGGAAGGGAAUUACAUAAAGGCGGUGAAUGGUUCACCGCCUUCAUGGGAUUUUUAAAACUUUAUGAAAGCGGUGAACCAUCGUCUUCACUUGAAAGCGCUAAAUGGUUCACCGCUUUUAUCGUCUACCACCAUCUCACUGCUCACGUAGCAGUUUUGAGCCUAUUUUCGUAAAUACAAUUUUCGGAGGUCUAUUUCUAGAAUAAAAAGUUUGGAUGAGAUUAGUUGGCUAAAAUCCCCUCCUUUGACAACUGAUAGCAGCACGUUAUGAUGCUUCAUCUUCUUUUGGAUAGUUGAUUUAGUUCUCAACUUAUUUACCUUCUAAUGAUUUCCACCUCACAUCUGUGAACCUCGCAAUAGAAUCAUCAAUAUAAUUUUCCUCCAGAUCAAAGUCCAGUUUGUUGUAAGGCUCACCCCGGUAACUUUCAGUGAAGAGAGAUAAAAGACGAAGAUUAGAAUGAAUGAAUACUAAUUUAUCUGCUCUUACAGAGAAUAAGUGCUCCAAUUUCGCUUUGCCGAUUAACUUGUCAAUAGAACCUUCAACUUCUGCCAACUCCAGAGUUCUCGAUCCAUAAGUAGCCUACCAAUCUAUUGCAUCCAAUGUCACCACAUUAAUUUGAGCUGCAGCCUUAGAAUAAAUGCCUUUACAUGAAUGGAAAAUAGCAAUUGCUCAUGAAGUAGUUUUGCUUCUCCCUCGUUUUCUGCUAUUUCGCUAAAUGCUUUCAUAAACCCCCAUAAUCACUUCCUUAUCUUCAUCUAGAGCUCUUCUAGUUGUCCCUUCAGGUACUAAUGAUGCCAAGUAUCUCGAAUCACGAAAUCUAGGGGACAAUGCAAAACCAAGGCACUGUGAGGGAAUUGACAUUUUCUCCCACAUUGCAAGUACAUGGUUAUUUUUGUCCAUUACAUCUCUUAUUUCUUCAAGUGUGUUAUUCUCAUAUAUUUUGCCAUCUUUGGGCCAUCAGCAUCAAAAAACUUUAUCAACAAACAAAUUGGUUUUGUAAUAGCCAAUAUAAUCUACCUCAUCCCAAUAUUCUUCACUCCCUAUGGUUUCAGCAUUUAAAGCUCCCAUUUUUCUUGCAUGUUCAUCUCCCUGUUUCACCCAAUCUUUCCGUGUUUUUAGUACGACAUUUGUUGCUAGGGCCUCUCUACAAUCAACCGACCAUUUCAAUAAAAUAUAAUGAGAGGCAAAUCUAGUGUUGGCUACCUUUAAAAGUUCCAAUCUAGAAUCUGAUCAAAAAAUGAUGAGUGCAUGUGCGUGAUUUAAAAAAUACUUUACGAUGCUUUUUCUAGCUCUAUAUGUAUUUUCUAUGAAGCACAAAGACUUCAAAUUUCAUGCUGUACCCAUAUCGAACAAGUAUUGGAUACCGAUACACGCCCGUAACGGGAAUGAAGUAUCCGGCAUUCUUAGAAAAUAGAAAAAAUAUUAGAUACGGCUCGGAUGCGGGAAGGAUACGGGGAGAUACAGCUAGAUUCUUUUUUGGUCUAAAAUGAUCGAAACUUAGAAUUUUUCAAAAUGCCCACAUCCAAACCUAUUAGAAAUAAGGAAAAGAGUGAGAAAAAUGCCUAUCUCUAUUCAAUUUGUCAUUUCUUCUAUCUUUUUGCUUUUGAAUGGUUGAAGGCACUUCCUCUCGUUCCUCCAUACAGUAUUAGUCAUGGUUCGGUCCUUUACCACUUCUCUUUUACUCUCUUUCAUCUAAUUUGUCAACCUAGUAGUAAGCAACAAAGGCUAUAAAAAAUUUUUUUUUUUUUCUUCUAUUGAAUUGUUAGCAUAUUUUCUUUUAUUACUGUUCUAAUAAUAGAACUAGAACUAACAAAACAAAUAUAUAUGUUGAGUGGCUAGUUAUCUAGUUUGUGUGACUAAAUAUCUAUAAUUAUUAUUUGAUCAAGUUGGUUGAUAUUUUCUGUAUUAUUAUUUCAUACGAUUGAUUAUUUUUCUUUAAUGAACAGUUGUAAAAACAAUUAUACAAUUUAAUGUAUAUCAAAAUAUAUUCAUUAAUAUAAUCCAGAUAUCUUGAUUGUUCUCGAUACAUUCAUUAUAUAUACAAUCAACAUAUAUUUAUGUAUAUUUAAACUAACAUUUUACUCAAGUAUACGAGCGUAUCGUAUCCUAGAAGUUUUAGAAAUUAUCGUAUCACCGUAUUCGUGUUAUGUCGUAUCCACAUCCCCUAUCUGUAUCUCCGUAUCCGUAUCUAUGCAACAUAGUGUAUUUCUCAACCACUCAAAUUCUUUUGCGAAAUCUUUAAGAAUAAGAUUUAAAGAAUGAACAACACAAGGGGACCAAAAUACAUGGUUGUGUACCUUUUCUCUCUUUUCUGGUAAGCUUACAAUGUGCAACAUUGUCUAUUAUCACUUGAAGAUUAUGAGGCCCGGCCUCUUCUUUUGAUUUUUUAAUAAAAAUUCUGCAACAGCUAAACCCGUUUUUUCGACUCCAUAAAAACCCUCUGCAUAUAGAAAGUUAGAAACAUAGAUCCAUGACUGUUCACAGUAAGGGCAUUGAUUAGAGAUUGAUUUUUGCAAUUUGUCCACCCAUCAGACACAAUAGAUACUCUUUGCGAAUACCAUGUGUCCUUCAUUGGGAUAAAGUCUUUUUCAAUGCUUCUUUUCCACUUAUCUAAUAAAGUAGUUCCUGUGAUGCAGAAGCAGGUGCAGAUAGGAUUAAUUCGUUUAGAUUUUAAUUUUUUCUAAUUUUCGAAAUUAUUUUCCUUGUUAAUUUGUUUUAGUUGUUUUUAAAGAUUUUUUGCAGAAUUUAUCAUAUGGAAUAAAUCUCUAAAAAUUACCGAUAUAGUUAAGGUUUUUUAGAUAUAUUCAAAUUAGGAAAGAUAACUAAAAUAAUGGAAUUUGAAUUAAAUUAGGAUUAUGCUUUGAAAAUUAUAAAUAUAGCCUAUGCCUUGUAAUUUAGAAAAGUACUACAAUGGAAUAAAAUUUGGGUUUUGUGUUUUGACUGCGGCCAUGGUAUCUCCUUACUUUUCUGUCUUAACCUAUCAUGUGUCCCGGCAAAAUUCUUUUUUCUAAGAAGCUCUAUCUUCUCUUCCUCUUCUUGAUCUUUUCUCUUUUAUCUUUCUUCUAAAUUUGGAUUUUUUCCUAGUAUCGGCUAUUUUCUUCAAAAAAAAAUUACAAAAUUACAAAAUAAAGAAAAUUGUCGGAACCUUCUUGCUAGAGUCAUACUACUUUUUGAUUUUUUUUCUUUUUUUAAAUCCCAAAAAUUGAUUUAAAAAUUCAUUAACUCUUUUAUAUAUUAGAAAAAUCUAAAAAUUAAUCUAAAAUUUUUAAAAAAAAUGAAAAUUUGGGUUUAAAUUGAUUUUGGACUCAUUACUUGCAAGAUAGAUUAGGGUUUUCCUAAUUUGUCCUGCAUCAUCUUGCCUAACGGAAUGAGAGCUUUAUACCCUUUAGGAGCCCUAUUUAUUGUCACAACAGCUUACGAAAUUGACUAUUUACAGUGCAUUGAAUGGUAUUCCAUUAGCACAUAGGCCCUUUAUUACUUUCAAAUGAACCAUAACCCUCUCUGUCAUAUUAAAAGAGUCUUCAAUUUGUUGAGUAGGCGAUGAUUUGUUGUCUUGUUAGUGUGGAAUUCUUCAAUGAUGCCGAAAUUCCUACUUUUUCAGCAUCUUCAGCCUUUUUCCUCACCCUUUCAUAUUUAGCCCUACCGUUCAUCAGAAUUAAACAUCAUGUAGACAUCGAGAAUAUUUUAUUGUAAAUUUCAUAAUAUUGGGAAAGCACUGUACAACUUGAAGUUGUUAAUGGAAUAAAAUCACCACUUUCGUAUCCUAAAUGUGCUGUGGGUCGUGAAAGAGACUUAUGUGCGUGUUCGUGCGCUGAAGUGUCAUCUUGAGGCGAUCAGAGCAAGGGAAUACGACGCAACCCAAGCUAGCUUUCCUUUAAUAAAUAAAUUCAAAUUCAAAUAUCUUGUUAUUUAGAAAUAGACUUAUUUAUGCUAAUAAUGCUACGUUAAGUUAGGCGUGAUUUAAGCAUAUGGGCUCUAUAUAAUUUAAUCCAGGAAACAAAGAAUAAACAAGCAAAAAUUCUCUUUUCUCUUCAUAUCUUAUCUUCUUCUCUCUACUUCUCCUCUCUAUUUCUCUAUUCUCCGAAGACGCGAUCCCUCGAAGUGAUCGAUUCGUUCUUUCGAUACGGUAGAACCGUAUCAUUUGGUAUCAGAGCCUUGACUCAAGCUAAAAAAGAAUUUUGCAAAGGAUGGAUAGGGAGUUUGUACGAAAAGAGGAAAUGAACGCCCAAUUCUCCAAUGUUGAUGCUCGACUGAACAAAUUGGAGACCGAAGUAAGGUUCAUUACCGAUUCUGUUAAUGAUCUCAAAAAUUUAAUUAUCGCUAUGAGCACGAAAAUGGAUGUGCGAUCGCAGGCACCUGUCUGAAGAUACAUCCACUUCAAGUUCCGACAAAAAUCAUCCCCUACUCCCUACCCCUUUCAAAGAAGGGACAUCAAUUCCUUCUACGAAAAACUCUAUGAUGGCGCUAACCCGCAUCACAUGACUCGGGAAGCACCCACAAUUUCAUAGAUCACAAUUUAACAAAGAGAAUGCAAUACCAUAUUGCUGAAGAGAAGCAUUUUGAGGUGAUGGUCGCCAACGAAGAUAGUCGCAAUUGGUGGUAAAUGUUUCAACCUAUUACUCUUGUUACGACAUAUUUAGUAUCUUAUGCUAUGUUAGGAUACUGUAUAUUACAACAUAUUUAUAGAAUUAAAUCGUAUGUAAUCCUAAUUAUAUUGUUAUUAUAGUAGGGAUUGUUACUAUAGUAGACUUAUCUCUUGUACUAUAUAAUUUCAUCAAUAGAACCCAAGAGGGUGUGCUCUUUUGCCCUUCUCUCAUGGUAUCAGAGCCACAAACCCUAAUCCGGGGAUAUUGAUCUAUAACCACCUUCCACCACAAAUCACACCUCUAUAGGUGUUUUUCUUCUUGUUAUUCUUAUUCUUGGUGUGUUGGUGCCGCUCGGCUCAUCUCUGGUGUGUUGCCUUAAUUGGUGCAACUGCCGAUCCCUUCUUGCUGUGUUGGUGCCGCUCGACUCAUCUUUGGUGCCGCUCGACUCAUCUCUGGUGCCGCUCGGUGCAUCCCUGCUGCAGCUGGUUCUCUCUAGUGCCGCUCACUGCAUCGGUGCAUCCCUGCUGCCGCUAGUGUCGCCCGGGUCAUCCUUGGUGUCGCUGGUUUCUUCUUAUCUCGUUGGUGCCGCUUGUCGGUGUCGCCUGGUUGAUCUCAAGUACCGCUCGGUCCUUCUCGAGUUCAACUCUGACUUACUUUUCCUCUUUCCUCUAGAUCUGUGAUUACUCGGUCUAUUUUUCGGAUUUCUCUCUCGUGGUGGAUCUUUUUUUUCCUCUUGGUGGUAACAUGUCUUCCUCUUCAAACCUGCCAGUAGUUAACAUCAAAACUCUCAUAUCACUUAAACUCACGGAUUCCACAUAUUUAGUAUGGAAACAAAUUUUUCUUAAUGUUUUGGAGAGUUUUGGUGUUACUUCGCAUGUGGACGGAACUGGUACUAUACCGUCUCAAACUAUUGAAACAUCUGAUAAGAAAACAAGUGCAAACCAAAAUUAUCAAAAUUGGAAAAAGGAAGACACUUAUACUUUCGUGGAUUAAUGCCACAUUUUCUCUUAGCAUAUUACAGAUGGUCGUUUCUAAUUCUCCUAAAACUGCAUAUGAUACUUGGAAAACUUGAAGCAUAUUUUCUUAAUAAAACUCUUCCACGGCUUUUUCUCUAAAGUUCGAAUCGCAAAGCAUCAAGAAAGGUUCAAUAAACAUAAGCGAUUACAUGCAAAAGAUUAAAUCAAUCGGUGAUGCUCUACAAGCGAUUGGUGAAACUGAGUGAGACCAUAACUUGGUCAUGACAGUUCUUCUCGGGUUACCGGAAGAAUAUAAGGGUUUUGUCAGCGCCCUUAAUACACAUCAACAUAAGCCCACUUUUGAACAACUUCGUCCACAUCUAAUGCAAGAGGAAACUUAAGUUCAACGUCGUACUAGUUGGACGACAUUACCAGCCAAUCCCACUAUCGAUGGUGAAGCUCUUUAUGCAAAUUGUGGACGCAAAAUCCGUGGAGGUCGUGGAGGCAGAUAUCGCGGUGGUCGAGGACAGCGCGAUAGAUUCAACUCAUAUCUUGGUAGUGGAUCUCCUGGAGCCUAUUCGCAUUCUCAACCUAAUAAUUCUCUACAACCCUAUACUGCCACCCAUCAACCUUACAUUUCAAAGUCUGGCACACAAUGUCAGAUCUGCAGCAAGUUUAAUCAUUCGGCUCUUUGGUGCAGACAACGCUUCAAUCAUUCCUUUGUUGUAGAUGAUCCUCAAACCUUUGCUGCUAUAAACAUUCAUGAACCUAGUGAGGAAGUGUGGUAUUCUGACACUGGAGCAUCUAAUCACAUGACCACAACUUCUAGUAUUCUCUUAACCUCUAAACCUUAUAACGAGCAUGAAAAAAUUCUUGUUGGUAAUGAAAAUUUACUUGAUAUUACUCAGACAGGUGAAACUCAGUUGCAUUCCUUCUCUAAAUCCCUUGCUCUUAAAAAUGUUUUUGUUGUUCCUCUAUUAAGAAAAAAUUACUUUCCGUACGCCAGUUUUGUCAUGAUAAUAAUUCCUUUUUGAGUUUGAUUCUUCUAGUUUUUCUGUGAAGGACAAGAAAACCAAGACGAAGCUUCUUCGAUGCCCUAGUUCGGGAACAUCACUCUAUCCAUUCUCUUCUAAAGUUGCGAGUGUCAGAAAUAAGCAACAGCUAUCACUGGUUGCAUCUAGGGUUAAUAGUGAUAUUUGGCAUAGACGAUUAGGUCACCCUAGUUUUUCUGUUCUUUCUACAUUCCUUAAAAAUAAUGAAAUUGUCUCGGAUUCUAUUUUAAAAUUAUCUGUUUGCAAUGCUUGUAAUAUGGGAAAACAUGUCAAACUUUCGUUUAAUGAUUCAGAAUCUCGGUCUGCUUUUCUCUUUCAUAUUGUUCAUUCGGAUGUAUGGCAAUCACCUGUUCCCUCACUCUCUAGCUACAAGUAUUAUGUUAUUUUUAUUGAUGAUUACUUUCGAUUCUCUUGGCUGUAUCUUUUAAAAUCUAAACACGAAGUUUUUGACAAAUUUUUGGAGUUCAAAAGAAUGAUUCAAAACAUAUUCCAUAGCUCGAUAAAAAUUUUUCAGUCCGACAAUGGCACUGAAUUUGUAAAUGAAAAGUUUUCUGCUCUUUGUUCACAAAAUGGCAUUAUUCACAGAUUUUCUUAUCCUUAUACUCCUCAACAAAAUUGUCUUGCUGAGAGAAAGCAUAGGCAUUUAUCUAACAUUGUUAGAAGCCUACUUUUUCAAGCUUGCUUACCUCCUAGGUUCUGGACUGAGGCCAUUCAAACUGCCGUUUUUCUUGUGAAUAGAAUUCCAUCUCUCACUGUUUUAAAAGGAUGAUCGCCAUAUGACAUUCUGCAUGGUUGUGCUUCUUUUGACUUGCAACUUAUUAGAGUUUUUGGAUGUUUAUGUUAUCCCGAUGUACAGGACAUUACAGCUCACAAGCGCGCUCCCGGUCACCUCCUUGUGUCUUCUUGGGACUUUCGAACAAACAUAAAGGAUUUCGCUGUCUAUAUCCAAGCACCGGUAAAGUCUUUAUUUCUCGUCAUGUUACGUUUGUUGAACAUGUUUUUCUUGCUCGUCUUUCUAAAUUUUCUUCCUCCUCGUCCUCUUUUUCCAACUAGCAAAUAUUUCAAAAUUUUCCCUCUAAUCCGCCUUUACUGGGUGAAAGUCCUGCCACUCUUGAUGCGAUUUCUGGCUUCACCUUCACACGUCCUCCUCCUGACUAUGGUUCACACACACCGGUUUCACCGUCUGAGGACUAAUAAUCAAUAUUUCCUUCCAGCUUGCAUUUUGACCCUCCACAAGUUGUUGGUCCUGAGAAUGUUGCCACUGUUGUCGGUCCAUCUGAACUCCGGGCCUAUACCAGACGCCACACCAGUCGGCCUGCUGCUCAUUCUCCAUCCGUUACUGAUGUGCCACCUACCUCCUCUGAUCAUCCACUUUCUCAGCCUGCUACUGUAUCCUCUCCUUCAUCUUCUGUGGCUCCACUCCCUGCCUGAACCCAUUCUAUAUUCACUUGUUCUAUAACCAAGGAUUUCACAGGGUCUACUUCCUUACUCGCUUCUGCCCGUUAUACUCUUUUUACUGAGCCUACCUCUUUUCAUGAGACUUUUCAAGAUGCAGGUUGGCGUGCUGGUAUGGUUGAAGAAUUUGAUGCCAUACUGACUAAUACUACUUGGGAUCUAGUUCCUCCUGCUUCUUCCGUUAAUCUCAUUGGCUGUAAGUGGGUAUAUAAAGUAAAGCAGAAGGAGAAUGGUUCUCUUGAGCGUCUCAAGGCUUAACUUGUUGCUCAGGGUUACAAACAACAACGAGGUAUUGAUUUCGAUGAGACUUUCUCCCGGUUUCAAGGCGAGCACUAUUCGUACUGUUCUCUCCAUGGCUCUUCUCUAGUUGGUCUCUGUAAUAUACCGAAACCCCGGUAGGCUAUAUCGGACUUUAGUCAAAUUGACCAAAGUUUGGUGAGAGAAAUGGUUGGACAAAGUCCAGUUGACACUCCAACAGUGUUGGAGGGGUUAGAGUUAAGUUCCGAAUGCGAUUGAAGGGUUUUAGCAUUGCUCGGCGAGAAAUGGAGCUUGAGCACUGCCCAAACUUCAGUAUGGGCACUGCUUAACCGGUGAAGCACCAGGGCGUACCGGUACCAGGCAGGCCACCCGAGAAGCCAGCUCUCGAGUUUGGCCUCUGUCAAGCUGCUUAACCGGUGACAGUCUGGGUAGUACCAAUACCCCGCAGCAACCCGAGAACAGCAGCUCUCGGGAUUGGGCUAUUGAACAGGGGCGUACCGGUCACGCCCACCCGCGUACCGGUACGCAGUACUGCGAACAGCAGGUUGAGUCUGCUGCAAAUAAAAGAAAAGUGAGGGCUUAAAUGCAAUUGUUGUGGCAUAUAAAAACCCCACAACCUCUCCUCUCUCAUUCACAGCAGUGAGAACACCCUCCUCACUCAUUUUUCUCCCUCUCUCUCUCUAGGAACUCUCUUAGAGGUGGAUCAAGAGGAGAUUUGAAGGUGGAUUUGGUGGAGAAAAAGGCAAAGGAGUGAAGCUAUCUCUUCUUCUUCUUCUUUAGCUCAAGGAAAGGAAAGCUCUUGAGGUAAGCUCCAUGAGCUCUCAUGAUAGAUGUCUAGGGUUUGGUUUAAAUGCCCUAGAAAUGGUUUUAGAUGGAUCUCUAGAUGAUUUUAAGCUUGUUUUUGCUUAUCACCAAGAUCCAUUUGGUGCUUAUGCUAUAGAGCAUUGUUAGGGCACCAAAAUCGAGACUUUUGUCAUAGAUGGGUUUAAAUGUAAAUUGACCUUGUAGAAACCUAAUUGAAGGUAUUUCCAACACGUUGGUGGACUCGGUUCGAAAAUCCGACUAGUCUACACAAAGGGAUUUGAGAAAAAGCCUAUUUUGGCUUCGUUUUACCGCAGGCGAGAGAAUAGGCGGCUAAAAAUCACCAAAAUUGAACCGUAGUACCUUAGCAACCAUACGAGGUGGGUGGUGCUUUCCGAAAUCCUCGAAUUUCCUUUUAUAUCUAAAAUGUUAUUUCUUGAGCAUACAUGUAUAUUGAGCUUCAUGCAUUGUAGGGUGAUUUGAGAGUAUAUUGUUGUAUAUUGUGAGUACAAAUGCAUAUGAGAUGAUUGUAAACUAAUAAGAACUUGUAAAACCCUAUGUAUGCAUGAAUGAUGACAAAAACCUAGUAAAGGCAAAGAAUCUAGUGACAUUGAGAACAAAUGACAUUAUGACAUCAAUAGUAGAGUGGCAUCAAUGAGUUUUGAAUGCUAGUGUUACAAGUGUGGCAUUAAUGAAAACAAUAAAUGCAUAAGAUUGAGUAUAAAGAACAUGUAGUGUGUGUGACACUAAUAAGAGUUAAAGAAUGCAAAAGAUGAGAUAGUUGACAUUAUGACACAACAUGGCAUAACAUCCUUAUAGUUAAGGGUCAAAUGAGCAUUGCAUCCUUAGAGUUAAGGAUUGGAUUGAACUUGGCAUCCUUAUAGUUUAGGAUUGGAUCAUACUCGCCUAUAAAUCUUGGCUCGAGGGUGGUAGCUCCACCUCGAGCGAUGAGCUCCGGAGUAGUCAUCACUGGGAUGGUGUUUUCCCCAGAUAACGGUCCCGUCGGGUUGUAGUAGUCUCCCCAAUAUUAGGGAUUUUGAAUUGGUGAGUUGCUUUGGGCAAAACCUACGGGUUAGCCAAGAGAUUGAGUAAUGGAAAUGUGAUCUUGCAUGCAUCAUGAACAUUCUAUUUGAGCAUUAUUGUUAACUAUAUCUUGUUCAGGCAUAUUAGCUGCAUUUGUAUAGUUUGGUUACUAUCUAUCUGUUUAUUCUUCUAUUAUGCCUGAUUUAGACCUAGUGGAAAAGUCGGCAAGAUCGGCGGUCGAACCCACUGAAAACUUUGUUGUAGUUCUCACCCCACGAUUUUUCACAGAGCCGGGACCGAGUGAGCCGGCCGAUGAUCGCGGUAAAGGUAUCGCGCCAUAAACAGUGACUACCCGAGUCGGGUCCAUAGUUAUUUAGUUGCAUUCCCUAUAUAUCAUCUUUUGUAUUUGAUGAUGUUAGUAUUAUGGAUACGAUAAAUGUUGUAAAGAGAGUUUAUAUUUUGAAAAAUCAUGUGAUGUAAAAGAAAUGAUAGAAAGAAUGUAAAUGUAAAAGUUGAACGCAUGUAUGCGGUUAAAAGUUAAUCAUUAUACUUGUAUGACUGUUUAGUUUAGAAUCUUUCACUUUUGGCUACUGCUUGCCCUCGUGCAAGCCAUGUAUGUAUGUAUGUUUCCGCUUGUGCAAUUUAUAUACUUGAUUUGUACUUGUGUUGAGCCUUAGGCGAACAGGGGAAGUGCUGUCCGUUCGGCGUCUGUUCAACGUGCCCGAACCGACCAAAUGGGCCGGUCCCCGGGCGUGACAGUUUCUUUGACAACUUGAUGUGAAGAAUGCUUUUCUUCAUAGAACUCUCUCCGAAGAAGUUCAUAUGACACAACCACCGGACUUUGUGGACCCCUCUUCCUCACCACGUUUGUCGUCUCCGCAGGCAAUCUAUAGUCUUAAGUAGGCCCCUCGGGCCUGGUUUCAGCUGUUCACUUCAUUUUUUUCCGAAAUUGGUUUUGUCGACAAUACUGCAGAUCCCUCGAUAUUUGUUUCUCAUUCCUCUUCUUUUAUACGUUGCUGAUAUUAUUAUCACCGAUAGCUCCUUUCUUUUGGAGGCCCUCAUUGUCAUCUUACAAUGUGAAUUUGCUAUGACGAAGGAUCUCGAGGCGCUCCAUUAUUUCUUGGGCAUUGAGGUUACUCUGUCUUCUUCUGGUCUUCAUCUAACCCAGCGCAAAUAUGCACAUUAACUAUUUCAGCGCCAUGGCUUUCUUGAUUGCAAGCCUGUUUCUAGUCCUCUCUCCGACAACUCGCCUCUCGUCUCAUGAGGGACGUCUUCUUAACGAUCCCUAUGUCUAUUGUCAGCUUGUUGGUGCUCUCCAGUAUCUCACCUUCACGAGACCGAAUAUUUCGUAUGCUGUCAACUUUGUUGCUCAGUAUUUCCAUACGCCUCGUGAACCACAUAUGCAAGCCGCCAAGUAUAUCUGCGUUAUAUCUGAGGCACACAAUCUUAUGGUCUUCUACUCUCUCGCUAUGUCAAUCCUUCUCUUGUGGCUUUUGCCAAUGCUGAUUGCGCUGGUUGUUUCGAUACACGUUGCUCUACUUCUAGCUAUUGCGUCUUUCUCGAGCCCGAUCUUAUCUCCUGGUCCGCUAAAAAAUAGCCCACCAUUUCUCGCUCCAAUUCUGAAGCGGAGUAUCGUGCUGUGGCGUACACGCUUGCUGAGAAUAACUGUGAUGCCCCAACUUUCCAGAUUCACCAGGCCCAAUCAUAUAGUCCCAGUGUAAGGAAGUGGAAUCUCGAAAUCCGAGAGUCACGCUUCAUUCAGGAUCGACUAUUUGUCGAAUGGAAUGGCCAUGGGAGGGCCAAGGAUGCCUAAAGCACCAAAAGUGCAUUAAGGUUAGAGCCCACGAGAGCAAACAGUGCAAUUCUACACUUGGCAGGAUUUUGCUCUCGGGGACCGGUCCCUGGGGUGAGGGACCAGUUCCCGUACGUGUAACCAGCGAGAAAAAUAAAAAUUUGGCUAAGUCCUGAGAGUUCAGCUCUCGGGGACCGGUCCCUGGAGACCGGUCCCCGUAACUGAGGGUUGCGUGGGAGGCCGAUGCAACCGGUCCCUGGCCAAAGGGAUCGGUUCCCGUAAGCUCCCCAGCCUGGAAGGCUCUCGGGGACCGGUCCCUGGCGUGAGGGACCGGUUCCCGUACGCGUGACCCAGGGAAGGACUCUCGGGGACCGGUCUAUGGUCGGGAUGACCGGUCCCUCUGGGCGAAAAAUGCCCAGUAAGAGGCAGUGCACAGGGACAAAAGGUGAGGGACUUAAGUGGAUAUUGUUACAAUAUGAGGAGCAUGGGACCCCUCCUCUCUCUCAUUCCCUCUCAUUUCCCCCCCUCUCUCUCUCUAGAAAGAAAAGGAGAAGGAGAAGGAAGAAGAAGGAGAAGAAAAGAAGAAGGAAAAGGAAGAAGAAAAAGAAGAAGAUCAAGCUAGAAGAAGCUUUGGACCUCUCCCUCUUCCUCUUUCUCUUUGAAGCUAAAUAAGAGGUAGGCUUCUAACCCUAGUUGUGAAAUUUAGGGUUUUUAGGUUUUAGCUCUUUGGAUGGGAUCAAAUGGAUCCCUAGCACCAUGAAUGGUGGAAUUAGAACUAGAAUCUAGGAUUUUUGAAGUGGGUUUGCAUAGUGCUAACCCUAGGGCACCCAAAUUAGGGCUUUUGGAAAAGUUGAGGAUUGAUCUCAUUUGACCCUCCUAUAACCUAAUUGCUAGGUGUCUAAAUGUAAGGGCGAAGUCGGAUUUUCGAUUCGUCAAGCGGGCGAAAAGAUAUUGGCGAAACAAGGCCAACCAAGCUUCAUUUCGACCUAAGAGGCCGAGAAGUCGUCGUAACGUCCGUUGGAGGGCAUUUCUAGAGCCUCCACAUCCUCAAGAGGUGGGGGGUGUCCAUCCAGAAGCAUUCGGGUUUCCUUUUAUGUCUAAGUUACUUAUGUUGAUCAUAUUGCAUUAUAGAAUUAAUAGAUGUAUAUUUCCUUUUCCUUGCAUGCUUCUUAGUAGUAUAACUUAUAAGUCGAACACAUGGACUAGGGUAGCAUGAGGAUUGGGUCUUGUGACAUGAAAAUCCUGUAAUGGCAUAAAGAGGCGAACUUGGACAUAGCCUAGUAGAGUGGCAUUGAACUAGUAUAGUAGAAACACUAAACAUGAACGAGUGGCAUGUCAACUAGCUAGAAAACUUACUACAAUGAUCGAACGAGUGGCAUCGGGUCUAGAGUAGUAAAUGUGACAUGGUUCUAAGGGUGGUAGAGACCCCGGCAUCUAGGAUGCAUUGUAUAUGGUGCAGCAGAGGCACUCUGACCCUUGUAGAUAGGGUAUCCUCUUAUGAGGAUUGGAUCAUACUCACUAGUCUGUUUUCGCUGUCGGUGGUCGCUCCACCGUGGCACUAGUCUCCGGAGUACUUUACUAAAAGCAGACGUAGUUGUCCCGCAGACGGUCUCGAUGUGCGAGUGCAGCUUCUCCUCACCUAUGAGAAUGAGAGUGAGUCGAGGGUUUAACCUAUGGGUUAGCCAAGUAGAUUGGGUAAUAAACAUGAAUAGCAAGUAGAAUUGCAUCAUUACCUUGAGUAGACAUAGUGUAUGUUGUAGAUUGCAUUGCUAUUCACCCUAUAUACUCUUGACAUCAUAUCAGCAUGAUAGUAGUUAUUGCAUAAGUAAUCUCAUUACUAUUGUUGGAGGCAUGAUAGAGUAGUUGCAGUUUAUUUCUCUAUCUAUCUAUCUAUCUAUUUCUCUAUCUGUGCCUGCUUAGACCUAGUGGAAAAACCAGCGGAGUCGGCGGCCGAACCCACUGGAAACUAUAUUUAUAUAGUCCUCACCCAGUGUGGUUUUGGAAGAUAGGUACACACAGAGGCGAGCCGCGAUCCCUAAGUGAGUAGUUAGUAGCUUUCCUUUUUGCAUAUAGAGUACCCUGGUGUACUAGAAGAUGUAUAUUUUAGAUAGGCAUUGGAAAGCUAUGAUGUAUUUUGGGAAAAUUAUGUAUUUACAUUUUGGAAGAUGAAAAUAUAAUAUAUUCAAAUAAUGUAAAUGUUGAAUGGUUGUGAUAGCUAUAUAUUUCUCUCUUUAUACACUUGUACAUUCACUCGUGGUUCUUGCUCUUAGUUGUAGUGCACUUGUGCGCAUCGUAUUUGAUCAUGUUAUUUAAGCAAUUCCUAGGCGCUUAAUUGUACUUGAUCAGGUUGUUUGGCCUUGGGCGAACAGGGGAGGUCCUGUCCGUUCGGCGUACGUCCGCCGUGCCUGAACCGGACCAAAUUGGUAGGGGUUUCGGGGCGGGGGCGCGACACCCAGAUUCACCAGGCAUUGUGAGAUCCAUCUUACACUUCCGACUGGUUAUCAGGCUCUAAUACCAACUAUGAUACCCAACUUUCCAAGGAGUCACCUAUCCUAGGACUGCUGUAGUCCUAGCACGCUUAACCCUCUUAACCUUUUCGGCCUAGCCACUGCCCAAAAUGCUAUAGCCUGGUUAAGAGGUUUUUAACUCUAUUAUAUCUUAUAUAUAGGACUACCUGGGAUAUUACAUUCUAUAUAACACUCCAAGAGCCCCACAUUGGAUGAUGUAAGAGAGUGUGAUGGGCUUAUAAAUGACGGACACACUAGUAAUAAUAACUGAGCUUAAGCAUUUUGGGCCAGUGGUUUGGAUCCAAUAAGUUAUUAUUGCUAGUGGGAAGCAGGGCUUUACAGUUAGUAUCAGAGCUAAUUACCAGCCAGAAGUGUGAGAUGAGUCUCGGCUGAGCCAGGUUAUACAGCGGGCAGAAUGAGACUUUGGCUGAUGACUGUUGUGGGUGGAGCGCGGCUCCACACAAGGUCAACUAAGGCUAGCGAAACGAGAUACUUAUGAGCGUGUCUGAGCCUGACAAGGACGUCAAGGCUUAAAAAGGUGGGAGAAUGUAAGACACCACCCUAGAUAGUCUAUAUAUAAGAUAUAAUAGGCUAAAAACCUCUUAACCCGGCUAUAGUAUUUUGGGCGGUGGCUAAGACCAAGAGGUUAAGAGGGUUAAGCGUGUUAAGGCUCGAGUAGUCCUAUGAUGAGUGACCUCCGGGAAGUUGGGGCAUCACAAUUUGAGUCGAGAACUUAGCAUAGUUGAUUUAUGUCAUUUAAUGUAAUAAUAGUACAUAAAUAUUGAUCUAUUGCUCCAUAGCUUGGUUUACCUGUGAUUUCUUGACAUAUCCCAUACUUGUCGGCAUAUGUUUAUAUAGUAGGAAAAAAAAUCUCGAAGUUGCAUUUAAUAGAAUCUUUGUGAAUGAUGCAAUUGAGGUACUUUGAUCAUGUGCAUGUGACUAUAGCUUACAAGAGCCAAAUUGAGCUCAACAAGCAUAUUUGCUCAUCGAGGGUCGCGCCCCCACGACUUUUUGCCCCCCUUGGAGGUGUAGCCACACGGUUAUGCUAUUGUUCGAACCGUUUUUUGUUUAGCGUCUAAGUGGGUUCAUGUGCGAUUCUUCGACAUUCCACUUCACACGGCGCAAGCUUGACCAGACUUUGAGUUGGUCAGUGUAAUUGGGUAUCAUCACAAAUGACCAUACCAAGUGAAAAUAGAAAUUGAUGCAUAUAUAAGCUAUGUCGUGCAUAUUGUAGCAUCAUUGAUACUUACAUAGAAAUUUGACACUUAUAUUAACUAAGUUGAACAUAUUAAUAAUGACAUAGUUAUUUUCAUGAAGACUUGAUGUAUAUGACAUUUAGAUAGAUUAUACCCUCGUACACAUUGAACCCUUCAGAGGCAUAAUAAUUGUUUUAUAUUCGAUCACCCGGUGUUUUUGUUAUCAAUGUUAUUUAAUAUCAUCUCCUCUUUACUAUUGUGCCUCGAUAAGUCCUAGCAUGCAGAGCGCCUCUCUCGGCGGUUGUACCUACUAGGAACUAUUUCUAAUAGUUCUUACACCCAUUGUUUUGAAUGUUUUCAUACCCAAAUUUAUAGGGAGAGCUCGAGGACGUGUAAAAGGUAUCUCGAGCUAGAUAGUGCAUUGUUCCUUUUUCCGAUAAAAGGUCCAAGAGGGUAACCCCUUAAUUGAUGCCUAUGAUAUGUACCAUGUGCAAAGAGUAUGUAUGAAAAGUUGAAAUGUAAUGUAUGCAAUGGUAAUAUCUAUGUAUACUUUUGGAAGGAAAGAUAAUGAUGCAGUAUAAUUGUAACGGUUCAAUGUAGUAUAUCAUUUUGGGAUAUGCAAAAUGGUAAUCGACGAGGACUUCAUGUGUUUGUAAUUACUUUACUUUCUUCGAUACUUGUCAACUCAUAUAUCUCCUUUUAUAUUGUGUUGUAUUAAAGUGGAUUGUAUUGGUUGAUCUUUUAUGCUUCGUAUGUACGAGGGUGUCCUUGUACAUACGACUGUCUAUGCACACACCCGAAAAUGCUUCCAUUGUGGCCCGAGGCAUGCGAGCAUCCAAUAUGCAGGUUCAUGUAACGACUGCUAGAACAACUUGCAAAACACAAACACUUCUUACACCUAUCCACCAACCAAUGUAUGACUCCAUUAAUGUUGAUUGUAUCACUUUAAGAUCACUAUGAUUUAUUGAAUUUAUUGAAAUCAUUGAUCUCUCAUCUUUCAAAUAUCAAUAUAAAUGGCCUUUCUCAAAGGUUAUCAUUCACCCUUUCUUCAUCUUCGAAAGGUAUAUUGAUAGAAUGGCUCUACAAAACAAGAGAAAAGAAAUGUUGGCUAAUGAAAAAGGAUUGGAAAAUGAAAGGAUGGAAAGGUGUAGAUCUGAUCCAAUUAGUUACAGCAGACAAUGAACAAGCCUACUCAAUGCUGAUAGACCUAGCAUCAUCUUCAUUUCCAAAUAUCAUGGCUAGUGCGUCUGUAAAAUCAUAAUAUUUUGAUCAUGUCUUAACAGAGGUCUCACCUUUUUAAGAGGAUGAGCUCCAUAUCCUUCUGUUAGUCUAAUUAUUUAUGUAUUUAUGUGAUUAGCGCUAUUGCCAAUUGUACUUAUACAAGAUCUAGUUUAACACAAACCUGUGUUAUAAAGUGUUUUUUGUAAGUGUGUUCACUAUAUAUUCAAGGAAAAACUUCAAAAACCCCCCCUGUGGUUUCGUAGUUUCUCACUUUGCACCCCUGUGGUUUAAAAUGUAUCAAUUUGCCCCCAUGUGGUUUCUUUUUUCUCCUUUUCUUAUCAAUUUCAUUAUUUUUUUUUCUUAAAUCAGUGAUAAAGUGAAUAUUUGAUAAAUCUAGAUGGGUAUCUGAAGUUUUUUGUAUAUAAUUUAAUGAAAUAUUAACAAAAAAGCUACCAAAAAGAUAAAAACGAAACCACGGGGGCAAUUUGAUACAUUUUAAACCACAGGGGGGCAAAGUGAGAAACUACGAAACUACAGGGAGGGUUUUUGAAGUUUUCCCUAUAUUCAAUGGAAACCGUAGAGGGGGCUUUUAUGGCUUUACCCAAUUUUUUAUGGUAUCAAAGCCACAAAGCCUCUAGAGAAAAUCAACAGAGUUGUCUUCCUUCUUUCUUCCUUCCUGUCGCAAUUUUUCUUCCUCUCUAUUAUCGUUCUACCUUAGAGUAUUAGUGCUACAGUACUGCUGCUACAGUAUUUAGCUACAGUGCAGGCGCUAAAGUAUUUGCUACACUAGUAGUGAUCCUGUAGCCGACAAUACUCAUCUAUGUUCGUAAAACCCUUACUAAAAUUUUCUAGUCGUUGGAUCUGUAGUUAUUACUUGCUAGUUUUUCUCGAGGGUAUUUUGUAAGCGUUGUUUUUUUUUCUUUAAUUGCUACUGCCGCAGAGUUAUUCCUUGUUCUCUUCGCCUUUAUUUUUUGACGGCAGCAAAAUUUUUUUCUCUAACUGUGGUGAAUAUCAAGACGCUUAUUCCAAUAGAGCUAUCAGACACUACAUAAUUGGUUUGGAAAUAGGUGUUCCUCAACGUGUUGAAAAACUUCGGAAUAGCCUCACACGUUGAUGGAAUGGGUGGACCACCAUCUUGGAUGGUAGAGGGCAACAAAAUGCUAGCACCCAAUCCUGAUUAUUUACAAUGGAAAAGAGAGGAUAAUACAAUCCUCUCAUGGUCAAUGCAACAUUAUCCCUUUCUAUUCUUCAGCUGGUGAAAUCCAGUUCGCCGAAGUCAGCUCGCGACACAUGGGUCUUCACUGAAAAUUACUUUUUUGACAAGACUGCCUCUACAUCUUUUUCUUUUAAGGCAGAAUUGUGUAGCAUUAAGAAGGGGUCAAUGCCUAUGUCGGAGUACAUGCAAAAGGUCAAAUCUAUUGGAGGUGCACUUUUAGCCAUUGGGGAAGGAGAGUUCGAUCACAAUCUUGUGAUGACAGUUCUGCUAGGUCUCCCAAAAGAGUAUCGUGAUUUUGUGAGUGCCUUGAAUACUCACAAAACCAAACCGACUUUUGAUUAGCUUCGUCCUCUUCUAUUGUACGAGGAAAUAGAAGUGCAACGUCAUCGAGCCAUGUUACAUCCUCUUCCGGAGAUUUUAGUGCCCUAUACGCAAACCAUGGACAAGUCUCCAGGGGAGGCCAGAAUGUUUGAUCUAGAGGAGGACGAGGACAACGAGGUGGUCAUCAUCCACAUGCCUCGCACUAGGAUCCAGUGUCAAAUCUAUAAGGAAGUGAAUUCUCGAAAUACGAGAGUUGGACUUCGCUCAGAAUCGACUAAUUGUCGAGUGGGUAUGCUUCGGAAAAGCCGAAAUCGAAAACCCAAAAAGUGCAUUACAAUGGAUCCACGAGAGCAAAUUGUGCAAAAAUCUGCACUUGGCAGAAAUUGCUCUCGGGGACCGGUCCCUGGCGGGAGGGACCGGUCCCUGGCGGGAGGGACCGGUCCCCGUAAGCAGUGUGUGCGGCAGGAAGUCCCUGUGCGCAAUGUUUGCUCUCGGGUCCCGGUCCCUUGGGAGGGGACCGGACCUUCAUCCCUGAAGGUCCGGUCCCUCAGGCGAGGACCGCUCCCCGUACGCGCAAAAAUUGGGCAGAGCCCUCUGCCCGCAGGAGUUGCUCUCGGGGACCGAUCCCUCCGUAGGGAGACCGGUCCCCGCACCCGAAAAAUGCCCAGUCUGGGGCAGUGUGUAACUUGGAAAGUGGGGGGUGUUUUGUGCAAAUGUGCACUUGUGAAGAGGUAUAGGAGGGGAUGAGCUCUCUCUCCCUCAUUUCUCUCCCAAAGAACACUCUCCCUCUCUCUCUCUAAACUCUGUUUCUCUCUCUCUAGAAGGUGAAGAAGGAGGAGGAUUUGGUGGAGAUCAAGGCCAAGGGAAGGAUUAGCAUCAUCUUCUUCUUCCUCUCCACCAUUAGAGCUUGCUUUAGAGGUAAGCUCAUGAGAGCUUUCAUGGUAGAUCCCUCUGGAUGGAUUCUUAUCUUCUAGAAUUGGUUUUGUUGGAACCCUAGCUUGCCAAAUAGAAGGUUUAUGCUUGAAUCUAGGGAUUUGAGAUGGGAUUUUCGCAAGUUGCAAACCUAGGGCUCCAAAUUGGAGUUUUUGGAAAUAAAGGGUUUUGAUCUAAAUUGAUCGUGUGUUAACCUAAUUACUAGGUAUCUAAACGCGUUGGAAAGGUCGGUUCGUCGACUCGUCGAGCCGGUGCGAAGAUAUCGCCGAAACGAGUGAUCGUGGCUUCGCGUUGACUCGAAGAGUCGAAGCGGCGACUAAGGAUCAUGAAAUCAAGUUCCUAACCUCGCUACAUCGCCUAAAGGUGGGGGGUGUCAUCCCGAAGCAACUGGGCUCCUCCCUAUGUCUAAGUACUUAUAUGUUGAUCAUAUUCCAUAUGUAUAUAUCAUGCAUACUAGGGUGAUUAGAUGUUGUAGGUACUAUUCUUGCAUGCUCCUUAUAGUGUGGCAUAGUAGGCUUGACACGUGAACAUAGGGUGCAUGAGAAUGAGAUAUUGUGACAUAGAAUCCUAUAGAGAUAAGUUAAAUGAAAACUUGAUCUUGCAUCGAUGAUAUGUGACUAGUAUAGUCAAGACAUUGCAUUAUGACGAGUGGCAUGUGAACCAAGUAAACAACUUGACGAGUGGCAUUAGAACUUAGUGUUAAAAGAACACUAGUGACAUGAUGACUUAGGGGAUAGACGAGUCUCCCUACUUGACACCUUGCAUGAGAUCGGUGGCAUAGUGAUGACCCUAGUGACAGGGUAUCCUCUGUGACGAAGAUUGGAUCAUACUCACAUAGUCUGUUCAGCGCUUGUGGCGGUGGCUCCACACAAGUAGUGCGGUCCGGAGUUUGGCACGUGAGAGAUUGGGAUAGCCUAUUUGGGGUCCCAAGGGAUAGCCUAAUUGGGGUCCCGCAGACGAUUCCUCGGGUGGUUCGAGUCCUCCAUCAUAGACGGAUUUGAGAUGUGAGUCGUGGGCGCGCCUAUGGCCCAGCCAGAGGAUUGGGCAAUAAACUCAUGAGAAUUAUGUGCAUUGAGCAUAUUGAGCUUAGUAGAGUUGCAUCCAUACUUAAUGUUGGUACUAUAGCAUGUUAGUAAUUGCGUGGCUAUCUUGUUCAUUCCUGAAUUCCGAGGCAUAGUAGUAUAGUGCAAUUCUUUCAAUAUGCAUCAAUUUUAGUUCAGAUAUCUAUCUAUCUAUCUGCUUAUGCCUGCUUAGACCUAGUGGGGAGAUCGGCGGAGUCGGCGGCCGAAUUCACUGGGAACUAUGAACAAUAGUUCUCACCCCACUUUGUUGCAGGGCCGAGUUCAAAUACACCCGGCGAGGAUCGCGGUAAGGGCAUCGCGCCCUAGUUUAGCUAAAAGCUUCCAUUGCACUAAUGUACUCUCGAGGACCCCGUUGACAUAUGAUGUAGAUGUACCUUGGAAGUUGCUUAUGUAUUUUGGUAUAAACAUUGUAUAUAUUCAUUUUGGAAGUUACAAAUGUAAACUGAUGUAAAUGAAUGGUUGAAUGGAUGUAAUAGCUAGAUGUACCUCUCUUUAUUCACUUGUAUUGUAUACUUGUAUCUUGCUCUUACUUGUUAGCACUAGUGGUGCUCCGUGCUUAUCAUGUAUGUAAUUGAAUUAUUCCUGGGCGAUUCUAUGUACAUGAUCUCGUGGUUGAGCCUUGGGCGGACAGGGGAGGUGCUGUCCGUCCGGCGUCUGUUCGACGUGCCCGAACCGGACCAAAUUGGUAGCAAUCACAGGGCGUGACAAAAUCUGUGGUAAAUUCAAGCACACUACUCUUAAGUGUAAGCAGAGAUUCAACUAUAACUUUAUUGCGGAUGACAUACCCGCAAACUUUUGCUGCUGUGAGUAGGGAUGUCAAUGGGUAUGGAUACCCGAAAUUUUAUCCGAACGCGAACCCGAAUGAAACGGAUAUAUCCGAUGGAUAUGGAUAUGGAUUCGGAUAUGGAUUUUGAUUGUACCCGACCCGAACCCGAACCCGAAUUUAUUUUGUAUUAUAUAUAAUAUAUAUAUAAAAAUUUGAUGUUAUAUUUGAAUUUGUAUUUUAAAAAUUUAGAUUUAAUAUAAUAUAUUUUGAAAUAUUGAAAAAAGGAAUAAUUGUUUCGGGUUCAAAUUUUCGGGUUCAGGUUCGGGUUCGGGUUUCGGAUUUUUGGUCGGGUUCGGGUUUGGAUAUGGAUUUUUAAAAUCCGUCGGGUUCGGGUUCGGGUUCGGGUCUCGGGUUCGGAGUCGGGUUCGGGUUCGGGUUUUUAAAAAUCCGCCCCGAAUCCGACCCGUUGACAUCUCUAGCUGUGAGCCUUCAAGAGCCUUCGAAGGAAGUAUAGUACCCUGACACUAGAGCGUCCAAUCACAUGACAUCGAAUGCAGGUAUACUUUCUGAUUCUAGCCUUAGGAACAGAUAAAGUCAUUUGCUCCCUAUUACUCAUGCAUAUGAAUCUACUUUGAAUACUUCAUCCAAACCCUUUCGUCUUAAAAACUUUCUUGUUGUUCCUCAGAUUCAGAAAAACUUGCUCUCUGUUCGAAAAUUUCAUACUAAUAAAAAUUUGAUUCUGCUAGUUUUUAUGUGAAGGACAAGAAACAGGGACUAAGCUCAUCGAUGUCAUAGUUCAGGAACUUCACUUUAUCCGUUAUUGUCGACAGUUGCAAGUAUUAAAAUAAAGAUAGGUGCUUUGGUUGCCUCAAAAGUUAAUAAUGGUAACUUAUGGCAUAGAUAAUUAAGGCAUCUGAGUUUGAAUGUUUUAUUCAAAUUUGUUAAAGAUAAUAAUUUUUAGGAGAGUUUGAAGUUAAGAUUUCAAAUUGCAAUUCUUGUAAUAUCAGUAAACUUGUUAAACUUCCAUUUAAUAAAUGAGAAUCUCAGUCUAUUUCUCCAUUUCAUUUAAUUCAUUCUAAUGUUUGACAAUCACCUAUUUCUUCUAUCUCUAGUCAUAAAUAUUACAUUGUUUUUGUGGAAAAUUUUACUCGCUACUCAUAGAUAUAUCUUUAGAAACAUUAACACGAGUUUUUGAUAAAUUUGUUGAAUUUAAGGCUAUGAUUGAAAAUAUUUUUGAUAAGUAAAUUAAGUUUUUCCAAUCUGUGGAGGAAAAGAAUGUUAAUGAGAAAUUUUCGUUUCGUUUUCAUCAAACUAGUGUUAUUCAUCGUAUUUCUUGCCCUCACACACCACAACAAAAUGGUGUAGUUGGGCACAAACAUAGACAUUUGAUAAAUGUAGAGAAAACCAUUCUUUUUUAUUCUUGUAUGUCUCCUCGUUUUUUAGCAGAUGCCCUAAUGCAAGCUAUUUUUCUUACUAAUCGCUUGCCCUCUCUUACUAUUCUAAAAAGGAAGUCACCAUAUCAACUUUUAUACGGUCUUAAUCCUACAGACUUGCAACUUGUUAGAGUUUCCGGAUACUCGUGUUACCUUGACUUACAGGACAUUACGAGAUAAAACUCUCCCCUCGUUCCCUACCUUGUGUCUACCUUGGCAUUUUAGAUAAACACAAGAACUUCAGAUGUUUUUAACCACAGAUUGGUAAAGUUUUUAUCUCUCGUCAUGUUAUUUUUAUUUAGUGUUUUCCUUUUUCUUGCCUGACUAAAUUCUCUCAAACUGACAGCUCUAACUUUCAAAUGUUUCAAGAUUUUUUUUUUUUAACCCUCCUUUGUUAGGAAGUGAUCCUUUUAACUCUUCAGGCUAUUGCAAUUUUUAAUUUUCUUCCCUCUAAGGAUUCUUCUACUGUUCCUUCUUCCUCCGCUUCUAAUUCACAUGUUUCUAAAGCUGCAAAGAUCACUAAUACCAACGAUAAUUUUAUUGCUCAUUGACUGGAACUAAAAGUUUAUCCACCACCAUCGGUCAGAAUUAGCUCUAAGUAUCUAUUAGGAAAUCCACUUUCAAACAUUCUAAUAUUGAACCAUUACCUUUCUCACCACCACUCGUCCCACAAUUACCACAAGCCGACCCUGUAUCCUCUACAUCCACUUUACCUUUGCUACCGACACUUCAACACCAACCAACAGCAACAACCCCCCGCCCCCACACCUAUACCCUUUAGAACCCAUGGUAUGCUCACAUGGUCCAUGACUAAGCAACGGGAUACUUCCAUCCCUCUCUUGAUUUCCUCACAAUCUACUUUUCUAGUUGAACCUAAUAAUUUGUCUGAAGCGUUUCAGGAUACAGGAUGGCGUCAGGCAAUACAGGAAGAAUUUCAGACUCCUCUCUAAUUCUACCUAGGAUCUAGUUCCACCACCAACCUCUGUUAAUCUUAUUGGGUGUAAGUGGGUAUAAAAAGUAAAGUAAAAAGCAGAUGGUUUCUUGGAGCAUUUGAAAGCACGUCUUGUUGCGCAAGGCUUCAAGCAGCAACAAGGGAUUCAUUUUGACGAGACUUUUUCUCUUGUUGUGAAGCCCACAACUAUUCGAAGAGUUAUUGCUGUUGCUUUAUCUUCUGAAUGGACUCUUUGCUAACUUGAUAUGCAGAAUGCAUUUUUUCAUGAUGUUCUAAACGAAGUUUAUAUGAAACAACCUCCUAGGUUUAUUCAUCCUUCGUUUUCUAAUCAUGUUUCCAGACUUCGCGAGGCUAUUAUGGACUCAAACAGGUACCCCGAGCUUGGUUUCAAAUACUAGGAAUUCAGCUGAUCCUUCUAUGUUUACCUUUCACAAUGAGGAAUUCUCGUUCUCCUAUCCUAUGUUGAUGAUAUCAUUAUCCCAGACGACUUGUCCUCUAUACUAAACUCCAUAAUGUUCACUCUAGAGAGAAUUUGCUAUGAAAGACUUGGGACCUCUUUAUUUAUUUUUUCGGGAGUGGAAGUAACUAUUUCAACUCAUGGUCUUCGGCUAACUCCACAGAAAUAUGCUUAACAGCUACUUAAGCGGCAUCGUAUAUUCGUAUGCUUUCCAGCAAGUCUGUUGCUACUUCGCUAUCAUCCACGACUUAGUUGUCUUCUCAUAAGGGUCGCCUACCUGAGGAUCCCUAUAUCUGCCACCAAAUCGUUCGGGCGCUCCAAUACCUUAACUUCACUAAACUAGAUAUCUCAUAUACUAUGAAUCUGGUUGCUCAGUUUCUACAAACACCUCAGAAUCCUCACUUUCAGAUUAUUAAGUGCAUUCUAAAUUAUUUUAGAGGGACAAUGAGUUAUGGCCUUUAUUUUUCGCAUUGUACUCCUCCCUUUCUCGUCGCUUACUCUGAUGCUGAUUAGACUAGCUAUCCUGACACUCGAUGUUCGACUUCUGAUUUAUAUUUCUUGGUUCCAAUCUUAUUUCAUGGUCUAUCAAGAAAUCUCUCACUCUAGCUCUUAAGCUGAGUAUCGUGGUGUUGCAUUUACUCUUGCCGAGAGCGUUUGGAUCUACUUCAGGAUCUUGAUGUGUCACUAUGUCAUCCUCUCACUAUCUAUUGCAGCAAUCUCAGUACAACAUACGUUGCAGCCAAUCAAGUAUUACACACAGAGAAAGCAUAUCGAAUUAGACUCAUUUUCUACGCGAGGAAGUACAACUAAGUGAUUUCUCUUUACUUCACAUUCCUUCCGACAAAUAGUUAGCUGAUAUCUUCACAAAACCUUUGCCUGCUGCUCAUUUUACUGCGCUUCGUAUUAAUCUUCACAUCCAGCCUCAGGAUGCUCGGAUUGCGGGAGCACAAUAGAGAUUAAUUAUUUCUGUAUUUAUGUAAUUAGCACUAUUGCUAGUUGUACUUUACUUAUACAGCGCCUAGUUUAACACAACAUGUACUAUAAGGUGUUUUUUGUAAUUGUGUUCACUACAUAUUUAAUGGAAACCCUAGAGAGGACCUUUACGGCUUUAACGAUCUUUCAUCUUGGGCAUCUAUACUCUGCUUUGACCUAAUAUACACUAAUCUACUUGCAAAUUUAAAAAUUGUUAAUUUUGCUAAUCAACUUCAUCUAAUAGUACCCUAAUCCUAAUGCAACCAUUUAUAUGAUUAAGUUGAAAUAAGAUCCAAAUCUAGCUAGUAAAGCUUCGUUGUCAUCAACCAAAUGGCCAAGUCACAAACAAAUGACCCCUUCUGUUAUUCUCUUUGUAAGGUAAGAACCAAAUGCAAGCCAAGUAACUAUAAUCUAAACAGGUAAUAAUUCCUCUGCUGGGCUAGACCACAGUGAUUUGUGGGUGAAUGUGUAAAGCCCACAGAGCAAAAAUAACCUAUUACGAGUUUAUAGUCAAAAUGGUCAUCAAUACAUUGGAAGAAGCUGCGAUGAUUUAUGCAAAACAAUCAGUUGAUAUUAAGAUAGGUACAUAUGCAAAAAAAAAAAAAAAAAAAAAAAAAAAAAAAAAAAAAAAAAAAAAAAAAAAAAAAAAAAAAAAAAAACAUUCCUAUCUUGUAAUCAGAUAAUGUACAUCAAAUAGAUCAACUCGACAACAUGCAGUAUUUACGUUAUAAUGGGUUGGAAAAAGCCAUUUACGCUAAUUGAGCCAUAAGAGUCAGAUUAGUAAUUGCUAGUUUUGAUAAUGCGCAGGCUUUAUAAGGGUUCAAGAAAGGCCAUUUACCAAUCACUAACUGAUCAAUCAAGAACAUUACAGAGGUGCAUCUCAUUAUCUCUUCCCUUCACCAUCCAAUUUUUCUUGCCCGUUUCUUUUUUCACCUCUCCAACCAGACCAAGUCUUUUUGACCAAUUUAGCAAAAAAACUAAUGCAUUUCGUACAGAAAUGCUCUAGCAGAUUAUAGGUUACCUGCUCCUUAUUAUUUUCCUUUUGGCAUGCACGAUUAUCAUUGAGAUUUCGUGUUUAUGCAUCACCUAACCAAGAACUUACUGAAUUCUAUUGUAAAAAGAAACAGUUUGAUUAUAAUGAAAAUUAUGACAUCUAAAAUAAAGCCCUUUAGGCAAUCAAUCAAGGUAACUUACUCUUUGAGUAAGGAGUUAUGCACGCCUUCAUGGAUACAUUCCAAACUUCAUCAGGAUCAUCAUCAGGGUCGCACAUGGGAGGAAGGACUCCAAUAUCCCUUCUCAAGUAGCAACCAUUUGUCAAAGGUUUAACCCAUAUAACUGUCUGGUUCUUCUUAGAAGCUAUCCUCCAGCACAUCCUCCGAACAAGAUCACUCAUCGCACUCCAUAUCCUUCUAUUCUUUGCAUCAGGAGCAUAAGCCUCUGGAGAAGAGUACACAAAGUAUCCCCCAGGCCUCAACACCCUAUCCAACUCCAUCAGCAGAAUCCCAUCCCUUUGAAGCCAGUCAAUCCUACAACGAGAGCAGUGGACUAACUCAAAUGAUCUGCUUGGAUACAGCAGCCUUCUUGUCCCCAAUACACCCAGAGUUGAAGGAAUUCCUCUCUCAAGUGCAAACUGUAUCUGGUUCUCAUGAACGUCGUUAGGCGCCAGAGACAUUGCAAUGAUGUUAAGAGGAAGAAGGUAUGCCCCAAAGCUCGCGACUCCGCAGCCAACAUCAAAAACAGUCCGAAUUUUUCCACCAUUAUUCAGCUUGUCAUUCGAAAACUUGAGCAUCUGAUCUCAAAAAAGAUUGGAAAUAAGGGAAUGAUGAAUAAUCUUUCCAAAACAAAAACAGAGUGAAAAUGGAAGAAACGUCGGAUGGCAUAAUUGAACCUAUUAUAGACCUGCGCGAUGUGAAUGAUAUACUUGUCAGCUCCCGUGUGAAAGUGCGUUCCGCCGCCGGGGAAAUUGAUCUUAUCUCCAUUAACAACCAUCCAUCUCUGGUCCGACUUCUCCGCCGCGAGAUGGGUAUGCGGAAUAUUAGCUUUCCACACCUCAUCCCGACUUGCAGGCCACCUUAUCGGAAUCUUCAACGUGCAAAAUUAAGACAGGUUAGGCCCUAACAGCAGCACAAGAACGACAUAGCAAACAAAGACGUUCGAGAAAUACUCACGCGGUACCCAAUGGGAGGAGGGAUGAGGCAAUUGUGGCGCCGAGGUUGCACCGGGCAGUGGCGCUCGUAAUGCUCCAUGAGCGACAGGUUGAGCUUCAGCUUGAGCUGGUAGAGAAGGUUCCGAUCCAAGCAAGGAAUCAGCUCCGACAAUCUCAUAUCACACACCUAAAAUAUUUCCAAUAAUAAUCAGAAGAGAUGGUAGAAGAAUUGGAACAUCAUCAAAUCCAUCCAAGCAGAGGUCGGAAGAAGAAGCAGCAGCCGAGAUAUAGGGAGUACAGGAAAGGACUUGACGACGUGGUUAGGAGGGAGAGUGGAGAAGGCGGGGGUGGUGGAUUCGCUGUCACCGAUGAAGCUGUGGAAGACGGGGUCGGCCCCGUCGUAGCUGGCAGAGUCGCGGCGGCGGCGGCGGCGGAGGCGGAGGGCAGGGCCGAAGGAGGUGCCGUAGUAGAAGCAGAGAAGGCCGAGGGCGACGACGGCGGCAAUGAGGAGGGAGGAGAAGAGCUUCCGACGAGGAACGACACCGCGCUCUCCUCUCCGCUGCUGCUGCUGCUGCUGCUGGCUCUGCAGCGAGCCCUUCAUUGGACCCUUUUUCGAUCUUCCUCCUGCGCUCUUGUGCUUAAAUAAAUUAGCCUUUUUCUUUCUUUUACUCUAAAUUCGAUCGGAACGAAGGGUUUGAGGAGGGAUGAUGAGAAGAGGGCGGGGAACGAGAGUAAAACGGUGGCCAGUGAAAGAGAGAUGGAUGGAGUAAUUAGGAGAGAGAAGGCGUUAUGUUGGUGCGGUGGGGUGCUCUGCCGCCUGUCGUUGUUGGAACUCGGAACUCGGCGAGUGCGCGGAAUAAGCGUUGAGCGAGAGAGCGAGCAGUGUAAGCGUGGCUAAAGAUGGAAUGAACGAAUGAAUGUUUUAUGUAAUUUUUAAUUCGACCACUGUCUGACUGCGGACAAAACUUACGAGGGCGCCCGCUCACGCAUUAGGGAUUUCCGAUUUAGUGCCACAAAAUAUACAUUAAUUUUUUAUAUUAUUUUUUAGGCAUUAAAUUUUAAUUAUGAACUUCUCUAUAGAUUUUAAUUUGUUUUAAAUUCGUCGUAGAAGAAACAAUCGACGUGUUAAUUUUUUAUGUGCAAAAUAAUAUGCUUUUUUUUUUUAUCGAAUAAUGCUAAUCCUACAAUCCCAACGGAUUUAAGGGUCGUUAUUUUUUCUCUUAUAGUCUAAGCCACUUUUUAUUUUUAAAACUAAAGAACUAACAGCCUGUUUGGUAAUUACCAGAAUUAUACUCUGAAAUAUUUUACUUUAUUUUUUUAUAUUUGGAUAAAUACUAUAUUUUUACAAAAUUAAAACAAUAGUCAUUAGCUUUUUCAAAAACUAGUCCUUAAAAAAUUUUGAAUGUUAUAAAUGUACUCACAACUGAUCAAACUAGUCGUUAUGAUUGCAUAAAUAUAAUAAAAUAGUUUUACAAUAUUCAAAACUGAUCAAACUAGUCUUUAAAUUAUUGGAAUCUCAUUAUAAAAGCCUCUAACAUCUAUAUAAUACUCAAAUCUUUCACUAGAAUGCGUAUAAAUUAUUUUUUAUAUAUUCUAUCUAUCUAUAUCCAAUUUUUUUAUAUCCUUUUUAAGAACAUAUGAAUCAAAAUUAUUGGGGAAGAAUGUAAGAAGACGAUGAUUAAUAAUGUUGGAUUAAGCGGAUUCAAUUGGAUUUAAUUUUUGGAUUAAUUAUACUCUAAUAUUAGUUAGAGUAGAAUUGAGAUUUAAUCAUAAUUAAUCACCUAUAAAUAGGCGAUUUAGGGAGGGUGUACCGUGUACGGCUAAAUAAUAAUAAUAAAAUAUUGCGGCCGGAUUCUUUAUGCGAGCGUGGCCGCUGGCGGGAGCAAGAUCCGUUGGUCGUGAGGGAAAAAAGAGCGAGAGCAAGGUGAGUCUCCAAUAUUUAGUUCUUUCAUUUUUUUUCUUUUCCUCCUCCUACCUCCCCAUCUCAUCCUCCCUUCUCAUUGUACCACCGUCACCGUCACCAGAGUGGUCAUUGGCCACCUACGACCGGUGAGGGUGAAUCUUGUAUGGGGUAAUCAUAGUUAGCCAUGAGAGGGGUUUGGGAGAGAUUCUUUGAUUGGGUUGGAAAGGAGAAGAAAGAAGAUGGAAUUAUUUUGGAUCUAACUAUAUCCGGUUCAUGGUGAACUACAUUAAUUUUACAUGGUUUAUUUACGUUUGGGUUUCAAUUUAUCGUAACAAUAUUAAACAUGAUUAAAUUGUUAAUUAGAGUGUUUUGUCUCUGUUGAAUGAACUAUAAUUAACUGAAAAAGCUUCUGGUGCGCGUUGCUAGUGUUGGACCAGGUGCAGCAAAAUUUGGAUGCUUAUAAUGGCUAAAAAGAUCAGCGAGAAACCAAUCUGUAAAUAGCAGUUUUGGUUUUAGGGACUGAUUCAUAAACUAUGCAUAAACUUUUUAUUCGUAAGGCGGAAUUUUGCAAUUCAAGCGCCAUUAGACUCAUCUUCAAAAUACAGAUGAGAUCGUCCGAUCUAAUUAUCCAAAUUUACUGUAUAAUUUUCACAUAAUUAUUAAUAAUUAAAAGGGUUUGUUUGAAAAUGUAUUUUAUUUGGGUCUUUUCAUCGUUUUAGGUGUUGGGACUGCUGUGAAAUCUCAAUCUUAGAAUGUGACUAAUUUGUGAGCACUAAUAGAAAUAAGUAAAUAGCUACUUGUUGCUGGUACACCCCCAGUGGAUUUUAUAAUUAUAUUGGUUGUUGUGGCUUAUGUACUUUGCAUAUUAUUAUCAUUAUAAUAAUCUAUUGUUGUUUAUGACUAUUGCAGUCGGAUACCUUGGAGGAGAGGGAUUUAUUCUAUACGUAGUUCCCGAGGAGGAAUGGCGUGUAAUUGUAAUUCUCGUGGUUAGAGUGAUAGAGUGGAGUUGCUUCAAAUUACGAUCGUUGUGGUUUCAAAUUUAAAAUUAUCUUUAUUCUUUGAAGCAGAUUUCUUGUUAAGCGUUGUGCUUACUUUUGUUGCCUACCGUUUCAGGUACUGAGAGUCGGAGGAUGUGAGAUAAUUGGUCAGCGAUGACUCAUUAGAUAGUUUAUCUUUUGGACAUAUAGAGCGUGUUUGGUUCGCUUCUUUUUCACCAUAGAAUCGGAAUCGGAAUGGGUGAAUCCGUUUGUGAGUGUUUGGUACGCGGGAGUCCCAUUCCGAUUCCCAUUUCCAAGUGGAAUGGGAAUCCCCCAAUCACCUCUUUUUUCAAUCCGGCCUAGGAGGCCGGAUUUGAAGUUGAAUCCGGACGUAAUGGAUAUUUAUUUAGAUUAAAUUUAUUUUUUCAACUUUUUUAAUUAAAAUAUGAGUUAAAAUUUAAAAAAUAAAUAUAUUCGGAUUGGAAGUUGAAUCCGGACGGAAUGGAUAUUUAUUCGGAUUAAAUUUAUUUUUUCAACUUUUUUAAUUAAAAUAUGAGUUAAAAUUUAAAAAAUAAAUAUAUUCGGAUUGGAAGUUGAAUCCGGACGGAAUGGAUAUUUAUUCGGAUUAAAUUUAUUUUUUCAACUUUUUUAAUUAAAAUAUGAGUUAAAAUUUAAAAAAUAAAUAUAUUCGGAUUGGAAGUUGAAUCCGGACGGAAUGGAUAUUUAUUCGGAUUAAAUUUAUUUUUUCAACUUUUUUAAUUAAAAUAUGAGUUAAAAUUUAAAAAAUAAAUAUAUUCGGAUUGGAAGUUGAAUCCGGACGGAAUGGAUAUUUAUUCGGAUUAAAUUUAUUUUUUCAACUUUUUUAAUUAAAAUAUGAGUUAAAAUUUAAAAAAUAAAUAUAUUCGGAUUGGAAGUUGAAUCCGGACGGAAUGGAUAUUUAUUCGGAUUAAAUUUAUUUUUUCAACUUUUUUAAUUAAAAUAUGAGUUAAAAUUUAAAAAAUAAAUAUAUAAUUUUAAAUUUUAAUUUGAACUAAAAUUAAAAAUUAAAAUUUAAUCAAGNUUUUAAUAUUUAAUAUUUAAUUUGAAUUUAAAUUAAUAUAUUAUAAAGAUAAUGUUAGUAUAUUAAUUUGAUUACGUUUUUUAUAUCCACCUGAACCAAACACCGACAAUGGAAAUGAUUUAUUCUGAUUCCAAUUCAAAUGGUGAACCAAACAUAAUUAGGUAAUGAGUCAUUCCGAUUCCGAUUCCGACUCCGACUUCAAACUAAACACGCCCAUAGUUUAUUUUGAUUUGAGAUUGAUUAAUUCGACAUCUAGUAGUUAUUGCUCAGUUUUGUUUUAAUUAGUAAAUUAUUUUAUUUAGUCUUUAAUUGAGAGGGUAGCUUUGGAUCUAUUUAAGGCCUUCUAUUUUCGGAGGUUCUUUCUUUGGAUUCGUCACCGAUUGUUGCAAUUCGGAUCUGAGCAGUCGGAUCUCGGGCGUGAUAAUUGGAGGAAGAUACAAAGAGAUGAUGAUAAAUUCGUGACAAACCUUUUUUUUAUGAUGAACAAUGAUAUGACAGUUGAAAAUAUCUAUUCACAUUUCAAGUGAAAAAAGAGCACGCUAUGUGAAUAAAAUUAUCCAAGGUCAUGAACUUAGAUUGCAAGAGGAAGUUCAAAUGGAAACUCACAUUUUUCAUACGUUAAUGAAAUGUUUGAAAGACAAAGGUCUUCUACGUGACACAAGACCGUUAAAAAGUAGGUACCUAUAUUUUUAUACACCUUGACAAAAAAUGUAUGUAACCGAACUCUACAAUAGUGGUUUCAGCAAAGUGGUGAAAUUGCUAGUUGACAUUCUCGUCAAGGGCUAUAUGCAGUUAUACAACUCAAUAGAGAUUUUAUUCAUUUAUUAGGAUCUAUCAACACUCCAAAAAUCAGAAACAAUGCAAAAUUUUUCUUAACGGUACCAUUGAUUUUUUUUUUCCUUUUACAUUUAACUCAGUAUUGAAAAUGAGUAUUCAAAAAUGAAAGUGGAGCCCAUUUCUUCUCUUGAAACAUGCCCUCAACAAACCUCUUUUAUACUAGGUGGGUUUCCUCAUCUAUGCAUAUCCUCUAUGUGUGUUGUUUUUAGUCUCACAAUUCUUUCUUUUCUAUUAAUUUCAUAAAGAAGAGGGCAUGUAAAAUCAUGAUAUAAAAGAGCGUUUUGCAAGAGAAAUUAGGGCACAUCCGCACAUGUGAAGAGGAGGAGGAAAAGGAGGAGAAAAUGGAGGAGGAGGAAGGAAGAGAGAAAGAACAAACCUGAAGACAUAAGGGAACGAGGGCUAACUGGAGGGAACUGGCCAGGGGUGACGAGGAUAGUACGAGGGCGAACGCGAAAUAGAGUGAGCGAGAAAAAGCGCGAUAAAUGGAAAAUUUUUACACCGGUCCAACCUCUUUUCUUCUUUUUUCCAAUAUUACUCUAAAAAGCCCAUGUUAUAUAGUAAUAAUUUUAUCUUAUUAGGCUAUUCAAAAGAGCUAACUAAAAAAAAGGACUUUUAAAACACAGAGUAAAGUGGCCCAAAGUAGAAUAUUGAGGGUUUCCCAAAUGGGCCCUAAAAAAAAAUUUAAAAGAAUUAAAAAAAUAAAAAAUAAAAAAACUGAAGUAGAGGAUUACAACCCUUAUACGGAGGUUUGUAAUCCUACGACCCUCUUCGGUUUGUAGACUUUGUUUUUUUCUUAUUUAUAUUGCUUCCAAUUUGGAUCAUUUUCUCCACAGCUGCUUUAAAAUGAAUUUCGGAGUUAUGAAAAAAAGUUCAAAUUAAUUUCUUUAAAAUAUGUACAAAAACUAACACAUGAUAGCAGAUUGCAAAUUUUCUAACAAGAUGUCAUCGAAGAGCUCUCCACUUAAAAUUUUUCCAUCCACAACUUCUAAAACCCGCUAGUCUUGUGUUGACUAACACUCCGAUGUCCCCAUCCAUGACUAGAACGGUGCAAAAAGAUAACUAAACUAUAAACUAAAAUGGACAAAUACAAUUAUAUAUUAAAUGUAUGAACUAGGCUGGAAUAUUAUCAAUAGCACCAAGUUAUUGGUGCUAUUAAUUUUUUAGCCCUUGGAUUGAGAAAUGUGUGGUUAGAAUGAUAUGGGUCCCCUAGGGUUGAGUGAGUGGUUGGUUGAAUAGUAUAAUAUAACGGAUAAAAAUAAUUAAAGAGUUAAAUCUAACGGUGGAAAACUCGAUAGCACCAAAUCCUUGGUGUUAUCGAUAGUACCCGAGCCAAACUCUUAAAUGUAUUCACAUCCACAACUAAAAUCAUGUUUGAAUGUAUAAAUAUGUUAUUUUAUAUAUUUUUGAAUUUAUUUAAAAAUAUAAUAUUUGUUAGAUUACAAGUAUGAGCAAAUUCUGCAUAUCGAAUAAGUACUUCCAAAAACAUAAGAAAUUUUAUAUAUCGAAUAAGUUAUUAUCGGAUAUCUUACUUCAAUAUACUAAUAAGAUCCUAUUUGGAUGCAUGAACAUCUUUUUCCAUAGUUCUUCUUAGGAUGUGUUAGUUUUACCAAAAGUGUGGAAAAGAUGAAGUUAUUUUCUCUCAUGGCUGACACCUCAGUGGAAGCCUACCCGGGCACACUGCCGUGCACACAAGGUCGCUCCCUACACACACAAAGUGUCUACAAUCGACAAUAUCCACCAAAAUGAAAUACACAUCCUACACAUGAUAAUGAGAGCAUAAAACAUAAAACAAAACUAAUUUAGACAAUUUCAAGCAACUACCACAUAUACAUAAAUCGAUAUCCUCAGCACAUACAUAACCAACUACAAUACUCUAUGAGUACAUAAACCCUAGGAUGUCAAUAGCCUCCAUAUACAACAUCUCACCAAGAGUACAUCACAAAAUGGGUAUAUCUCAAAUACAACAUCGUAUGCCUUAAGGUAAUCUAUUUAAAUAGGUACAUAAUUACCUCUCACAUAUAACACCCAAAAAUAAAAUAUGUAUUAGGUCUACAUCUAAGGAAGCUCGGUAGAGACGGCUCUAGCUAGACGCGACUCCCUUGCCACUGUGAUGCCCCAUUUUCCAGGGGGUCACCCAUCCUAAGACGUAGUACUCUAGUUGUCAUGCCCCGGAGCCCAGCGGAAGCCCGCCUGACGCGUGUCUUGACCCGCCAUACGUCUAAAACAUAUAAGGCGUCUAAAACAAAACGAUAAAUGAGACACUAAAAGAAAACAUCUAGAAGUAUCAGAGUAAUAUACAUCAUCUAGAGACUAAAGCCAUGUGAAGAGUAGAGAGCUAAAAUCACUAAUAAACUAUAAAGUAGUACAACCAAAGAUCCAAAAUACAAAUACUAAAAGAGUACAUAGGUGGUCUCUAUACAUGGUAAACAAAAUAUCUCUCUCUCUCUAAUACAAAAUAUCUCUCUCUCUAAUACAAUAAAAGAAGAGUAAACCACCUAAGCUCAAAGGAAGCUCCCCGCUAACUAGCUACGCGACUCCCUUGCCGCGAUACCGUGCCUCAGCCGGUACCGAAGGCUCUGAAAUAAAAAUCAUAAAACAGAGGGCGUGAGAACUAUUAAAUAAUAAUUCCCGGGCAAUUACUGACUUCAGUGAAAUGCGCCACUAGGCCCAAAAGCUACAAAAAAGGGGGGUCGGUGUAUAAGUAUAAGCAAAAGCGAUAAGAACAACUAGAAAAAUAAACAUAAAUACUACUCAACCAUGAUGUCUCUACUUAGCAUGAUUUGCAUAAGUAAGAAAGCAACUACUACAAGUAUGUGCAUAAGAGUAUUCAACAUGCAAAUGCAUAAGUAGGCAGCUAACCCAAUAUCCACAAUGUAAGUAGUAAAGAUGUCAUUGUUUACUAUUCUAGUCAAUGUCCACUUGUCACUUUAACUGUUUAAAGUUUAACUCUGAUAAGACCCACCCGAAGGCUGUCUGGCAUAAGACCGACCAGAAGGCUGUCUGGCUUUACCAUGCCUAAUGGCCCCGUGGUAGUCAACAUCCCCACCCUCGGAAUGAGCCUUUCCCACGGCAAUCCACUUCGGCGCCUAAUCCCGCACGGUAAACGUAUCGCGAUGGCCAACUCCGGAGUGCCGGCUUAUAGGGAGCGACCCUCACAAGCAUGUGCGAAUGAGCACAAUGGCAAGCAUGCGUAUCAGUCUGUCUCAAGUACCAGGUCCUCAUGUCUAAAACAUGGAAUAUAUGUCAACUGUGUCGAUGGCCUAUCACUAUGUCAUCAUGUCUAAAACAUGGAAUAUAGUCGAUAUCCAACGGCCUAUCACUAUGUUUCUAUAUUACAUUUUCAUAGUUUUCUAGUUUCAAGUGCCCCUUAAUGACACUAUUGUUCAACGAGUUCAAGCAUGGUAUUUAUAUUCAUGAUACAUAAUUCUACUCAUUUCAAACAUAGGAGACAUGUUGUCAACUUGCAAAGCCAACUACUUUUGACAAUACAUGCAGUCUACACAUAUAGCUCUACUAUAUAGAGUGUAAAUUUUAUGAUACAUAAGACAUGCAUAUUAAGUGUUCUAAAAUUCAUAUAAAUCAUGUUUAACAUGGAUUUGCUCUUAAAAAGACUUUACGAAGAGUUUAGAAAGCAUAGGGGGCCAUUUUGCCCCUUUUUCAUGAAGUCAAACCCACCAAGGCCAAUCGAAACCUUUCGUUUGCUCCGACGAAGGUGUCCACCACUCUCCUAGUACCCUAAAGGUAGAUAAACAAGAGUUAAACGGAUCUUAUGAACAACCAUAAGGUUGAUCAUUAACCAUCUCAAGCUAAGGUGGGGAAAAACUCACCUAGAUGAAGAAAUCCUCAAAUAAAGCUCAAGUGGAAGCCAAAUCCCUUCCAAAGCAACCUAAUCCAAGGUUCAAAACCCAUCAAUUUGGUUCUAGGAGCUACCAAUCCAAAAUCCCAUUUCUAACCCUAAUAUCCAAAAUCUAGGAUUUCCUUUAGUAAAAACUACUAAAACAAGAUCUAAAGGAGAGAUCAAGCCUACUCACCUCUCUUGAAGUCCCAAACCUAGCUAGGAAGGUGCUAGGGUUGAAGUUCUCCCUUUAAACAAGCUCCAACAAAAACCUCUAAGCUUCUCCAAUGGAGAAAAUCCAACAUGAGGCAAGGAGAAGGAGAAAAGAGAGAUCAAAACCAUAAAAACCAAGCCAAAAUGGGGUAAAAUCCAAAGAAGAAGCCCUCACCUGGUUUCUCCACGAAUUAGGGCUCAAAAGGGCUCUCUAAGGGGGCUGGGGUCACCUAUAUAGGUGUUGUAACAAUUGCAAAAACACCCCUGCCCGAAAACUACUCGCACUGCACUGUGUACCGGUACAUGGGCUCGCGUACCGGUACAAUACUUACGAAACAGCCAAACCCGAGCCUCGGGUUUGUGCGAAAUCCAUCUGUGUACCGGUACACCAGCCCUGUACCGGUACAGCCAUCAGCGCAUACCGGUACAGCCAUCAACCCCGUACCGGUACACAGCCCUGCUGAGGCUACCCGAGAGCUGACCAAAAAUUCGACUUUUCGGAUUUUGGUGCUAGGUUUUAAACCUCCAAUCUCGGGGUUCGAACCAUGGGUCGGAACACUGUCAACGACCCUCCACGAAGCGUGGAAAAGCUCAGAACACGAAACAAACACUCGAACCUCGCAAUUUGCAAAGGUCCAGUGCGUCACAUUCACCCCUCCUAAAAAGGAGUUUUGUCCGCAAAACUCGAAAGCAACGUACCUCAAGACUUCAUCUGAAAAAGAUGGGGAUAAUGCUCCAGCAAGGCGCUCUCCAGCUCCCACGUGGCCUCCCGCUCCCCGUGGUUGCUCCAAAGAAUCUUCACAUACGGAAUAUCCCGAUUCCGCACUUUCCGUACCUCGCGAGCCAAGAUCUUCACGGGCUGCUCCUCGAAGCUCAAGUCUUCCCGCAACUCUAAAGGUGUGGCAUCCAGCACGUGAGUCGGGUCGAAGAUGUACUUCCGAAGGACCGAUAUAUGAAAGACGUUGUGCACGCCCGAUAGGUUUGGUGGUAGAGCAAGUCGAUACGCUACCGGACCUACACGCUCCAAAACCUCAUACGGUCCAAUGAAACGGGGGCUCAACUUAUCCCGAAUUCCGAAUCUCUUGAUCCCUCUAGUCGGCGAGACCUUCAAGAAAACAUGGUCUCCAACUUGAAACUCCAAGUCUCGCCGUCGUUGGUCGGCAUAGCUCCUCUGUCUACUCUGCGCUGUCAAAAGUCGCUCCCGAGCAAUUCGAACUUUAUUCUCAGCUUCCUGGAGCACAUCUGGUCCUAAAGCCACUCGCCAACUUCACUCCAAUGAAGUGGCGAUGUACACUUCUGUCCAUAAAGUGUUUCGAACGGUGCCAUCUUGAUGCUUGCUUGAUAACUAUUGUUAUAAGCAAACUCCGCCAUAGGUAGAUGCAGCGACCAUCCUCCUGCUUGGAGCAUAUCCUCUAAGAUCUGUAUGGUGCGCUCCGACUGCCCAUCACUCUGAGGGUGGAAAGUAGUGCUAAAAUCCAGUCGAGUGCCUAGGGCGUCCUGUAGACUUCUCCAAAAGUGAGACACAAACCGGGUGUCUCGAUCUGAUACAAUCGACGUGGGCACUCCGUGAAGUCGCACAAUCUCAUCAAGGUACACUUGUGCGAGCUUCUCCCCAGUCCAAGUAGUGUGAAUAGAUAUGAAGUACGCCGACUUCGUCAACCUAUCCACGAUCAUCCAAAUAGCAUCAUGCCCGGCCUGAGAGCGGGGCAAUCCAGUCACGAAAUCCAUGGUGAUCUUCUCCCACUUCCACACGGGAAUAGGCAAACUGUCACGCCCCAAUCCCCCUAAAACCCAACACUCAAUAACCCCAAUUGUCUCAAUUGGCCAUUCUAACCCAUUCUCGGUUUCAAACUAAUACUAACCUCGUACGUACGUAAAAGUAAUAGCGUAACUUUAAUAUAUAGAUGACUGAAGAAAGAACAUCCGUAUCAUAAUCAACGUAAUCAUCACCAAUGAAAAGGAGGAAACUUUAUGAAUACGGACCUACCUGGAUCACCCAUUCAACCGCUCCAGCCUACGGCUCGGGUGACCCUUGAAGUAACAUCAAGAGUGUGGUGAUUGGGAUGUCCAGGAUCGUGCUCGCCCCGCCGCCUCCUGGCUCCGUUCCCAAAUCGCGGCAUCCAUCGCCGGUGGCCUCAUCGUAAUGUAAAACAUCAGUAAAGGGAAAACCACAUGUACAUCGUCGAAAUAAAACAACUUAAUCUCUACAUUUCAACAUUUGUUAGUACAUAAACCACCUACUGAUUUACAUUUUUCUAUACUACCAACUUACCUUACAUUAUUAAGACAAAUGAACUUAAACCAAAUUUACUUUAGUUUAUAGUACACACUACAUAUAAAUCGAAUCUCGAAAGCGAAGGCAACACCGAACGGGAGCGCGUUCGGAACAUAAUAUAUACGUUAAGAGAAUAACUAACGCAUAAAUAUGUACAACAAUCUCGGAACCCGCCUGUCCUCUCCGAGACAGGCAAGCCGCAGACAACUGCACUGGGCUUGGGCUGGUUUAACCGCNCCUUUUGUACAUGGACUAUACUCUAUUAUUUUCGUAAUGUUAAACGGAGUUGCCCAACGUGUUUAGGGCACCCCCAAUUAGGUUUCCACGGGGUCAAUUUGUCCCCGAACAAUCCUAGGGCAAAAGCCCCAAAUUCAAGCCCUAAUAUUGUCAUUUAGGGUUUUCUCAUGAAUCGAUCCCAAUCUUAAGCAAACAAUAGCUUAGGAUCAUCUAAUAAGCAUCCUAGUAAGGUUUCUAGACCCUUAGAACCAACCCUAGGGCUUCCAUGACAAACCCUACCCAACCACCAUAAGAGCACUUGAGCUCUCAUGGGUUCUAUGGAGUUCAAGGCAUAUAGAAGGCUCCCAUGGCCAAAAACAACCCAAAGCUCCAAAACAUAGGGAUUAAAACCAAGCCCUAGACUCAUUUCUACCAAAAACUCAUCUUAGCCCAAGCCCCUCCAAAUCCUUCUUGUAGGAGAGCCUGUAGAACCCACCAAAGCCUCCAAAUUCACAUUCCCUUGCUUCUUCUUCUUCUUCUCCAAGCCCUAGAGCAAGAGUUCUAGAGAGAGGAAGAGAGGAAAUGGGAGAGAAGGGUGAAAAUGGCUGUGGGAGAGAGAGGGGUGUCCACAUAUAGUGUUGUGACAACUGCAUUUAAACCCCUCAACUUGUUUCCCCUUGAUCUGCCCAUACUGGGCGUUUUUCGCCUUCGGGGACCGGUCUCCCCGACCAGGGACCGGUUCCCGAACGUGGGUAUUCCAGGACUUAGCCAAAUUUUCGGGUUUUUCGGCUGUUACGCAGCGAGGGACCGGUCUGCCCCUUCAGGGACCGGUCUCCCGAGGACCGGUCUCACCACCAGGGACCGGUUGCCUCAAGACUUCCUGGCAGGCUACGUGUACGGGGACCGAUCUCUCCUUCAGGGACCGAUCCCCGAGAGCACAAAAUCUGGGACUUAACCAGAUAUUCUGAUUCUCCCUCUCGGGUCCCUUUUUGCUUCUCCUAUGAGCCCUAAUGUGCUCAGGGUCCAUUCUAACUCGUUCAAUUCCGCGUUCCGCUCUUUUUGACGGAACUCGGCACGAUUUACGAGGGAUGUGGUAUGUUACACAAACUCUGAAGUUUUUCUGCAGGAACUCGAUGCUCAGCCUUAACUUGUUGGCAAGUUCGACAACGAGCUACAAACUCGCCAACAUCUUUUUUCAUCCCGGGCCACCAAUAGAGCAACUUUAAAUCCUUAUAUAUCUUGGUGCCUCCCGGAUGUAUAGCGUAGGGCGCUCGGUGCGCUUCUUGAAGAAUAUUCUCUUUAAUUCCCGAAUCCGCCGGUACACAAAUCCGUCCACGGAAACGCAUCAAUCCUUGGUCAUCCACAAAGAAAUCGCUGGUGCAACCAUCAACCAUUUUACCUUUAAUCUUUUGCCAUUCCACAUCGGAAGCUUGUUUUUCUUUAAUUCUAUCCAACAAUGUAGGUCGCACCACCAACGUCAUCAACCUCAAAGGCGUGUCAGGAGUCACCACCUCCAACUCCAACCGUUUCAUCUGCUCGAUCAACUGCGGUGAGUAACAACGUACAUCGCUAAGUUUUCUGUCGAUUUCUGACUUAGUGCAUCGGCCACCACGUUAGCCUUGCCCGGGUGGUAAAGAAUCGUCAGAUCAUAAUCCUUGAGCAGCUCCAACCAUCUGCACUGUCUCAGGUUCAACUCUUUCUGAGUGAAUAACUACUUCAAACUCUUGUGGUCCGUGUACACUUCACACCGCUCACCGUAAAGAUAGUGACGCCAUAACUUCAAUGCGAAGACUACGGCCGCCAACUCCAAAUCAUGCGUCGGGUAGUUCUUUUCAUAUUUCUUUAGUUGGCGCGAAGCAUACGCGAUCACUUUGCCAUCCUGCAUCAACACACAACCCAAUCCAUUAAGUGAAGCAUCACUAUAAACCACAUACCCUGCUCCAGCCAUCGGCAGGGUUAGGAUCGGGGCGGUCGUCAAUCUUUGCUUCAACUUUUGGAAGCUUCUCUCGCAUGCAUCAUUCCAAAUAAACUUAACGCCUUUAUGCGUGAGCCUCGUGAGGGGAGUAGAUAACUUAGCAAACCCCUCGACAAAUCUCCGGUAGUAACCGGCCAAUCCAAGGAAACUCCGAAUCUUCGUGACGCUCGUCGGUCUCGGCCAAUCCCUGAUAGCCUCAAUCUUCUUGAGAUCCACCGCAAUACCUGAUCCCGAAAUCAGAUGCCCAAGGAAAGCUACCUCUCGAAGCCAAAAUUCACAUUUCUUCAACUUGGCAUAAAGCUCCUUUUCCCGAAGUUCUUGAAGUACAAGCCUCAAAUGCUCCUCGUGGUCUGCAUCACUUUGGGAAUAAAUCAAGAUGUCGUCGAUAAACACCACGACGAACCUGUCUAAAUAUGGCUUAAAAACACGGUUCAUUAGAUCUAUAAAAGCUGCCGGGGCAUUAGUAAGCCCAAACGGCAUAACAGUGAACUCAUAGUGUCCAUACCGUGUUCUAAAAGCCGUCUUCGAAACAUCCUCGGGUUUGAUCUUUAACUGGUGGUACCCCGACUGCAAAUCGAUCUUAGAAUACACACACGAUCCCUGAAGCUGAUCAAACAAGUCGUCAAUCCUCGGCAACGGAUACUUGUUCUUGAUCAUGACUUUAUUAAGUUCACGAUAGUCCACACAUAGGCGUAGCGAUCCGUCUUUUUUCUUGACGAACAAAACUGGCGCUCCUCAAGGCGAGACGCUCGGUCGAAUAAAGCCUUUAUCCAGAAGAUCCUGUAGCUGUGCCCUCAGCUCCUUCAGCUCCGCCGGUGCCAUCCUAUAGGGUGCCUUUGAGAUUGGGGUAGUCCCGGGAACGAGGUCUACCACAAACUCAAUCUCCCUAUCGGGUGGCAUGCCCGGUAGCUCAGCUGGAAACACGUCACAAAACUCCCGUACCAUCGAGAUAUCCUCGAUCCUAGGGGUGUCACCCUCGCCCCUCAACACAACACUAGCGAAGUAGGCUACACAACCUCUGCUGAUUAGCUGCCUAGCUUGAGACGAGCUGAUCGUCAUCGCAAAAAGCGAAUUCUGGCAUCCUCUAAAUAUCACCUCAACUUGUCCCGGUUCUCUAAAAGUAACCGUGCGAUUCUUGCAAUCGAUCGUGGCAUAGUACUUGGUUAGCCAAUCCAUGCCUAAGACCACAUCAAAUUCCCCCAGCUUGCGCAAGGCUAACAAGUCCACAGGCAUAACCCAAUCUCCUAUCCGAAUAGGGCAACUGGGGAAAUACUCUCUAAUAUCCAAAGAGUGGUCGGGGACAACUACACGUCCCGGAUGCAACAAGGAAAGCAUAGGGAUGCCAUGCAAUUCGGUAAACAGCCGAUAUAUGAAUGAAUGUGAUGCACCAGUAUCAAAUAAUGCACGAACUUUAAUGCCAUCAAGUAAAAUGAUACCUGCGACCACAUCCUCGGCUGCUGCCGCCUCCUCGGUCUGAGCGGCAUACAUGCGCCCGCUCGGGGCCUGUCGAAAAUCCUCGCUCUGCCGCUGGACGGAGGGCCGUCCAGGCUGGUACUGCGCCGAUGGAGUCCCGUGGCUGGCGGCUUGUAGAACUGGUGCCGAUGCAGUCGACGGUGCCGGUGAAGAACCCCUCGGGCACUCAGUCCGCACGUGGCCCUCCUGGCCACACUGGAAGCACCUGCCCGCCCGCUGUGGACACUGCGGUGGGUGAUGAGGACUACCACAGAUCACACACGGGAAGGGCCGGCGUCGGUCAGAUCCUCCUCGCUGCGCUGCUGAGCCGCGUCCACGCUGCUGGCUCUUAGGAUGCUUCGGCGGCCUCCUAGAGUGCGUCUGGCUCGCACCCUCAGCCGCAGGCCUCUUGGCCUUGCCUUUGUCCAUGGCCUCAUACCGCUCCUGUACCUCUGCCGUGCUGCUCUCCACGAUGAGUGUGCGAUCCACCACCUCCCGGUAGGUUUGGAGGUUAGAAGAUUGCACGAAUCGGUAGAUCGAAGGUCGCAAUCCUCGGUCAAAGAUACGGCCUUGUCCUCGUCGUCCCGCACUACAAAGGGCACGCAGUGCAAAAGCCGAGAGAACUCCCUCUCGUACUCGGCUAUGGUCCGAUCACCUUGGCGCAAGUUGCGCAAGUCCUGCUCCAUCUUCCGCUUGACACUAGUCGGGAAGUAGUGCGCCAACAGAAGCUCCUUGAACUUCUUCCAUGUAAUAGCCACCAAGUCGGUGCUGGGGUUCUCGUGAAGAUCCAACCACCAGCGACAGGCCUCGCCGUCCAGAUGGUGAGUGGCGAGCCAAACUCGAUCUCUCUCCUCCACGAAGGUGUUGCGGAAGAGUUUCUCUAUAUGCAUCAACCAAUUUUCCACGAUCCAGUGGUCGACCUUCUCGCCGUCAAAGAUCCGGGGACCGCACCUCCUGAACUCGUUGAGGCGUUCCAUCAGUCGGUCCCGCUCUGCCCCCUUUACCAUCACGGGGAAAACAGCUCCAAUCGGGGGUGCCUGAACAGGUGGCGCCGCCAAAGCCUCCUCCUGAGGCGCGGCCACGGGCGCCGCACGCGACGAACUGGGCGCAGGAGACGGCGCUCUCGGCGCGACGUCCACAACUGGUGCUGGCGGUGUAGGGACCUGGGUCUCUCUGAAAGCUGCCGCCUGCUGCAGAUGAAGGUCCUCCAGGCGCUUCAUUCGCGCCUCUUGUCGGCGCGCCGCAUCGGCCUCCUGUUGGGCCGCCGCCGCCUACUGAGCCACGAGAUCAGUAAGAGUAGCAAGCUGGCUCCUCAACUCACGGACCUCGCCGGCUCCGGAGGUAGCGGAGGUCUCGACCUCCUCCAAGUUUGCCGCAUUAUCCGCUCCAGCAGAUUGAGAGCGUGUGAUCGGCAUCGCCACUACAACAUCAUAAGCGCACAAGUUAGUAAAACUCACGCUAUCGCAUCCCCGCUCAAAUAGACAAUACCCAAAUCAUGCGAAAGUAAGGAAGUGUUCUUCACCACUAACUCUCGAUGUUACGUUGUCGGCCGCCAACGUAACCCUCCGCGAAGUUAGAAGCUAUACACUUCAAUUUAACUCCACUUUCUAGAGUUAUCAAAGAUACCCAAUCAAAAUACUUUCGCUUGCAAGUCGAAUAGACCUUGUCUCUCACGAGCCUAUUUCCUAUAGUCCAACCGGCCUAAGGUUUGCUAGUAUUUCCUAUAGUCCAACCGGCCUAAGGUUUGCUAGGUCCACUAAGACUCAACCCUAGGCUCUGAUACCAAUUUAGUCUGUCACGCCCCGGGGCCCAGCGGAAGCCCGCCCGGCGCGUGUCCAGACCCGCCAUACGUCUAAAACAUAUAAGGCGUCUAAAACAAAACGAUAAAUAAGACACUAAAAGAAAACAUCUAGAAGUAUCAGAGCAAUAUACAUCAUCUAGAGACUAAAGCCAUGUGAAGAGUAGAGAGCUAAAAUCACUAAUAAACCAUAAAGUAGUACAACCAAAGAUCCAAAAUACAAAUACUAAAAGAGUACAUAUGUAAUAUACCGAAAAUUUGAAAAAUGAAUGUCGAACUUUAGUCAAAUUGACCAAAAUGCGAGGACGGUACACUUCGGAAAGUCCGAAGGUGUUAAAAUGAGUAAAAGUGCGUUGUGGAAAGUUUUCGAGAGCUAAGGAAUCAAAAACCUGCAAACUGCAGUUUUUGAGCUCUCGGGGACCGGUCCCUGGUGGGAGAGACCGGUCCCCGAAACGCGCAAGAAUUGAGAAAAGCUGAAAAUCGGCUAAGUCCCUGAGAACCAGCUCUCGGGAACCGGUCCAUCCCUGAGAGACCGGUCCCCUCAAAGAGAGCCCGGUCGCAUCGCGCGCAGCAGCUCUGGCUGCGCUGGGACAAGCUUCGGGAACCGGUCCCUGAUGGAGAGACCAGUCCCCGCCUGCGUGAACUGCCCAGUCCAGGCAGUGUGAAAGAGUAAAAGUUGAGGGGUUUAUUUGCAUUUUGGUAACCCAAUGAGUUAUGUAUGAGGGUAAAUGAGAUAUUUCUCUGAUUUUACGCCCCCUCACACUCUCUCCUCUCUUUCUCUCUCUAGAAGACAAAGAAGGAGAAGAAGAAGACAAGGAAAGGAAGGAAAAGAAGAGGAAGAAAGUGAAGAAGAAGACAAGGAGAAGAAGAAAACCUCUCCUCUCCUUCUCUAGCUUGGAAAAGGAGCAAGCUUAGAGGUAAGCUUUGCCCCUUCUCAUGCUAAAUUCCAAACUAGGGUUUGGAUUAGGCCAAGAAUGGUUUUAAUGGAGUAUUUAGAGUCUUUGAAGCUUUCUUUUGCUUCUUUUGAGAUCAAAACCAUGGUUUGGUAUAGAGGUGAAGCUUGAAGGUGAGCUUCAACACCUCUCAUGGUGAAACCCAAAUUAGGGUUUUGAUUGAGCUAGUAAUGGUUAGAAUGGACUUUUUAGAGUACCAUGAAGCUUCUUUUACUUCCCAAUGAGAUCAAACCCUAGGUUUGAUGUAUGCAAUGGAGCUAGGGCACCCAAAUUGGGGCUUUUUCUUAUGGGGGUUUCUAAGAGAAAUUGACCCUCUAGAAACCUAAUUGGGGGUAUUUUCGACACGUUGGUGCGAUCGGAUUAGCAUUACGAAAAGCCAAUUUAAAGUUAUGGGCAAAAUGACCUAAGUUGGCUUCGUUUUGCCGCAGGUAAAGAACGAGAGGCCUAAAAAUUCCAAGAAAAUCAUCGGAGCACCUUUGAGAACCUACGAAGUGGGUGGUGCUUCUCAAACUCGUUGAACUUCCCUCUAUGCCUAAUGUGUCAUUCAAUUGAGCAUAUGUUUAUACAUUGUUGCAUGCAUUUUAGGGUAAAGUGAUGAGAAAAAUGUAAUGUUGCAUGAUUGUGAGCACAACUUGCAUAAUGAGAUGGUUGAGAACCUUAUGAAUGUCAAAAACCCUAUAUGUAUGCAUGAGAGAAAAUGUGAGCACCAAAGUGAGGCUAGAGAACAGAGUGACACUAUGACAUAGGUCGAGUGGCAUUUGAUAAUGUAAAGUAAAGUGACACUAGAGGUAGUGUAAGCCAAAGAAUCAAUGUGAUGUAAAGAAUAAUGUUAAUGACUAUAGUGAAAACGAAGUGAAAUGUAAAGAACAUGAUUGCUAGAGAUAGCAAAAGUAAUGAAAGGCAAAGAACCGUGAUUGCUAGAGUAGCAACAUAAUGUGAUGUAAAGAACACUAGAGUUAGUGUAAGGUCAAGAUUGAACAUACAAUCCUUUGAGUUAAGGAUUCGAUCAUACUUGCUAUGAGUUCCGUGCUCGAGGGCGGUCGCUCCCCCUCGGGCAAUGCGCUCCGGAGUUUUUGCAUCACGGGUUGGAGUAAACCCAAAGGACGGUCUUAGCGGGAGGAAGCUGAGGGCCCGCGAUGAUGGACUUAAUGUGAAGCAAGUUAAUGUGGUGAAACCCCCGGGUUAGCCUUGAGAUUAAAGAACAAAGAUUAAAGAACAAAGAACAAAGAUAAAGUGUAAAGUGUAAAGAACAAAAGAACUUGCAUAAUCUGCAUAUGUUUAAUGUUGAGCAUACUUCCUGCUUUUUGUUCAGACAUAUUAGCAUCAUAUUAUAGUUUGGUUACUAUAUGUAGUUUUUCUUUCUAUUAUGCCUGAGUUAGUCCUAGUGGGAAAGUCGGUGAAGUUGAGGCCGAACCUACUGGGAACUUUGUUGUAGUUCUCACCCCCUCUUUUUUCACAGAGCCGGGACCGAGCGAGCCGGCGGGCGACCGAGGUAAAGGUAUCGCACCUUAGACAGAGGCCACCAGAGUUGGGUUCACAUUUUGUAGUAAAGUACCCUAUGAUCAUCUUUUGUACUUGAUGAUAAAUGAUGUAAAGAAAAGAAUGUAAUGUGUAUUUUGAGGUAAAUGUGAUGUAAGAAAGAAUUGAUGAAGUGAAAUGUAAGGAAUUCGAAAAUGUACAAGAUGAAUGCAAUGUAUAUGAUUGAAAAUGAAUCAUAGUACAGUGAAUGUUUAGUUUCCUUUUCUCUCACUCGUGGCUAUUGAUUACCCUCGUGUAAGCCGUAUUUGUAUGUUUCCGCUAGUGCACUUCUUGUUUGAAAAUGUACAUGUGAUGAGCCUUGGGCGGACAGGAGAAACUCUGUCCGUUCGGUAUCUGUUUGACGUGCUCGGGCCGGCCCAAAUUGGUAUCGGUCCCGGGGCGUGACAACAUAGGUGGUCUCUAUACAUGGUAAACAAAAUCUCUCUCUCUCUCUAAUACAAUAAAAGAAGAGUAAACCACCUGAGCUCAAAGGAAGUUCCCCGCUAACUAGCUAUGCGACUCUCUUGCCGCGAUCCCGUGCCUCCGCCGGUGCCGAAGGCUCUGAAAUAAAAAUCAUAAAACAGAGGGCGUGAGAACUAUUAAAUAAUAGUUCCCAGUGGGCAAUUACUGACUUCAGUGAAAUGCGCCACUAGGCCCAAAAGCUACAAAAAAGAGGGGUCAGUGUAUAUGUGACGCACUGGACCUUUACAAAUUGCAAGGUUCGAGUGUUUGUUUCGUGUUGUGAGCUUUUCCACACUUCGUGGAGGGUUGUUGGUAGUGUUUCGACCCAUGGUUCGAACCUCGAGAUUGGAGGUUUAAAAUCUAGCACCAAAAUCUGAAAAGUCGGAAUUUUGGUCAGCUCUCGGGUAGCCUCAGCAGGGCUGUGUACCGGUACGGGGCUGAUGGCUGUACCGGUACGCGCUGAUAGCUGUAUCGGUACGGGGCUGGUGUACCGGUACACAGACUGAUUUCGUGCAAACACGAGGCUCGGGUUUGGCUGUUUCGCAGGCGUUGUACCGGUACGCGAGCCCGUGUACCUGUACACAGUGCAGCGCGAGCAGUUUUCGUGGAGGGUUGUUUUUGCAAUUGUUGCAACCUCUAUAAAAGUCAACCCCAGCCCCCAUGGCUGCUCUUUGAGCCUCAGACCAGUGGACGAUAAGUGAGGCUCUUCCCCCCUCUGUCUUUUUUCAUUUUGAGGAUUUGAUGCUAGUUUGAUCUGUUCUUUCUUCUUCUCUUGAUUUGUUGUCAACACCCUCUAGGACCAUUGAGAAGCUUGGAUGAGUUGAAUUCCCGGGAGCUUGAGAUUGAGGAAUCAAGGCUUCAACCCUUGGGAGCGUUAGCACUUUGGUUUAUUGGAGCUUUCUUAAGAGAGGCUAUUUACGUAACAGUAUUUCCUUUUGAAUAUCGUGUCUUUGAUGGAUUUCCUAGAGAAAACCUAGAUCUUUGGAUUUCCUACGGGUUAGAAUUUAGGGAUUUUGAUUUGUAAGCUUCUGGAACCAAAUUAAUUGCUAGAACUUUGUCUCAGGUUGGAAUAGAAGCCUCUAACUCCCUUAUUGGAGUCGCUCGAGAGUAUUUUCUUAGCUUUCAGUGAGUUUCUUACACCUUUGAUGUGUGUAGUUUACAUGUCGAGCAAUGGUUGUUCGUAAACGUUUUGUAUACUCUCCUUUUCUAUAACUUUAGGUACAGGAAGUGUGGACCACUCGUCGGAGCAACACGAAGGGUUUCGAUUAGCUUCGGUGGUUUGGCUUCUUUGAUAUAGGGGAAAUGCCUCUAUGUGAUUAAAUUGUUUCGUUACUAAAAUGCAUCGCAAAUUCAUGGAAGAGGUAGAAUAUUAUAAUGAAUUUUGGAAUGCUAAAACACAAUGCAUUAUGUAUUCCUAAUGAAACUUACUCUAUGAAUAGUAGAGCCUUAUGAGUAAGUAUGGCACUGACACAAGUGCUAUACGUAUUCCUCCUAUUACUUGGAAAUGUCUCUGUGUGGAAAAUGACUCAAAUGUAUGUACUCUUUGAAGCAUAGAAUGGCCAGAUGCUCACGCCAGUGCUAUGACUUAGUGAACAAAAGUGCAUAAAGGAGACGACUUGAACUAUAAAAUGUUUGAACUGCAACUUGGAGACAUAGGAUAGGCCACCUAGACAUCUGCUAUAUCCAGUAUUUAGAGCUGAUGACAUAGACGAUAAGCACAUUGAGAACGAGCACGUUACAUUAUAUUCCAUGAAUUUUAGACAAAGAUCGCAAUUAGGAGACAGGAUCCCUUGAGAUCAAUUACUAUAUUCCAUUUUAGACAGUGAUAGAAAGAAGUAUUCGUGACAUAUGAGAAUAGGCCAUUGAGAUUAGUUCUACUAUAUUUUCGCUGUAUUUAGACACGAUGACAUAAGACGGCAUGGCCUUUGGGACAAUGUGACGUAUUCAGGCGUUUAGAUCCGAAUGAAAUUCAGUAUGAGCCACUGGAACGCUGCGACGAACUUAUUCGCUUGCAUGCCAUUGUGCUCAUUCGCACAUACUUGUGAGGGUCGCUCCCCACAAGUCGGCACUCCGGAGAUAGCCAUCGCGACACAUGCUCCCCCGUGCGGGAUUGGACGCCAAAAUGGGAUACCGUGGGGGAGGCUCAUUCCUAGAGUGGGUAUGUUGACUACCACGGGGCCAUUGUUGGCACGGCGCAGGCCGGACUACCUACGGGUAGCUUCCGCAGGAUUGGGUUACUAGUGACAUACUACGCCAUUUGGACAUUGACUAGAAUAGUAAAUAUUGACACAUUACCAUUCUAGCUUGUGGUUAUUAUUUUCGGCUCAUACUUGUGCAAUUAUGCCAUGAUAGUUUAUUACUUAUGCAAAUUCAUGCUAAGUAGAGAUCAUGUGGUAGUUUAUUACUUAUGCAAAUUCAUGCUAAGUAGAGAUCAUGUAGUAGGUUAUUACUUAUGCAAAUUCAUGCUAAGUAGAGAUCAUGUGGUGGAUUAGGGUGUGUUCUAAUGCAGAAUGGUAGAGUAAUUGCUUAUGCAUCUCGUCAAUUGGAAGAUUAUGAAAAGAACUACCCUACACACGAUUUGGAGUUAGCAGCUGUGGUAUUUGCUUUAAAGCUUUGGCGCCACUACCUCUACGGCGAGCGUUGCGAAGUUUAUACAGAUCAUAAAAGCUUAAAGUAUCUGUUUACACAGAAGGAAUUAAACUUGAGGCAACGUAGAUGGUUGGAGUUACUCAAGGAUUAUGAUUUGACCAUCCUCUAUCAUCCUGGAAAAGCUAAUGUCGUAGCAGAUGCUUUAAGUCGAAAAUCGACGGAAAAUUUGGCGAUGUCGAUAACAAUGCAACCACUGUUGGUAAAGGAAAUGGAGCAAUUGAAUUUGGAAGUGGUAGCUCCUGAUACACUUUGGAGACUUAUGUCAUUAGUGGUGCAACCUACCCUGAUCAAUCGAAUUAAGGAAAAGCAAACUCAAGAUGAAUUCCUGCAGAAGAUUCGGGAUAAGAUCACUGUUGAUCAUGAUAGUGAUUUUCGAGUAGAUGAUCAAGGACUAUUAAAAUUCGGUGAUAGGCUUUGUAUACCGGCAGAUUCUGGUAUUAAAGAAGAGAUUCUAGCAGAAGCACAUCGGGCGCCGUAUACUGUGCACCCUGGAAGUACAAAAAUGUAUAAGGAUUUGAAGUUAACUUACUGGUGGCCUGGAAUGAAAAAGGACGUUGCGAACUUCGUGGCUAAGUGCUUAACUUGUCAGCAGGUUAAAGCUGAACAUCGACUUCCUGCGGGGAAACUUCAGAGCUUACCCUUACCAGUGUGGAAGUAGGAGAGGAUCACUAUGGAUUUCAUCGUUGGAUUACCUCGCUCACAGGCAGGUCACGAUGCCAUUUGGGUAAUUGUAGACAGAUUGACCAAAUCUGCCCACUUUAUUCCAAUCCACACAACUUGGUCAGGAGAGAAAAUCGCACAAUUGUACCUUGAUGAAGUUGUGCGAUUACACGAAGUGCCUGUUUCCAUUGUUUCAGAUCGAGAUACCUGCUUUAUUUCACAUUUUUGGAGGAGCUUACAGGAGGCUAUGGGUACCCGACUGGAUUUUAGUACUGCUUUCCACCCCCAGAGUGAUGGGCAGUCUGAGCGUACCAUCCAGACCCUUGAAGAUAUGUUGCGAGCCUGUGUAAUUGACUACCAGGGCAGUUGGCCACAGUUUCUACCGAUGGCUGAAUUUGCUUAUAACAAUAGUUAUCAAGCAAGCAUUCAGAUGGCACCUUUUGAAGCCCUUUAUGGUAGAAAGUGCAGAUCACCACUUCAUUGGAGCGAAGUGGGAGAAAGACUAGUUUUGGGUCCAGAUGUACUGCAAGAAGCUGAAGCUAAAGUUCGACUGGCACGUGAACGUCUACUGACAGCACAAAGUCGACAAAAGAGCUAUGCGGAUAAGCGUCGGCGAGAACUGGCAUUCCAAGUUGGCGAUCAUGUAUUUCUAAAGGUUUUCCCGACAAAAGGAGUUAAAAGAUUUGGUAUUCGAGGAAAGUUGAGUCCUCGAUNNNNNNNNNNNNNNNNNNNNNNNNNNNNNNNNNNNNNNNNNNNNNNNNNNNNNNNNNNNNNNNNNNNNNNNNNNNNNNNNNNNNNNNNNNNNNNNNNNNNGUGGAAUGUAAAAUGUAAUAGCUGAGAUGAAUGCUUGUAAUAGCAAGUAGAUUUAUGUUUUUGAUACUUCCUUAUGCAAUCUUUGGUUGAAAUGUGUUCCUAGUUGGAACUUCGUACAUUGUAUUGAUUGCGACGCCUUGAACGUACAGGGGAGACUCUGUCCACGGUACAGGAGAAACCCUGUCCGUUCGGCGGUCUGUUAGCGUGCCGAAUCCGACCAAAGAGGCGGGCUCGCGGCGUGACAAAUAUACUCUAAAUAGUCCAUUAGAACCAUUCCUAACUCAUUCCAAACCCUAGUUUGGAUUCUACCAUGAGAGGGGAUGAAGCUCUCCUUCAAGCUUCACCUCCAACACUAAACCUAUGGUCUUGAUCUCAAAUGAAGCAAAAGAAAAGCUUCAAAAACUCAAAAUGCUCUAUAAAAAUCAUUUCUAGGUCACAUAGCCCCCAUUUACAGUUUUAGCAUGAUUAGGGUUCAAAGCUUACCUUGUAAGCUUUCUCUUUCCAAGCUAGAGAUGAGGGAGAGGGAGUUUCUUCACUUCCUCUUCUUCUUCUCCACUUUCUUCCUCUUCUUUUCCUUCUUUUCCUUCUUUUUUUCUUCUUUGCCUUCUAGAGAGAGAGAGGGAGAGGGAUGAGUUUGGGUGUGAGGGAAUGAGAGGGAGAGGCUCUCUCAGCCCUAAACAUGACCCACAGAAUGCAUUUUUGCAGAUAAGUCCCUCAGCUUUCAUCUCAUUACACUGCCCGAACUGGGCAGUUCGCGCAGCCGGGGACCGGUCUCUCCUUCAGGGACCGGUUCCCGAAGGUCGUCCCAGCAUAGCCAGAGCUGCUGCACGCGAUGCAUUCGGUCUCUCCUUGGGGGACCGGUCUCUCGGGGACCGGUAUCUCAGGCAGGGACCGGUUCCCGAGAGCUGCCUUCCCAGGACUUAGCCGAUUUUUCGGUUGUCUCACUUCAUAAGCGUUCGGGGACCGGUCUCUCCCUCCAGGGACCGGUCCCCGAGAGCUCAAAACUGCAGAAUGCAGAUUUUGAUUCUAUAGCUCUCAAAAACCUCCCAUAACUCGCUUUUAAUCACUUUAACACCUUCGGACUUUCCGAAGUGUACCGUCCUUGCACUUUGGUCAAUUUGACUAAAGUUGGACAUCUUUAUUUUCCGAAUUUUCGGUAUAUUACAAACUUCGUUGUAGUUCUCACACCACUAACCCUACAGGUCCUGGCACGAGCGGGGCGGCGGAGGACCGAAGCAAGGGUUUGGCGCCGUAGGUAGCGGCCACCGGGACUUUAUACAUUUUGUAGCCAUUCCUUUUUGAUAUACUUGUAUCAACUUUAUUCUCUUGAUUUAGAGAUGCAAAGUGUAAACAAUCAUGUAUUUGGUGGAUGACUAAAUGUAAAAAGAUAUGAUGCAAAAAUGUAAUAGUUUUACUUGAAUUUGGUUUAAAUAUAAUCAAAUAUCAUGUAUGUUGCUUAAUUAGCUUAGAGCUUUCGCCUCCGUUGUUGCUUGCCCUCGUGCAAGCCUUGUAUUAUAUAUGCAAAUCUCUUGUUGAUUGCCUAUUUAUACAUGUUGUUAGAGCCUUGGGUGGACAGGGGAGGCUCUGUCCGUUCGGCGUCUAUUGACGUGACCCGAACCCGACCAAAUUGGCGGGGAUUGGGGCGUGACAGAUAUAAUGGUAUCAGAGCGAAGCGGAAAGCAAAAGUCUAGGGAUGACCUAGAAACCCUAGGAAAUUGGAGACCUUAGGAGUUUAGGAAACGUUUAACGUGGACUUGGUUUAUGCGAAAGCGAAUAAUUGGGUCAGGGUCAACUUCCUGGAGAAGUAGAGAUUGGACUAGGGGCUUAAUUGCUUGUCGUAACUUAACAGGACCUUGUUGACGGCAGCUCGGACCACAUAACACGAAAGUGAAAAUAAUUAGCUUUGUGCUUUUCGCUUAAUUGUGGGUUAGCUACUUUGAACGUGUAAUCAGUCACGUGUGUCGAGUGCUCCAGAAGAUAUGUGCAUUGCGUUGCAGACGCUGAUGGCACCACCAAGGAGAGUUACGAGGGUCCACCGGCGGAGCUCGGAGGAGGCCCGCGCAGUCGGUCGUACGAAGUAUGCGAGUUGCGAGCUCCAUGGUAGCGCUUUGGCAACGGGCUAUGCGAAAACUCAAUGGAGCAGAAUUGACAGCUCCCAGAGAUGAUGGCACACCAGGCCGCGGGCAGCAUUAGUGCCGUAGGUAGAACUGCAUGGGUAGCGGCUAGCGCAAGCGCCAGUGACGGCUGACCUCUGGCAGCAUCGGGUUCAGUCGGUUCCUAUUUCCAAUGUGCUUGAGGCCGGAGCGAGGCGUACGUAGCGGUGCUAACGGCAUUCAAGCGUUUCAGACCCUCGACCUUCAACCGCGGAGUCUGGAUGUGAAGGAUCCGUGGGUGACGGAAUUGGUUGGCCGCGGUGAUGAGACUAUCGAGGAUAUCUCAUACCUCGAGAAAGGGAUAACAGUUCAUCCUGGCGGCUCAUUUUUUGGAUGGUCGGCUAGUUGUGGUGAAUCAACGAAGAAGAACCCGCUGGGCAGACUUCACUAUGGAAGGCGGUUUUCGGAGAUGCUUGCUUAUUGAGUAGUUCCACGAAGUGACAGAAAGACAAAAAUCAAGGUGGAUUUUCGAAAACUAAGCAGAGGAAGCAGAAUGGUGGGGAGUUACGAAAGGAAUUUACGCACAUAUUAACUGCAUGCGGACUUGUUCACGGCGAUAGGGGAAUGACGCUAGGUGUUUGAGCGCGUUGGACCCGAGAUUUUCGAAGUCAAUUCAUGCAUUCUCGUGAAGACCUGUGAGGAGUUUGACCCGCGCCUGGGUGUGAGGCGGAAAUGCAGUGCGCUGACGAACUUGAGGCAUUUGAGCAAGGAUAAGGAGGAGAAGACUAAUGAACGAUCCUGCUGUGAUCGGCGGUCGAGUCGAGUUCUAAGCGAACCAUCGGACCUCAGCGGGAUCACCAGUGGCUGGGGCAGUAUGUCACGCCAACAGAUCCCCCCAAUUUUGGUCGGUCGGGUCGCACCAAGCGACGCCGAACGGAAACCACCCCUGUCCGCCUAAGGAUCUAUCAACAUGUAGAUAAGAUAGCAAGUCAAAGAGAAUUGCAUAUGUAAUACAAGUUUGCACGAGGGCAAGCCAAAACGAAAGCAAAAAGCUUAAAGUUAAUUAGCAAUCAUACAUGAUAUUUGAGUUACAUUAAUCAAAUCAAGAUAAACCAAUUAUUAAUUCACAUCUAUUCAACCAUUAAUCUUUUACAAUUUGUCAUCCACCAAAUACGAUGAUUGUUUACCCUUUUACAUCGCCUAAGAUCAACAGAAUAAGGUUGAUUACAUGUGUAUCAAAGGGAAUGACAUAAAUGCAUAAAUCCGUGCGCUACCUACUGGCCAAACCCUUGCUCGGUCCUCGCCGCCGCUUGCUAGGACCUGUAGGGUUAGUGGUGUGAGAACUAAACAAAGUUCCCAGUGGGCUCGGCAUCCGACCUCGCCGGCUUACCCACUAGGUCCAUCCAGGCAUAAGUAUUACAAAGGAAAGAGAAGUAACCAAUACUAGUGCAGCUAAUACCAUGCCUGCAAAAGAAUGUCAGUGGAUACAUAUACUCGAUGCAAUAAUAGAAAAUGCAUGCAUGCUCAAAUCACGAAGAAGCUUUGGCUCGUACCCAAUCUUACCGGUUAACGUUGUUAACCCCAAUAAUUCACCACUCAAAAUCCCUUAAUAACGGGGGACUCGAACCACCCUAGGGACCGUCAAUUGGUGGGACUUUACCACGCCCAGUGGUGACCAACUCCGGAGCGCACCGCUCGAGGGGGAACGACCUCCCUCAAGCCAAGACGAAAUGUGAGUAACGAUCUAAUCCUCAACUUGAGGAUUCAUAGCCACUAGUCACAAUACCAAUGUCACGAUAGGUCUCUACCUAUUCAUUCUUGCCACUCUCAAGGCUUUACCUUUGACGAUGUCAUAAUUGGUUAAACUAAGUUUAACAGUUCAUCUCUCAAUGCAAUUCUUAUUAACAAUAGCUUAGGAUUAUCUAAGAAGCAUCCUAGCAAGAUUCCUAGACCCUUGGAACCAACCCUAGGGCUUCUAUGACAAACCCUACCCAACCACCAUGAGAGCACUUGAGCUCUCAUGGGUUCCAUAGAGUUCAAAGCAUAUAGAAGGUUCCCAUGGCCAAAAACAACCCAAAGCUCCAAAACAUAGGGAUUAAAACCAAGCCCUAGACUUAUUUCUACCAAAAACUCACCUUAGCCCAAGCCCCUCCAAGUCCUUCUUGUAGGAGAGCUUGUAGAACCCACCAAAGCCUCCAAAUCCACCUUACCUUGCUUCUUCUUCUUCUUCUUCUCCAAGCCCUAGAGCAAGAGUUCUAGAGAGAGAAAGAGAGGAAAUAGGAGAGAAGGGUGAAAAUGGCUGUGGGAGAGAGAGGGGUGUCCACAUAUAGUGUUGUGACAAUUGCAUUUAAGUCCCUCAACUUGUUUCCCCUUGAUCUGCCCAGACUGGGCGUUUUUCGCCUUCGGGGACCGGUCUCCCCGACCAGGGACCGGUUCCCGAACGGGGGUUUUCCAGGACUUAGCCAAAUUUUCGAGUUUUUCAGCUGUUGCGCAGUGAGGGACCGGUCUGCCCGUCAGGGACCGGUCUCCCGAGGACCGGUCUCACCACCAGGGACCGGAUGCCUCAGGACUUCCUGGCAGGCUAGCGCACGGGGACCGGUCUCUCCUUCAGGGACCGGUCCCCGAGAGCUCAAAAUCUGGGACUUAGCUAGAUUUUCAGAUUUGCUCUCCGGGUCCCUUUUUGCUCUGUUUAUGAACUCUAAUGUGCUUAGGGUCCUUUCUAACUCGUUCAAUUCCGCGUUCCGCUGGUUUUGACGGAACUCGGCACGAUUUACGAGCGAUGUGGUAUGUUACAAGGUAGGAGUCAGACACAGGGCCAGAUUACCUUCCCGUGCGUGAUAUGCGACGGAGAGCAUAGAGCCACCAUUUGCCCGCAGUGGGAGGGGCGGUGUUACCGAUGUGGCCAACCGGGACACAUGAGCCAAGAGUGCCCGGGCGGCGCAUCCCCAGCUCCGUCAUCAGCUUCAAUUCAGUACACUCAGCGACAGCUGGCGGGACUGCCACCCGCGACAUCUGCUCGACGAUCGUCGGCACCUCGUCAGCCGGAGGCCUCUCGAGCACCUAGUGGGCGCGUAUUUGCCACUCAGGUGGAGAAGCCACCAAUCAUUGUUCCUGACGACGUCGUGGCAGGUAUUAUUCUGAUCAAAGGCACUAGGGCUAGAGCCAUAUUUGACACGGGUGCAUCUCAUUCAUUCAUAUUAGCAUCAUUUGCACAAGCUCAUAAUAUAGAGAUCACUCAUAAUGAGGAGUAUUGGUCGGUGAACACUCCCGGACACUCGAUCGACGUUUACGAUGAGUGCUUGGACUGCCCAGUGCAAAUAGGCGAUUGGAUUAUGCCGAUCGACCUUCUAGUGUUGAAAGAAAUGUGGGGAUUCGAGGUAAUCUUGGGGAUCAAUUGGCUCUCCAAGUAUUACGCGGUUAUAGAUUGUGAAAGAAGGGUGAUCACGUUCCGUGAACCCAACCAAGAGGAGUUUGUCUACCGGGCGUGCAAGGGCAAACGCUUUGCAGCCACUAUAUCGACGGUGAGGGCGAAAAGGAUGAUCAAAGGCGGCUGUAAGGCCUACUUGGCGACCAUCGUAGACUCUCGAAAAGAGUACCCGGAAUUGGAGAGUAUUCGAGUUGUGCGGGAGUAUCCGGAUGUAUUCCCCGCGGAGUUACCGGGAUUGCCCCCGGAUCGGGAAGUCGAGUUUGUGAUUGACUUGAUUCCCGGGGCGGCGCCAAUUUCGAAGGCUCCGUACAGAAUGGCACCGGUGGAGUUGAAGGAAUUGAAAGCUCAGUUACAAGACUUGCUCGAUAAGGGCUUCGUACGGCCGAGCGUGUCCCCGUGGGGAGCUCCGGUGCUAUUUGUAAAGAAAAAGGACGGCACACUUCGACUCUGCGUUGAUUAUCGCGAGUUGAACAAAGUGACGAUCAAGAACAAAUACCCGUUGCCAAGGAUUGAUGACCUGUUCGAUCAGUUGCAAGGGUCAAGGGUAUACUCGAAGAUUGAUCUACAGUCGGGGUAUCAUCAGUUGAAGAUACGGCCCAAAGACGUGCACAAAACGGCGUACCGUACGCGGUAUGGCCAUUAUGAGUUCACGGUAAUGCCGUUUGGGCUUACUAAUGCCCCAGCAGCAUUCAUGGACUUGAUGAAUAGAGUCUUCCGUCCGCUAUUGGACCGGUGCGUCGUGGUAUUCAUUGACGACGUAUUGGUAUAUUCUCGGACCGAAGAAGAACACGAAGAGCAUUUAAGACUCGUGUUGGAGAUACUCCGGAAGGAAAAGCUUUACGCAAAAUUAAAGAAAUGCGAGUUUUGGCUUUCGGAGGUUACUUUCUUGGGCCACGUUGUGUCCGGAGAUGGCAUCUCGGUGGACCCAAAGAAAGUUGAGGCGAUUAAAGAUUGGCCUCGCCCGACGAGUGUAGCGGAAAUUCGUAGCUUCCUUGGACUUGCGGGCUAUUACCGGCGGUUCGUGGAGGGGUUUGCUAAAAUAACAACUCCACUAACGCGCCUUACGCACAAAGGGGUGAAGUAUGUUUGGAGCCCCGAGUGUGAGCGGAGCUUUGAAGAGCUAAAGACUAGAUUAACAUCUACUCCGGUGCUUGCUUUGCCGACGCCGGGAGAGAGCUAUGUCGUGUACAGUGAUGCCUCGUACGUGGGACUCGGGUGUGUCUUGAUGCAAAACGGCCGAGUCAUAGCUUAUGCUUCGCGCCAACUGAAGAAUUAUGAAAAGAACUACCCGACUCACGACCUUGAGCUAGCGGCGGUUAUAUUCGCGCUAAAAUUGUGGAGGCAUUACUUGUAUGGGGAACAUUGUGAGAUCUACACCGAUCAUAAGAGUCUCAAAUACUUGUUCACCCAAAAUGAGCUAAACUUGCGGCAGCGGCGGUGGUUAGAGUUGCUCAAGGAUUAUGAUGUCACGAUCCUCUACCACCUCGGGAAAGCAAACGUCGUGGCCGAUGCUCUAAGUAGAAAGUCGGCGGAAAAUUUGGCGGCGAAGGUUACGCCUCAACCGGCAUUGCAAAAGGAGAUGCAACGGUUUGGCCUAGAGGUUGUAGCACCGGGGGUGCCGGCAACACUUGCCACCCUGGUUGUACAGCCAACCCUGUUGGAGAAGAUUAAAGGAUUACAAGCGUCGGAUGAAUUUCUCCAAAAGGUGCGGAGUAAAGUUGAGAGGGGUAAUGCCGAUGAUUUCGGCAUUGGAACCGACGACACACUACGAUAUUGAGAUCGUUGGUGCGUAUCCAAGGACGACGACCUUCGGAAGGCGAUUAUACAAGAAGCGCAUCAAUCUCCCUACAGUAUACACCCGGGCGGCACCAAAAUGUAUCGAGACCUGAAAUUGCAUUAUUGGUGGCCGGGCAUGAAGAAGGAUAUAGGAGAGUUCGUAGCGCAGUGCCUCACGUGCCAACAAGUUAAGGCGGAACAUCGAUUUCCGGCGGGAAAGUUACAAAAUCUACCAAUACCCGUGUGGAAAUGGAAAAAUAUCGCAAUGGAUUUUGUGACGGGCUUGCCUAGAUCACAAGCUGGACACGACGCGAUUUGGGUAGUUGUGGACCGGUUGGCCAAAUCGGCACACUUUUUGCCGAUCCACACUACUUGGUCGGGAGACAAAUUGGCUCAAGUCUAUGUUGACGAGGUGGUGAGGCUUCACGGGGUUCCGGUAUCUAUUGUAUCGAAUCGGGACCCUAGGUUCACAUCUCAUUUUUGGAAGAGCUGGCAAGAUGCAUUGGGCACACGGCUCGAUUUUAGUACGGCAUUCUAUCCUCAAAGUGACGGUCAAUCGGAGAGGACAAUUCAAAUACUUGAGGACAUGCUUCGAGCGUGUGUGCUUGACUAUAAGGGCGGAUGGCAUGAUCAUUUACCGAUGGCGAAAUUCGCAUACAACAAUAGCUAUCAAGAAAGUAUUGUGAUGGCGUCAUUCGAGGCCCUUUACGGAAGGAAGUGUCGCUCGCCAAUACAUUGGAGCGAUGUGGGCGAGAAAAUGGUUCUUGGCCCCGACGUGGUGCGAGAGGCGGAGGAGAAAGUCCACCUUGCCCGACAAAGGUUGGUGACGGCGUAGUCACGGCACAAGAGUUAUGCCGGCAAGCGGCGAAAGGACAUUGAGUUCGCGGUAGGAGACCGCGUAUUUCUAAAGGUAUCGCCGAUGCGAGGAGUUAAGCGGUUCGGUGUUCGUGGGAAAUUAAGUCCCCGCUAUAUCGGACCCUUCGAGAUUUUGGAACGAGUUGGUACGGUGGCCUACAAGUUGGCAUUACCACCGAGACUCGUGGGAGUACAUGAUGUAUUCCAUGUAUCCCAACUCCGCAAGUAUGUGUACGAUCCAGAUCAUAUUCUCUCGUAUAUACCGAUGGAGCUUCAAGAGGAUAUGACAUAUGAGGAAUUCUCGGCGUAUAUUGCCGAUCGGGAGGUGCGAAAGCUUCAGAACCGCGAAAUCCCGUAUGUUAAAGUUCAUUGGUACGAACACGAUGACCGGGAAGAAACGUGGGAGCUCGAAAGCGAAAUGGGGGAGCGUUAUCCUCACCUCUUCGAGGAUCCGAAGUGAGGUAAGAAAUUAAAUUCCAAUCUUAGUAGUUUCGCGGACGAAACUAAAUUUUAGGGGUGGAGAAUGUAACAUACCACAUCCUCGUAAAUCGUAUCGAGUUCCGUCAAAAUGAGCGGAACGCGGAAUUGAACGAGUUAGAAUGGACCCUAAGUGCAUUAGAGUUCAUAAAUGGAGCUAAAAGGGACCCGAGAGAGCAAAUCUAAAAAUCUGGCUAUGUCCCAGAUUUUGAGCUCUCGGGGACCGGUCCCUGAAGGAGAGACCGGUCCCCGUACGCGUAGCCUGCCAGGAAGUCCUAAGGCAUCCGGUCCCUGGUGGUGACACCGGUCCUCGGGAGACCGGUCCCAGACGGGCAGACCGGUCCCUCGCUGCGCAACAGCUGAAAAACUCAAAAAUUUGGCUAAGUCCUGGAACACCCACGUUCGUGAACCGGUCCCUGGUCGGGGAGACCGGUCCCCGAAGGCGAAAAACUCCCAGUCUGGGCAGACCAAAGGGAAACAAGUGGAGGGGCUUAAAGGCAAUUGUUACAACACUAUAUAUGGACACCCCUCUCUCUCCCACAGCCAUUUCCACCCUUCUCACCCAUUUUCUCUCUUUCUCUCUCUAGAACUCUUGCUCUAGGGCUUGGAGAAGAAGAAGAAGAAGCAAGGAGGAGGUGGAUUUGGUGACUUUGGUGGGUUCUACAAGCUCUUCUACAAGAAGGACUUGGAGGAGCUUGGGGCUAAGGUGAGUUUUGGUACAAAUGAGUCUAGGGUUUGGAUUUUGGCUUAGAAAAUUGGAGCUUUGUGCUCCCUAGAGGCUUUAGAGGCUCUUUUGAGCCAUGUAUACCAUGGUACCCAUGAGAGCUCAAAGUGCUUUUAUGGUGAAUCCUUAGAAGUAGUGUUUGGACCCCUAGGGUUGGUACCAAAGGUCUAGAAACCUUACUAGAGUGCUUCUUAGAUGAUCCUAAGCUAUUGUUUGCUUANNNNNNNNNNNNNNNNNNNNNNNNNNNNNNNNNNNNNNNNNNNNNNNNNNNNNNNNNNNNNNNNNNNNNNNNNNNNNNNNNNNNNNNNNNNNNNNNNNNNNNNNNNNNNNNNNNNNNNNNNNNNNNNNNNNNNNNNNNNNNNNNNNNNNNNNNNNNNNNNNNNNNNNNNNNNNNNNNNNNNNNNNNNNNNNNNNNNNNNNNNNNNNNNNNNNNNNNNNNNNNNNNNNNNNNNNNNNNNNNNNNNNNNNNNNNNNNNNNNNNNNNNNNNNNNNNNNNNNNNNNNNNNNNNNNNNNNNNNNNNNNNNNNNNNNNNNNNNNNNNNNNNNNNNNNNNNNNNNNNNNNNNNNNNNNNNNNNNNNNNNNNNNNNNNNNNNNNNNNNNNNNNNNNNNNNNNNNNNNNNNNNNNNNNNNNNNNNNNNNNNNNNNNNNNNNNNNNNNNNNNNNNNNNNNNNNNNNNNNNNNNNNNNNNNNNNNNNNNNNNNNNNNNNNNNNNNNNNNNNNNNNNNNNNNNNNNNNNNNNNNNNNNNNNNNNNNNNNNNNNNNNNNNNNNNNNNNNNNNNNNNNNNNNNNNNNNNNNNNNNNNNNNNNNNNNNNNNNNNNNNNNNNNNNNNNNNNNNNNNNNNNNNNNNNNNNNNNNNNNNNNNNNNNNNNNNNNNNNNNNNNNNNNNNNNNNNNNNNNNNNNNNNNNNNNNNNNNNNNNNNNNNNNNNNNNNNNNNNNNNNNNNNNNNNNNNNNNNNNNNNNNNNNNNNNNNNNNNNNNNNNNNNNNNNNNNNNNNNNNNNNNNNNNNNNNNNNNNNNNNNNNNNNNNNNNNNNNNNNNNNNNNNNNNNNNNNNNNNNNNNNNNNNNNNNNNNNNNNNNNNNNNNNNNNNNNNNNNNNNNNNNNNNNNNNNNNNNNNNNNNNNNNNNNNNNNNNNNNNNNNNNNNNNNNNNNUGAGUUAUUGGGGUUAACAAGGUUAACCGGUAAGAUUGGGUAAGAGCCAAAGCUUAUUUGUGAUUUGAGCAUGCAUGCAUUUCCUAUUAUCGCGUUGAGUAUUUGAAUCCACUGACAUUCUUCUGCAGGCAUAGUAUUAGAUGCAUUAGUACCGGUUACUUUUCUUUCCUUGAAAUACUUAUGUCUGGAUAGACCUAGUGGGUAAGUCGGCGAGGUCGGAUGCCGAACCCACUGGAAACUUCGUUGUAGUUCUCACACCACUAGCCCUACAGGUCCUGGCACGAGCGGGGCGGCGGAGGACCGAGGCAAGGGUUUGGCGCCGUAGGUAGCGGCCACCGGGACUUUAUACAUUUUGUAGUCAUUCCUUUUUGAUAUACAUGUAUCAACUUUAUUCUGUUGAUUUAGAGAUGCAAAGUGUAAACAAUCAUGUAUUUGGUGGAUGACUAAAUGUAAAAAGAUAUGAUGCAAAAAUGUAAUAGUUUUACUUGAAUUUGGGUUAAAUGUAAUCAAAUAUCAUGUAUUUUGCUUAAUUAGCUUAGAGCUUUCGCCUCCGUUGUUUCUUGCCCUCGUGCAAGCCUUGUAUCAUAAAUGCAAAUCUCUUGUUGAUUGCCUAUUUAUACAUGUUGUUAGAGCCUUGGGCGGACAGGGGAGGCUCUGUCCGUUCGGCGUCUGUUGACGUGACCCGAACCCGACCGAAUUGGCGGGGAUUGGGGCGUGACAUUCGGCAUCCAACCUCGCCGACUUACCCACUAGAUCUAUCCAGGCAUAAGUAUUUCAAGGAAAGAAAACUAACCAAUACUAAUGCAUUUAAUACUAUGCUUGCAAAAGAAUAUCAGUGGAUACAUAUACUCAAUGCAAUAAUGGAAAUGCAUGCAUGCUCAAAUUAUGAAUAGGCUCUGGCUCUUACCCAAUCUUACCGGUUAACCUUGUUAACCCCAAUAACCCAUAACCCAAAAUCCCUUUCUUUACCGGGGAGGCUCCAAGAACUACCGACCCGAGGGACCGUCUUCAGGAACCGCGCUCCCUGUGGUGGCGAUUUUCGAAAACACACCGCUUGAGGAGGAGCGACCUCCCUCAAGCCAAGACUUAUUAUGAGUGUCGAUCAAAUCCCCAACUUGAGGAUACUAAGCCACAUGUCACGUUGCCACUUUUGUGAUAGGUUUUCUACCUAUGUUUUUCAUAUCACUUUCUAAUCAAUCUUACCACAAUGUCACUAUGGUUAAACCUAUGUUUAACAAUUAUGUUCUCAAGGCCAAUCUCGUCUCUAAUGUCCAUGUCACCUUUGUUUACUAUUGUCAAGUCCACGUCUCACAUCAUACAAUCUCUAGGGUUCCACUAUACAUGCCCAUCAUGGUUCCAUAACUCUCGAUAUUCAAUUACAUUAAAUACACAUAAUGAAGGCAACCAAUAUUCACAUGUAACUUAACCCUACAUGCUUGAAUGUUUCAAUAUACAAGUAUGCUCGAAAAAAGGUGAAAACAGACAUAAUGAGGAAUCCGGUGAUUCCGUUGUGCACCCCCCACCUCUAAUGGUUGUUAGGUCCUAUGUGUUGGCAAGUUUCGUGGCUCGAGUCGGAGUCUUGAAGAAGUAAAGAGCGGAGUAUUGAAGAUCGAAGAAUCCAAGACUUCGAAGAAUCGGAAAGGACGCAAAACACGCAAAACAUGAAUCACGAUACUUAGGUAAGCUUUAAAUCUUGUUUAUGGUGAUUCAUACUUAAUUAUAGAUUUUAGAAUCAUGCUUUCAAGUUGUAAUUGAUUAGAAAGUUUCUAAGAGCUUGUAAAACUCCAAACAAUUCAUUUUCAGCGAAAAUUGCAUUAUUGUACUGGUACGAGGGUUUUCUGUCCAGGGUAAAGCCAUCAACGUUUGCGCAGAAAAAUUUGAUGGUUGUUCCGGUACAACCUUCACGCUGUACCGGUACAAGCCCUGUUCCGGAACAAGCUGCAGCCUAUCCAAGGUACAGAAGCUUCGCAGAAAAAUCUUCCGUCAUGCUGUACCCUGGACAGCNNNNNNNNNNNNNNNNNNNNNNNNNNNNNNNNNNNNNNNNNNNNNNNNNNNNNNNNNNNNNNNNNNNNNNNNNNNNNNNNNNNNNNNNNNNNNNNNNNNNNNNNNNNNNNNNNNNNNNNNNNNNNNNNNNNNNNNNNNNNNNNNNNNNNNNNNNNNNNNNNNNNNNNNNNNNNNNNNNNNNNNNNNNNNNNNNNNNNNNNNNNNNNNNNNNNNNNNNNNNNNNNNNNNNNNNNNNNNNNNNNNNNNNNNNNNNNNNNNNNNNNNNNNNNNNNNNNNNNNNNNNNNNNNNNNNNNNNNNNNNNNNNNNNNNNNNNNNNNNNNNNNNNNNNNNNNNNNNNNNNNNNNNNNNNNNNNNNNNNNNNNNNNNNNNNNNNNNNNNNNNNNNNNNNNNNNNNNNNNNNNNNNNNNNNNNNNNNNNNNNNNNNNNNNNNNNNNNNNNNNNNNNNNNNNNNNNNNNNNNNNNNNNNNNNNNNNNNNNNNNNNNNNNNNNNNNNNNNNNNNNNNNNNNNNNNNNNNNNNNNNNNNNNNNNNNNNNNNNNNNNNNNNNNNNNNNNNNNNNNNNNNNNNNNNNNNNNNNNNNNNNNNNNNNNNNNNNNNNNNNNNNNNNNNNNNNNNNNNNNNNNNNNNNNNNNNNNNNNNNNNNNNNNNNNNNNNNNNNNNNNNNNNNNNNNNNNNNNNNNNNNNNNNNNNNNNNNNNNNNNNNNNNNNNNNNNNNNNNNNNNNNNNNNNNNNNNNNNNNNNNNNNNNNNNNNNNNNNNNNNNNNNNNNNNNNNNNNNNNNNNNNNNNNNNNNNNNNNNNNNNNNNNNNNNNNNNNNNNNNNNNNNNNNNNNNNNNNNNNNNNNNNNNNNNNNNNNNNNNNNNNNNNNNNNNNNNNNNNNNNNNNNNNNNNNNNNNNNNNNNNNNNNNNNNNNNNNNNNNNNNNNNNNNNNNNNNNNNNNNNNNNNNNNNNNNNNNNNNNNNNNNNNNNNNNNNNNNNNNNNNNNNNNNNNNNNNNNNNNNNNNNNNNNNNNNNNNNNNNNNNNNNNNNNNNNNNNNNNNNNNNNNNNNNNNNNNNNNNNNNNNNNNNNNNNNNNNNNNNNNNNNNNNNNNNNNNNNNNNNNNNNNNNNNNNNNNNNNNNNNNNNNNNNNNNNNNNNNNNNNNNNNNNNNNNNNNNNNNNNNNNNNNNNNNNNNNNNNNNNNNNNNNNNNNNNNNNNNNNNNNNNNNNNNNNNNNNNNNNNNNNNNNNNNNNNNNNNNNNNNNNNNNNNNNNNNNNNNNNNNNNNNNNNNNNNNNNNNNNNNNNNNNNNNNNNNNNNNNNNNNNNNNNNNNNNNNNNNNNNNNNNNNNNNNNNNNNNNNNNNNNNNNNNNNNNNNNNNNNNNNNNNNNNNNNNNNNNNNNNNNNNNNNNNNNNNNNNNNNNNNNNNNNNNNNNNNNNNNNNNNNNNNNNNNNNNNNNNNNNNNNNNNNNNNNNNNNNNNNNNNNNNNNNNNNNNNNNNNNNNNNNNNNNNNNNNNNNNNNNNNNNNNNNNNNNNNNNNNNNNNNNNNNNNNNNNNNNNNNNNNNNNNNNNNNNNNNNNNNNNNNNNNNNNNNNNNNNNNNNNNNNNNNNNNNNNNNNNNNNNNNNNNNNNNNNNNNNNNNNNNNNNNNNNNNNNNNNNNNNNNNNNNNNNNNNNNNNNNNNNNNNNNNNNNNNNNNNNNNNNNNNNNNNNNNNNNNNNNNNNNNNNNNNNNNNNNNNNNNNNNNNNNNNNNNNNNNNNNNNNNNNNNNNNNNNNNNNNNNNNNNNNNNNNNNNNNNNNNNNNNNNNNNNNNNNNNNNNNNNNNNNNNNNNNNNNNNNNNNNNNNNNNNNNNNNNNNNNNNNNNNNNNNNNNNNNNNNNNNNNNNNNNNNNNNNNNNNNNNNNNNNNNNNNNNNNNNNNNNNNNNNNNNNNNNNNNNNNNNNNNNNNNNNNNNNNNNNNNNNNNNNNNNNNNNNNNNNNNNNNNNNNNNNNNNNNNNNNNNNNNNNNNNNNNNNNNNNNNNNNNNNNNNNNNNNNNNNNNNNNNNNNNNNNNNNNNNNNNNNNNNNNNNNNNNNNNNNNNNNNNNNNNNNNNNNNNNNNNNNNNNNNNNNNNNNNNNNNNNNNNNNNNNNNNNNNNNNNNNNNNNNNNNNNNNNNNNNNNNNNNNNNNNNNNNNNNNNNNNNNNNNNNNNNNNNNNNNNNNNNNNNNNNNNNNNNNNNNNNNNNNNNNNNNNNNNNNNNNNNNNNNNNNNNNNNNNNNNNNNNNNNNNNNNNNNNNNNNNNNNNNNNNNNNNNNNNNNNNNNNNNNNNNNNNNNNNNNNNNNNNNNNNNNNNNNNNNNNNNNNNNNNNNNNNNNNNNNNNNNNNNNNNNNNNNNNNNNNNNNNNNNNNNNNNNNNNNNNNNNNNNNNNNNNNNNNNNNNNNNNNNNNNNNNNNNNNNNNNNNNNNNNNNNNNNNNNNNNNNNNNNNNNNNNNNNNNNNNNNNNNNNNNNNNNNNNNNNNNNNNNNNNNNNNNNNNNNNNNNNNNNNNNNNNNNNNNNNNNNNNNNNNNNNNNNNNNNNNNNNNNNNNNNNNNNNNNNNNNNNNNNNNNNNNNNNNNNNNNNNNNNNNNNNNNNNNNNNNNNNNNNNNNNNNNNNNNNNNNNNNNNNNNNNNNNNNNNNNNNNNNNNNNNNNNNNNNNNNNNNNNNNNNNNNNNNNNNNNNNNNNNNNNNNNNNNNNNNNNNNNNNNNNNNNNNNNNNNNNNNNNNNNNNNNNNNNNNNNNNNNNNNNNNNNNNNNNNNNNNNNNNNNNNNNNNNNNNNNNNNNNNNNNNNNNNNNNNNNNNNNNNNNNNNNNNNNNNNNNNNNNNAAGCAUUCUUGUUCGGUACAAGGUGCUGAUUUUGGAAAGAACUUUCUAAUCCUACUCCGUUUUGAUUCUAAAGCUAUAAAUAUAGCUAUAGGGUCUCUAACUGAUUAAGCAUCACGAAAUACAUGUUUGAGAAACCUAGAGGCUCGAUUUCAUUCUAAACCAUUUUCUACAAAUUAGCCUCUUUAGAUCAAAUCGAGAUAUCGUUUCGCAUUCUCUAUAUGGAUUUGAUCUCCGCUUCGCUUGGAGUCUAUUCCUGGUUUUCUACAAAUCCUAAGCGAAGGAUCACCAUAAUCAUGAUUACUCUUCAUGAACGGCGUCGUGGAUUCGGCGUAAACAAAGGCGGUUCGUGGAUUGGCUCGUUGGCCUCGUGGAUUCGAAGUGGCGUCGUGGAUUCGGCGUGAUUGAAGCUUCGUGAAUUCGAAGUGGAGUCGUGGACUCGAACGGUGGGGCGUGACAACCGGAGGUAGUAAAAAAAAAGGAGAAAAAGAAACUCCUAUGUUUAAAAGAUGUGGAAAGAGUUACAUCCUAAAAGGAGUGUGAAAACUACCACCACAUGUAGGAAAGAGCUACCAACCCGGUCGUCCGGCAAGUGUGUGAAGCUACCACAUGAAGAUUGAAUUGAGUAACCGAAAAAAGUUGAAAAAAAAUUGAAUAUUUUAGAAUUUUCGGAGUUAUAAGGUGGUAAGUUGAAAAGAUGCUCAAAGAGCCACCCCCGGUGCCAUAUUAGUUAAAUCUCUAUUUUGAACAUGUUUCGGCAAAUUGGUGUCAAUUUUGGUGAAUUUCUAAAAAUCAUUUUUCAUCAACUUACAUCUUGAUAUUUUUUUUGAAUCAUUAAAUUAUUUUUGAUUUUGAAAUUUUGAUGUUUUGAUGUGUUUUGAAAUUUUAUAAUAUCUUAUUUUCAUUAUAAUGAUUCUUGGAGUAAAAGUCUUAAUUAUAUGAAUUUAAUUUAAAUUUGAUGGGUUUUUAAAGGAUAUUUUUUGAAAAAAAAAUUUCACAUUUUGGUCCUUGUACCAGUACAAGGAACCGUGUUCCGGUACAAGGUCUGCGGCUGAGCGGCUUAUAACCGGGUAUAACGCUUCGAUCUCUCUCAAAUCUCCAUCUUUUUCAAAAAUUUUUGUUCCUGAGAGCUCCAGCGACUCUUCUUCAACCGUUCUACACGUUUUUCUCUUGGAUUUGUAAGUUUUUAGCAUCAAAUUUGUGAGUUUUAUCCCGAUUUUUUGCUAUUUUUCUUAUUUUUGCCGGAUAAGGGUUUGAUCUCUGUUCUAAUCCGUUUUUUAUGCGAUUUUUUGCUAUAGAUCAGUGUCUUAGGCUAUUACCUUGCUUGUAGAACACUUGAACAACAUCAAAACAAGUUAUUUUUCGCUGAUCUAAGUUUUAUGAUCUAAUAUGCAUCUAAUUUCGAGAUUUUUCAAAAAGUUCGAUUUUUUGAUGAAAUUUUUUGCAUGAUCUGGUUAGAAAUAGCAUUUGUAUACAUUCUAAUACUAUUAGAAAUUUUUUCGCUAUUUUUACAGAUUUUUUCAAGAUUUUGUUCAUGCGAGGUUAAUUUUUGUGUAGGAAAAAUGACGUUUUUGCUCGUAUUGGUGUUAUUGGUGCUAAUGGCUGGGAGACGGAGCCGUGGUGGUGGUAGAGGUCGUCAUGGGACUUCUAAAAGGACACGCACAACUAAAGAAGCGUCCGGGUCUGAUCCGGAUUAUCAGGCGAGCUCCCCGGAAGAAUCUGAAGAACCUAUUGCUCGACUUGACAAAGGAAAAGGAAUAGCUGGCGAAUCAUCUCAUGGUGGUGGUUCUCGUACUCAUGAGGGACAUUCAAAACAAGCUGCAGAUGUUCCUCUAGCACGGCGAAGGUUGUUUGCAUCGAAGUCGUGUAUAGCUGAACGCUUUGUGAACUUCCAUGAUCUGAUUCGGGAUGUUCCUGAUUUUGGACGGCUACUACAGCGCGCGCCUAUUGAGCCUGUUGGACGGGUUCCUGCGAAGGCUCCUUUCUGUGUAGAACUCAUUAGGGAGUUCUAUAUGAAUGGAAAGGUACUGGCUGAAGAUGAUGAAACAGGCACUUUUAUCUUCGAGACUGUUGUACGUCAGAGGAGAUUUCCAGUUACCCCUUAUGAUAUUGGAGAGAUCUUGGGAAUGCAUGUGGACACUACAGGUCUUCUCUAUACGUCAGGAGGAUUCCAAGCAUCAUCUCACAUGAAUAUCAUUCUUGGAGCUAUAUGCAAAGCCGGUGUUUACAUGACUCAUGGUUACAUUGAAUCGAAGGAUUUAUUACCUGAGUAUCACUUGCUAUCCUUGGUUAUGAGCUAUAAUGUUCAACCAACUAUCGGCACAAAGAGGAUUCGCUGGGAGAGAUUAGUGUUGCUAUAUCUACUUGGUCAUCCCGAGCAGGCUCAUGGAUUGAACAUCAACAUUCCAUUUCUGAUCUGGCAAAGGAUGAUACAUGUGAUUCAGGGUGCCACUCGACGGGAUCUACUUCCAUUCCCUGUUCUGAUUACGAGGAUUCUUCUAGCAAAUGGAGUGGAUACAUCUUGUGACAAGUAUGAUGUUGGCCUUGGGCCUAUUGACUCAGUGACUUGGGCUAAGUCUGUCAGCACUCUCAAGUCAUUCCAUCAGACCAAAUGGGCACCUCCUGAAGCAUCUAGCCCCAAAAAAAAGGGUAAGUCAAAAAAGCAAUAAUUGAAAUGCUAAGCUACUAUAUUGCAAUUAAACAUGGUGUUAAAGAUAAUGCACCUUUACUUUGUCACAACCAAUAUGUCUCUACAUGGCUACAAGUAUGUGUCACAGUUCACUUAUGAAGUUAUAAGGAUCAUGCUUUAUCAUGGCAACAAUGUAUAUAUGAAUGCAAUAAGCACUUCUCCUAGCAUACUACAUGUAAGUAUGUAUACUCAAGUGUCCAAAACUAUGCUAGAAGAAAGUCCAAGUAAUCCAACUACUACUCACUAUCUAGUACUUGAUUAUAACACACUCAACACUGUGUCGAUUUCCAUUUCUAAUUAAGGACCUACCAAAGGUAAUACAGCUUGUGCCGCCUAAGUGCCUGUGGUAGCCCAACAUCCCUACUUUUGGAAUGUGUCUGUCCCACUCGACCCCGUAGGCUUCUCAAUACCGCACGAGCGAACAUAAGUCACGUAGGCUAACUCCGGAGUACCGGCUUGUAGGGAGCGACCCUCACAAGCAUGUGCGAAUGAGCACAAAUGGCAAGCAAGCGUAGUCAAAGACUCAAAUAUCCAACCCUCAUGUCUCAAACAUGGCAAUGGCUACUAGUGACCCAACGGCCUAGCUCUAUGUCACAAUGUGAUAACCCAACACUCACUUGCUUAGUGCCUCUUUAUGACACUUAAGCACCACAACUAAUCAAGCCCAAAUUAUGUUCUAUGUUCCGAUUAAGACAUUAAUACCAAUGCUCACUAAGGUCGGAGUCCAAUGCCUCUUUAUGACAUUAGCCCAAUAUCUUAAAUGGUCUAAGUCCCCAAGCCUCUCUAGGCUCCCAAAGUCUCUUAUGUCACAAUUGGGCAUACAUGUUAAAUGCAUGAAAGUAAUGUUCAUUUUCAUAAUAGGAAUCAUGGUUCCAAGUUUUCAGUAGAAUGCUACAUCCCACAUGCAUGCACCCUACCACAUGGAGGUCCAAAAAUUUACUAUGCAUAACAUAUGCAUGUUAAGCAUUCUAAAAUUCAUAAUAAAUAUAUCUAACAUGAUUAUGCCUGUUUUAUCAAUUAACGAUACUCAAAACAUCACAAAUGAGAUUUUCCCAUUGUGUGGCUAGGUCAAACCCACCGAACCGUCGCGGUGUCCUUCGUUUCGCCGAAAGAAGGUGUCCACGAGUCUCAAAAUAUCCUAAAAGUAUUGAGCGAAGAGAUACACGGGCAUUACGAUCAACUAUAAGAUCAAACAUUAACCACAAGGCAAAAGGGCUAAAACUCACCUAAAGUAUAGAAAAUCUCUCUCAAGCUCCUAAAGAGAGCUAGAAUCCUUCCAAUCCAACCGAAAGAAAGAUUCUAAUCCAAUUAAUCUAGCCUCAAAAGCCCUAAAUCAAAAAGCCCCAAAAUCAACCCUAAAUUCCCAUUCUAGGGUUCCAUAUGGUAAAAUCUACCAAAACAAGGAUCAAAAGGUAGAAUCGAAGUACUAACCUCUUUAGAUGCCUCAAAACAAGCUCCAAAUCUUCUAGGGUUGAAGAUUGGCCCACCACCAAGCCCUACAAGCAAGCUCCAAGCCUUGCAAGGGUGGAAAGAAGAGAAAGGGUUUGAGCUCUAAGCUUCCUCAAGCAAGCUCCUCUUCUUCUUCUCCUCCUUCUUUUUCUUCUCUCUCUAGAAGGUGUAGGGAGAGGGUGAGAAAUGAGGAGGGAAGAGAGUGAAAUGGCUGUAAAGACCAUUUAGAAAAACAAAAUCCAGAGAGGCCCCUCAAAAACUCAAAUUUACAACAGCCCGGACUGGGCAGUUUUCGCCCAGAGGGACCGACCUCUCCCUGCAAGGGACCGGUCUCUCGUGUCGAACCCGAGAAACCAUCGUUUGGGAACCGGUCUCUCCCCGCGUGGGACCGGUCUCUCACUGCCAAGACGCGCUCGGGGACCGGUCUCGCCCGCCAGGGACCGGUUGCCUCGCCGACAGCGCAACACUGCUCACUGGGGACCGGUCUCUCCUUUCAGGGACCAGUCCCCGAGAGUAAAAACUCUCAGGACUCAUCCAGAACUCAGGUUUUCGAACUUUUUGGAUCGAAAAACAUUCUAUGACCCUCCACCAAGUGUGGGAAAAGCUCGAAACACAUCCAAUCACUCGAACCUCGCAAUUUGCAAAGGUCCAGUGUGUUACAACGGGAUUUCGCGGUUCCGAAUCUUUCGCGCCUCCCGAUCGACAAUAUACGCCGGGAACUCCUCAUAAGUCAUAUCCUCUUGAAGCUCUAUCGGAAUAUACGAGAGAAUAUGAUCUGGAUUGUACACAUACUUGCGGAGUUGGGAUACAUGGAAUACAUCAUGUACUCCCGCGAGCCUCGGUGGUAAUGCCAACUUGUAGGCCACCGAGCCAACUCGUUCCAAAAUCUCGAAGGGUCCGAUAUAGCGGGGGCUUAGCUUUCCGCGAACACCGAACCACUUCACUCCUCGCAUCGGCGAUACUUUUAGAAACACGCGGUCUCCUACCGCGAACUCAAUAUCCUUUCGCCGCUUGUCGGCAUAACUCUUAUGCCUUGAUUGCGCCGUCACUAAUCUUUGUCGGGCGAGGCGGACUUUCUCUUCCACUUCCCGCACCACUUUCGGGCCAAGAACCAUCUUCUCGCCCACAUCGCUCCAGUGUAUUGGCGAGCGACAUUUCCUUCCAUACAAGGCCUCGAAUGGCGCCAUCGCAAUGCUUUCUUGAUAGCUAUUGUUGUAUGCGAAUUCCGCCAUCGGUAAGUGAUCGUGCCAUCCUCCCUUAUAAUCAAGCACACACGUUCGAAGCAUGUCUUCAAGUAUUUGAAUAGUCCUUUCCGAUUGACCGUCACUUUGAGGAUGGAACGCUGUACUAAAGUCGAGCCACAUGCCUAAUGCGUCUUGUAAGCUCUUCCAAAAAUGAGAUGUGAACCUAGGGUCCCGAUCCGAUACAAUAGAUACCGGAACCCCAUGAAGUCUCACCACCUCGUCAAUAUAGACUUGAGCUAACUUGUCUCCCGACUAAGUAGUGUGGAUCGGCAAAAAGUGUUCCGAUUUUGUCAACCGGUCCACAACUACCCAAAUCGCGUCGUGUCAACCUUGUGACCUAGGCAAACCUGUCACAAAAUCCAUUGCGAUAUUUUUCCAUUUCCACACGGGUAUAGGUAAACUUUGCAAUUUUCCUGCCAGAAAUCGACGCUCCGCCUUCACUUGUUGGCACGUGCGACAUUGCGUCACGAACUCUCCUAUAUCUUUCUUCAUGCCCGGCCACCAAUAAUGCAACUUCAGGUCUCGAUACAUUUUGGUGCCGCCCGGGUGAAUGCUAUAGGGAGAUUGAUGCGCUUCUUGCAUAAUCGCCCUUCGAAGGUCGUCGUCCUUGGGCACGCACCAACGAUCCCGAUAUCAUAGUGCGCCGUUGAUUCCAAUGCCAAAAUCAUCGGCACCACCGCUCUCAACCUUGCCCCGCACCUUUUGGAGAAAUUCAUCCUAUGCUUGAAAUCCUUUAAUCUUCUCCAACAAGGUUGGUUGCAUAACUAGGGUGGCAAGUGUUGUCGGCACUCCCGGUGCCACAACUUCUAGACCAAACCGCUACAUCUCCUUUUGCAAAGCCGGUUGAGGUGUAAUUUUCGUCGCCAAAUUUUUCGCCGACUUUCUACUUAGAGCAUCGGCCACGACGUUCGCUUUCCCGGGGUGGUAGAGAAUCGUGACAUCAUAAUCUUUGAGCAACUUUAACCACCGCCGCUGUCGCAAGUUUAGCUCCUUCUGGGUGAACAAGUAUUUGAGACUUUUAUGGUCGGUAUAGAUCUCACGAUGUUCCCCAUACAAUUAAUGCCUCCACAACUUUAGCGUGAAAACAACCGCCGCUAGCUCAAGAUCGUGAGUCGGGUAGUUCUUUUCAUAACUCUUCAACUGGCGCGAAGCAUAAGCUAUGACUCGGCCGUUUUACAUUAAGACACACCCGAGACCGAUAUAUGAAGCAUCACUAUAUACGACAUAACUCUUUCCUAGCGUUGGCAAGGCAAGCACUGGAGUAGAUGUCAGUCUAUUCUUUAGCUCCUCAAAGCUCCGCUCACACUCGGGGCUCCAAACAUACUUCACCCCUUUGUGCGUAAGGCGCGUUAGUGGAGUUGUUAUCCUGGCAAACCCCUCCACGAAUCGCCGGUAAUAGCCCGCAAGUCCAAAGAAGCUACGGAUUUUCGCUACACUUGUCGGGCGAGGCCAAUCUUUAAUUGCCUCAACUUUCUUUGGGUCCACCGAGAUGCCGUCUCCGGAUACAACGUGACCCAAGAAGGUAACCUCCGAAAGCCAAACUCACAUUUCUUUAGUUUUGCGUAAAGCUUUUCCUUCCAGAGUAUCUCCAACACGAGUCUUAAAUGCUCCUCGUGUUCUUCUUCGGUCCGAGAAUAUACCAAUACGUCGUCAAUGAAAACCACGAUGCACCGGUCCAAUAGCGGACGGAAGAUUCGACUCAUUAGGUCCACAAAUGCCACCGGGGCGUUAGUGAGCCGAAUAGCAUGACCGUAAACUCAUAGUGGCCAUGCCGCGUACGGUACACUGUCUUAUGCACGUCUUUGGGCCGUAUCUUCAACUGAUGAUACCCCGACUGAAGAUCAAUCUUCGAAUAUACCCUUGACCCUCGCAACUGGUCGAAUAAGUCAUCAAUUCUCGGCAAUGGGUAUUUGUUCUUGAUCGUCACUCUAUUCAACUCGCGAUAAUCAACGCAGAGUCGAAGUGUGCCGUCCUUCUUCUUUACAAAUAGCACCGGAGGUCCCCACGGGGACACGCUCGGCCGUACGAAGUCUUUAUCGAGUAAGUCUUGCAGCUGAGCCUUCAACUUCUUUAGCUCCAUCGGUGCCAUUCUAUACGGAGCCUUCGAAAUUAGCGCCGCCCCGGGAAUCAAGUCAAUGACAAACUCGACUUCCCGAUCCGGGGGCAGUCCCGGUAACUCCGCUGGAAACACAUCCGGAUACUCACGCACAACUCGAAUACUUUCCAGUUCCGGGUAUUCCCUUUGAGGGUCUAUGAUGGUCGCCAAAUAAGCCUUGCAACCACCCUUGAUCAUUCUCUUUGCCCUCACCGUCGAUAUGGUUGCUACAAAGCGUUUACCUUUGCACGCCCGAUACACAAACUCCUCUUGGUUAGAUUCACGGAACGUGAUCACCCUUCUUUCGCAAUCUAUAACCGCGUAAUACUUGGAGAGCCAAUUGAUCCCCAAGAUUACCUCGAAACUCCAUAUUUCUUUUAACACUAGAAGGUCGAUCGGCAUAAUCCAAUCACCUAUCUGCACUGGGCAGUCCAAGCACUCAUCGUGAACGUCGAAUGAAUGCUCGGGAGUAUUCACCGACCAAUACUCCUCGCUAUGAGUGAUCUCUAUGUUAUGAGCUUGUGCAAAUGAUGCUAAUAUGAAUGAAUGAGAUGCACCCGUAUCAAAUAUAGCUCUAGCUCUAGUGCCUCUGAUCAGAAUAAUACCUGCCACGACGUCGUCGGAAACAAUGAUUGGUGGCUCCUCCACCUGAGUGGCAAAUACCCGCCCACUAGGUGCUCGAGAGGCCUCCGGCUGACGAGGCGCCGACGACCGUCCAGCAGAUGUCGCGGGUGGCAGUCCCGCCAGCUGUCGCUGAGUGUACUGAACUGAAGCUGAUGACGGGGCUGGGGACGCGCCGCCCGGGCACUCUCGACCUAUGUGGCCCGCCUGGCCACACCGAAAACACUGCCCCUCUCGCUGUGGGCAAGUGGUAACCCGGUGGUCUUCAUCGCAGAUCACACAUGGAUAGGUGAUACGGCUCUGGGUCUGACUCCUACCUCCCCGCCACUGUGAUCGCGGAGGUCGCGGGGGUCCCUUAGAACUCGAUUACCCCGCAGAUCCACCAGCCGGUCGCUUCUUGGUCUUAUCUCUUUCCCUGUCCCUCUCAAAAGUCUCGCGCUCAUCACGCGCGAUGGCAUUCCCGCGCUCCACCCAAAGCACGCGAUCGAGCACUUCCUCGUAGGUCUUCAACCGGAAGGCAUGUAUGACCUUGAAAAUCUCGGGUCGCAACCCGCGCUCGAAUAUUUCCGCUCGGUCCCUAUCACCGUGAACCAAGUCCGACACGCAGUUAAUCAUGUGCGUGAAUUCUCUCUCGUACUCCCGCACUGAUCGGCUUCCCUGCCUUAGCUUCCGAAAAUUCUCCUUGAUUUUCCUUUUGUCGCUCUCAGGGAAAUACUCCAUGAGCAGCAUCUCCCGAAACGCCUCCUAAGUAAUAAAAGCGUGCUCUAGCAAGCGAUUUCUCUUUGCCUGGGUCUACCACAGCCGAGCCGACCCAUCAAAACAAUGAGCCGCAAGGUGAACCUUAUCAUUCUCGAGGGUGUAAAUAUCCUCGAACAAGGCCUCCAUCCCGGCUAGCCAACUCUCCGUCGUCCAUGGGUCCUUCACAUUACCGCUGAAGGUCGGAGGGUUGAAUCGCUUGAAUGUCGUCAGCGCCGCCAACGUGCGCUCCUGCUCGGCCUCAAGUACAUCGCAGGAGGUGGUGCUACAGGAGCAGCCGGUGGGGGUGGAUCCCUCGGCACUUAUGCCGCUGCUGCCUGUUGCGCCAUCAUCUCAUGGAGCUGUCCAAUCUGCUCCCCGUGUUGUCGCAUAGCCCCGGCCGAAGCCGCUACCUGGGCUCGCAACUCGCGCACUUCGUCCGACCCCGACUGCCUGGGCUCCUCCCGAGGCUCCGCCGGUGUGGACCUCGUAACUCUCCUUGGUGGUGCCAUCGCGUCCUGAAACGCAAUGCACACACACAUUAGUACUCGAAACACGCGACUCUUACACGUUCCAAAUAACUACCCAAUUAAGCGAAAGCAACAAGCAUAAUCGUUUCCACUCUUGGUGUCAUGUGGUCGGCCGCCCCACAAAGUCCCUUAAGUAGACAACAAUUAAGCCUUCUAGUCCAUCUCUACCUUCUUCUAGAGAAGUGUUACCAUUAACCCAAUCACUCGCUUUCGCACAAACCAAGUCCUCGUUAAACGUUUUCCUAAGUCCCUAUGGUCUCCAACCUAUGGUUUCUAGGUCAUUCUUAGACUUUUGCUUUCCACUUCUCUCUGAUACCAUUAUAACUGUCACGCCCCAAUCCCCGCCAAUUUGGUCGGGUUCGGGUCACGUCAACAGACGCCGAACGGACAGAGCCUCCCCUGUCCGCCUAAGGCUCUAACAACAUGUAUAAAUAAGCAAUCAACAAGAAAUUUGCAUAUGUAAUACAAGGCUUGCACGAGGGCAAGAAACAACGGAAGCGAAAGCUCUAAGCUAAUUAUACAGCAUACAUGAUAUUUGAGUAAAUUUAAACCAAAUACAAGUAAAUAAAACUAUUACAUUUCUAUUUAUCCAUCAUAUCUUUUUACAUUUAGUCAUCCCCCAAAUACAUGAUUGUUUACAACUUUGCAAUUCUAAUUCAACAAAAGAAGUUGAUACAUGUAUACCCAAAAAGUGGAUUGACUACAAAAUAUAAAAAGUCCCGGUGGCCGCUAUCUACGGCGCUAUGCCCUUGCCUCGGUCCUCCGCCGCCCCGCUCGUGCUAGGACCUGUAGGGUUAGUGGUGUAAGAACUACAACGAAUUUCCAGUGGGUUCGGCAUCCGACCUCGCCGACUUACCCACUAGGUUUCUCCAGGCAUAAGUAUUUCAAGGAAAGAAAAGUAACCAGUACUAAUGCAUCUAAUACUAUGCCUGCAGAAGAAUGUCAGUAGAUACAUAUACUCAAUGCAAUAAUGGAAAUGCAUGCAUGCUCAAAUUAUGAAUAGGCACUGGCUCUUACCCAAUUUUACCGGUUAACCUUGUUAACCCCAAUAACUCAUAACCCAAAAUCCCUUUCUUUACCGGGGAGGCUCCAAGCACUACCGACCCGAGGAACCGUCUUCAGGGACCGCGCUCCUUGUGGUGACGAUUUUUGGAAACACACCGCUUGAGGAGGAGCGACCUCCCUCAAGCCAAGACUUAUUAUGAGUGUCGAUCAAAUCCCCAACUUGAGGAUAUUAAGCCACAUGUCACGUUGCCACUUUUGUGAUAGGUUUUCUACCUAUAUUUUUCAUAUCACUUUCUAAUCAAUCUUACCAUAAUGUCACUAUGGUUAAACCUAUGUUUAACAAUCAUGUUCUCAAGGCCAAUCUCGUCUCUAAUGUCCAUGUCACAUUUGUUUACUAUUGUCAAGUCCACGUCUCACAUCAUGCAAUCUCUAGGGUUCCACUAUACAUGUCCAUCAUGGUUCCAUAACUCUCGAUAUUUAAUUACAUUAAAUACGCAUAAUGAAGGCAACCAAUAUUCACAUGUAACUUAACCCUACAUGCAUGAAUGGUUCAAUAUACAAGUAUGCUCGAAAAAUGGUGAAAACAGACAUAACGAGGAAUCCGGUGAUUCCGACGUGCACCCCCCACCUCUAAUGGUCGUGCGGGUAAGGAAUAUGAAGACUCCCGAUCGCUACGAACACCGGCUCCGCACCCUAUAACCAAAUUAGUGCCCUAUUAGGCCGUUUAUACAUGAACUAUACUUGAACAUUUUCGUAACGUUGAACGGAGUUGUCCAACGUGUAUAUUUGACCCCCAAUUAGGUUUCUACGAGAUCAAUUGGUUCCCGAAAAAUCCUAGGGCAAAAGCCCCAAUUUUCAAGCCCUAACAAUGCCAUUUAGGGUUUCUCUUUGAAUCGAUCUCAACCCUAAGCAAAUAGUAGCUUAGAAUCAUCUAAGAUGCAUCAUAGUAAGGUUUCUAUACCUUUGGAACCAACCCUAGGGCUUCUAUGGUGAACCCUAACCAUCCACCAUGAGAGCACUUGAGCUCUCAUGGGUUCCAUGAAGUUCAAGGCCUCUAGAAGGUUCCCAAGGCUAAAAACAACUCAAAACUCCAAAUCUUAGGGAUCAAAACCAAACCCUAAACUCAUUUAUACCAAAAACUCAUCUUAGUCCAAGCUCCUCUAAGUCCUUCUUGUAGGAGAGCUUGUAGAACCCACCAAAGCCUCCAAAUCCACCUUCUCCUUGCUUCUUCUUUUUCUUCUCUAAGCUCUUGUGCAAGAGUUCUAGAGAGAGAAAGAGAGAAAAUGAGAGAGGGGGAGAGAAAUGGGUGUGGGAGUGAAGGGGAUGGCUAUAUAAAGUGUUGUGGCAAUUGCACUUAAGCCCCUCCACUUGUUUCACAGUGCACUGCCCAGACUGGGCAAUUUUCGCAGUCGGGGAUCGGUCUCCCCGACCAGGGACCGGUUCCCGAACGUUGGGUUUCCAGGACUUAGCCGAUUUUCUGGCUUUUUCAGCUGCUGCGCAACGAGGGACCGGUCUUUCCCUCAGGGACCGGUCUCCCGAGGACCGGUCUCACUGCCAGGGACCCAAUGCCUCAGGAUUCCUGGCAGGCUACGUGUACGGGGAUCGGUCUCUCCUUUAGGGACCGGUCCCCGAGAGCACAAAAUCUGGGACUUAGCCAGAUUUUGAAAUCUCACUCUCUCGGGUCCCUUUGCACCUUAUAUAGGCUCCAAUACACAUAGGGCCUAUACCUACUCGUUCCACUCCGCGUUCCGCUCGUUCGACGGAACUUUGCACGAUUUACGAGGGAUGUGGUAUGUUGCACUUAUGUUGUUGUUGUUUACCCUCGUGCAAGCCAUAUAUAUACAAAUUCUUCCUGGGCAAAUUUGUUAUAUAUGAUGUCAUUGUGUUGAGCCUUGGGCGGGUAGGGAAGGCUUUGUUCGUUCGGCAUCUGCGGACGUGCCCGAACCGACCAAAUUGGCGGUCGCGUGGCGUGACACACCCAUCUCCAGGUAAUUGAUAGUAUCUAGAUAGAUCCUAGAGUUCACAUAACUUACACAAAUGUAAACGUCAAAAGUUAUAAAAUAUUGUUGAUACCCUUUCAAAAUUGUCAAUAUUAUUUUUUUAUAAAAAGUACCUUUAAUCACAUUGAUGAAGAAUUUUGGGCUAAUUUACCCCCAGUUAUAUCUAAUUAUAAAUAAUUAUGUAGUAUCAUGUUGGGCAAAUAAAUUACUUUCAUCAAAAAAUUACUCAAUUUUUGUUUAUUAUUAAAUUUAUGAAUGUAUUUUUUUUCGCAAUUAAGUUUUUUUUUAAAUCAAUAUCAUAUGGCCGGAUCUCAUAUCAACGAUAAUAAACAAUUAACAAAAGCUAAAACUGCAUUAUAUUUUUUUGGUAUAAAUUAAUACAAUUUUUUAUUUACUAUCAAUGUACUGUAGUUUAAUUAUUGCAUUUAAUUAGUUUUAAUUUGAUAUACAUUCAACUAUAUUUACAAUGUUUUCAAAGAAAAUAAUUCAUGAUUAAGUUAAUGAAAAAAGUAUAGAUAAUAGAUGAUGGGAAAAGUAAAAAUUUAGUUUAAUUUUUUGAUGAAUCAUUAUCAAUUUGGGUAUUUAUGAUAGCUUUUCUGAAUUACAGAGAUAUUUUUUGUAUUGACACUGUUCGAUGAGUACCUAUGUAAUUCAAGGAGGGAGGAAGGGUAUGUAUGAUUUUAACCAUUUAUAUUUACAUGAAUUACAUAAAAUGUAUUAAUUAAAUUCGUAGAGACAAAUACUGCAUUCAAAAUUUAGUCAUUAUAGCUUAAAUUAUAUAAAUUUAAAGAUUGGAUAAAAAAAAUAAAAUUUUUAAAGGUUAGAUAGGUCGGAUCGGAAUGGGUGAUAGUUAAGAUAUACCAAUUAAAGAGCAAUGCUCCUAUGCACCAAAAAGAUUUCGGCCCUUAAAUUUUUUAAAAUGAAUAAUAGAGAUAUCUUUUAGUUAAGAGGGUGACUGGCUUUUGUUGCCGUAGGUAUCAGUCACCCUCUUACCAAGGGCAAAACUAUUUCCUCAUAUGUAAAAUUAGCAUGAAGGGUUUUUUUAUAAAUUUCUAUUUUCAUUCCCAAAUGCCUCUCUAGUAAUUAUAAAAUACCACAUUCUAUUUUUGAAAAGUUUUCACCCACAGAUAUUGCUAUGUGUCAACUAAAGAGAGAGAAAGAAAAGUUAAUUUAGCUGGAAAGACUUGGCAUUACAAGAAAGGUGUGUUUACCUUUCCUAAAUUAACUUUUCUUUACUAAUAUAUCACAUUCAAAUUUUAAAUAAAAAAUGAUGUAUUAUUGAAAUCAUUUAGUCUACCCCUUAAACUUGAGCCGGACUUACACCAGAGAUUAAAAGUUUAGCCAAUUUUGAAUUUAUUUGUAUGAUUUGAUUAUGAAAUAAAAUCUUAAAUUUGUUUCAAAUUUAAAAAAUUUUUUGCAUCGAAAAUUAUAUGUAAAUAUAAAAUAUUGCAACUGACAAGUUAUAUUAUACAAUCUCUUAGUAAUUGAAUAUGAAAUAUUAUCCCCAAGUGAAUGUUUGAAAAGUUUUGUAUUUGACUUUGUGAUCAAUAGUACUAACAAAUUCAGUUCAAUACCUUAAUUAAAAUAAAUUAAACUUUUAUAAUCUUUACAAGUUUCAGAAUUAAUUAUACAUUUUCUUCUCAAAUUAUAAGAAACAUAAUACUUUGGUUGUCCAACUUUAUUCAAAUCUUCUAGAUUAUUACAUCGAGCCUUACGCUCCAAUUUAAAUGGUUGAAUGAUGACUUAAAGUUGAUGUGGUCAAACUUCGAAACAAAACUCUUAAUAAAUUGAAAUUGGAUGGUGAAAGCUAAAAUUCAAUUAAAAAGAAUGUAAUAUAUUAAUUUUUUAACUUUUGAACAUGGAUAGUCGAUCCAAAGUUGACUGUUCGAGUUAUGAUUAUUUGAUUGGAUAGCUCAAUCAGUGUAAUAUUAACCUAAUUAAUUUAAUUUUUAUUUUAUUAAAAAAUCCUAUGUCAAAAUAGGUGGUAAAGUAAAAUUUUUAAAAAAUAAUGUGGUGGCAAAGUGAAAAAUGCGCUAAACUUUGAAUGGGCACAGAGUGAUUUUUUAGAUCAUGGAAUGCCAAAAUAAAAAUGAGCUAAACUAUAAAGAGAUAGCAAAACUUUUUUAAUUAUAGGUUGACAAAGUAAAGAUAAGCUAUACUAUUUGAACAAAUGAUCCAAGUUAAAUGAACUUAAUAUGUAAUUUAAACAAGCUAAAAGCCUUUUUAAAGGUAAUUUGAAAUUAUAAUAGCUAAAAUUAAAUUCAGAUUUAUAAUUUAAAGUUAAUUUUCAAACAUAGAAUCGUUUAGUUUAAAUAGUUAACAAAAUUUAUUUUUUUAACUAUAAUAUAAACUAAAUCUAAAUUUAAAAUUUAAUUUUAAUCAAUAUUUUUGAACUUUAAUGUUGGUUUUACUAUCGAAUGAACAAUUUGAAUUUAAUUUUAAAAAUAGAAGUCUUUAAUUUAAAUAAAUAAUAAAAGUUAUGUUUAUAAAUACAGCAUAAUUUACAAUUUAAAAUAAGUUAAUAUAUUUGAAAUUUCUUGUCAUUUUAAUAUCAAAUUAACAAUUUGAAUUGAAAUAUACUAUUCAUUUAAACAUAAAUUUUUCCGUUCUGAAAAUUAAAAGUAAAAUUAAAUUUGAAUUUAAUGUACACAAUUAUAAAGUUUAACUCAAAUUGAAUUUUAAAUUCAAUUUUAUAAAGGUUUAUUACUUAUGAAAUUAGCACUAUCUAAUUUGGUAAGUAACAAAAUUAAAUAAGGAAACAAAUAUUUAUGUAGAGUUAAUCAAAUUUGGUAAUUAGCUUGUAUUUGUUUUUCCAUAUUACCCUUACGAAUGGUAACUUAUUGAGCAGGUAACUACUAUUGAAAAGUCAAUCUCGCUUUUAAAAUAUUAACGGCUAGAUUUAAUUUAGCCGGUGUAUUGAAGCAUUCCUCCCAAUUAAAUUUGAUAUAAAGUACUUAUAAAUUUAAUAAAACUAUCAAUCUACUUGAAAAAAAAUUAAUUAAUUGUAAAAAAAAUUAAAAAUUUGAGUGGAUGUUAAUCUUAAAAUAUUAAAAUGGAGAGGUCUAUUUCAAAAUAACUUCUAGGUGAUGAGUACAUCCUCAUACAAUUCCGUUCUUAAAACAAAUAAUAAUAACAGUACAAUAAACUUGAUAGCCAGGCGCCGACGCGAGAAACCAAUUUAGUUGUCCUUUGACAUUAAAAAAGGGACAAUAUUUUCCACAAAGCAAUCUAACUUAUUUGAAUUAGAAUAAUUAGGUCUUGUGUGCUAUUAGGAGCAAGGAUGCAUGCCUUCGUGCUUUUAAGCCAUUUUUAAUGAUACAGCUUCCGAAUCGACAAUCGGUUCCAUUAAAAUUGAUCUAGCAUAUUUGAAAUAUCUAAAAAAUAAAUUUUGCGGUUUUUCGAUAUCAUUAUCUAGCGAUCGAAAGGUUUAAAAUCAAUAAUUUUUAAUGGUUGAUAUAUAUCAUUUGUAAGUUUAAUGGUGUAAAAAUAUUCAAAUUAGAUGAAAUUUUAAUAAAAUUUUUUUAUACUAUUUACUGUAAAAUCAAUAUUUUGAUCGAAAAUUUUAAUGUUAUAUCACCAGUUUUUGUGAGAUUUUUAUUUUCAACUGUUGAUUUUCAACACUUUCGAUCGAAAAAUCGCAAAAUUUAUUUUCUAAAUACUUCAAAUAUCUAGAUCAAGUUUAACAGAACCGAUCGUCGAUUCGGAAGCUCCAUCGUCGAAAACGGCUUUUAGGAGCAUGGAGGCCUCCAUGUUCCUAAUAGCACACAAGACCUACUCCAUAUAUUUUGUUUAAAAGUGAUUAUCCAUAUAUUUUGUUUAAAAGUGAUUAUGGAGGUAAACCUACCUUUUGUUUAAAUAUAUUCUAAUUGCAGCAGUUGGAAAUUCGUUCAAUUUAGAUAUAAUUCCAACCUUUUAUAUUUGAGCCUCCUUAUGUAAUUAUUCCAGCUGCAGCAGCAGUUAAAUUCACAAAUAUCAAAUUAGACACCAAAUUUGAAUAUGCAUGUAAUUACAUAUGAAAUCAAAUAGCCCCUUAAAUACAUUGAAAAUUUCUACAAGAUUUGGAAAGCAUUGAAGAUUUGAUUGCAACUGCGUACUGUAUAUUGUCAGUACAUGGAAAUUUUUUCCGUUACGUAAUUGAUAUAACUAGCUAAAAUUUCCAUAGUCAUUUCCAACUUCUAGAUGAGUGCUUAUCAGUAUUAAUUGCGGUAUACGAUUAAUCUGCCGGAUUUCCUAAGCAUAGACAUGCAUGCAAUCAAAUUUGAAGUCCGGUGAGAUUCAAAUUUGAAGCUUACUGUUCUGCUAUAUGUGAGAUAGUUAUUUGUCUGGAAGAGAUCUGUUUUAAUUAGAUGAGUGAAUAUUUGUUCAACAUAUUCAGGGUCAAUUGUACAUCUGGUCCUCAAACUAUGUGGCUUCUUCUCAAACUUUAAUUUGUUGUAAUUGCUAAUUCAAACAUUUAAAAUUAUCCAAAUUAAGUUGUAUAACCCAAUUUAGUUGACUAAAUGUUACUGUAUCGCUAAUAUAGAAGUGAUAUAGCAGUAUCAUGAUUGACGAUGUGUGUCAAUAAUUAAGAUGCUGUGUCACUUUUACAUCAGCAGACGACUUAGCCGACCAGCACUUAUAACUCGUAGAAUCCUAAACUAUAUAAAAUGCUAAAAUGUAAUUAUUAUUAUUAUUAUUGGAUCCUUCGAUCUUUAUAUUCUUACUUACAAUUUCUUACCAACGUGAUGUGGAACUUCUGGGCCAAGGAAGAAAUUGUCCUAAUUUGGUUAAUCAGCCAUCGGUGCUAACUCAUAUUCCCUUGCUGGAUUUUUCAACCUUUCUACAUUUUGAAUUUAUUUUCUUAUUAGGAGUUGUGGAAGAAUGAAGAUUGAAAAUGGAGAUGCUAUUCAUGGCAAAUCCUUAGGCAGUAUAGACGUGACGGAGUUGACAACAUAAUAUCUCGGAUAUAUAAAUUGCACGCGCAUUUGGUCCUAAGUAUAUUUUGGUCUUUAGAUUUCACUUUUUGUAAAAUUUUGAUUCAAACAUUUAGAAUUAUUACUAUCAAGUUCUAUAAUCCAAUUAGUUGACUAAAUACUAAGGUAUUGCUAGCAUAGAAGUAAUGUAACAGUAUUGGGAUUGAUGCUGCAGUAAUAAUUAAAAUGAUACAUCACUUUUAUAUCAACAAUGUAUCAAUAUCUGGCCAACUAAACUAUGUUGUUGUGGGACUUAAUUACGAAAAUUCUGAAAGAUCGAAUCAGGAAUUGUAAUAUAGUUUGAGGACCAAACGUGCAAUUUUACCCUAUUAAUUGUUUCUUUCUAGCAGGGGAAAAAAGAAAAAGGAUAAAGCGGCGCCCUACCCGUGGUUUAGCAUAAUUUUACUUUACCACUGUAUGACUCGAAAAGUUAUACUUAACUAAGUUUGAAUUCUAGUUGAUUCACAUUUCCAGUUAAGUUUAUUUCUAAAUGAAAUAAACGAAACGGGUAGCGUGCUACCUAUCUCUAAAAAAAAAAACUAUCAUGUCGUCAAAAGGACCUAUAGUAAAAUAGGAUCGUUAAAUGAAAUAUUUUGCAAACUACGGGAUGGUACAAUAUAGCAUCUUAUUAUUUUAUAAUCUAAACUUUAUAAUUUGUAAAAAAAAUACUACUUCAAUAUUCUAUUUAGUAAACGAUUUUACGGUGAGACAAUAUCAAAAUUAAAAGAUUAUUAAGUGCAACUUUUUAAACUAUAGGGAUGUAAAAUAAAACGCGCUAUCUCCAUGGAGGAAGGUAGGCAAAUAGAAUUAAACAUCCACUAAAAAAGAGCAAAAGGUUAGCCUGAUUACAGUUAGCCACUGAAGUUGAAAAUUACCACGUAAGUAAUGAUAAAUUAGUUUACAUAGCUAUCUUGCUGGAUUUUUUGUUUUCUACUUGCACGUGGCUAUCCCAUAACAAAUUAACUUUUAUUUUAAAUUUCAUAAUAUAGUAUGGAAAUUUUAUAGUUCAACAGUUUUUGACAAAUAAGUUUUAGGUCUCUGGCAAACAAGUUUUUAAGUUUGGAUGAUAAUUUGUACUUCUGCAGAAGAAAAUUUCAACUGAUUCUACAAAUUUGCACUCUGAUUUACCAUCAGCUGGUUCUAGUUUAUGUUUUUCUUGGCAAGAUAUAUGGUGCCUAAAAAUUAAAUUAAAAAAGUUCUUUUAUUUUUAUAGGGAAUUAUUGCAUCAAUCUAGAUCUAUAUAUACAAAGUCUCCAAAAUCCAAACUUACAUGUCCUACAAUCUAAAUGCAAAUAAGCUUGGCUGGGGUGCUAGUAAUAUAUAUAGCACAACAAAAGCUCUUCAUAAUUGAAGAGUGAUUUUUGAUGUUUAGACAUUUGUUUUGACGAUCAGCAACUUUUAAUAUGUCGUAAUUAACUUCUCAAGAAUUAAUUCCAUAAAUUUCUUACUUCAUUUACUAUAUGAGCUCAUGGGGUUUGAAAAGAAACAAUUUUAAUGGUGUGUAUGAGUUAUUUUCUACUGUAAUAUAUGGUGUCAAAUAUUUUUUUUCUUUUUAACUAUCUAGGUGAAGUUCUACUUUUUUGGUUAUGAACUUAACAAUUGCACCCUUUAUGUUUAGAGGCUAGCUUGUUGUUCAGUUUGCAGUCGUUUGAUGAAAUAGAAAGCAAUUUCACACAAUUGAAAACUUGGGUUCCAAGAAAAAUCAAAUACCUGAGUUCAUAUUCAACAGUGUCAAAUUGCUGAUUUAAAUAUUACAGGCCGGGUCAAAAAUAAGUCGAUAGUACAAAAGGUUAGAGCUAUAAUUAAUAGUACCCCUUCUCCACUCAAUGUAAAUUAAAUCUCUACAUAUUAUUUAAAUCACUGCAAAGGUUAAUAUUAUCUAUAGCUUAAAUAUUUAAAUUAAUGUCAAGAGAUGUUAACUGUUUGAAGAUGUUUUAAUUAUAUGCUAAUUAUGUUCAUAUAUAUUUAUAUAAGUGUUUAGCAUAUCCUUUCAAAUUGUAAAUUUGCGUAGAAAUUAAAAAGUGUGAGUGACACACGCAGUUACCCUAUGUCUUAUACCACGUAGUAAUUGGACGACAUAUUUUCAAACUAAGGCUACGGACCUCUUCAGAGCUUAUUGCAGAAUAUAGCUAGCGCUAUCAAUUAUCAAUAGAAUAUAGUUUUUUGAAGAAAUAUUGGAUUAGGCACUAUAACAAGUUUACUCAAGGACUUUUCUCACCAAUAAAAUUAAUCUGAUGCUCUAAAAUUACUAGGUUUGAACCGUACGUUCAAUAGUAUUAAUUUUUGCUUUCUCCUGCGCGCAGGAUGUUUUAGGAUUGUAAAUAUUACGUUAAUUAGGAAGAAUUCUAACUGAAAGAAGAAGGUCCUCGAAGAGUUAGCUAGGAGUCUUCAAAGAAAAUUAUGCUUAGAAUGAGAAAAACUGAUGGCGGCUGAGGACAUUUUCCCUUUUUUUUUUCUUCCACCAGUUAGGUUUCUAGGAAUCGCUUAUCCAAAUUUAAAAAGUUGAUCAAAGUCACCUUACGGUGCAAAUUUUUCCACAACUCUCCUUGCUAUAAAGAGCGACCAAACCAUCUUGGUUUCGCCGUGCCAAAUUAAUUCUUGUGUAAAUUAAGUUCGCUAAAUUUAGAUAAAAUUUUCGCAACAUAGAGCGAAGAUGGCGAAGAAGAGCUUGGUAGUGCUGACGGUGGCAACAUUACUAGGCCUAGCGUCGCUCGUCGCGGCGACGCCUGGCACAGCGACCUACUACACCGUCUACACACGUAUAUAUGCAUGCAUAUGUUUUCUUUUUCUUUUUGAUAAGACGGACGAUCGAUCGAUGUAUGUACAUGUAUGUGUAAAUUAAUAUGCAUGCAUGCAUGCGCGCGCGUGUGCAGCCUCGGCGUGCUAUGGGUACCAGGAUGAGGGGACGAUGAUCGCGGCGGCGAGCGAGAGCAUCUGGAACAACGGAGCGGCGUGCGGGCAGAUGUACACCAUCACGUGCACCGGCGCGACCAACCAGGGCGUGCCGCAGCCGUGCACGGGCCAGAGCGUGACGGUGAAGAUCGUCGACUACUGCCCUCCGCCGGGCUGCCAGGCUACCUUCGACCUUUCUGAGCAAGCCUUCGCAAUCAUCGCCAAUACCGCCGCCGGCAAGAUUGACAUCGACUACAAUCUGUAAGUCCUUUAUCUCUCAAAAAAAACAUUCUAGCUGUAAGUCCUCCUCAAUCGAUCGCUAUAUAUAUAUAUAUAUAUAUAUAUAUAUAUAUAUCUAUCAGAGGCUAGCCACCCGCGUGUUCUUUUCUCUUAAUUAAUCUAACAGCUUAAUUAAACAUUAAAAAGAAACAACCAGCCGUUCGUUCGCGUCGUAUGGUACAUGAGAUCGAUCGGAUUCCGAUGGACUUCUAAUAAUAUUUAAUUCUCUUCCAUUUAAUUUAGCUUUAUGUAUGUUCCAUUAUUAAAGGUAUUAAAAUAUAAUUUUCUGGUAGUUUUAGCUAGCUAGGGCUUUUAAGGCAAACAUUUGUUUUAUGGUUUGCAUAUGAACUACGCUAAAAAAGAAUUUCAGAUUGAGAAAACACUUUUACGAGUGUGUGGUUGAGAGUCUUUUUAAGCAUCUUGAGAAAACAUAUAUAUGUGUCUUUUCAUUUUCUGAGUGUUAUUUUUUCUAUAUAUGUAAAACAGAAAUUGGGGACUACAAACACAGAGAUCUCUCUUGCUUGCCUAGUCACACUCGCUUCGUUUUGUUUUCUUAAAGUCAAAACAAUCAUGCCACCUUAAUUAAUUUUGAGGAAAAAUAUUUGGAGAUCCUUUGAACUUAAACUCUUUAAAUAAAUAUGUACAUGAACUUCCAAAUUUGAUAAUUAGAUUCUCUAAGUUUUACCAAAUAGUUUAAUAUAUACGUCUCUCUUCUUUAGUGUAAUUACUAAUUAUACAAUCGUUCUGAACACAUAUCUUACACAUAAUCUUAUAAGACUUCACAGUAUAAAAAAAUUUUAUUUUUUUUCUCUUUCAUUUUUAAUAAUUAAAUUUGAGAAUUGAAUAAUAUGGUGAGUCUAAUUUUGAUUUCUGUUAUUUUUUUGUUUCUUAAUUAGAAUAUGAAAAAUAGAUAUAUUUUUUUGUUUCAAUGUUUUAUCAGAUAUAAGCGCAAUAUCGAACAAAAUAGUAAUUUACAACUUCAUCCAAGACGAGGGGUUUGUUGAAUUAUUAGAAAAAGUUGAAGAAAUCUAAUUACUAAAAUUGAAAGUUUAAACACUUGUUUACAAAAGUGGUAAAGUUUAGAGGGUCUCUAUAUAUUUUACCCAUUAAUUUUAAAGAAAAUGCUAGUGUUACACCUUAAAAAAGGAGAGUGUAAAUUUUACAUUUCUCAUCCUAUCCUAGGUUUCAUAACCUUUCCUAUUUUUUUUAAUAUUAGAAAAAGUUGACAAGACAUCACAAAAUUAUUAGUCCUUGAAUAAAAGGGUAUAAGAUUUAUAUUCACUUUUAGACGUGUAAGAUUUAUAUUCUUCUUUCUUUGGAUGUAUAGACAGUGUUGUUCUAUAUAUAUAUAUAUAUAUAUAUAUAUAUCGAACCAAACAUGAAUAAACAUAAUUACUUCGUUUUUCUAUGAAAAUUUAUUUCCCCUUGUCGCUAUAUUUGAACAAUUUUACAUGAAAUCUAAUUAAUGUAAUGUAUUUUUUUUUUCUUUUCAACACUAACUUUUCUCUCUCUCUCUCUCUCUCUCUCUCUCUCUCUCUCUCCUUGUGGACCUUCUCUAAUGAUUUGACAGGGUUUGAGAAUCACUAGAGUGAAGAAUAAUGGUGGAGUAUUUCCUCCCUCUAUCCAGGAAAGAAAUAAGCAUUGACUUCUUCCGAUAAUGGUUGUUUAAUAAAACUCUGUGCAGAUCGGAUAGACUGCAAAGAACUAAUGGAAUAAAUAAAGUAUCACUUUCGAUAUUAAUUGUUCUAUUUCUACUUUCGGAUUUAUUUUUUUUUGUUUUUUCGGUUUGUUGGUUGAGUGUAAAAAGAUUAUCGAGAAUUAAUGCAUGGACGGGGAAUACUAACCUAAUCUAUAUCAAUAUACUAGUUAAGGGACCCGCGCAAUGCGGCGGAAAUUUUUUUUACAAUUAAUCACUAUGGCUUCCUGAUUAAUAUUUUUCAGUUCAAUUAGGAGUAUUUACAAUUUGGAUUCCAACCAAAAAUCUAACCGAACCGAACCAAAUAAAGUUUUUUUGGUUUAGUUAUAUUGGUUUUUUAAACUUCUAAACCAACUAAACCGAACCGAAGCUGCAUAGUUACACACAAUUAUGUAUGUAGUUCGGCCACUAUACUCUUAUAAGUAUAGAUAUUUUUAUACUAAUAAGUUUUGGGCUACUAAAUCUACCCCUUUGAAUAUUUUCAUCCGAUAAAUCAUAUUAUUUAAUUAAUCACCCACUCAAGCGUAGAGAAUCAUUGUCAUAAAUAUAAAGGAGUCUAUAUUCAUACGAAUAUAUAUAUAUAUAUAUAUAUAUAUAUAUAUAUAUAAUGGGAGUGUAUAUACUUCUAUUUUUCAAUUUUUAAAAAAUUCUUAUUUAUUAAUGGAUGUAAAAACUUGGCAAUAUUUUAUAUUACUUAUAAAAGAUGAAACGGAAUAGAUGAAACAAAAUAAACCAAACCAAACCAAAAAAACCCCAAAUUCAAAAUCAAAAUUUGUAUCUCAAAAUAAUUUACAAUACAUGAUUAUUGGAGAAAACAAACCCCUCUACUAUCUAUAACUAUUCUUAUCUAUGUGUAUUAAUGCAUUUAAGAAUUUUCUUUUAAUCUCGAUGUUGAAUAAUUUAAAAUUAAAUAAUAAAAAUAAAGUAAUAGUUUUUACGUUUUUUUCAGGAGAAUAUCUAAACUAAAUCAUAAAACUCAUUGAUGUAACAUUAGAAAAGAUUAAUAAUAUUUUUCUACCAUCAUCACUAUAGAAUUUACAAAUGAAAAAUAUAAGAAACUUAAUUGGCAUUGCUAGUUCAUUAAUUUUGACAUUUGCAUCUAUGCUUAACAAUAUGUAUUAUUUGAUAUAUAUUUGGCUAGAAAAAAUAAUAAUAAUAUCAAGUUUAACUACUAAUUUGGUAUCGAAUCGUUAGAUGUUAGAGGGAAAAAAAACAGUUCCAUGCCCAAGCAACAAACAACCAAUAAAUAAGGGAGCAAAAUGAAAUAUGAGAAAAAUUAAUUAAACGUUGGAAUUUUUUCUUUAGGAUAAAUGUUGGAAAAUUUAUGAUCUUAAGCACUGACAGAUAGAAAAUAUGGCCAACGGCAAGUUAGAAGUAAACACAAACCACAGCAAAAGCACCACCGGUAGUUUCAACACCAAAGUAUAUAGAGCCAUAUACAGUAAAAAGAAAAAACUGUAGGCCGGAGGAUGCAAAACAUAUAACCACAGAAAUUAUCCAGAAACGACAAACCUGAAGGUUAAUUGUAACUAAUACAGCGGCCAACUUGAAGACAAAUUGCUUUUAAAAAGAUCUCCAGAUUUAUGGCCAAACAUGUGAGAAAGAAAAAGGAGUUUGUCCCUGCAAAAUCUAGAAAUUGAAUCAAAUUAAGUUAUGAGAGUCCCAUGAAAUUUCUAGAAUCAAAUUAAGUUAUGAGAGUCCCAUGAAACAUUAGUUUGUUUCAAUUGACUAUUUAAUCCUUAAUUUCGGCUUUUCUUAAUUUUUUUUUGGGAACAAUCUUUAGUGAGAUGAUAGUUUUCUUUUUUUUUAUUUUAGAACAAUCUUUAGUUAGAUGACAGACACACAUCUCGAAUACUUCUUAAAUUAUAUGAGCAUUCAAAAAAAGAAGGCUAUUCAAGUCGAUUGAAGAUUGUUAAUGAUAAUUAACAUAAUUGAGGGAUCGGCAGCUAAUAUAAUUCCUUUAUUUUUUUUUAGUUUAGAUGUCGAUAUACAACCAAGCAAACAUUUAGGGAAAUUGAUGUAUUCUCCUCCAAUUAAAUUAUGUCACUUCAAUAAAAGACUAAGAUAUCUUCACCAAUAAACUAUAAAGAAAGUAACAUCAUAUGAGGGUGAGUUAUAAACCUUAACUUUUCAUAAGUAGACAUUAGUGCGGCAGAAGGAGGUGCACCGCUAUAUUCUAUGGCGACGUCAUCUCUACCUUCUCGAUUGCCAGCAUAUUUCCCACCUAUCAUGCAACCGUAGUUGUCUCAAACAAUGUAUUCGGCAUCAUUAUUAUACAUUCAUGAUCAAAAAAUUAAGCACCACUAAAUUAUUUACUAAUUACGUAGCUACCCUGAAUUUUAAAGCAUACCAAACGAUCAUUGCCAUUCGGCUAAAAAGACAUUUAUUUCCACCUUUUUUGUUUGAAAUAAAUAAUUAUUAUCCCAUGCCAGUUAGAAAAUAAUCUCACAAUAAAGAAUAAUUUGAUUAUUUUAUGCGAUGUAGUAGGGAGGUAUUAUAACAAUUAAUAUUAUAUAUUUUAUAUGUACAAAUAUAUGAAAAAAAUGUAAAACCUACACAUGUGAUUCGAUUAGUAGUUGGGAAACAAAUCAAUUUAAAGAAGCAAAAGAGAAGUGUUGGCAUUCGGUUAAAUCGAAUCGGGUACGCCCAUAAGCGGGUUCGAUCCGACGGAUAUUAUGUUAUCUAAUUGGAUUAGGAUUAAUCUCGCUUUCAAAUUGGAAAGCUAAUUAGAGAUAAAUCUAAUCAUAUUAGGAUAACAAAUAAUAACCGAUUUGGCCUUAUCUCUAACGCUAUNACGCCCAUAAGCGGGUUCGAUCCGACGGAUAUUAUGUUAUCUAAUUGGAUUAGGAUUAAUCUCGCUUUCAAAUUGGAAAGCUAAUUAGAGAUAAAUCUAAUCAUAUUAGGAUAACAAAUAAUAACCGAUUUGGCCUUAUCUCUAACGCUAUUAGGAUUUUGGAAUUCCUUAUAAAUAGACGGGCGAUCCCACAUGAAACGAUGUACAUGGAAAGAACGAAAAAGAGAGAAUAAGAAAAUAAUAGAGAGAAACCACAUCCUCCAUUGACCUAUUAUUCUAGAGGGACUUGCACGGUGGAUUUGCGAUCGCGCUCGUUUGUAGUUCGAUCCACCGCGAGUUCGUGGAGCGUGAGAAGACAUUCAAGGACGAUCCGAGGACACGUGAAUCAAUCUAAACGAUCCGGGCUCAUCGCGUUGUUGCGCGAAUCGCUUCCGAAAAAGGUACGAACGAAUACUUCCGCUGCGUUCUACAAGAAGAAACACGUUUUUCUUAGUUACAAAGAGAAAUAAAAAUGAGCAAUUCAACCAAUAAAUAUAGAAUAUUUAUUGCAUUUCAUAUUAUUCUCUUAAUAUCGGUCAAUAUUUAUACGAAGCGAAUCAAUUUGUGCAAUAAUUAGCUAACCCUCUUACAUGUUACUCCUUAAUAGAGUAUAAUACCAACAAAAAAGGAAAAACAACUUUUGCUACUUAGUUGAUAUUUACCUAUACUCCAAAGUCUAUAGUGAUUGUGGCUUUACAACGUUUAGAUAGAUCUUUCCUCACAUAUCCCAGCCUGGUUUCUUCCAGAAUCAUCACUUUAAGGUAUGAAAAUCAAUAUGGUAUUGGAAAAGGAGAAUAAACGAUCAAAGAGAAAGGACAAUCCAAAAGGGAUUAGGAAAAAGAAAAUGAUCAGUUUAUAGCCAGUAUUGAGGUUGUCCAAUUAUGAAGCUGUGAGAGUUGAGAAAUGGCAUUGUUCUCUAUCUGUUUUUCUUUUUCGUGUGUGUGUAUGCCUCCCUCUUUGAGAAGCUACUCCUCCAUGUCUCAUCUCCUGCAGAAAAGAAAAACAAAUUCAAGAAAAUCAUGAAUUUAAAAAAAAAUCAAAAAUAGAGGAGGUAUUUUCGCAAGAAAAAUAAAUUCUAGAAGACUAAUCAAAAGUGUUUAGUUAGCUCAGGAAAAUUAAAGAAAGAGUAAUUGAAUUGAUAUUACCAGAAAUAGUAAUAAACAGAUAAACUUGAAGACACUUCACAGAUACUAAGUUAUCCAAUAAGAGAACGGUGAACUUUAAUAGAUAUAUCAAUAAUUACAGUAAUAGAGACAGCAUCAAUAAUUGGAGUAACAGAGGCGGCAUAGGUUCCCAAUAGUUUAGGCAAAAUAAUAAUAACAAUAAAAACCACUAAAUAAAGCAUGGAUAAAUUAAAAGACAUGCCUCCACCAAUAUCAUAUGCAUGAAAUUCAUGAGUUUUUUCCUACAUGUCGAACUGUUUCAUUAUUCAGAACGAUAAGAGAUAGUAGGAAAGAAAAGUAAGAACUUAAUUAGUAAUCUAAUAUCACAAUGCAUAGGAUAAAAAAAAAGUAGACUGAAAAAACAAAUAUUAACAAUACAAAUGACUUGAGAUAUUUAAUAAAACUCAAAAGUAUCAUUUAAAUUGAUAAUUCCACUUUUUUUUUUCGGCUUUUGUUUAUAGUGUCUAUAUUUCGUUCACAACCUACUUAUAGAGCUAAAACUAAAUAUUAUAUUGUCAGCAUGUGAUCUUCUUUAGCCUCUCAUCUAUAAAGUCAAAAAUGCAACUAUGGAAUCAUUAUAUUAAAAUCUUAGACCUGUGCAAUUCUAACUUGCAUCGCUUCUUGCUUAAGAUUACGUUAACAUUGAUUACUAUAAUACUUUGACCAAAUCAAUUACUAAAGUGAAUCUAAGCCAAUAGAUUAAAGCGUUUACUCUGUUGGCUGAAAAUUAAAGUCUUGACUGCUUAGAACUGAAUUUUGUUAUUGCAUCAACAACUUGUUAAAUUCAUUAACAUGGUAGAAUCACGGCGUUUGAUCUCUAAUUAGUAAAAUCAUCUAUCCAAACAUCUCAUUCGUGGACCAAAUUUAUUUAUUAGAGCUCAAGGCUUAAAGUUGAAUAAAGAGAAAACUCCCGUCCUGAAAUAGCAAAUAAAUUCUACAUUUAAAUGACAUCGUUAGACAAAAUCCUUAUCGGCCUAAAUUUGGUAAAAUGACACAAUUUUCAUACUGUUAACUAUAAUUUUUAGAUUUCGCCUGAGAUUUGAGAUCACUGCUCAAAAUCCUUAAAUAAUGCAACAUCAUAGCACCUCUGUCGAUUGAUAAUAAUAGUUGUGAGUCUACAAAUCCUCACCACAAUAAGAAUAACAUAAAAGCUAAUGAAAAGAUUUUGGUAAUAGCUAUGACUCUACCUCAGAUUUGUGAUUGGAGAUAUAUAGGUGAUGAGUGCAGAGUGGAAUCUGGAGAAGCCAAUCUUUUCGAAUGCAUAGAACCAGCCGUCGAUUUGUGAGGUUCAUUUAUGGCUACACAUUUUUCAAUUGUUGGUGCACGUUCAUUGGAAUAGUGCUGGAUUUAUAAAGUAGGCUACAAAACAUGUCAAAGCAUGUCUUCACUUAAUUCUAGUUAGCAAGAAUUUGAUUUUUUUCAUCCAUUAAAGAAUUGCAGAACCUCUUAAGAACGCCAUGUUCUAUGUUAAGCAUGUCACAUUCACUACGUAGAUUUUCGUACUUUCGAGAAAUACGAUCAUACAAUUCUUCUAUCUUUUUUUCUUUCAUCAUAAUUAGCAUCUCUAAUUUCGAAAUCAAGCUGUUUGCAUAAUGUUCCAACAGCAACCCGGGCCGGAUCCUCCUCAGACUCAUUCGAAUUUGUAGACGGCGAACCCCAGCAUGUAAUAGCCUCCAUAAAUCGACUAUACCUUAAGACCUAUACAUCAAUAUAUGUGCAAAAUUGGCCAUUGGAUCCUUGGCAGUGUUAGACAAAAUCCCUUGUCCUAAAUUUGGUAAAAGGACGCAAUUUUCAUGCUAUUAACUAAAAUUUUGAAGCUUUCACCUAAGGUUAGAGUUCACUACUCAAAAUUCUUCAAUAAUGCAACAUCAUAGCACCUCUAUCGGGAAAAAUAAGUUCUAACUAAUAGGAUCAAAAUUAGAUAUGUAUGUGUCAUAUUUACUAAUUUGUUACAUAUUUAGGUCAGUUUAAAAAUGUUGAAUUCUAGUAAAUCCAGGAAUUAAUUACAUUCAUUUUUUGUUUUAUAUCUAUNUGUGCUUUCCUUGGCCUCUGCGUAUAAGUAAUUUUUGAAUUGUAGGCUUUCCUGUUCAUUGUUCUUCUACAUAAUAUAUAUACUUAUUUUGAUUUACUAAUUUGUUACAUAUUUAGGUCAGUUUAAAAAUGUUGAAUUCUAGUAAAUCCAGGAAUUAAUUACAUUCAUUUUUUGUUUUAUAUCUAUAACAAACAUAUGUAUUACAUAAGUAAAUCAAAAUAAGUAUAUAUAUUAUGUAGAAGAACAAUGAACAGGAAAGCCUACAAUUCAAAAAUUACUUAUACGCAGAGGCCAAGGAAAGCACAACAACUGAAAAAUAUCAUUUUUUUCAAUUUUUAGAAGUUCUACAUAUCGAAAAGCUUUCAAAUUCAGAGCCAGACAUACAUGAAAAAAAUAAUAAGGUAACAAAUUUUCAAGUCGAAGAGGAAUUUUUUUUUUAACUAAAGAAAAAGUACAUAGUAGACUAAUCAAAAUAAUAAAACAAUCCAAUAAUUAGAUCAUCAAUUGUGUUGCAAUUCACUCAUUUUUUAUAUUUUGUUUAGAUCAGCAGAUGAUGGACUCAACACAAAAAAUUUAUAACACACACAUGCAUACAAUAGAAGACUUAUGAUCUGGGAGCUUGCCGAUUCAGAUCUGGACGUUUUUUUUUUAUAAAGAAAUAAGGUAGUUAAAUCUAAGUAAUCAAAUUGAUAAACAAAUCAACAAAUACUAUCAAAUUAAUAAAACAAAUUAACAACUACUAACUAACCGACGAAGAUCCAAUUAAUGGAAGCUACCACAUGCAGGGCUGCAGGAGGAUUAAUAGAGAGCACUUGGAACAGAUUUUGGAAUUUUGAAAAUCUUCUUAGAGGCAUCUUGAUACAAAAUCAAACAGUAUUUAGUAUUUUAUUAAAAAAAAUUUAGUAUUAGGCAAACUAAAAUAGGAAAAAAAAAAAAAGCAUUUAAAACUCACAGGAGAUAUGCAUGGAAGCGUAGAUGUAGUAGGAUGAACAACAAAAGAUUGUAGAUGACCAUUAAGAGGUAUGGAAAGAAGUAUAGAACAACCCUUCGGAAUCAACAGGUUUAAAUAUCCGAUGCGGCACAGGAGACGAAACGAUAUUGAAUCGGUAUCAUUUUUUCGUCUGGAGAGGGAAUCAACCGACGGAAUGAAUCGGCAUUAUUGGAAACGGCGGGAGUGAAGAAGGAUCGACAACGCACCUUCUUUAAUUUUCCAUCCGUAGAGCAGGAACCCUGGUUGUCGAAGCGACGGGAAUGAAGAAGAGAGCCGGUUCAAUUUUGAGAAGGGAUUCCGGUUGGGUUCAACUCUUAGAAUAGGUUCCGAUCUUUUUUAGAUAAAAAAAACCGGAAAAAAAUCGUUUAAGGCAAAACUGAAACAAUGAUAGGUAGGCCCCAUAUAUAUCCAAAAUUAAGCUAAAACAUGCCACGUGUACAAAAGAUUAGGGGAAUUAAUAGAGGUUAUAGAUAUACUUACUAUAAAAUAAUUGGGUGCCAUGUGUAAAAUAUAAUGGGUAAAAUUAGUUCUUACUUACUAUAUAAGAAUAAGAAUAUAUUUUACCCAUUAUAUUCUUAUAUAUACUUAGUUCUUUACUCACUAUAUUAAAGGUGAGUUGACAUCAAAAAAUAAUUGGGUGCCAUGUGUCCCCUCCCAACCAACUGCUCAACUAUAAAAUAAAAUUAACUGCAACUAGUAAGUAAAUAUCAUAGGCCCAACCUAAUUAAAAUAUAAUUUAAUAGAUAUGAUUUUAUACUAUAUAAAAAAUUUAUAUAGGGUUUUAACUUUUAUAGUGUCGUUUUAGGAUAUAAAGUGUAUAAAAUUUGUUUAUACAUUAUUUCAUCUUUCCUUCUCAACUAUGAAAAAUCAUCGCCUACCCGCUUGUACUAAUUAGUUACAUAUGCCAAACUGAUCAAUAACAAUUCAUCCAAAUAUUAAUAAAAUUUUAUUUUUUCCCAUUAUCUAUCAAUGCCUUUGUAAUCAACCCAAUAUCACAUUCAAUCCAGUGUACUAAAAAUACUGUCUCAGAAACAACCAAAAGGACCUUAAACUGAGACUUUAAAUAUAUUUUGUAUUUAUACCUAUAUUCCUUAAAUCAUAAAAUAUUUCUGUCUGUUACUAUGAUUGUCAGAGCAAAUUGAUGAGUAGUUACUUAAUAGAUUUUAAAAUUAAUGAUUUUUCUAUACAAAAAAACUUUAAAUAUUUUAAAUUAUACCUACUGAAUUAAAAAUUUAUUUUAAAAAUUUGCAGUUAAAUAUUAGUACGGUGUUAGAGAUACACCUGGUGUGGGCAUAUACACGUGCAAUUUUUUUUGUCUAUCCUAACGUCAAAUUCAAUACGAUGGUCCUCCAACUCGGAAAAUAUUAUUUAAUUAUGCCAAGUGCACCCCAUAUCUAUUCAUUGUUCAUCUAUCAAUCGUCUUUCCGUAUUAAAUAUAAAUAUAUAUAUAAACCAUUUAGAUAAAUUUAGCAAUCUUUUUAUUAUGUUUUUGACCAAUGGAUCAAAAAAUGUAUAGGAUAAAAGGAUCGUAGACAGGUUGUGCAUGCAGUAGACAGGUAGUGCAUGCAGUACUUCCUAUGAUUUUGUCAACGUUUUUGGAGAAGAAGUCCGCUUUAAUCUCUCCUUUCGAUCUUUCCAAGAAGAAGUUCCAAAUCAAGCCGUUGCAUCUCUUUUUGUAAUAAUUGUUAGCUUAAAUGGCCGAGCAUCCUAUCCUGUGGCGGGAGACCAUGUGGGCUGAGUCAUGUUCGAAAUGGCGUGAGGCUGGGUUGGGCCGAGUCAUGUUCGAAGUGGCGUGAGGUCAGGUUGGCCGAGUUACAAUCGAGACCCUUGGGCGCUGUUUCUGUACGCUUUAAGUGAAUUGGUUGCGUAUUUCUAACAGCUCGAGCUUUUGGGAAUAAUGGUUAGCGCCAACGAUCCGACAAUAAUGGUUGGGGUGUAAUUGCCGAAGCCAAAUUUUUCUCCGAUUUCCUACUAAGUGCAUCGGCCACGACGUUCACUUUUCCGGGGUGGUAUAGGAUAGUGACAUCAUAAUCUUUCAACAACUCCAACCACCGCCGCUGUCGCAUAUUCAACUCCUUUUGGGUGAACAAAUAUUUAAGACUUUUGUAAUCCGUGUGGAUCUCGCAAUGUUCACCAUACAAGUAGUGCCUCCAUAACUUUAGCGGGAAAAUAAGCGCCGCUAGCUCAAGGUCGUGAAUCUGGUAGUUCUCUUCAUAAGUUUUCAACUGGCGCGAAGCAUAAGCUAUAACUCGGCCGUUUUGCAUCAAGACAUACCUGAGACCAACAUAGGAAGCAUCACUGUAUACCACAAAGUUUUCCCCCGGCGUCGGCAAUGCAAGCACCGGGGUUGUCGUCAACCUUUCCUUCAACUCUUCAAAGCUCCGAUCGCAAUCGUCGCUCCAAACAUACUUGACUCCCUUGUGUGUGAGGCACGUUAGCGGAGUGGUUAUUUUGACGAAUCCCUCCACGAACCGCCGGUUGUAGCCCACAAGUCCAAGAAAACUGCGGACCUCCGAUACGCUCGUCGAGUGAGGCCAAUCUUUAAUUGCCUCUACUUUCUUCGGAUCCACCUAAAUACCCUCAUCCGAAAUCACAUGGCCUAAGAAUGUGACCUCCGAAAGCCAAAAGUCACAUUUCUUCAACUUAGCAUAUAACUUCUCCUUUCGAAGUUAUAUGAAUUUAUGUGAAUUUUAGAACACUUAAAAUGAAAUUUAUGUGAAUUUUAGAACACUUAAAAUGCAUGUGUUAUGUAUAAGAAAAUUUUCACUCUAUAUAGUAGAGCAUUCUGGGUAUUGUUACAUGCAUUUGAGUAGUGUUCGCACUAGUCGUUUGGAAACAUGCUUCAUAUGUUUAAAGUGGCUCAAUUAUGCAUUUAUGAACAUUUGGUUUAAGCUUGGACUUAGUAAAUAAAAGUGUCAUAAAGGAGCACUUGGAUUAGCAAACUAUGAGACUAUUGUAUUGAGACUUAGAGAUAGGCCUUAGACAUCUACUACUUUCCAUGUUUUAGACAUGAUGAGAUAGAGAUAGGCCUAUGAGAGAGUUGUGAUAUAUUCCAUGUUGUUAGACAUGAGGACUUGGUACUUGAGACGGAUCUUUUGUUACUUGUCAUUGUUCUCAUUCGCACAUGCUUUUGAGGGUCGCUCCCUACAAGCCGGCACUCCGGAGAUGGCCAUCGUGAUACAUAUUCGCCGUGCGGGAUUAGGCGCCGAAGUGGAUUGCCGUGGGAAAGGCUCAUUCCUAGAGUGGGGAUGUUGACUACCACGGGGCCAUUAGACUCGGCACCGGUCAGACAGCCUACGAGUGGGUCUCAGGGCCAGACAGCCUUCGGGCGGGUCUCUUUAGAUUUGAUUUUGAGCAUUCAUCAUGCCAUAUGAAAUUGAUUAGAAUAGUAAAUAAUGACAUCUUUACUAUUUGACUCAUGGACAUCAUACUAGCGAUGCUUGGGUACAUUCUUAUGAGAAUAGCUUUUUCUACUUAUGCUAAAUCAUGCUAAGUAGAGAUAUCAUAUGGUAGCAAAUAUUCAUGCUUAUUUACUUGUCGUACAUAUCGUUUUUGUUUAUAUCUGCUUACUGACCCCUUUUCAGAGCCUUCAGCACCGGCGGAGGCACGGGAUCGCGACAAGGGAGUCACGUAGCUAGUUAGCGGGGAGCAACUUUUGAGCUUAGGUGGUUUACUCUUUCUUUUAUUGUAUUAGAGAGAAAGAGCUUUGCACCAUGUAUAGAGAGACCACCUAUGUACUUGUUUAGCUUUAGUAUUGGGAUUCCUAUUGUAUUCACUUUAUGUUUUUAUUUAGUGGACUUACUUUUAUGUUCUCUUCCCUUAUUGUAGCUUCUAGAUAUACUCCGCUCUGAUGCUUCUAGAUGUUCUCUUUUAUCGUCUUACUUAUCGUUUUGUUUUAGACGCCUUGUAUGUUUUAGACAUACGGCGGGUCUGGGCACGCGCCGGGCGGGCUUUCGCUAGGUCCCGGGGCGUGACAGAUUAGUUUGGUAUCAGAGCCUAGGGUUGAGUCUUAGUAGACCUAGCAAACCUUAGGCCGGUUGGACUAUAGGAAAGAGGCUCGUGAGAGACGAGGUCUAUUUGACUUGUAAGCGAAAGUAUUGUGAUUGGGUAUUUUGGAUAACUCUAGAAAGUGGAGUUAAAUCGAAGUGUAUAGCUCCUGACUUCGCGGAGGGUUACGUUGGCGGCCGACAACGUAACAUCGAGAGUUAGUGGUGAAGCACACUUCCUUACUUUCACAUGAUUUUGGGUAUUUCCUACUUGAGCGGGGAUACGAUAGCGUGGGUUACUAACUUUCGCUUUUAUGAUGUUGUAGUGAGAUGCCGAUCACUCGCUCCCAAUCUGCCGGAGCGGAUAAUGCGGCACAUCUUGAGGAGGUCGAUACCUCCGCUACCUCCGGAUCCGGCGAGGUCCGAGAGUUGAGGAGCCAGCUUGCGGCUCUCACCGACUUAGUGACACAGCAGGAGGAAGCGGCCCGACAGCAGACGGAGGCGGCGCGCUGACAGAAGGCGCGGAUGAAGCGCCUGGAGGACUUUCUUUUACAGCAGGCGGCAGCUUCCAGGGAGACUCAGGCCCCUACACCACCAGCACCAGUUGUGGACGUGGCACCGAGGGCACCGUUACCCGCACCCGGUUCUUCGCGGGCAGCACCCGUGUUUGUUCCCUAGGAGGAGGACAUUGUGGCACCACCGGCUCAGGCGCCACCGACGGGGGCAGUUUUCCCCGUGACGGUUUCUGCUGAGGAAAGGGACAGACUGAUGGAACGCCUCAACGAGUUCAGGAGGUGCAGUCCCCGGAUCUUCGACGGCGAGAAGGUCGACCACUGGAUCGUGGAGAAGUGUUUGAUGCAUAUGGAGAAGCUCUUCUGCGACACCUUCAUGGAUGAGAGAGAUCGAGUUUGGCUCGCCACACACCAUUUGGACGGCGAGGCCUACCGCUGGUGGUUGGAUCUCCAGGAGAACCCCAACACUGAUUUGGCGGCUAUUACUUGGAAGACGUUCAAUGAGCUUCUUUUGGCACAUUACUUCCCGACCAGCGUCAAGAGAAAGAUGGAGCAAGACUUGCGCAACUUGCGCCAAGGAGACCGGGCUGUAGCUGAGUACGAGAGGGAGUUCUCUCGGCUUCUUCAUUGCGUGCCUUUCGUCGUGCGGGACGACGAGGACAAGGCCCGCAUUUUCGAGCGAGGGUUGCGACCGUUGAUUUUCCGGUUCGUGCAAUCCUCUAACCUCCAAACCUAGCGGGAGGUGGUGGAUCGCGCGCUCAUAGUGGAGAACAGCGCGGCAGAUGUCCAGGACCGGCGAGAGGCGAUGAACAAACGUAAGGCCAAGAGGCCUGCGGUAGAGGGUGCGAGCCAGACGCACUCUAAGAGGCCGCCGAAGCAUCCUAGGAGCCAGCAGCGUGGACGCGGCUCAGCAGCGCAGCGAGGAGGUUUUGACUGUCGCCGGCCUUCCCCGUGUGUGAUCUGCGGUGGUCCUCAUUACCCACCGCAGUGUCUACAGUGGGCGGGCAGGUGUUUCCAGUGUGGCCAGGAGGGCCACGUUCGGACUGAGUGCCCGAGAGGUUCAUCAUCAGCACCGUCGACUGCAUCGGCACCGGCUCUACCAGCCGCCAGCCACAGGACUCCAUCAGCGCAGUAUCAGCCUGGGCAGCCAUCCGUCCAGCGCCAGAGCGAGGGUUCUCGAUAGGCCCGGAGUGGGCGUUUGUAUGCUGCUCAGACCGAGGAGGCGGCAGCAGCCGAGGAUGCGGUUGCAGGUAUCAUUUUUCUUGAUGGCAUUAGAGUUCGUGCUUUAUUUGAUACUAGUGCAUCGCAUUCAUUUAUAAAUCGGCUGUUUGCCGAGUUGCAUGGCAUCCCUUUGGUUUUCUUGUUGCAUCCGAGACAUGUUGUAGUACCCGACCACACUCUGGAUAUUAGAGAGUAUUGCCCUAGUUGCCCUGUUCGGGUAGGAGAUUGGAUCAUGCCCGUAGAUUUGCUAGCUCUGCGCAAGCUAGGGAAUUUCGAUGUGAUCUUGGAUAUGGAUUGGCUAACCAAGUACUACGUCACCAUCGAUUGCAAGAAUCGCACGGUUACUUUUAGAGAACCGGGGCAGACUGAGAUUGUAUUUAGAGGAUGGCAAAGUUUGCUUUUUGCGAUGUCGAUCAGCUCGUCUCGAGCUAGGCAGCUGAUCAGCCGAGGAUGUGUUGCCUACUUGGCUAGUGUUGUGUUGAGGGGCGAGGAUGACACCCCUAGGAUUGAGGAUAUCUCGGUAGUACGGGAGUACCAAGACGUGUUUCCAGCUGAGCUACCGGGUAUGCCACCCGAUAGGGAGAUCGAGUUUGUGGUAGAUCUCGUCCCUGGGACUACUUCAAUCUCAAAGGCACCCUAUAAGAUGGCACCGACGGAGCUAAAGGAUCUAAGGGCACAGCUACAGGAUCUGUUGGACUAGAGCUUCAUUCGACCGAGCGUCUCGCCAUGGAGAGCGCCAGCUCUAUUCGUCUUCGCCUAUGUGUGGAUUAUCGUGAACUCAAUAAAGUCACGAUCAAGAAUAAGUAUCCAUUACCGAGGAUCGACGACUUGUUUGAUCAGCUUCAGGGAUCGUGUAUGUAUUCCAAGAUAGACUUGCAGUCGGCAUACCACCAAUUGAAGAUCAAACCCGAAGAUGUAUCUAAGACGGCUUUUAGAACACGGUAUGGACAUUAUGAGUUCACAGUGAUGCCGUUCGGGCUCACUAAUGCCCCGGCAGCUUUUAUGGAUCUGAUGAACUGUGUUUUCAAGUCUUAUCUAGACAGGUUCGUCGUGGUGUUCAUCGACGACUUUUUGGUUUAUUCCCUGAAGCGAUGCGGAUCACGAGGAGCAUUUGAAGCUUGUACUUCAAAUACUUUGGAAAAAGGAGCUUUAUGCCAAGUUGAAGAAAUGUGAAUUUUGGCUUCGAGAGGUAGCCUUCCUUGGACAUUUGAUAUCGGGAUCGGGUAUAGCUGCGGAUCCUAAGAAAAUUAAGGCUAUCAAGAAUUGGUCGAGACCCACGAGCGUUACGGAGAUUCGGAGUUUCCUUGGACUGGCCGGUUACUACCGGAGGUUUGUCGAGGGGUUUGCUAAGCUAUCUACUCCCCUCACGAGGCUCACGCAUAAAGGUGUCAAGUUCAUCUGGAAUGAUGCGUGUGAGAAAAGCUUCCAAGAGUUGAAGCACCGAUUGAUAACCGCCCCGAUCCUGACCCUACCUGUUGCUGGAGCAGGGUAUGUAGUUUAUAGUGAUGCUUCACAUAAUGGAUUGGGCUGUGUUUUGAUGCAGGACGGCAAAGUGAUUGCGUAUGCUUCUCGCCAACUGAAGGAAUAUGAAAAGAAUUACCCUACGCACGAUUUGGAGUUGGCGGCCGUAGUCUUCGCAUUUACGUUAUGGCGCCACUACUUGUAUGGCGAGCGGUGUAAGUAUACACGGAUCACAAGAGCCUCAAAUACCUAUUCACUCAGAAGGAGUUGAACUUGAGACAGCGCAGAUGGUUGGAGCUACUCAAGGAUUAUGAUUUGACUAUUCUUUACCACCCGGGCAAGGCUAAUGUGGUGGCGGAUGCGCGAAGUAGGAAAUCAACGAAAAACUUAGCGAUGCAUGUUGUUACUCAACCGCAGUUGAUCUAGCAGCUGAAGCGGUUGGGGUUGGAGGUGGUGACUCCUGACACGCCUUUGAGGUUGAUGACCUUGGUAGUGCAACCUACACUCUUGGAUAGAAUUAAAGAGAAACAAGCUUCCAAUGUGGAAUUGCAAAAGAUUAAAGUUAAAAUGGUUGAUGGUUGCACCGGCAAUUUCCUUGUGGAUGAUCAAGGAUUGAUGCAUUUCCGUGGACGGAUUUGUGUACCGGCAGAUUCGGGAAUUAAAAAGGAUAUUCUUUAAGAAGCGCACCGAGCACCUUAUGCUAUACAUCCGGGAGGCACCAAGAUGUACAAGGAUUUAAAGUUGCUCUAUUGGUGGCCCGGGAUGAAAAAGGACAUUGGCGAGUUUGUAGCUCGUUGUCUAACUUGCCAACAAGUAAAGGCUGAGCACCGAUUACCCGCGGGAAAACUUCAGAGUUUGCCUAUUCCCGUGUAGAAGUGGGAGAAUAUCACCAUGGAUUUCAUGACUGGAUUGUCCCGCUCUCAGGCCGGGCAUGACGCUAUUUGGGUGAUCGUGGAUAGGUUGACGAAGUCGGCGCACUUCAUACCUAUUCAUACUACUUGGACCGGAGAGAAGCUCGCACAAAUGUACCUUGAUGAGAUUGUGCGCCUUCAUGGAGUGCCUACAUCGAUAGUAUCAGAUCGAGACACUCGGUUUGUGUUUCACUUUUGGAAGAGUCUACAGGACGCUUUGGGCACCCGAUUGGACUUCAGCAUUGCUUUCCACCUUCAGAGUGAUGGGCAGUCGGAGCGCACCAUACAGACUUUAGAGGAUAUGCUUCGGGCAUGUGUGAUAGACUUCCAGGGAGGAUGGUCGCAGCAUCUACCUAUGGCAAAGUUUGCUUAUAACAACAGUUAUCAAGCAAGCAUCAAGAUGGCGCCAUUUGAAGCACUUUAUGGACGGAAGUGUAGAUCGCCACUUCAUUGGAGUGAAGUAGGCGAGAAACUGGCUUUAGGCCCUGAUGUGCUCCAGGAAGCAGAGGAUAAGGUUCGAAUUGCUCGAGAGCGACUUUUGACGGUGCAGAGUAGACAGAGGAGCUACGCCGAUCGACGGAGGCGAAACUUGGAGUUCCAAGUUGGAGACAAUGUUAUCUUGAAGGUCUCGCCAACUAGAUGGAUCAAGAGAUUUGAAAUUUGUGGUAAGUUGAGCCCUAGGUUUAUUGGACCGUAUGAGAUCUUGGAACGUGUAGGUCCGGUAGCGUAUCGACUUGCUUUACCACUGAACCUAUCAGGCGUGCAUAACGUCUUUCAUGUAUCGAUCCUUCGGAAGUACGUUUUUGACCCGACUCAUGUGUUGGAUGGUAUACCUAUGGAGUUACGGGAUGAUUUGAGCUUCGAGGAGCAACCCGUGAAGAUCUUGGCUCACGAGGUGAAGAAACUGCGGAAUCGGGAUAUUCCGUAUGUGAAGGUUCUUUGGAGCAACCAUGGGGAGCGGGAGGCCACGUGGGAGCUAGAGAGCGCGCUGCGGGAGCGCUAUCCCCAUCUUUUUCAGAUGGAGCUUUGAGGUAUGUGUUUGCUUUUGUGUUUCGCGGACGAAACUCCUUUGUAGGAGGGGUGAAUGUAGCACACUGGACCUUUGCAAAUUGCAAGGUUCGAGUGUUUGGUUGGAUUUCGAACUUUUCCACACUUGGUGGAAGGUCGUAGAAGGUAUUCCGACCUAAAAGUUCGAUUCCUGGAGUUUUGGCAUUGUCCUGAGAGUUUUCACUGUCGGGGACCGGUCCUUGAUAGGAGAGACUGGUCCCCUCAAAACAGUGUUGCGACAGGACUUGAGGCAACCGGUCCCUGGCGGGUGAGAUCGGUCCCCGAGCGCGAAUACGCGGGGAGAGACCGGUCCCAUGCGGGGAGAGACCGGUUUCCUAACGUUGGAUUUUUGGGACAGGCUGAGAGACCGAUCCCAGGUCGUGGAGAUCAGUCCCUCAGUCCGAAAACUGCCCAAACCCGGGCAGUGCACAGGUUACUUUUUUGAGGAACCUAGGUGGAUUUUGUUAUAUUUGAAGGCUUAUAGAGCCUUUUCUCUCCCUCUCACCCUCAUUUCUCCCCCUCACAUUCUCUCUACACUCUCUAGAAAGAGAAGAAGAAGGAGAAGAAGAAGGAGUUGGAGGAGAGCAAGAUCUUGAGGCUUUGGAGCAUCUUCCUCUCCCUUUGCUCACCAUUGGAGGCUUGGAGCUUGGGUUAGGAGCUUGAUAGAGGAUCAAUCUUCAACCCCAGAGCAUUUUGAGCUUGGUUUGGAGCUACCAUGAAGGUUAGUUGCUUGUUUCUCCCCUCUAGACCUAUUUUUGGUGGAUUUUGGGAGAUGAAACCCUAAAUUUGGAUUUUAGGGUUUAUUUUGGAGCUUUUUGUUUGGUGGCUUUGGGGGCUAAUCUAAUGAGAUUAGAACCUUGGUUUAGGUUGCCUUGUAUGGGAUUUAGCUUCCGUUUGAGCUUUGAAGAGGGUUCUCUACACUAGGUGAGAGUUUAGCCUCUAUGCCUUGUUGGUUAGAAUUUGAGCUUUCGAUGUUCGUUUCGAUUGUGUAAUCCUUGUUCCUACAUCUUUAUGGUGCUAGGAGAUUAGUGGACACCUUCGUUGGAGCAAACGAAGGAGCGCAAGAGUUGUGGUGGGUUUGGCUUCAUGAAAAUGGGGCGAAAUAGCCAUCGUGCUUUCUAUACUCGUCCUAACGUCAUUUUAAAUGCAAAUCUAUGCUUAAUGAAAUUUAUGUGAAUUUUAGAACACUUAAAAUGCAUGUGUUAUGUAUAAGAAAAUUUUCACUCUAUAUAGUAGAGCAUUCUGGGUAUUGUUACAUGCAUUUGGGUAGUGUUCGCACUAGUCGUUUGGAAACAUGCUUUAUAUGUUUAAAGUGGCUCAAUUAUGUAUUUAUGAACAUUUGGUUUAAGCUUGGACUUAGUAAAUGAAAGUGUCAUAAAGGGGCACUUGGACUAGCAAACUAUGAGACUAUUGUAUUGAGACUUAGAGAUAGGCCAUGGGCAUCUACUACUUUCCAUAUUUUAGAUAUGAUGACAUAGAGAUAGGCCUAUGAGAGAGUUAUGACAUAUUACAUGUUGUUAGACAUGAGGACUUAGUACUUGGGACGGAUCUUUUGUUACUUGCCAUUGUGCUCAUUCGCACAUGCUUGUGAGGGUCGCUCCCUACAAGCCGGCACUCCGGAGAUGGCAAGCGCGAUACAUAUUUGCCGUGCGGGAUUAGUUGCCGAAGUAGAUUGCCGUGGGAAAGGCUCAUUCCUAGAGUGGGGAUGUUGACUACCACGGGGCUAUUAGGCUCGGCACCGGCCAGACAGCCAACAUGUGGGUCUCAGGGCUAGACAGCCUUCGGGCGGGUCUCUUUAGAUUUGAUUUUGAGCAUUCAUCAUGCCAUAUGGAAUUGAUUAGAAUAGUAAACAAUGGCAUCUUUACUAUUUGACUCAUGGACAUCAUACUAGCGAUGCUUGGGUACAUUCUUAUGAUAAUAGCUUUUCCUACUUAUGCUAAAUCAUGCUAAGUAGAGAUAUUAUGUGGUAGCAAAUAUUCAUGCUUAUUUACUUGUCGUACAUAUCGUUUUUGUUUAUAUCUGCUUACUGAGCCCUUUUUAGUUUGGGCCUAGUGGUGCAUUUCACUGAAGCCAGUAAUUGCCUACUGGGAACUAUUAUUCAAUAGUUCUCACGCCCUCUGUUUUAUGGUUUUAUUUCAGAGCCUUCGGCACCGGCGGAGGUACGGGAUCGCGACAAGGGAGUCGCGUAGCUAGUUAGCGGGGAGCUACUUUUGAGCCUAGGUGGUUUACUCUUUCUUUUAUUGUAUUAGAGAGAGAGAGAUUUUGCACCAUGUAUAGAGAGACCACCUAUGUAUUUGUUUAGCUUUUGUAUUGGGAUUCCUAUUGUAUUCACUUUAUGUUUUUACUUACUGGACUUACUUUUAUGUUCUCUUCCCUUAUUGUAGCUUUUGGAUAUACUCCGCUCUGAUGCUUCUAGAUGUUCUCUUUUACCGUCUUACUUAUCGUUUUGUUUUAGACGCCUUGUAUAUUUUAGACAUACGGCGGGUCUGGGCACACGCCGGGCGGGCUUCCGCUGGGUCCCGGGGUGUGACACUUUCUUAGGCCACGUGAUUUCGGGUGAUGGCAUCUCGGUGGAUCUGAAGAAAGUAGAGGCAAUUAAAGAUUGGCCUCGUCCAACGAGUGUAGCGGAGGUCCGCAGUUUUCUUGGACUAGCGGGCUACUACCGGCGGUUCGUGGAGGGGUUCGCUAAAAUAACCACUCUGCUAACGCGCCUCACACACAAGGGAGUGAAGUAUGUUUGGAGCGACAAUUGCGAUCGGAGCUUCGAGGAGUUAAAGGAAAGGUUGAUAACGACCCCGGUGCUUGCUCUACCGACGCCGGGGGAGACUUUUGUAGUAUACAGUAAUGCUUCAUACAUUGGUCUCGGGUGUGUCUUGAUGCAAAAUCGGUGGGUUAUAGCUUAUGCCUCGCCCCAAUUGAAGACUUAUAAAAAGAAUUAUCCGAUUCACGAUCUUGAGCUAGCGACGGUGAUUUUCGUGCUAAAGCUUUGGAGGCAUUACCUGUAUGGUGAACAUUGUGAGAUCUACACAGAUCACAAAGGCCUUAAAUACUUGUUCACCCAAAAGGAGUUGAAUAUGCGACAACGGCGGUAAUUAGAGUUACUAAAGGAUUAUGAUGUUACUAUUCUAUACCACACCGGGAAAGCAAAUGUCGUGGCUGAUACACUUAGUAGAAAAUCGGGAAAAAACUUGGCUUUGGCAAUUACACCUCAACCACUAUUGCAAAAGGAGAUGCAACGGCUUGGAUUAGAAGUAGUAGCGUCGGGAGUGCCAGCUACACUUGCCGCAUUAGUGGUGCAACCGACCUUGUUGGAGAGGAUAAAAGAGUCGCAAGCUUCCGACGAGUAUCUCCAAAAGGUGCAUGGUCAAGUGGAAAGUGAUAGUGCCGACGAUUUUGGCAUUGGGAUCGACGGCACACUUCAAUUCCGAGAUCGUUGGUGUGUGCCCAAGAGCGGGGACAUCCGCAAGGCGAUUAUGUAAGAAGCGCAUCAAUCUCCUUAUAGUAUCCACCCGGGCGGCACCAAAAUGUACCAAGAUUUGAAGAUGCACUAUUGGUGGCCGGGCAUGAAGAAAGACAUUGGGGAGUUUGUUGCGCAAUGUCUUACGUGCUAACAAGUAAAAGUGGAGCGUCGGUUUCUGGCGGAGAAAUUACAAGGCUUACCUAUACCCGUUUGGAAGUGGGAGAACAUCGCAAUGAACUUUGUGACCGGAUUGCCUCGAUCGUAAGGUGGGCAUGAUGCAAUUUGGGUGAUAGUGGACCGGUUGACAAAGUCGGCGCAUUUCCUACCGAUUCAUAUUACAUAGUCGGGGGACAAGUUGGCUCAAGUAUAUAUCGACGAGGUGGUGAGACUUCAUAGGGUUCCGGUGUCUAUCGUAUCGGAUCGGGACCCGAGGUUCACAUCUGACUUUUGGAGGAGCCUGCAGGAGGCAUUGGGCACACGGUUCGACUUUAGCACGGCAUUUCAUCCUCCAAGUAAUAGUCAAUCGGAGAGGACGAUACAAAUACUUGAGGAUAUGCUUCGAGCGUGUGUACUCGACUAUAAGGGUGGAUGACACGAUCAUUUACCGAUGGCGGAGUUCGUGUACAAUAACAGUUACCAAGAGAGUAUCGCGAUGGCGCCAUUCGAGGCCCUUUUAUAGAAGGAAGUGUCGCUCUCCUAUUCAUUGUAGCGAUGUGGGCGAGAGGGUCACUAUUGGCCCGGAUGUGGUGCGGGAGGCGGACGAGAAAGUUCGCCUUGCCCGCCAACGACUCGCUACGGCGCAAUCUCGGCAAAAGAGCUAUGCCGACAAACGAAGGAAAGAUAUAGAGUUUGCGGUUGGAGAUCGCACAUUCUUAAAGAUAUUGCCAAUGCGAGGAAUAAAACGGUUUGGAAUCUGGGGGAAACUAAGUCCCCGGUACCUUGGACCGUUCAAGGUAUUGGAGAGGGUCGGCGCGGUGGCGUACAAGAUAGCACUACCACCGAGACUUGCGGGAGUGCACGAUGUGUUUCAUGUAUCGAAUUUCCGCAAGUAUAUUCAUGACCCCGAGCAUGUCCUCUCGUUUGAAUCGUCCGAGAUUCAAGAGGAUAUGACUUACGAGGAGUUCCCGACAUUCAUCAUCGACCGAGAAGUAAGAAAACUACGGAACCGUGAAAUUCCGUAUGUUAAGAUCCGUUGGUGCAACCACGAUGAUCGGGAGGCCACUUAGGAGCUCGAGAGCGCAAUGCGGGAGCAUUAUCCCUACCUCUUCGAGGAUCUGGAAUAAGGUAUGGAUCUGAAUUUUAAUCAAGUUAGUUUCGCGGACGAAACGAAUUUGAAGGGGUAGAGAAUGUAACGUAUCGAAACCUCGAUAGCGAUUAUCGAACUUUAGCCAAAUUGGUUAAAGUGCCGAGAGAAAUGGAUGGACAAAGUCCAGUUGACAUUCUAACAAUGUUGGAAGGGUCAAAAUCGAGUCCCGAGAGUGUUAAGCAAGUUUUAGCAUUGCUCGGCGCAAUUUAAAAGUGAACAAUGCGAAAAACUGCAGUCUGGGCAAAGUGUACCAGUACAACAUUACCAGUACAGCAAUUACGGACCGAGGGAAGCAGCUCUCGAGUUUGAAGUUGGCUGAAAUUGUACCGGUACAAAUGCUGCGCAACCUAGAAACCUGCUCUCGGGUUUGCCUCUGCGCGAUCGUGUAACCAGAGACAGAACAAACUGUACCGGUACACUUUGGACCCGACAGCAAGAUUAAGUGUGCUGCAAUUAUUAGUGUUUGGGGGGCUUAGUUGCAAAUGUUACCCACUAUAUAGCACCCAACACUCCUCUCCUUCACAGCAAACACCACUCCACUUUCUCCCUCUCUCAUUUCCCUCUUUCUCUCUCUAGAGAGCUUGACCUAGAACUUGGAGUUGAAAGGGAAGAAGGCUUGGAGGUGGAUUUUGGAGGUCUAGAAGGUGAAGAAGCUCUCCAUCAAGGUGGAACUUGGGAGGAGCUUGGGCUAAGGUGAGUUUAUGCAAGAACUCUUCUAGGGUUUGGAUUUCCACCCUAAGAUUUAGUGUUUUGGACUUCUAGCAAGCUUAGAAACGUCGAACAAGCCAUGAACUCCAUGAAAACCCAUGGAAGCUCAAGAUGCUCUCAUGGUGAUCACCUAGGGUUUGUGUUAGAUGCCCUAGGGUUGGUCCAAAUGACUUAGUAAUGGUAUUAGAGAGCUUCCAAGAUGGUUCUAAGCUAGCAUUUGCUUAGGAAUGAGAUCAAUCUAGGAGAAAACCAAAUAUGACAUUGUUAGGGCACCAAAUUUGGGGCUUUUGCCUCCGACCGUUUCCAAGGCAAAUUGACCUUGCAGAAACCUAAUUGGGGGUAUUCCCGACGCGUUGGGCAACUCGGUUCGACAAAACGAAAAGGUCUAGAUAAAGUUAUGGAAUAAAAGCCUAAUUUGGCUUUGUUUUGCCACAGGCGUGAGAGUAGACGCCCUAAAAUCCCAAGAAUUGAACUGUAGCAUCCUCUCAACCAUCAAAGGUGGGUGGUGCUUUCCGAAGUCAUCGAACUUCCUCUUAUGUCUAAAGUGUCAUUUAUUUGAGCAUAUGUGAAUGUUGAGCAUUGAGCAUAGUAGGGUUAUUUGAAAGUAUUUUCUUGCAUGUUAUGAGUAUAAAUGUAUGUGAAAGAAUGGUAAAAGACUAAGAACAUGAAAACUCUAUGUAUGCAUAAAAAGUGAUAAGAACCUAGAGGAGGUAAAGAAUCAGAAUGACGUAAUGACAUAUGGAUUGGGCGGCAUUAGUAGGUGUCAAGUAUGCAAAUGAACACUAAAGUGAGUGGCAUUAGUAAAUGACAAGAAUGCUAGAAAUGAACACUUAGAGAAUAAGUGUGGUGUCAAUGUGAGUACAAGAACAAAGUAGUGUACAUGACACUAGUAUAAGUAAAGAAUGCAAGUAAAUAGAGAUAGCAACAUAUGAGCAUUGCUUCCUUGAAAUCAAGGAAUGGAUUUAAUUCGGAAUCCUUAAAGUUAAGGAUUUGAUCAUACUCGCCUGUUAGUCCUUGCUCGCAGAGCGGUAGCUCCCCCUCAGGCGAUGAGCUCCGGAGUAGUCAUCACUGGGGCGUAGGAGUUUCUCCCCAGAGGACGAUCCAGUCGGGUCGUAGGAGUUUCUCCCCGAUACUGGGAUUUAGAGUUGGUGAGUUUGUUGAGGGCGAAACCUAUGGGCUAGCCAUGAGAUUGGGCAAUGAAAAUGUAAUCUUGCAUUCAUCAUGAGCAUUCUAUCGCGCAUAGCAUUGUUUAUUGUUCAAGCAUAUUAGCGGCAUUUGUUAGUUGGUUACUAUCUAUUCUUUCUUCUAUUAUGCCUAAUUUAGACCUAGUGGGAAAGUCGGCGAGAUCGGGGCCGAACCCACUGGGAACUUUGUUGUAGUUCUCACCCCACUAUUUCCACAGAGCCGGGGCCGAGCGAGCCGGCGGACGAUCGCGGUAAGGGUAUCGCACCCUAGACAGAGACCGCCCGAGAUACUUUUACAUUUUGUAGUUGCAUACCCCUUUAUAUCAUCUUUUGUAUUUGAUGAUUAUAGAUGUUUAAGUUAAUUGUAUUAAAGAUACUUUAUGAUGUUAAAUGCAAAGGCAUAUUUUGGGAAGAUCAUGUGAUGUAAAAAGAAAUGAUGCAAAGAAUGUAAAGAAUUUGAUUAAAGCAGUAUGCAUGUAUGUGAUUUAAAGUUAAUCAUAUUACUUGUAUGUUGAGUAGACAGUACUUUCACUUUGGCUAUUGCUUGCCCUCGUACAAGCCAUUAUGUUUGCUUCCGCAUGUGCAAAUUUUAUACUCUAUUUGUACUCGAUGUUGAGCCUUGGGCGGGCAGGGGAGAUGCUGUCUGUUCGGCGUCUGUUCGACGGGUCCAAACCGGCCAAAUAGGACCGGAUUCGGGGCCUGACAGUGGUGGUCGCUCCACACAAGCAGUGCACUCUGGAGUUGUCACAUGAGCGGGGUAGCUCACCGGGUGGGAUACGAGCGGGGCAGCUCCUUACCAUAAGGCUUGAGAUGUGAGUUGGGUUGAAGAGCGGGGCAGCUCUUCACCUGUGAGAUUUGAGAUAUUGAGCCGGGGCAAAGAGCGGGGUAGCUCUUCACCCACUAGAUUUGUGGUGUGAGUACCUAUGAGAUUUGGGGAUUUGAGUCGGGGCGAAGGGCGGGGUAGCUCUUCAUCUAUGACAUCCGAGAUGUGAGACGGGUGAGAUAAGAGCGGGGUAGCUCCUCACCUAUGAGAUUUGAGAUCUUAGGCGGGUUAGCCUAGUGAAUUGGGUAUUAUACAUGAAUAGCAUAGUUGAUUUGCAUUCAUACCAUGAGUAGACAUAGUGUAUGUUAGUAGAUUGCAUAACUAUGUUGUAUUUGUAUCCAUGACAUGUUGAAGCAUACUAUUAUGAUAGUAGGCUUGUUGCUAGAUGAUACUCCAUGCAUUGCUUGCAUUUGAAGGCAUAGUAGAAUGUAGUUGCAGUUUUAAGUCUAUCUAUCUAUCUAUCUAUCUGUGCCUGCUUAGACUUAGUGGGAAGAUCGGCGGAGUCGGCGUUAGAACCCACUGGGAACUAUAUUUAUAUAGUUCUCACCCCACUUUGUUGCAAAACCGAGUGCGAGCGUUCCGGGGGAGGAUCGCGGUAAGGGCGUAGCGCCCUAGCUAGCUAAUAGAGCUUUUCCUAUUUGUACCCUCGUGUGCAUGAUUAUAGAUGUUGUAUUUUGGAGAGCUAGCAUGUAUGAUGAAAUCCAAUUGUAAACCUUAUGUAUUCAUUUGGGAGAUGGAAAAUUAUAAAUCAAGAGAUGUAAAUGUGGAAUUGUGAUGUAAUAGUUAGAACACUCUCUCUUUUGUUUACUUAUGGUAUUACUUACUUGCUCUUGUGUAUGCUUGUAAAAGUACUCGCUUGCUAGAUGAUGUAUGUUGUUAAGUUUUUCCUGGGCAACUUAUUGUGCAUGAUCUUGUUGUUUGAGCCUUAGGCGGACAGGGAAGGUGCUGUCUGUCCGGCAUCUGUUCGACGCGCCCGAACCGGCCAAACUGGCGGUCUCGGGGUGUGACGGUAAAAUGGUAUCAGAGCAAGCUAAGAGCAAGUAAAGAGAGAGUCUAGGAUUGACCUAGGAGACCCUAGGACGGUAAACCGUAAGGCUAUUAGUGCGUGGGUGGAACGUGAACCUAUAGCGGUGACGGAAGUUGAUUCGAUUGGGUCGAAAUGGUAGUAUGUUUCUAGUAGUGGUUAGAGACAGAUUCAAGUGGUAUGAGUUCUUGACUCGAAGUGGUUGUGUUGGGCGGCCGACAACAUGACGCUAAGAGUUUAGAACAAGUACACUUGUGUGAAAGAUUAUCGUCCGCCCUCAGCCAUAAGUCCAUGACUUGUGAAGUCACUCCAUUCCUUGAUAUUAGGUGCCAUUCCGCGUACCUCCGACCAUCAGAAUUGAUAGUAGCAUGUCUAAUCAAGAGCGGAGCACCACCAUUCCCAUAUCAUUGAGCGGCCACUGCCAUCCUUUAAGAUAGAGCAUUGCACCGCCAUCCUCAUGGCAUUUGCUGAUGAGAUUGUCGACCACAACGGACUAUCGGGUUGUUAGGAGUUUCGGAAUUUCUUAUUUCAUGGUCACAAAGGUUUAUUAUCUUUACCCUACAUUGUGAAUCUUUCUAGGUUCGAGUAAUUCAUGUCCAAGUGGUCACCCUACCACUUUAUUUUCCAACCUAUAUUCAAUGACACUAGGUUCAAUAACUUUUCGAUCCAAGUGGUCAUUCUACCACUGUUUAUCAACUUGUGUUCAACAAUAAUAGAUUCAAUUUCCAAUAAUGUUCUUUUUUAUCCUAAUUGUCCAUACCUAGGAUUCGUGAUUUUCUUGACAUUUAGUUCUUGAUUCCUUGUCGAGUUCUUUUUCUUAGAGUUAAUUGACCUAUCUUCAUUGUCCAUACCUUGGCAUACACAUAUACAUACCUAUAUAUUUUCACAUGUUUAUUGUUCUUGUCAUAUGGUAAUUAAUUAUUCUACUUAGCAUAUAUCUCAUGUAUGCUUGUUUGCAAGUUAAACUACCUAUUACCAAUUCUCUAUCACCCUUAGAAAUCAAUGUCAUAACCCUAGUUAUCCACAUCUAGGUAUAUACUUGUUCCAUGAUAGUAGUUUAUCUAAAGCAAAAAACACUUUCGUGCAUGUCAUUUUACCAAUUAUUCUACUGAUUUAUCAUGUAUCAACUUUAGUUAAAUUACACCUUAGACAUGGGAAGUGACCAAAUCACAUCGAUGAAGCACAACCUACCUUAUUAUGCUCCCAAUUGCUCGUCGAACAUUCUUUACUUAUACUAGUGUCAUGUACACUACUUUGUUCUUGUACUCACAUUGAUGCCACACUUGUUCUCUAAGUGUUCAUUUCUGGCAUUCUUGUCAUUUACUAAUGCCACUCACUCUAGUGUUCAUUUGCAUACUUGACACCUACUAAUGCCACCCAAUCUAUAUGUCAUUACGUCAUUUUGAUUCUUUACCUCCUCUAGGUUCUUAUCACUUUUUAUGCAUACAUAGGGUUUUCAUGUUCUUAGUCUUUUACCAUUCUUUCACAUGCAUUUAUACUCAUAACAUGCAAGAAAAUACUUUCAAAUAACCCUACUAUGCUCAAUGCUCAACAUUCACAUAUGCUCAAAUAAAUGACACUUUAGACAAAAGAGGAAGUUCGAUGACUUCGGAAAUUAAAAUUGUAAGGUACCGGACUUCUAAAAUCAUGAAGUUACGGUGUACGUUUGGUUGGAGAGCCAUUUGAAUAGUCCCGGUGAGGUCCGGAAGCAUUCGGGCGUUUCGGUGCGCGUAAGCGCUAAAACGGAGCCCGCAAGGCCAUGUUGGGCCGUGAGCUAAAUCCGACAUUAGCGUGGAUGGAAAGAUGAUGAAAACAUGCUCAAAAACAUAUUUGGAGAGUCUCAGUUCGAUUUGAAACGAAUCGGAGGUCAAACGAGCGAAAACGAGCGAAAACGGAACGAAAACAGACGAAAGGCUGAAAAUUGGCUACGUCCUAAAUUGCAGGAAUUCUGGACCUACAGGGACCGGUCCCCCAAGUCCAGGGACCAGUCCUCUAUACAAAAAUUGGCCCCGCGGGGGCUAUGUACUAAAAUGAAAGUUGAGGGGCCUAAUUGCAAUUAUGACAUUAAGAGAGUGUAUAGAAGUGGGUUUUGACUCACUUCUCUCUUCUCCCUCACCCCAACCGUGUCCCUCUCUCUCUCUAAAUGUAAAGAAAGAGAAAGAGAAGAAGAGAAGAGAAGAAGAGAAGAGAAGAAGAAAGGGAAGAAGAAGAAGAAGAAGAAGUUGGAGGAGAAGAAGUGGAUCAUCAUCACCAACAUCAUCUUCUUCUUCCUCUCACCAUUAGAGCAAGCUUAGCAAGGUAAGCUUCAAACCCUACAAUGGUAGAUCUCUAGGGUUUGAUCCUAAUGCUCUAGAAAUGGUUUGAUUAGUGUUCUAGCAAGCUUAAUAGAUGUUUAAUGCUUGAAUCUAGAGUUCGAAUGGUGGAUUUCACCGUAGUGCAAACCUAGGGCUCCAAAAUGGCGUUUUGAUAUAUAUGAGGGUUUGAUCUCAUUUAACCCUCUGUAAACCUAAUUGGUAGGUAACGAAAUACGUUGGCGAAGACGGUUCGGCAAUCCGACGAGCCGUUACAAAGAUAUUGAAGAAAAGGACGCUUGGAGCUUCGUUUCCGCCUGGAGGGCCAAGGCGACGUACAUAAAUCAUGAAAUCGGGUCCCGAGCACCGUAGCAGUAAGGCGAAGACCUUUAACUCUUGAAACGGCGAAGCGACGCGCUCUUGGAGAGCAACUGUGAGAUCGGGCCCAAACGGGUGCCGAGUGCCGCGGGAGGCCGAUUGCAAGUGUAGACAAGCAAUCGGAACGCGAGUUAAGGUGGGUUGUGCUUACCGAAGCGACUAGGUCGCCUUUAUGUCUAAGAAAGACUAAGAAUCCAUGUUGAUGCAUGUUAAUGUAAAUGCUAAGUAGAUGCAUAUAAAAGAUUAUAUAUGUAUGUGAAUAAGAAUGAAAUGCAUGUUGAUAACUAUAGAAUGAGUAGAAUGCUUACUUGAACAACUAGCUUGUGAAUAGAUCGAGUGGCAUCUAACUUAGUGUUAAAGAACAUAGGUCAUGAGUAGACCUAGAAUCAAAUAGAUCGAGUGGCAUCCAACCUAGUGUUAAUAAACGUAGGUCGGACAUAGUGAUGUGGAACUUAGUGUCCGUGAACAUAGGUUAAACUAGUAAACCUAGAGUUUUAUAACCUAGGCUGUGGAAUAGUAAACCUAGAGUGGCAUUGAACCUAGGUUGUUGAGUAUAGUGGUAGCGACCACUAGGAUGUUUUAGGUCGACAGCAUAGGGUUGGCUAUAGACCCUCGACCUGUGAAAGUGGAUUCCGGAAUCCCAGGACUUGUGCUAUGCUAACCUUGGUAUCAAGGCUAGGGCGUGUGCGACGAUUUCGCCGCCGAGGUUGAUACCAAGGAUGGAUUGGGAGGUGAGCGCGCAGAGAUCACCGCCCGGGGCUUGAACCAUUGUCGUGGCGUGUGCGACGAUUUCGCCGCCGGAUGGUUAAGCCAGCUUGUGGAUUAUGCCGCCAGAUCGACUUGAGCCAUUGUUGGGUAAGGUGCGAUUCGUUCGCUGCCAGAUGGCCGAGUCAAGGGACUUGAACCAGUGUUCGGCGUGUGCGACGACUUCGCCGCCAGCUGGUUAAGUCUUAGAGGGCGGCCAGUGCGCGGACUAUCCGCAGAUAAUUAACUCGAGGCCAAGUCGGGUGGUUAGCUUGAUUAGGUUAAUAGAAACCUUAUAAGCUAGUGAUAAUGGUAAGAGCUAAGGUAAUAGAGACCUUAGAGGCAAUGUGAACUUGAGUUGUGAACUGAUGUAGUAGAACCUUAGAGGCUAAAUGACAUGAGCUAAAGUUAGUAGAGUUGAAUGUAGAAUCAAUAGAUCUACUAAAUGGUUGCAUAUUUGCAUAGAGCUGCAUAAUAUUCAUAUUGCACGUUGCGAGGCAUGUUAUCUGUUAGUUGCUUAAUACACUAUGAUAUGUAUCUAUAGAUGUUUUUGGACUAACAUAAUUGCAGUGCCUCCUUGGACCUUUUGGUCGAGCUUUUUCCUUGGGUGGCCGUACCCACUGGGAACCAUGAAAUUGGUUCUCACCCCACGUUGUUUUGGGGUAUUACAGGUUCGCACGUGAACGGCGCGGCGGCGCGAGGAAAGGGCGUAGCUCAGUAGAUAGCGCCCUACCCAGAGACCGAGGUAGCAGUACCCUGAGGCAGCCUAGCUUAGGGGACUAAAGGGAAAUGAAAAGAACACAAUGUAUGAAACUGUAAUAAGUAAAUGAUGCAAUAACUUAGAUUGUAUUUGGAGGAAUCAAAUGAGAACUGUGAUGUAAAAAUGUAUGAAUGUAAAUGUAUGUAAUAACAUAGGAUGUGUUAUGUUGUUGAUACCUUCAUUAUGCAAUCUGUUUGUUAAGUACUGUUCCUGGUUGGAACCUUUGUAUUAUAUUGAUUGCGAUGCCUUGAACGUACAGGGGAGACUCUGUCCGCAGUACAGGGAAAACCCUGUCCGUUCGGCGCUGUCGGGGUCGCGACCUCGGCCAAAUAGACGGGUGGUCGCGGGGCGUGACAAAAAUGCUAGUCCACAUUUAAACUAUGAACAAUUAUUAUAGUGUUAGUCUCACAUUGUCGUUGACAUCACAUCGCUAUAGGCAUUAUGAAACUACAUUUCUCUAUUAAACAUCACAAGUGUUGGUUAGCUACGACUAAGGUUGUAAUGCAACAAUGUCCCACAAGAAUGUCCAACUACUACGAAUGCACCAAAUAGUAAUGUAAAGUAACAAACCACGAGUAUGUACAUCUAUUAGGUAUGCAUCAACUUGUGUCAAAGGGUGUCACCUCACUAGUAUGUCUACCAUAAAGUCAAGUUUAAUUAACUUUUGAAUGUCAUAGUUCAAUCCAUUAGGACACACAAGUGUAGUCCGACUUGUGCCGCCUAAUGGCCCCAUAGUUGUCCAAUCCGAGGCAAUCGGCCCCAAUCAUCAUGUCUAAAAUAUGGAAUCUCUUACAAUGACUCAAGGUCGGGUACCACACAUGGAUGUCAAAUUUUAUAAUCAAUUAACUCAAUGGUGUGUCUCUACCAAUAUGUCACAUGUGUCAAGCACACUAAAGUCCACAUUUUAUUUAUUCUAUUGGGGUGGUUCUAUGACUCAUUUAUGAACCUAAUAGGCUUCACCCGUAUACCAACAUAUGCUCCCACCACUAAAAUGCAAAAGGAAUAGUUUUCCAAUGUCAUAUUCAACGUAACACAAAGGUGUCCACAAAAAUCAUAUUGUGUUAUGCAUAGGCAUUUCUACAUAAUGCCUCCACUUCAUGGAGUAUAAUACUAGAUAAUAUAUAUAUAUAUAUACAUAUAUAUAUAUAUACAUAUAUUAUAUAUCUAUAUAUAUAUAUAUAUACAUAUAUAUAUAUAUCAUUAAUUAUAUAUACAUAUAUAAUAUAUUACAUAUAUAUAUAUAUAAUAUAUAUAUAUAUACAUAUAUAUAUAACAUAUAUAAUACAUACUACAACAUACAUAAUAUACAUAUACACAUACAUAUAUAUACAUAUACAAUACAUAUAUUAAUUAUAACAUACAUAUAAUACAUAUACACAUACAUAUAUAUACAUAUACAACAUACAUUAUAUACGAUAUCACAUCAUAGCUAUAUAUACUCGCUAUAUACACAAUUCAUAUAUACAUAGCCUAUACAAUAUACUAUAUACUGUAUAUAUACAUCUAUAUAUAUGUAUAUAUAUAUAUAACAUAUAUAUAGUAUAACAUAAUAUAUAUAUAUAUAUAUAUACACACAGUGUCAUGCAAUUAAUUAGUUCUCAUUAGACUACUCAAGAAUGUGCUUGUCAUUUACAUAUUCCAAUGCAUAAAAACUCUUUUCACAUGCCUAAGCAUAGGAUUUCAUCUAUGGACUCAAGGGUCGGGGAAUACCAAUACCAUAUUGUUUACAAGUAUGCAUCUUAUUCAAGUGCCACAUAACUUUAUAUUAUGUCACUAAUAUGCAAAGGUCUACAUUCACCAUUAUCUAUGUUAUAGCAUUCAAGAUCUAACCCUCAAGACCCAAUAGCCAAGUAAUGCAUCAUAUGCCAUUACCACUCACCUCUAACAUGCAUAUCCGUAUUUGCAUGAAGGGUCUUAACACAACUCAAGCCACCAUAGUUUUGCUACCAUGAAUAUGUCAACUAACCUAUACUAAAUAGAGUAUGCCACUUAUCUCUACUAAAUAGAGCAUGCCAUUUGCAUAUAUGUCAUUUUACCUCUACUACAUAGAGUAUGCUAUUUUAUCAUACAUAACAUAUGCAUCUCAAGCAUCUGAAAAUUCUAUCAUGACAAGAAUAGCAUGAUUCUCAACAAUUUAAGUCCUAUAACAUUAUAGGAGAUAUAGAGGGAGUUCACCUAUUUCGGUGAGGUCAAACUCACCGAAUACUUCUUGAACCCUUUCGUUCCUUCAAACGAAGUUGUCCCCCAAGCUUCUAGUACCGUAAGAAAAAUUUCCAAAGGGUUACGAGCUUCGAACGAACAUCCUCCAAAAUUCACCAACAAUUAAGCAUAAAAUAGGUGAAAAUUACCUUUGAUCAUGUGGAACUUGUCCAAAGUCCAAAUCGAAGCUAAGAAGCUUCAAAUCCAACCUAUAAGAUUGUUCUACACUCAUCAAUUCCAUCCCAAAAGCUCAAAAUUGAAAAACCUCAAAAUAAACCCUAGUUUUUCAAAAAUUAGGUUUUCUCCCAAAUCUCAUGUAAAUUUCUUAAAUAGAGAGUAAGAGAAAGAUUCUAACCUCAAAACAAGCUUCAACUUAAGCCGUGAUGUACUAGGGUUGAAGUUUGAUCCAUCAACAAACUCUUCAUGCAUCUCCAAGCUCCUUUCCAAGGUCCCAAGGCAAGCAUCCAUGGAGGAAGAAGAGGAAAGAAGAUCAAAACCCAAAAACUAGAUGUAUUGAAGAAGAACUUCUAGAUAGAGAGAGAGAGCAAAAGCUACGUACCCUAGCCUCUUCUCCAUCCUCGGCCUAUUAGAAAAUUGCGUACGGUAAAAAAAAAAACGCAGCGAAAAAAGAAUCAAACAAAUUUGAUUUUUGAAAACUCUCGAGAUCCAAUCUCAAAAACCACGCAAUUAGGAUCCCUCAUGUUCUUUAAGAUUAAAGGAGAAAAGUAAGAUCGAAUCUUUACCUUAUUCGCGGAUAAAUCUUCACCUCAAUUUGAUGAUCGUAGAAUUCGAUUCUCUUGAAGCCGCACACGCGUCCGGCCUCUAUAGGUAUCCACAUGAGAUUCUUGAUUUGAUCGAUGUCCUCACCGGGGUGCUAGCUCCCUUACAAAAGGACGUCUUUCUUGCUAGAAGAUGGAAGAGAGAAGAGAGGAUAGAUGACGGCUAGGGUUUUCUAAAAACUCCCGUAUAUUAUAUAUAGGAAUAUAAUCCUAUUCCUAAUAAUAUAAUGACAAUUAAGGAUAAGUAUAAAUCUAGAUUUAAAUUUAUCUUUUCCUUAAUUGGUUAGAUCGAUCAAAUCCUAAUUUGAUUCGACUUGAAUUUUAUAUUAAUUUGAUCUUAUCAAAUUAAUAAUGCAACAUUUGCACAUAAGUCCUCUUAUAAUUUACUAACUAUUAGUAAGUCCUCUCUUGUAACAUUUACACUUUAAUACCACUAAUUUGUAACAAUUACAAAUUAGUCCAAUUAUCAACAUAUUGACAAUUAGGUCCUCCGGCGAUUCAAUAAUCGCGAUCUAGCUAUCCGAUCAAUCACAACCUCUUAUGUGUGUGACCCCAUAGGUUCUAUUCUAUCUGGUAGUGAGAUAUAUUUUGAUCACUAUCAACAAUAUCACUGAAACUCCUUUCAAUGGAUUAGAACAAUUCCAACUCAGCCCAAUGAGAAUUAUCGAUCAUCUAGAUAAUUCUCAUGAGUCUCACAAUCCACCAGUGACGCCUAGCAGCAUGUAGUGGCAUUCCAGUAGAAUGGAAUACUGAACCUCUUGGUGCAGUUACCGUGUGAUACAAUCCUUCUAUCAUGAGUCCCGACUAGACGGAGGUUAUGGAAUAACUCGUCAAACCCCAUCGUCUGUCAUAUGUUAAAUUUAUUCGACUCGAGUUUCUAAUAUCGGAAACCCUUUUCCGCUAUUUAUUCUGCCCUGGCCAAGGUCUUCUAAACUCGGUCUCAUAAAUCACAUAGGACUAACACCCCUAUCUACCAAGGGAGAUAGAUUCCAUCUAAGUGCGCACCCUAUUCCUACAAUGAACCUACUGCAGCCAACAUGCACCGCAAGGACCCGAAUGGCUAGGGACCAAGUGUAUGUACAGUCAAACUACAGUAACCUCAUUGUGAAUAGCCGAGGCACCGCAGGUCAAAGGACCAGUCACACUACUGCAACAUUAAGUAAGUCACUGACGAGUAAGUAGACAUCCAAGUGACUUCUUGCGUUGGUCACGCUCGGUACCCUUGUUUUCUAACAACCACCUGCAUAUUCGCUUCAGUGUCCCCACACUGUCGACUCGAGACUCGUCUACACAAAAGGAAAACGACCUAUGCAUGAAUCUCACCGGAUCAAUCACCGUCCCCAUGAUGAUCCAUUGAUCGGGAGCAUUUAGGAAUUAACCACCAAUGACACAUGUCUCAAAUUCUCAACACUUGAGAAUAUAUGUCAUCAUCUUAUUAAUUCCUUGGACGAUUCAUGAACACAUACACAACAUGAAUGGAAAUAAAAACCCAAAGUUAUUCAUAAUAUUUAAAAGUCAAAUACAAAUCUAUGUCUUAGAAAGAAUAUAUGUGUCGGCCUGGUUGGCUUCUAGGGCAUACAUCUAACAAUCUCCCACGUGCACUAAAGCCAAUCAGCCAUAUACCUAAGUCCCAUCUUCUCAAGAUAGACUUUAGUCUUCUGCUGGCUAAGUGGUUUAGUCAAUGAGCCUGCCACGUUCUCAGUGGAGUCUACUCUCUGCAUCUCGAUAUAUUUCUAUCGAGGUAGUCGCGUAUAAUAUGAAAUCGCCGCUCUAUAUGCUUGGACUUCUGAUGAGACCUAGGCUCCUUAGCUUGGGCUAUGGCGCUAUUUUUGUCGCAUUAGAGUGGUAUGACAUCCGAUGGCAUCACGCUUAAUUCCGCGACAAACUUUAUGAAUCAGAAGACCUACAUCAAAUGCGGCGAUAUACUCUACUUCCAUGGUUGGGUGGUUGUUUGGAACUCUUCCAAUACACCAAACCACCAUUGCAUAAGAAUACAUAUCCUGACGUAGACUUUCUAUCGUCAACAUCAGACAUAAAGUCUGAAUCAGUAUAUCCUUGUACUUUCAACUCUCCUCCUCCAAAAAACCAAGAACAUAUCCUUAGUCCUUCUCAAGUACGUGAGUAUGUUCUUCACAGCAAUCCAGUGCUCGCUCACUUGGAUUAGAUUGAUAUCUACUUGUGACACUCACAGAAACGCGAGCGCUAUCAGGUCGUUAAUACAUGGCUCGUACAUAAGACUCUCCCUAUACGCUGAGGCAUAAGCGAUCUACUCAUCAUCGUAAUCUCUCAAAUUUAUUGGGCACAUUUUCUUAGAGAGAAUAAAUUCCAUGUUUAGAGAGUAAUAGUCCGCUUAUUGAGAUUUUCCUGCCGAACAUUUCAGCACCCUUCUCUAUUACAUUUUUCUGUGAGAGGCUAGCAUUCUUUUAAAUCAUAUCUCUAUAGACCUUAAUCCCACAUAUAAUAGAAUGCUUCUCCUAAUCUUUUAAUGGAGAAUUCUUUAAGACAAUUCACAUCUUAACCGACAGUCGGCAUUGGAAAAUGUCAUUUUCCAAUGGAGAAUGUCCUCCAGCAACAAUACGAGGGAAUAUGACAGCUCCCCACUGACUUCUUAUAAAACACAUCGUUCUCCUCAUUUAAGAAAUCAAACGUUUUAAUCAACGUCAUCGUAAACGAGUAUUCCAAGUUCGAGAUGCUGCUUAAGUCCAUAAAUGGACGUUGCCCAACUGAUAAUUGUGACUUAUCCGUCACCGAAAGUGAAACCAAAGGCUGAUCCUAUAGUGUCUUCCUCAAGAUAUCCAUUUAGGAAGGCGAUUUCACAUCCAUCUUGCCAGAUCUAUAAUCACUACGUAUGCCGUGGCAAGGGCACAGUAGUUCAAUGAUUUUAAGCAGCUGCCAGCAUCUGGUAAAAGUUCUCCCCCAUGAUAGUCAAUUGCCCUUCGCGCUGUGACUAUAACCUUUCAAACCAGCUUGCUUUAUAGGAUCUCUCACCUUUCCAUCCGAACUAUCUUUCUUUUAGUAGAUCCAUUUAUACCGAUAUGGACUAUACCUUCUGGUGGUUACAAAAUCCAAACCUGGUUGGAAUGCAUUAAGUCAAUUCUGACUUCAUGGCAUCCAGCCAUGCUCGCGAAUUCAGAUGUUAAUACAUCGCUCGUUGAUAGGUUUUGGGUCAUUCUUCAUGUUCCCUAUCUCCCUGAGGAACAUUUCCCUUACUUUCUUUGUAACGAUAACCUCAGAUCUUUUAGUGGGAUGGGAGAUUCUGGUACUCGACUACGAGGUAGGAGGAGGACUACCAUGUACGGCUUAGCUUUAAUAAGGUAUCUGUAGGUGUGAUGACUCGUUGUCUUCAGAGACUCUCUCUUCGCAGCACAAUUUUUCUCCAUAGCUUCUUGAAUAAACUGUUUUCCAAAAUAGCUGUUUGUUGCUCACACUCAUUGUGAUUCUCUGCGCGAUAUAAAGAAUAGUAACCUAAAGUUUGUUUUAGGAUAUCAAUAAACGAGCCCUCACAAAACUAUGCCUCUAACAGUGUCGCCUGUAGUGCUUAACAUGGCCGGACAUCCCAAAUCUUUCGAUAUGACCACAGGCUCGCGUUUUUUUACCAUGCACAAUCUCAUACGGCCGUCGGUUAGGCAACGGAUUUAGAGGGAACCUAUUUAACACAAUAAACUGCGGUAAGCAAAGCAUGUCCCAAAGAAAUAAAGGAAGAUCAGUGAAGCCUCAUCAUAGAUCGAACCAUAUCCAAUAAGAUUUCGGUUUCUCCGUUCUGACACCCGUUUGAGUUGAGGUGUUCCCGGAAAAGAGUCCCACGGUGAGAUAUGCAUUUCUUUGAGAUAAUUUAGGAACUCUCCACUAAGGUAUCUCCUUCUCGAUCUGAUCGAAGAAUCUAUGAUGAAUUUUCAGUUUAGUUUUUCUACUUCAUAUCUGAUUCUUUGAAUUUCAAAUAGCCUCGAUUUGUGUUUCAAUAAAAUACACAUACCCAUACCGAAAUAAUUCAUCGGUAAAGUUAUGAAGUAGAGAUAACACCCUGAUACAUUCAAAUGCCACACUUCAUCAGUGUGUAUUUUAAGAAAAGUAUCUCAGUGACCUUCCCCUUGUCCUACAAGGUAAUUUAGUCAAUUUUUCUUGCAAGACAAGAUUCACAAACUGGAUAAGACUCUGAAGUCAAUGAGCCGAGAGCCCAUGUUUAUCCAAUUUAUUUAUCCUUUUUCUCCAAUAUGCCAAGCUGAGGUGCCAAUAUACUUUAGGAUCAUUCUCAUCUCUAGUCUCUUAUGACCCAACAGCAGUCUCUACUUGCUCAGACAAAUAUUUUGCAAAUACAUCCGUUGUAAAUAAUAAAGAACUGUCAAUUAUAAACCACGGCUAAUAAUUUUAUUUCUAAAAUAACAUUAUGCAGAGUAGUUUUGUCAAAAAUUAAACCACUCCUGUUGCCCAGAAAUUAAAUUUACAUGUAGCGGGACGGUACAUAAUUGUAGUCUCUAAGUAAUAAACAAUACCUGACACGGUAGUCGCAAAGCGAGACAGGUGCCAGCAGCCACAGCCAGCAACUCUUGACGCGUUGCUAUCGCGUAGGGUCACUUCACCUUCCGCUAAGCCAUUACUUUCUCUUUUUGGCCGUUAGAGGAAACGUUCGUGGUCUAUUACGAGCAGUGCUGACAUACUUCCGACAGCGGUGUCCUUCUUCUUAUUCUCUUAAAAGCUCUCCAGGUUAGAAGGCAGUUCUCUUCCAAUGGCGUCAACAUUGCCCAGUGGAAAACAUUUUCCUUUGUCGGACGGCCUUCUAUUCUUAGAAGCUUUCAUUCUUGGGCUUGUUUCCAUCUUUUGUUUCUUCCGCCCAGGUUUUUCUUCCCAAUUAGACUUUUUUUGGAAGAGGGUCGUCUACAACGGAGAACCGAGCCCCUUUGACUUUUCAAAGUCUCCUCUGUAUUUACCAACAUGUUCAAUAACUCUUGCGUUGGUGCAAUCAAUUUUAUUUAUAUAGUGUUACAAUAAAUGGUCCAAUACAAUACAGGAAGGGAUUGCAGGAUCCAGAUCAAUUUUGCAAUUCGCUUAUCCGUUUUCACGCCGAGUUUCUCAAGCCACCUCGACGGUCUACGACAUUGUCAACAAUGAUAUGAACGGAAACUGCCAUUGGUUAGCUUAUUGGACGGUUUAGGUACAUGAGGUUUACCUGGUCUAGAACAAUGCAGGUUAUUGAAUUUAAACUAUUCUUUAAGUUCUUCAGCCAGUCUUUAUAAAUAUAGUUUCAGUUUAAGGAUUUUGGUCGAGAAUACGAUGAGAAUAAUUGGAAGCAGAAUAUUACUUCUGCAGAGAGUUAAAGAUUCAAAUAGAUAUUGUAUUAUUUUUGAAAUUUAUUUUUAGGGGAAUCUCUUCUUGGNNNNNNNNNNNNNNNNNNNNNNNNNNNNNNNNNNNNNNNNNNNNNNNNNNNNNNNNNNNNNNNNNNNNNNNNNNNNNNNNNNNNNNNNNNNNNNNNNNNNCAUAGUUCUCAUUCAUCAUAUUAUGCAAGUUGUACUCACAAUCAUGCAUCCUUACAUUUUCAUCAUUACUUUACCCUAAAAUGCAUGCAACAAUAUAUAUACACAUGCUCAAGUGAAUGACACAUUAGACAUAGAGAGAAGUUCAAUGAGUUUGAGAAGCACCACCCACCUCGUAGGCUUUCAAAGGUGCUCCGAUGAUUUUCUUGGGAUAUUUAGACUUCUCGUUCUUUACCUGCGGCAAAACGAAGCCCUAAUAGGUCAUUUUGCUCAUAUCUUUACAUACACUUUUCGAAAUGCUAUUCCGAGCACACCAACGCGUCGGAAAUACCCCCAAUUAGGUUUCUAGAGGGUCAAUUGCACUUAGAAAUCUCCAUGAGCAAAAGCCCCAAUUUGGUGCCCUAGCUCCAUAGCAUUCAUCAAAUCUAGGGUUUGAUCUCAAAGAGAAGCAAAAGUAGCUUCAUUCUACUCUAAAGAGUCCAUCUAAAACAUCUUUAAUUCAAUCCAAACCCUAGUUUGGAUUCUACCAUGAGAGGGGUCAAGCUCACCUUCAGGCUUUACUCAUUACCCCCAUUUCUUGGUUUUGAUCUCUAAAGAAGCAUUUCAAAGACUCUAAACAAUCCAUUAAAACCAUUUCUAGGUUUAUUCAAAGCCCAUUUUAGGGUUUUACUACAAUAGGGUUCAAAGCUCACCUUAUAAGCUUUCCUUUCUUGCACUAGAGAGGAAGAAGAUGAAGUUGCUUCACCUCUUGAUCUUCUUCUUCACCUUUUUUUCCUUCUUUUCCUUCCUUUCUUUCUUUCUUCUUCUUCUCCUUUGCCUUCUAGAGAGAGAGAGGGAGAGAAGAGUUUGUGUGUGAGGGAGAGAAUGAGAGAAAAGGCUCUCUCAGCCCUCUACAUAAUCCAUGGGUUGCAAAAAUGCAAAUAAACCCCUCAACUUUCAUCUUAUUCAACUGCCUGGACUGGGCAGAUUUCGGGCUCGGGGACCGGUCUCCCCGACUAGGGACCGGUCUCCGAGAGCUCUCCCAGCGCAGCCAGAGCUGCUGCGCGCAAUGCGACCGGUCUCUCUUUGAGGGGACCGGUCUCUCGGGGACCGGUCUCUCAGGCAGGGACCGGUUCCCGAGAGCUAAUUCCUCAGGACUUAGCCGAUUUUUCGGCUGUCUCAUUUCAUACGCGUUCGGGGACCGGUCUCUCCCACCAGGGACCGGNNNNNNNNNNNNNNNNNNNNNNNNNNNNNNNNNNNNNNNNNNNNNNNNNNNNNNNNNNNNNNNNNNNNNNNNNNNNNNNNNNNNNNNNNNNNNNNNNNNNNNNNNNNNNNNNNNNNNNNNNNNNNNNNNNNNNNNNNNNNNNNNNNNNNNNNNNNNNNNNNNNNNNNNNNNNNNNNNNNNNNNNNNNNNNNNNNNNNNNNNNNNNNNNNNNNNNNNNNNNNNNNNNNNNNNNNNNNNNNNNNNNNNNNNNNNNNNNNNNNNNNNNNNNNNNNNNNNNNNNNNNNNNNNNNNNNNNNNNNNNNNNNNNNNNNNNNNNNNNNNNNNNNNNNNNNNNNNNNNNNNNNNNNNNNNNNNNNNNNNNNNNNNNNNNNNNNNNNNNNNNNNNNNNNNNNNNNNNNNNNNNNNNNNNNNNNNNNNNNNNNNNNNNNNNNNNNNNNNNNNNNNNNNNNNNNNNNNNNNNNNNNNNNNNNNNNNNNNNNNNNNNNNNNNNNNNNNNNNNNNNNNNNNNNNNNNNNNNNNNNNNNNNNNNNNNNNNNNNNNNNNNNNNNNNNNNNNNNNNNNNNNNNNNNNNNNNNNNNNNNNNNNNNNNNNNNNNNNNNNNNNNNNNNNNNNNNNNNNNNNNNNNNNNNNNNNNNNNNNNNNNNNNNNNUGAAUCGGGUAGUUCUUCUCAUAACUCUUUAACUGGCGCGAUGCAUAAGCAAUGACCCGCCCAUUCUGCAUUAAUACACACCCGAGACCAACAUACGAGGCAUCACUGUACACUACAAAGGUCUCUCCCGGAGUUGGCAAGGCAAGCACCGGGGUCGACGUCAACCGGUUCUUUAACUCCUCGAAGCUCCGAUCGCAAUCGUCGCUCCAAACAUACUUUACUCCUUUAUGCGUGAGGCGCGUUAGUGGAGUGGUUAUUUUGGCGAACCCCUCCACGAACCGCCGAUAGUAGCCCGCAAGUCCAAGAAAACUGCGGACCUCUGCUACAUUCGUCGGGCGAGGCCAAUCCUUUAUUGCCUCAACUUUCUUCGGGUCUACUGACACUCCGUCGCCCGACACCACAGGGCCCAAAAAUGUGACCUCCUUUAGCCAAAAGUCACAUUUCUUUAACUUUGCAUAAAGCUUCUCCUGUCUGAGUAUCUGCAACAAAGCUCUAAGAUGCUCUUCGUGCUCCUCUUCACUCUUCGAGUAGACCAAUACGUCGUCUAUAAACACCACGACACAUCGAUCCAACAACGGCCUGAAGACUCGAUUCAUCAAGUCCAUAAACGCUGCCAGGGCGUUAGUAAGCCCAAACGGCAUUACCGUGAACUCAUAAUGGUCAUACCGCGUACGGUACGCCGUUUUGUGCACAUCCUUCGGCCUGAUCUUUAAUUGAUGAUACCCCGAUUGGAGAUCAAUCUUCGAAUACACCUUGGACCCUUGCAACUGAUCGAAUAGAUCGUCAAUCCUCGGCAACGGGUACUUGUUCUUUAUCGUCACUUUGUUCAACUCGCGAUAAUCUACGCAGAGUCGAAGUGCGCCAUCCUUCUUCUUCACAAAUAGCACCGGAGCUCCCCACGGUGACACACUCGGCCUCACGAAGCCCUUAUCGAGCAAGUCUUGUAGUUGACCUUUUAGCUCCUUUAACUCUACCAGUGCCAUUCUAUACGGAGCCUUCGAAACUAGUUUCGCCCCGGGAAUCAAGUCAAUGACGAACUCAACUUCCCGGUCCGGUGGCAGUCCCGGUAACUCCGCCGGAAACACAUCCGGGUACUCACAUGCUACUCGAAUAUCCCCCAACUCAGGGUACUCCUUUCGAGCAUCCACCAUGGUUGCCAAAUAGGCCUUACACCCUCCUUUGAUCAGUUUCUUUGCCCUUACCGACGAUAUGGUCGCCGCGAAGCGCCUACUUUUGCACGCUUGGUAGACCAGCUCUUCUUGAUUAGGCUCACGAAAAGUGAUCACCAUGCUUUCACAAUCUAUCACCGCAUAGUACUUGGAGAGCCAGUUGGUCCCCAAGAUAACGUCGCAUCCCCACAUCUGAUCUAGCACUAGCAAAUCAAUCGGCAUAAUCCAAUCGCCUAUUUGCACUUGACACGCCAAACACUCGUUAUGGACACUGAAUAAAUGCUCUGGAGUGUUCACCCACCAGUAAUCCUCAUUGUACACCAUCUCUAUGCCAUGAGUCUUAGCAAAUGAAAUGCUAAUGAAUGAAUGAGAUGCGCCUGUAUCAAACACUGCUUUAGCUCCAGUGCCUUUAAUCACAAUUAUACCUGCCACGACGUCGUCGGGUGAAGCAGGUUGUUGCUCCUCCACCUGAGCGGCAAAGACUCGGCCGCUAGGCGCUCUCGAUCCCUCCGGCUGACGUGCGCCCAGCCGACAUCGUUGGUGGUAACCCCGCAAGCUGUCUCGGGGUAGACGGUGCUGAUGCCGCCGUCGGCGCAGAUGACAUCCACGUCGGGCACUCCCGGAUAAGAUGUCCCGGAUGGCCGCACUUGAAACACUUGCCAUCGCGCUGCAAGCAAGUCGACACCUUGCACUCACCGCCACAUAUGAUACAUCGAGGUGGUCUCCAGUUCCUCGACUGCUGUCGGGGAUACCGAGGGGGUUUCUUAGCAUUUGUCCGGCCCCCGGCACCGCCCGCCGUUCUCUUCUUGCCCUUAUCUUUGGACUCGGCCAUAGCUUCUCGUUCUUCACGUAAAUGGGCGCUACCGUGCUCCGCCCACAAUGCUCUGUCGAAGACCUCCGCAAAGGUCGUCAGCUUCAAUAUUUUCACCUUUUCAUAAAUCCGGGGUUGGAGUCCUCGCAAGAACCAAUCCGCCCGGUCCCGAUCAUUGCGAACAACGUCGGGAACGCAAUCAAUAAGGUGGGAGAACUCUUGCUCGUACUUCCCCACCGAUCGAUCGCCCUGUCUCAACUUGCGGAACUUGUCUUGUAGCUUCCGCUUCACCGUGUCGGGAAAGUAGUUCGCGAAUACCGCUCUCUUGAACUGUUCCCACAUCAUAGGCGGGAGGUCGAUAGGUCGAUCCCGCCUAACUCGCUUCCACCACAUCUUCGCCGCUUUCUCAAAACAGUGUGUGGCAAGGUACACUUUGUCCUUCUCCGAGGUAUUCAAGUCCUCGAAGAGCGUCUCCAUUGAGUCAAUCCACGACUCCACAAUCGCUGGCUCCACCAAACCGCCUUCAAAGGUAGGUGGAUCGAACUUCUUGAAUUGUAUAAGUGCCGCCAAUGUGCGCUCCCGCUUCGCAUCGACUGCCGCACCGUCGGGGUUUGAGGUUCCCGAACCGGCCGGUACUACUGUAACUGGCGCAGCCGCCGUUGCCGCCGCUUCCUCGACUGCCCUCGGCACUACGGCAGGGGGCACUGGUGGCUCCGCGCCCACUUGGGCCGCCGCCGACUGUUGACGCUCCAUAACAUCCUGGAGCCGUUGAAUCUGCUCCCCUUGGCGUUGAACAGACUCCGCUUGUUGCCGCACUACUCCAAUAAGAGCGGCCAUUUGCUCCCUAAGCCCACCGUCGCCACUUGCUCCGGAUUGCUCGGGCAUCACGUUUGGCUCCUUAGGUAUCGACCCUUUUUGUGAUCGACGACGAGGUGCCAUUGCUUCCUGAAAAGAAGCAACUCGCAUUAGUUACUUGACCAACACUCUUGACCAUACCCAAUUAGGCGAAAGCAACAUGCACAUUCAUCCUUGCUUCAAGCGCCAUGUCGUCGGCCGCCCGACACAACACUAGAAGUAGAGGAUAAACGAAAAUUAAACGUAGCCUCUAAUCACAUUAGAGACAUCCCAACUUAACCCAAUCACAUGCUUCCGCUAACUUUGAUUCCACGCAACUCACGUUUCCUAGAACCUUAAGGUUUUCCAAUCCUAAGGGUCUCUAGGUCCAUUCCUAUUCUUUCACUCUUGGCUCUGAUACCACAAUAUCUGUCACGCCCCGGGACUGAUACCAUUAGUGAAAGAAAGGAAAACUAAACAUUUACAUGUACUAUGAUUCAUUUUUGAUCAUAUACAUUGCAUUCAUCUUGUUCACCUUCGAAUUCCAUACAUUUCAUUUCAUCAUUUCUUUCUUACAUCACAUUUACCUCAAAAUACACAUUACAUUCUUUUCUUUACAUCAUUUACCAUCAUGCACAAAAGAUGAUCAUAGGGUACUCUACUAACAAAAUGUAAACCCAACUUUGGUGGCCUCUGACUAAGGCGCGAUACCUUUACCUCGGUUGCUCGCCGGCUCGCUCGGUCCCGGCUCUGUGGAAAUAGUGGGGUGAGAACUACAACAAAGUUUCCAGUGGGUUCGGCCUCAACAUCACCGACUUUCCCACUAGGACUAACUCAGGCAUAAUAGAAAGAAUAAGCUGCAUAUAGUAACCAAUCUAUACAUGAUGCUAAUAUGCCUGAACAAUAAAGCAAGGAGUAUGCUCAACAUUAAAUAAAUGCAGAUUAUGCAAAUUCUUUGUUCUUUACAUUUUACUCUUUGUUCUUUGUUCUUUGUUCUUUGCACUUUGUUCUUUGCUCUUUGUUCUUUAAUCUCAAGGCUAACCCGGGGGUAUCGCCACAUUAACUUGCUUCACAUUAAGUCCAUCAUCGCAGGAACUCACCCGCUAGGACCGUCCUUCGGGUUUACUCCAACCCGUGAUGCAUAACUCCGGAGCGCAUCGCCCGAGGGGGAGCGACCGCCCUCGAGCACGGAACUCAUAGCAAGUAUGAUCAUAUCCUUAACUCAAAGGAUUUAUAAGUUCAAUCUUGACUUUACACUAGCUCUAGUGUUCUUUACAUCACUUUAUGUUGCAAACUCAUGCAAUCACAUUCUUUACAUUUCUUUACUCUUGCUAACUCUAGCAUUCUUGUUCGUUACAAUACUUGUUCUUAUUGCCCCACUUUACUUUAAUUUUACACAUUGUCAUUUUCAUCACUCUUUACAUCACGUUAGUUCUUUGCAUCACACUAACUCUAGUGUCUCUUUACUUUACAUUUUCAAAUGCCACUCGAUCUAUGUCAUUGUGUCACUCUGUUCUUUUGCUCACUUUGGGUGCUCACUUUUCUCUCAUGCAUACACAUAGGGUUUUUGACGUUCACAUAGUUCUCAUUCAUCAUAUUAUGCAAGUUGUACUCACAAUCAUGCAUCCUUACAUUUUCAUCAUUACUUUACCCUAAAAUGCAUGCAACAAUAUAUAUACACAUGCUCAAGUGAAUGACACAUUAGACAUAGAGAGAAGUUCAAUGAGUUUGAGAAGCACCACCCACCUCGUAGGCUUUCAAAGGUGCUCCGAUGAUUUUCUUGGGAUUUUUAGACUUCUCGUUCUUUACCUGCGGCAAAACGAAGCCCUAAUAGGUCAUUUUGCUCAUAUCUUUACAUACACUUUUCGAAAUGCUAUUCCGAGCGCACCAACGCGUCGGAAAUAGCCCCAAUUAGGUUUCUAGAGGGUCAAUUGCACUUAGAAAUCCCCACGAGCAAAAGCCCCAAUUUGGUGCCGUAGCUCCAUAGCAUUCAUCAAACCUAGGGUUUGAUCUCAAAGAGAAGCAAAAGUAGCUUCAUUCUACUCUAAAGAGUCCAUCUAAACCAUCUUUAAUUCAAUCCAAACCCUAGUUUGGAUUCGUCUACCAUGAGAGGGGUCAAGCUCACCUUCAGGCUUUACUCAUUACCCCCAUUUCUCGGUUUUGAUCUCUAAAGAAGCAAAAGAAAAGCUUCAAAGACUCUAAACAAUCCAUUAAAACUAUUUCUAGGUUUAUUCAAAGCCCAUUUUAGGGUUUUACUACAAUAGGGUUUAAAGCUCACCUUAUAAGCUUUCCUUUCUUGCACUAGAGAGGAAGAAGAUGAAGUUUCUUCACCUCUUGAUCUUCUUCUUCACCUUCUUUUCCUUCUUUUCCUUCCUUUCUUUCUUUCUUCUUCUUCUCCUUUGCCUUCUAGAGAGAGAGAGGGAGAGAAGAGUGUGUGUGUGAGGGAGAGAAUGAGAGAAAAGGCUCUCUCAGCCCUCUACAUAACCCAUGGGUUGCAAAAAUGCAAAUAAACCCCUCAACUUUCAUCUUAUUCAACUGCCUGGACUGGGCNACCCGGGAGUUUCACCACAUUAACUUGCUUCACAUUAAGUCCAUCAUCGCAGGAAUCACCCGCUAGGACCGUCCUUCGGGUUUACUCCAACCCGUGAUGCAUAACUCCGGAGCGCAUCGCCCGAGAGGGAGCGACCGCCCUCGAGUACGGAACUCAUAGCAAGUAUGAUCAUAUCCUUAACUCAAAGGAUUUACAAAUUCAAUCUUGACUUUACACUAACUCUAGUGUUCUUUACAUCGCUUUGUGUUGCUAACUCUAGCAAUUAUAUUCUUUACAUUCUUUACUCUUGGCUACCUCUAGCAUUUCAUGUUCUUUACUCCCCACAUUACUUUAACUUUAAAUAUUGUCAUUUUCAUCAUUCUUUACAAUACAUUGGUUCUUUACCUCACACUAUCUCUAGUGUCCUUUCCCUUUAACUUUAUCAAAUGCCACUCGAUCUAUGUCAUUGUGUCACUCCGUUCUUUUGCUCACUUUGGGUGCUCACUUUUCUCUCAUGCAUACACAUAGGGUUUUCGACAUCACAUAGUUCUCAUUCAUCAUAUUAUGCAAGUUGUACUCACAAUCAUGCAUCAUUACGUUUUCAUUGUUACUUUACCCUAAAAUGCAUGCAACAAUGUAUAUACAUAUGCUCAAUUGAAUGACACAUUAGGCAUAGAGAGAAGUUCAGUGAGUUUGAGAAGCACCACCCACCUCGUAAGCUUUCAAAGGUACUACGAUGAUUUUCUUGAGAUUUUUAGACCCUUCGUUCUUUACCGGCGGCAUAACGAAGCCAAAUUAGGCUUAUUUGACCAUAACUUUACAUUGGCUUUUCGUAACAUUAAUCCGAGCGCACCAACGCGUCGGAAAUACCCCCAAUUAGGUUUCUAGAGGGUCAAUUGCACUUAGAAAUUCCUAUGAGCAAAAGCCCCAAUAUGGGUGCCCUAGCUCCAUAGCAUCAUCAAACCUAGGGUUUGAUCUCAAAGAGAAGCAAAAGUAGCUUCAAUAUACUCUAAAGAGUUCAUCUAAACCAUUCCUAGCUCAUUCCAAACCCUAGUUUGGAUUUCACCAUGAGAUGGGUCAAGCUCUCCUUCGAGCUUUACCUCCAACACCAAACCCACGGUCUUGAUCUCAAAGGAAGCAAAAGAAAAGGUUCACAGACUCUAAACAAUCCAUUAAAACCAUUUCUAGGUUUAUUCAAAGCCCAUUAUAGGGUUUUACUACAAUAGGGUUCAAAGCUCACCUUAUAAGCUUUCCUUUCUUGCACUAGAGAGGAAGAAGAUGAAGUUGCUUCACCUCUUGAUCUUCUUCUUCACCUUCUUUUCCUUCUUUUCCUUCCUUUCUUUCUUUCUUCUUCUUCUCCUUUGCCUUCUAGAGUGAGAGAGGGAGAGAAGAGUGUGUGUGUGAGGGAGAGAAUGAGAGAAAAGGCUCUCUCAGCCCUCUACAUAACCCAUGGGUUGCAAAAAUGCAAAUAAACCCCUCAACUUUCAUCUUAUUCAACUGCCUGGUCUGGGCAGAUUUCGGGCUCGGGGACCGGUCUCCCCGACUAGGGACCGGUCUCCGAGAGCUCUCCCAGCGCAGCCAGAGCUGCUGCGCGCAAUGCGACCGGUCUCUCUUUGAGGGGACCGGUCUCUGGGGGACCGGUCUCUCAGGGAGGGACCGGUUCCCGAGAGCUGGUUCUCAGGGACUUAGCCGAUUUUCGGCUUUUCUCAAUUCUUGCAUGUUCGGGGACCGGUCUCUCCCACCAGGGACCAAUCCCCGAGAGCUCAAAAACUGCAGCUUGCAGGUUUUUUUGAUUCCUUAGCUCUCGAAAACCUUCCACAACACACUUUUACUCAUUUUAAGACUUUCGGACUUUCCGAAGGGUACCGUCCUCGCACUUUGGUCAAUUUGACUAAAGUUCGACAUUUAUUCUCCGAAUUUUCGGUAUAUUACAGCAACGCUCGCCAUAGAGGUAGUGGCGCCAAAGUUUUAAAGCACAUACCAUAGCUGCUAACUCAAGAUCAUGUGUAGGGUAGUUCUUUUCAUAAUCUUUCAAUUGGCGAGAUGCAUAAGCAAUUACUCUGCCAUUCUGCAUUAGAACACACCCUAAUCCAUUUAGCGACGCAUCGCUGUAAAUCACAUAAUCUACUCCAGUGCCCGGCAGUGCUAGAAUCGGGGCGGUAGUCAGUUGUUUCUUCAGCUCUUGAAAGCUUCUUUCGCAGGUUUCAUUCCAUAGGAAUUUAGCUCCUUUAUGAGUCAGUCGAGUGAGAAGAGUAGACAUCUUUGCAAACCCUUCAACAAAUCUUCGGUAGUAUCCCGCCAAACUAAGGAAAUUCCGAAUUUCUGUGACAUUGGUCGGCCUAGGCCAAUCUUUAAUCGCUUCAAUCUUCUUUAGGUCCACCCCUAUUCCUAUUUAAGAAAUUACAUGUCCCAGAAAUGCCACUUCCCGAAACCAAAAUUCAUAUUUCUUCAACUUGGCAAACAAUUUUUUUUCUCGAAGUACUUGUAACACCACUCUUAAAUGGUUUUCAUGUUCCUCGUCACUUCGAGAAUAGAUCAAGAUAUCAUCGAUGAACAUGACCACAAACCUAUCCAGAUAGGGCUUAAAGACACGGUUUAUUAAAUCCAUAAAGGCUGCUGGGGCAUUUGUCAAUCCAAAGGGCAUCAUUGUAAAUUCAUAAUGCCCAUACCGUGUCCUAAAAGCGGUCUUAGAAACAUCUUCAGGCUUGAUCUUAAGCUAAUGAUAACCUGAUUGUAAAUCGAUCUUGGAAUACACUUUUGAUCCUUGCAGCUGAUUGAAUAAAUCAUCGAAUCGGGGUAAUGGAUACUUAUUCUUGAUUGUGACUUUGUUGAUUUCUCGGUAAUCCACACACAAUCGAAGAGAUCCAUCCUUCUUCUUAACAAACAACACCGGGGCUCCCCAGGGAGAUACACUCGGUCGAAUAAAACCCUUAUCUAAUAAAUCUUGUAAUUGUGCUUUUAGCUCUUUCAACUCAGCGGGUGCCAUCCUAUAGGGUGCUUUUGAGAGUGGGGUAGUUCCAGGGGCAAGAUCUAUCACAAACUCAACUUCCCUAUCAGGUGGCAUACCCGGCAAUUCAACUGGAAACACAUCCCCGAAUUCUCGCACAACUGGGAUAUCAUCAAUCUUGACGGCUCCUCCGUCACUCAUAGAAAUACUAGCCAAAUAGGCUAUACAACCCCUCCGUAUCAACUGUCGCGCUCGCGAAGAGCUAAUAGUCAUUGCGAACAAUGAACUCUGACACCCCUUAUAAACAAACUCUUGUUGACCCGGUUCCCAAAAGGUCACCGUUCUGUUCGUGCAAUCUAUGGUGGCAUAAUACUGUGUCAACCAAUCCAUACCCAAGACUACAUCAAACUCACCUAGUUUGUGUAGUGCCAAUAAAUCCACCAGCAUAAUCCAGUCGCCUACCCUAACUGGGCAGCGAGGGCAAAACUCACGAACAUCUAGGGUAUGGUCGGGCACGAUCACUCGUCUCGGAUGCAAAGUAGGUACUACCUGAAUGCUAUGCAACUCGGCGAACUGCCGAUCAAUAAAAGAAUGCGAAGCACCAGUAUCAAAUAAUGCACGAACACGAACAUCAUAAAGCAUAAUGAUACCUGCUACGACCUCCUCUGCUGCUGCGGCCUCCUCUGUCUGGGCGGCAUACAUACGCCCACUCGAACCCUGCCGAGGACUCUCGGACUGCCACUGUCCCGGUGGUCGUCUGUACUGCGAGGGUGCUGUCGGGGUCCCCUGGCUUGGAGCUGAAGAUGUAGGUACUGAUGCUGAUGAUGGGGCAGGCGAAGAACCUCUCGGGCACUCGGAGCGAAAUGGCCCUCCUGGCGGCAGAUAAAACACUUGCCCCCACGUUGUGAACACUGUGGUGGAAAGUGAGGCCCACCACAAAUGAUACAACGUGGCUGUCGACGACGCUCGGGUGCUCUACGGGGUACCGAAGAACCUCGACCCCUCGACUGGCCCGGCUGGCCCCUCGGAUACUUUGGCGGUCUCCUGAAAGAUUGUUGACCACUGCUCUCAGCUGCUGGUCUCUUUCCCUUACUUCGAUCCACAACAUCUCUUUUUUUCAUAAUCUCUACCCCCUUCUCAACAAUCAGUGCCCGGUUUACCACCUCUCUAUAAGUCGAUAGGUUUGAUGCUUGGACCAAUCUGAAAAUCGCAGGCCGCAAACCCACCUCAAAAAUACGAGCCUUAUCCUCAUCAUCUCGAACGACAAAAGGAACACAGUGCAGUAAUCGAGAGAACUCUCGCUCGUACUCAGCUACUGUCCUGUCCCCCUGUCUCAAGUUUCUCAGAUCCCUUUCCAUUUGCCUCUUUACAUUCUGAGGAAAAUAGGUAGUCAACAAUAAUUCCUUGAACCUCGUCCAGGUGAUAGCGGACAAAUCAGCACGGGGAUCCUCACGGAUAUCCACCCACCACCUGUAAGCCUCGCCAUCAAGGUGGUGUGUCGCAAACCAAACCCGAUAUCGCUCCUCGACGAAAGUAUCAUAAAAUAGCUUCUCCAUAUGCAUUAGCCAUUUCUCUACCACCCAAUGAUCGGCUUUCUCCCCAUCAAAGACACGAGGGUUGCAAUGACGAAACUCAUUCAAUCUUUCCAUCAUUCGCUUUCGCUCCUCAACCGCCACCAUCUCUGGUAACACGGUCCCUGUCGCAGCCACAUGUACUGGUGGUGGUACUACUGUCUCCUGCCGGGUCUCCACCCGCGGAGCUACCGGUGGGGUAUUUGGUACUGGUGACUAUGCUCACUGUCGUAUCCCUAUCUAGUACUGUAGGCAUGGAAUCAGGAAUCCCUCUGUCAGUCGUCUGCUGCAGUAACAAAUCCUCUAACCGCUUCAUCCUGUCCUCCUGUCGACGCGCGGCAUCCAUCUGCUGUUGCGCUGCUGCAGCCUGCUAAGCCACCAAAUCCGUCAGCUUCACGAGCUGCUCGUGCAACUCAUGAAUCUCACUAGAUCCAGAAGUAACGGAGGUCCCCACUUACUCCGCAUCCGCCGCCUCAGCUGCCCCGGCAGCUUGCGAACGAGUCAAAGGCAUCUUGAGCUGCAGCACAAAAACAAAUAUAGAUUAAUAAAACCUAUACUAUUGAACCUUUAUUUCAGGUAUAAACCAACUAAUCAAGAGAAAGUAAUGAAAUGUAACGCGUACUAACUUCCGAUGUCACAUUGUCGGUCGCCAAUGUGGCCAUCUGCAAAGUUAGUAAUUGCACAUUCCGAUCAAACUCCUACCAUUCGGAGUUUAUAAAUCACCCAAUCAAAAUACUUUCACUAACAACAACCUCAACUAGACCUCGUCUCUCACGAUCCUAUUCUUAUAGUCCAACCAGCCUAAGGUUUACUAGGUCUACUAAGACUCAACCGUAGGCUCUGAUACCACUAUAAUCUGUCACGCCCGGGUACCAGCAGAAGCAUAUCUGGUACGUACACAGACCCGCCAUACACCUACAGUAUAUAAGGCGUCUACAAGAAAGCAAGUCGAUAGGAGAAAACAUAGAAAACUCCUAUCCUGAUAUCAGAGCAUGUAUAAGUCAAUAGGACUAUUAACAAAAAACAAGAGUGUCCAACUCAAAAUAUAAGUACAAAAGAAAGUACUAAAACUAUAUGUAACAUACCACAUCCCUCGUAAAUCGUGUCGAGUUCCGUCGAAACGAGCGGAACGCGGAGAGGAAUGAGUUUGAAUGGACCCUAAGUACAUUAGAGUCCAUAACUGAGGCUAAAAGGGACCCGAGAGAGAGUAAUCUGGAAAUCUAGCUAAGUCCCAGAUUUUGUGCUCUCGGGGACCGGUCCCUGAAGGAGAGACCGGUCCCCGUACGCAUAGCCUGCCAGGAAGUCCUGAGGCAACCGGUCCCUAGUGGUAAGACCGGUCCUCGGGAGACCGGUCCCUGAAGGAGCAGACCGGUCCCUCGCUGCGCAACAGCCGAAAAACUCAAAAAUUUGGCUAAGUCCUGGAACACCCACGUUCGGGAAUCGGUCCCUGGUCGGGGAGACCGGUCCCCGAAGGCGAAAAAUGCCCAGUCUAGGCAGAUCAAGGGGAAACAAGUUAACGGGUUUAAAUGCAAUUGUCACAACACUAUAUGUGGACACCCCUCUCUCUCCCACAGCCAUUUUCAACCUUCUCUCCCAUUUCCUCUCUUUCUCUCUCUAGAACUCUUGCUCUAGGGCUUGGAGAAGAAGAAGAAGAAGUAAGGGAAGGUGGAUUUGGAGGUUUUGGUGGGUUCUACAAGCUCUCCUACAAGAAGGACUUGGAGGAGCAUGGACUAAGGUGAGUUUUUGGUAUAAAUGAGUCUAGGGCAUGGUUUUAAUCCCUAUGUUUUGAAGCUUUGGGUUGUUUUUGGCCAUGGGAGCCUUUUAUAUGCCUUGAACUCCAUGGAACCCAUGAGAGCUCAAGUGCUCUCAUGGUGGUUGGGUACGGUUUGCCAUGGAAGCCCUAGUGUUGGUUCCAAGGGCCUAGAAACCUUACUAGGAUGCUUCUUAGAUGAUCUUAAGCUAUUGUUUGCUUAAGGUUGGGAUCGAUUCAUGGGAGAACCCUAAAUGACAAUGUUAGGGCUUGGAAAUUGGGGCUUUUGCCCUAGGAUUGUUUGGGGACAAAUUGACCCUGUGGAAACCUAAUUGGGGGUGCCCUAAACACGUUGGGCAACUCCGUUUAACAUUACGAAAAUGAUAGAGUAUGAUUCAUGUUCAAAAGGCCUAAUAUGGCACCGUUUUGAUUAUAGGGCGCGGAAGCGGCUUUCGUAAAAUCCGGGAGUCGUUAUAUACUACACCCACACGACUAUUAGAGGUCGGGGGUGCACGUCGGAAUCGUUGGAUUCCCUUCUAUGUCUGUUUUCUCUAUUCUUGAGCAUAUAUAUAUAUAUAUACCCAUUCAUGCAUAGUAGGGUAGAUACAUGUGGAACUUGGUUUGACUUCAUUUAUAUGUUUCCAACUAACUUGAACAUAUCGGACGAUAGAACCAAAAUGGACAUGUGUGAUUGGACCCUCAAGUUGUGUGAAUGUGAGGUUGGACUUGGACAAUAGAAAACAAGGGUGACAUUGACAUAGAAACAAGAUUGGCAUUGAGAGAUAAACCGUUAAACAUAGUUUAACCAAAUUAUGGCAUCAUCAUGGGUAUGGCCUUGAGAGUGGCAAGAAUGAAUAGGUAGAGACCUAUCAUGACAUCGGCAUUGUGACCAGUGGCUAUGAAUCCUCAAGUUGGGGAUUAGAUCGAUACUCACAUUACAUCUUGGCUUGAGGGAGGUCGCUCCCCCUCGAGCGGUGCGCUCCGGAGUUGGUCACCACUGGGCGAGGUAAAGUCCUACCAGUUGACGGUCCCUAGGGAGGUUCGAGUCCCCCGUUAUUAAGGAAUUUUGGGUUGUGAGUUAUUGGGGUUAACAGAGUUAACCGGCAAGAUUGGGUAAGAGCCAAAGCUUGAUUAUGAUUGGAGCAUGCAUGCAUUUCCGUUAUCGCAUUGAAUUAUAUAUAUCUACUGACUUCUUUCUUGCAGGCAUAGUAUUAGUCACAUUAGUAGUGGUUACUUUUCCUCCUUUGAAAUACUUAUGCCUGGAUGGAUCUAGUGGGUAAGUCGGCGAGGUCGGAUGCCGAGCCCACUGGGAACUUUGUUCUAGUUCUCACACCACUAACCCUACAGGUCCUAGCACGAGCGGGGCGGCGGAGGACAGUGGCAAGGGUAUAGCGCCGUAGAUAGCGGCCACCGGGUCUUUAUACAUUUUGUAGUCAUUCCCUCUUUGCUAUGCUUGUAUCAACUUUACCAUGUUGACUUAGAAACGUAAAGUGUAAUCAAUCAUGUAUUUGGUGGAUGACUAAAUGUAAAAAGAAAUGAUGUUUGAACACAAAUGUAAUAGCUUAUUUACUUGUAUUUGGUUCAAAUGAAAUCAAGUAUCAUGCAUGUUGUAUAUUAGUUUAGAGCUUUCGCUUCUGUUGUUGCUUGCCCUCGUGCAAGCCUUGUAUUAUAUAUGCAAUUCUCUCGUUGGUUGCCUAUUUAUACAUAUUGUUAGAGCCUUGGGCAGACAGGGGAGGCUCUGUCCGUUCGGCGUCUGUUGACGUGACCCGAACCCGACCAAAUUGGCGGGGAUUGGGGCGUGACACUAUAACAUCUGGAUCCAAAACUCAUAUACAACCCAGGGUACAUAAAAUAUCUGUACAAUGGUAGUCUCUCUAUACAGGACAUCACCCUCGGCCGUAGCGCGAGUAGCAAGGUGAUCAACUAGCACGCUCCUAGCAAUGUCUAGCUAGACGCGACUCCCUUGCCACGAUCCCUAGCCUCUCCUGUAGAUGGCUCUGUAAAAACAACCACAAAAAGGGCGUGAGAACUAUUAACAAUAGUUCCCAGUGGGUAAGCCGCCAGCCUCGGCGAAUUACACCACUAGGCUUAUGAUGUACUAAAUGAAAAUAAGAGAGUCUGGUACUCACACAUGGGUUAACAAAGACGCUUAGAAUCACAAACAUAGCAGCAAAAUAAGGUACUUACAAGAUCAUGAUAAACUGAUAGUAAGAAAGAAGCAAAAGACUAAAAAAAUUCAAUGGUUCAUUUUUUGGAAGGUACAAAUUUAAAAUCAUUGCUCAACAGAAUCAGCUACCCAAUUAAACCAAUUAUAAAUAGCAUAAUUCAAUAAAAGAAAGUAGACAACUAUGUAACCAGACGGGUGCUAAGAGAGUACCCAAUAUGACCAAGAGAUGCUAUAUAGGAAAACCUGAAACAUUUGACAAAUUAUUCAGCAUCUGAAGAAAAAUUAUUAGCUAAUUAGAAGGGGAAAAAAAAUGAUGAUGAUAAAAGAGAUAGGGAAGUUACAUGUGUGCAGCUUGCCAAAAGCCCUAUAGUAAGUAGUUUCUCCUCGCCCACACUGUGGGCCAAGAAGGGCAUCAGAGUCAGCUGCAUAACAAGUAAUUCUUAGAUGCAAAUGGCAAUUAUUUUAACUGCAGCACAGACACCACAAGACACUCGAGUGCUGUGAUAAUACAAGUUUCAAAUAUGUUACAACUGACAAGAGGGUGAAACAGCACAGACACCACAAGCAUGUCUUUUUCGCAUUUAAGAUCUCUAACUUCGAGUGUUUCGAAGACUUUGGUCGGUCCAUGCAACGUAUUGUUUCUACUCCACCAACCGUCCCUAGCAUAAAUAUCAAAGAGCUUGAAGAUCAGUGAGUGAAAUUUCAAGUUCGAAGCCGACUCCUUCCUGAAGAUCAGUCACUAAUAGAAGAGCGGGAUGGAAUUUAGGGACAAGUCGCUUGUACUCUGGGUUAAAGAAAGUGGCUUCUCAUACACUCCACCUUUUGGCCUAGGGCUUUUUCUUUUAUAUUUUUUAUAAGCUAGGUGGCCAUGGAUGCUUCGGAAAGGAUAGGUACAGUUGUGGGGUUAAUAAUGUACAAAUUAUGAGGAGAGUUUGGAUUUUUAAGGUGACAAGCUGUUGGUUGUCUUAGUCUAUGAUUAUAUUUCCAGGUGUGUGGAUGUGUACAUAUAUAUAUAUAUAAGAUGGAGUUUUCUCAUCACUUGUACACUAGCUCAGUAUGAAAAUAUCAUAUAUGAAUACCAGCAGAAUUAUGGCAAUGUUAUAAGAGACACAAGUAUAAAUUUGUUUCUUAUAUGUGAAAUUGAUAUUUCGUGGGCUUCAAUAAAUCCAAUGCUCAAGUAGAUUUAGUAGGACAAAGAGAUCUAUAGUAGAAUAUCAUGAAUUGAGAGUUCUUAAUCCAUGUGUCACUAGUAUUAAACUUCGACAACUUCAGUCUGAGGAAGAAAAGAUAGUGUUUACUAUACAUUCCUUCAAUAAAGAGUUUACAUCAAGUUCAUAAUAUUGUCUAUCAGCUUCAGGAACCAAGUUAAGCAAAACACUAUUCAAAGUAAACAGAAAACUAGAUAAAAUCAACUAAAGGCUGAUGAUAAGACUAACCUUAACAGUUGAGAGAACAAGAGUAGCAUGCCUCGCUUGCCAUUCGCUAAGAUCCUGCCGAACAUUCGACACUGUAGGAACCUCAGAUAUUUCUGGUUCAUCUACACAUGAAAAGAACAGAACACUCCGCAUUAAAUUGGGCAAACAACAUCAAAUUCCAACAAGGAACAGGAAAAAAAUUCCUAACAACUUCAAUAACAAUAGGAACGCAAGAGAAUUCAGUACAUUGCUAACACAAUGAAAUUAAUAACUUCAAAUGACACUAAUCUAUAUACGCCAUUUCUUCGAUCCAAACACCGCCGGAAUCCAAUCGUGAACCUAAAAUCAAACAAAGAGAAGAGAUCGAAUGAAACAAAACCUCACUGUCCGAAAAGUGAACGCCAUAAAGCAACCCUCGGAACUCCUCCCACAUCAUCGGGGGUAAUGUAGGGGAGCGAUUUUGACGAGUCGCCUUCCACCAAACACGGGCGUACUUCUCAAGGCAGUGCACAGCUAGGUGCACCUUAUCUUGCUCAAGGGUGUAGAGAUCCUCGAACAAUUUCUCCAUUGUAUCCACCCAGGACUCCAUCUCCCACGGGUCACCUGACUCCCCGUUGAAAAUAGGCGGAUUAAACUUCUUGAAGGCGGUGAGGCAAGCGAGGGCUCGGUCCCUCUCGGCCUCCAACGCCGGAUCAAUAGGAGUCGAAGUACUUGACAUCGCCGAGCAAGUACCCGCCGCAACGCCCGGUGGCGCAGUGUAUGCCAUCGGUGGUGGUGCUGCCGCACCCGCCCCCUCAACUCCAGCAGGGGCACGCACAGGUGAGAUGGGCGGCUGCUGAGUGACAGGUGCCGUCGCCGCCUGUCGGGACACCAACUCCCGAAGUAGCGCCAUCUGUUCUUCUUGUCGCUGGGAGGCCUCAGCCAACUGCUGAGAAGCUUCAGCUUGCCUCCGUACCACUCCAACAAGAGCGGCAACUUGAUCCCGCAAAUCUUGUAUCUCAUCGGCUACCGACGACUCAGGCACAUCAAGAGGCGGUGCCGAAUCAGGAGUGGGUACCAUUGGGGGUGGCCUUCCACGUCUCAUUACGUCCUGAAAGAAACAACACCCCCGGUUAAACUCCACAAAUUCAUAACUAACAUUAGUUAGUAACACCAACGGGACAACCCAAUUAGGCGAAAGUUAGGCAAGGGUGCUCAUUCUCUUCUCUCGGCAUCAUGUUGUCGGCCGCCAACAUGACCUCCUCAAGUUAAGGAUAAAUCACACCCUGAAUCCGUCUCUAAGAUCCAUUAGAGACAUACAUCACUACUUGACCCAAUCACUACACUUUCGCCACUAACAAAGAGUCAUCGUCACUCACGUCCCUAUGUCCCUAAGGCCAUAAGUCCUAAGGUUUCCUAGGUCCUCCUAGACCGUUCUCCGCUCUGAUACCACCUCAAUCUGUCACGACCCGACACCGUCAAUUUGAACAGUUCGGGCCCAAAACAGACCCGCCGAACGGACAGAGUUUCCCCUGCCCGCCCGAAGCGUAACAAAGUCUAUGCAUACAUAUCCAAUAAGAGAUGUUAGCAUUCAACAUUGAGAGAGGCAAUCACAGAUACAAGAGAAUUUAAACUAUCCAUUACAUCACUUGUUCACACACAAGAAACAUUACAUAUUUCAUUUGACUUCUCAUACAUACAACCAAAAUGCCAUCCCUCAUAUACAUUACAUUUCUUCACAAAAGGGUUUUACAUAUCAUUCUUUCCUUUUUUAUUAUACUCGAGGGUAGUGAGCUAACGCCGGUGGUCCAUGCUAUCUACUGCGCGACGCCCUUGCCGCGAUCCUCGACACACGCGCUCGAACUAGGCUCUGCAAAACAGGGUGUGAGAACUAUUAUCCAUAGUUCCCAGUGGGUUCGGCCGCCGACCCCGCCGAUUUUCCCACUAGGUCCAAGAAAGGCAUAGAAACAAUAAAGAGGUCAACAUGUCAAAGGAAUAAUAGAUAUAACAAUAAGCCUACCUUGCUCAUCCACAUCUAUAUCAUGCUCAAAUGUGUAGCUAUGCCUUUACCAAUGAUGCAAUCAUGUCAACAAGUACAUGUUUAAGUUCUAUCAUGUAUGCAAACUAUAUACGAAAUGCCAUGAUCAUGCCUGUGUCAAAUCCAAACGAUUCGCCCGAAGGUCGAAUCACUCGCCACACAUACUGUCACGUGACCGUGACCGUCUGCCGAGGGCGCACCGUCGUGACUCUCUCCCCCGUCUUAAUCUCAUUGUGAUACAACUCCGGAGCUCACUGCUUGGGAGGCGCGACCAUCCACAAGCUUUAACAGACAAUGCGAGUAUGAUUAAGUCCCCCUACCAGAGGACCGCGGGAAUACUACAUCCCAAUCAUCACAAGGCAUGCUUUGCUCAGCCACAUAUGCAUUAGUUUCCAAUUCUCACAAUGUCAUUGGUUCACAUACUAGUUCCUCAUGAAUCUAGUCUAUUCUUAUAUCACAUCCACAUGUAUAUGUCCACUAGCAACUCAUACAACAUGUACAAAUAUCUAUAUUGGUAUCAUAUAAAAGUUCUCAUGCAACAUACAUGUCCACAUCUAUCUCAACAUCAUGCAAAUAAAUAUUCCUACAAGUAUCAUGCAAUCAUGGAUCAUUAUCCCUCACACUAAGCAUGAAAUUACCACAACUCAUAGGAUUCUCACUAUUCUAUGCAUGAUGAUAUAUGAUCAAUAAAAGUAGAACUUAGACAUAGAAUGAAACUCAGCUAUUUCGGAUAGCACCCCCCACCUCGUGAUGUCGACACGAAGCGAGUAGCCUAGCAGCGCGAUUUACGGCCGUUGUUUUCUUCCAACUGCAACAAAUGAAGCAAAAAUAGAAUUUUCUUCACUUUGACCACCACCGGCUCAACGGAAUCUCAAUCCGAAUGAUCCUCCGCGUCGGUUUUACCUUAAACAAGCUUUCUUCUCUAAUCCAAGUGAUGAAGAAGAUGAAGAAAGUAGCUCAAUUCCAAACCUUCUUCUCCACCAAGCUUGCUUCACCACCAAGCAAAUUUCAAUUUUUCUUUCUUCUCUACUCCUCUCUUUGGUAAAGAGAACCAAAGAGAAAGAGAGGUCAUAAAGUCAAAGAGAAAAAGAGAGAAAACCCACCCUCUCUCUGUCACGUCCCGCUAUCGCCAAUUUGGUCGAUCCGGGCCCGUUCACAGACGCCGAACGGACAGAACCUCCUCUGUCCGCCCAAGGCUCAACAACAACGAGUACAUGUAUAAAGAAAUAAACAGUUCCCAGGAUAACAUUUCAGUAUACACGGCUUGCACGAGGGCAAGCAACCACACAAGUGAUAGUAAGCUAGCUAUGCUGAAAAUUCACUGUAAUUUAAAACUUUUAAACUGAACUGAAUAACUGAAACAUUUAGUUAUUUACAUGCUUUAUAGUACAUUCAUUCACAAGUCUCUGUACAUCAAAAUAGAUGAUACAUGAUCCCAAAAUGGUACACAACUAUACUCUGGUGUCAGCUAGCUAAACUGCUGGGCUCUUGCCACGAUCCUCGGCCACAACGCUCGUACUAGAACCUGUAUGGUUAGUGGUGUGAGAACUACAGAAAAGUUCCCAGUGGGUUCGGCCGCCGACCUCGCCGACUCACCCACUAGGUCUAUUCAGGCAUAUGUAGGCAAGAAAAGUAAACAGAUUGUAACCUGCUAUAACAUGUAACUACUACAAUGCCUGUGCAAAGCUGAAAGAAAGCAGUAUGUGAAAACUGUAAAUAUGCAUGCAUGCUUUUACUGAAUUUACCCAAUUCAUGUUGGUUAACCCUCUGGUUAACAAUAACUCACUGACGCUAUCCCAAAUAUCGGGGAGACGCAACCUGCACCCGACGGGACCGUCAACUGGGGGAGACGCACCUCCUGGUCCAGUAAAGAUGACUACUCCGGAGCUCAUCGUUCAAGGAGGAGCGACCUCACUUGAACCAAACGAAUGUGAGUAUGAUCUGAUCCUCUUUUAGAGGAUUCAACAAUAGACGAUGUCACACUUAACUCUAACUAGCUCUUUAUGCUAGUUUCACAAUUCCAUUUCUCGAUGCUAACCAACCCUCUAAUUAGAAUGUCACCAAGUUUACUAUUGUUAUAGUCCAAGCAUUCAUAGGGUUCUAUGUUCACAUUCUAUUGUUCAUAUAUUCUCAUGGUUAAUAAGCAUUUGCAUAAUCAAUAUCAUUUACAUAAUAUCAAUACCCUAUAAUGCAUGAUUACAAUGUAAAUAUGCUCAAUGAAUUAGCAUAGACAUAAAAGGUGAUUCAAAGAUUUCGGAUAGCACCACCCACCUGUACGACUCGGGAUAAUCGAAGACUAGAACCACAUCACGGUAAACCGUAUAGAACAUCCACGAGUCAUGCGACUCGAUUCGGCAGUAAGCUAAGAACGGAAGCGUUUCUUAAUUACCUGCUCGUAGUCCGUUCGGAGGUGCCAAUUCAACUUCCCGAGCAUCUCUUACCCUCCUUCCUAAAGAAUAAAAAGGUUAAACUGAUCACAUGUUCAUCUUUUACAAAACUUUUGCAUUUAACCCCAACUAGUAUGUUAUGUAAUCACUAUGUACAGUAUCCUAUAGUUAGUCUUGAUACAUUUAUAUUAUUAGAGACAUUUAAAUAGCCUCCUCAAUCGAUCUACUACAAGCCUAUUAUUCUACUACUCUAACUACUAAUUCAGAUUUAAACUACUAAUUCAUUCUACCAUUUCAGUUAUAGUCCAUAGACCAUCAUUAUUUAGUACAUACAUGCUAGUAUAUGUGUGUGAGCUAAACUUUAUAGAGUUUAAAUUAGGAAAUUUAGCAAAUGCAUUUUGGCCUUUCCAUUUACGAUCAAAAUUUAAAGCUAAUUUAAAUUCCAAAUCUCCUUUAUCUGAUCAACUUUCCUAGUAUGUACAUGUAUAUGAGUGUAUAGCUAGUUUUAGUAAUCAAACAUAGUAACUCCUCAAUGCAUGUUUAGGUUUCAUUAACUCAAAUCCCGCAUAGAAAUCUUAUUAACAUCCCUACUAUUACAAUAAUCUGAAUUCGCUACAUCAUGAUACAAUCAUCAUUUACCUGUCAUUCGCCUGCUGCAAUUAGUUGUUCUCAGCUCCACAGCAAGAAUUUCUAAUGCUAGAAAAUUUUGUCACUUAACUUCCUCUUCGCCGCCCCAUAUAGGUCCAAUUCCAAUUAAUCUAAAUUUCAAGUACUCUAUAACUCUUUAGAUAUACUCCUUAUCACUCAAACUGCAGAGAAGAACUAUUACACUUACCCAAUUUGAAAGCUUCACCUAAGUUACUCUUUUCCAUACUCACAAUAGCAAGUAUAUGCGAAAUUCUGAUCGGCAAAUGCAGAAAUUUUCAGCACCUCGCUUCUCUAUGUUGCUCUUAACCUUUCAUAGAGUCGUUUUAGCUGGCCUCGUUGAUAUCAACAGCUCCAAUAACCCAACUCUCUUUCACUGAAUCUCUUCAUUUCGAGCAGCCUCAAACACAUCAAUUCAAGUCUCAAUUUUCAGCAGUAAUGAAUCCUUCUAUGAAUUAAUUCUGAGGCAAGUAUAGUUUAAGUCACACGUAAGUAAUUAACAUUUAGCUUACUUGCUGUCUCUUGGAUUACUCUCCAGCUUUGCCACUUUCUCCUAACUAUCCGAACUAAAUUUUUUCCUCAGCACAAUACAUCAGGUUGCCUGUCGGCCUUGGCACCUCUACAAUUUGGAGAGCAUCACAGGCUAGCUUACUUUGAUGCUACAAAUAAGUCCAUAUAGAACAAGUCAUUUGCUAAGUAAGGUAAAUUAUCUAGAUAUUCUCAUAGCCAAUUCCUAAUAAGUCCUAAACAGGCCAGAACAAUCAUUCUAAAGACCAGGGAAUGAAUCAAUUCAUACUCCUCUGAUUUCAGCUUAUUACGUUGCAGCUUAUACUACAACUAACCAUUCAUAAAAUAACUCGCACAUAUCAGACGCCACUGAAAAUUGUCGGUAAAGCCUUCUCAUGGUGUAAGAGCUCUAAACUCUAUAAUUGCGACUUAGAUCUCUUAGAAUUGUAAAUACAUAACCUCAAACCAGAAUUGCAUGUUUCUCAAUUCAAUUUUUUGACUUCUAAUCCAUGAAUUACCUAUGUGCUGGUCCAUGAUACAGCUUCUUAACUUUCUAUAUACUGUAUUAUCAUGAAACUCCAAUAAAACUAAUCUGUGAAGGUAAAUAACUCAAACUCUACACAAGGAUUUGAUCAAGUUACCUUGAAAUUCAGCUCUACCCAAGCUUUUCCUCUGCCAAAAUCCUUCUUUCUAUCAACAUCCAACCCGACCAACCGUUCAGAGUUUAGAGAGAGAGAGAAAGAAACGAAAAAAGAUUAAGAAGGAAGAUUUUCUCAAUCCCAAGUACAAAAUUGGGUGAGCUGGGCUGUAGAUAAGACCAAAAAAAACUGACAACUAACCUCCAACUGACAAAGCUUUAAAUAAUUAUCCUUUACAAAACAUUAUAUUCUGUUAACAAAACAUCCCUGCAAGUUUACAAAGCAUCGCUUUCAGCUACAUUCACGUCUCCUGCACUACAUCACUGGCAGCAGCUAAGAUGUCAAACUUCUUUGCGCAUCUAAUUCACUCGCGAGUCCUUCGCAACACUUCCAAAACAUACUAAUACGUUGCCGGAAGCUAACCAAUUCAAGCUCGAAAACAACCCAAUUUUAUUUUGGCAUUCAUUUUGAUCGCAUUUGAUCAUACUAGCAUAACAUACACCAAAAUCCUACACUCACUCACCAUCCAAGCAUCUCGAAUUUGCCAUUAACCACAAAUCCUCUUGCCUGCGCACCUGUGUCAAAAUAACUUCGAGUAUAAAUUAAUAACACUCAUACAUCACUAGUGAUACGCUUGUGAGCGUCGAAGUUACGUCAUAGAUCCGAAAAUGCCCCUUUCAAGUUUUAUUUCGGUGCCCAGCGAUUUGUGCCCUAGAUCUCAAUUUAAUCUAGAGAUCAUUCCUUACACGUCCAGAAAACCACUCUGGAACUGGUACAAACAACAUCUCAACAUUCAAUACCUCAUUUGAUCUUCCAUGAAGAGAAAGUUAAGCAUCGUCAACUAAACAAAUUUCCAUAUUAUUCAUCUCCUCCACCGAUUAACAAAGUUCGUGCCGGAAACUUAGAUACAACUUAACAUAUCUUCCAUCAUUCCAUUAAACAUAAUGAAGAUAGGGUCCAACACUCACCAAUAUAACAGAAUUAUAAUGCUAUUUCUGCACUUUCCCUCAUGUCACACAAAUUCCAAAAUGCAUAAGUUGACACUAUUUCCAAGUUAUUUUCUCUAGUAAUUGUAAUAGAUUUCUCGCCCUGGGAACAAAUGAAGGAUUCUGUUCAUCAAUUUGAUAUAUCAUUUGGGCUAUUUCUUGUUAUAUCUCACAAUCCCAGAGCUACAUUUUCUUAUGUUUCACCCAUCAGCGCCUUAGUAUAUAGGGGUUUACUCUCGGUACUCUUAGGUGUGAGCAGGCCAUAAUCUCAAACAAUUUUGUAACAUCACUUCGCUGCCAAUCACCUAAUAAUCACAUUCCGAGGCACAUCCAGAAUAUGCCGCAUUCUCCGCUGAAAAACUGAUUAUUUAAUGUCUUCUAAACUUCCAAUGGUCAAUGCAAGUCACAAUUCGUGACUUACUAAUAGUCAACCUCCAUUCUCCACCUAUCAAAGACUUAUGCCUGUUAUUAUACAACAUUUAAUUCUCACUUUAAUGACAGCUUUAGAAUAGACAAUUCUUUCAUACAAUCAACAACUAAAUCCGUCCGCACUAUCAACUUAACUAUGCUCAGUGAGAUCUCCCCCUUAUCAAUCAAAUCGAGAUAGAUAACCAAAUUCCGAGAUUCACCAAAUAAACAUAUCUACUUAACUUUCUAAGAAUAGUAACUAUCGUUUUUUUUCAGGCCACGAUGGGGAUCAUUCCUGUGCAUGCCCCCUCUUACUUUCAAAAAUUCGUAAUAACUACUUGAUUCAUAUACAAACUUAUCAAAGUAACAUCCGCUAUACCUCAUUGACUCUCUCAAAUAGUGGAAUCUAUUUUGAUUUCUUCACCUGGCAUCGCUACCACCGGCGCUCGACUCACUCACAGAGUACAUCACUCAAUUGUGAGGUUCCACUCACCUGUUCACAAAUGUGUCCACUGCCUCGACAAAAGGGCUCAUUCUAACAUCUCCACUACCACUCUAAUGAUUUAAGGCCAUAAAUCCUCACCCAAAAUCUCACGAGCUUCCAACUACAAGCACAAAUGACUCGAAAGAAAACUUUUACUUUUUCCGGCCUACGUUCGCCUGAUAUAUAUCACACACCAAUACUCUCAGGCAAACAACACAGUCACCCAUGAUACACUUUUUUAGUGUCGCCUCUAAAAUCUUAACACCUCCUCAUCAGCUAGCGAUAACUGGGCAUAAAAAAGGCAAACGAGGUAGGACGCAGAGCCUUGCUCCCAAGUCACUACAGCCCGAUUCACAACACUAACUAUACCCUCGCAUUUCGAAAUAAUCGCUCGACAUUAUUAUGCUUCGAUUACCAAUCGAACUGGUCAUUAACCCGUAAUUCCAAUCUAAGGCCUACCGCCUAACUUGAUAUACGAUAUCACUUAACGUGUCUCGCUCGCAAGCGCAGACAGCGCAAUCAUACGAGCACACAAUAAGUCUCAUUUAAAUCCUCGCACAUUUUACUCUCCAAUCAUGGAGUAAUCCCAAAUCUCCAAACCAUUUGAAUUUUAGGGAUGGGUCAAAUUCACACCUCUCCGUGUACACUAAUCUCAACGGUCAAGAUACGUGGCCUGGGCCAUUCGUUACCAUCAAGCUGGAACUAACCGUCCGUGACCAAAUCUCUGCCACCAAUAGGUAUCCGGCCGCGUCGCACACGCAUAAACUCUUAACUUCGAAUAGCCUCAUCUCCAAGUCCACACAUGGUCCAGCACAGAUCGUCCUCAAGCUAGUAUCCUCCAACGUCUUCACACACAACAUGUUCUAUCGAGCAAAUCCACAUUAAUAUCGUCUCCUAAGUACUUAAGUGUGUCAGCUACAGCGCCGCGAGUGAUGCAUGCACGCUUCAACCUAAGCAUACGCUCACGUGCUACUGCCAAAACUCUCUUUGGCUGAGCGGCCACAAAUCCACACUCUAACGGACAACUAAAGCUCAAGAUGUCCAUACACUAUCUCAUCUCUCAAUUAGAUAUCACACCACUAGGCAACUUCUGCUAUAUGCCUUCAUAUAAUUACACAAAUUCACCAGUCACUAUUUGAUUACAACUCAACUAACAUCGCCAAAAACCAGGUGAUCAUCUUAAACCGUUCUAACCACAAUGACUCUAUUAACCAAAUUACAAGCCAGUCUUCUUGGAAUAUCAUCCAUAUUUCUGCACUCUAGACGUCUCUAAUUUCAAUUAAUUCUCAUUACAAAUUUCCGAUAUGCUUUAUAAACAUAUUUACCAUAUUCAUUCUUUUAUCCGCAAGCCUCCAACAGUGCUCACAUAUUUACUAUUUAGGUCACCAUUCCCAUCGCUUUAUCUCAAGCCCCAGUAUAGUUGGGUUUACUAAAUUACGCUCACUACGCAUUAUCAACGCGUCUAUGUCUAACCAAUAAACGAACAAUUUUUUCCUCAUCCUUGCUGCUAGUUUAAAUCCUAAGGCUCUACCUACAGAGCUCUUGUAAAAUAACUCAUUUUCGGUAGUUACACAAUCUUCCCAUUAUAAAGCAAUCUGAAUCCUACUGGAAGUCAUAUUUACCUUACCAUUGUCACGUAUCGAUAAUACAGCGCGGCCUUACACAACCGCGGUGAGAUUACCACAACCACCUCUUGAAAGAAAAGUUUAAGUCGAUCAGAGCCUUUUUCGAAUUCGUAGAUGAAAGACUGUAACUCUCUAUCCGGUGCGCUUUAACACUCGAAUUGGAGCACCCCGACCAACAAUCAAUCGUUCAUGCCCAUUCUUACUAAUCCAUUCGGCUCCUUCGCGCGAAUAUCACCUUAGACCUCAGCCAUAAGAUUCAGUUUCAAUACUAUCAGAAGUUCAUAAUUAGGCACAUGCGUAUAUUAUUUGACACAUCCUCUAUCGAAGUCUUCCACACUCGUAACGGCCUUGCUCCAAUUGACAACGUAUUGCUCAACACUCUUCAGCGUGCAGAAAAUCUCUUCUACAGUACUUCUUUCACUGACAGUUCACGUGCUGCUAUAGUUCUCUCAACUUAUCUAAAAGGUCACCUGUCGUUUAUUCCAACAACAAACUCUCUGACUCCUGUCCUAAUACACAAAUCCUACAGGAAAAAUUUUUCUGUAAGCCAAACACAGAUUCUUGACCGCCGGCCGAACAUUCCUUAUUAUCCCAAUAACAAUGGACUAAACUUUCCUGAAGGCCACAAGAUUAUCUCAAACUUAUGUCACAGCCUUCUAGAGUUCGCAAUGACAUAUCAGAUCCACUCAAAUACACUUAAUGCUACGUCUGACAUUGGAACUAUGACUAUAACAACACCAACGCGCCACCGUACAGUUGUGACUAAACUGAUCCGAAAGCAUUUCAAUUUUCCUUCAACGCCCGCGGUCAAGUUCAAUGGAUUCCACUCUAUGCCCGAAUCUAAUAUCGAUUCUAUUUUAGAGAUACAACUAACACUAAACCACUAAACGCGUAAACAACCGUACAAUUCUUCCGACCUUGCAAGAUCAAACACGACACAAGCUAUCGUCACCAAUCAAAUCGGCGAAAGUCCUGCAAUUGAAGCCUAUUCUCAUCCUCGGUUUUAUGUGUGUCAACCCAACAAACACUCUGCUGCUGAUAAUACAUUUCAUACCUUGGAUCCACCAAAACUAAAGAUCCUUUUUAGAGGUAUAUAAAUCAAAACCACAAAUCGUUUAACUCUUUCGCACAUUACCAAAAUAUUUCUCAGUCACUUUGCCACGCCACCGAACUAGAUCCUUAUGGUUUUCCAUUCCUGAAGGUCCCUAGGUCCAUCUUAGACUUAUCACUAUCACUUACUCUGAUACCAAAUUUAUCUGGUCAAACGUCCGCUAUUUCCCGCAAUUUUGUCGAGUCCGGCCCGUUCAACAAGACGCCUGGAAGCGGAAGAACCUCCCUCUGUCGCCAAGUCAACACCCACAAGAGUUACAUGUAAAUCUGUAAGAAAUAAACAGUUCCCAGGAUUAACAUUUCUAGUAUACACGCUUAGAGAGGAAAGCAAACCACUAAACAAUUGAUAGUAAGCUAGCUACUGCGAAAAUUCACUGGUAAUUGAAAAUAACUUUUAAACUUGGAACUGAAUAAACUGAGAGAGCAUUUAUUAUUACGAGUGCUUUAAUAGUACAUUCAUUCACAAGUCUCUGUACAAUUCAAAAUAGAUAUAUCAUGAUCCCAAAAUGGUACAACAACUAACUCUGGGUGUAACAAUCUGACUAAACUGCUCGGGCUCUUGCCACGAAUCCUCGCCCUACUAACGCUCUUACUAGAACCGUAUGUUAGUGGUUGUGAGAACUACAGAAUAAGUUCCCGGCUUCGUGGCGCCGACACUAGGCCGACUUCACCCACUAGUUCAUUCAAGGACAUAAUGUUAGGUCAAGAAAAGUAAACAAUUGUAACCUCGCUAGCUAACAAUGGUAAACUACUCCACUAUGCCUUGCAUAAGCUGAAAGAAAUUGCAGUAAUGUAAACUGUUAAAUACUGCAUGCAUUCUUUUAGCUAGAAUUACCCUUGUGGUUUUGGUGUCAAUUGCAUGUAGUUUAACCUCUGUUAACAAAACUCCACUGACGCUAUCACCAAAUACAUCGGAGCCCCCACUCGUGCACCCUGACGCGGACCGUCAAGCUGUGGAACCACCUCCCUGGUCCAGUAAAUAUGACUACUCCGGAACUGCAUUCGUCACGGAGACGACCGUCACUUGAACCAAAACGAAUGUGAUAAUGAUCUGUCCUCUUUAGAGGAUCAACAAUAUACAUGUCACAACUUUAAUUCUAACUAGCUCUUUUAUUGCUAGUUUCACAAUUCCACUUCUCUCGAUGCAACGGCACUCUAAAUAAUUAGAUAUGGUCACCAAAGUUUAUUCUAUUGUUAUAGUCACAAUGCAUAUUCAAUAGUUUUCUAUGUUCGACAAUUCUAAUUUUCAUAUAUUCUCAUGUUAAUAACAUUUUCAUAAUCAAUAUAUUUACAUAAUAUCAAAUACCCUAUACAUCAUGAUUACAAUUAAAUAUCGACUCAAGUGAAUUAUCAUAGACAUAUAAAGGUGAUUCAAAGAUUUCGAUAGCACCACCCAAUCUGUCGGGAUAUCCGAAGACAGAACCUAACGCACGAAACGCGUAUAAACAGUUCACACCUGAUGCGACUCGAUGCAUAGUAAGCUAGAACAAGUCGUUUCUUAAAUACCGCGUCGUAGUACGUCGGAACGUGCAUAUCCUCGAAAACUUACCGAUCAUUUGCUUACCCUUCCUUCCUAAAGGAAUAAAAAGUAAACUGAUUCACAUUCAUAUUUUACAAAACUUUGCUUUAACUCCAACUAGUAUUAAUAUAUCACUAUUACAUACUAUAGUUAGUUUAAUACAUUUCAUAUUAUGUAUAGACCGUUAAUAUUCCUCCCAAAUCCAUUUCUGCUAACAGGCCAUUAAUUCUUACUGCUAAUGUCAAGAAUUUUAAACUACUUAUUCAGUCUGACCAGUUGUUGACAUUAUAUCCAUAAUCAUUGCCAUAUGUAAUAUACAUACAUGCUAUUAAUAAUGUGGAGCUAAUUUAUUAGAGUUUAAUUAGGAAUUUUAGCAACUGCAGUUUUGCCUUUCCAAUUAGCCUCAAAAUUUAAAGCUAAUUUAAAUCCCAAAUUUUCUCUUUACUGAUCAUUUCCUAGUAAAGUACAUAGUAUAGAGUGUAAUCUUAGUUUUAUAAGGUUUCAUAACUAGAAACGAUCCUCAAUGCAGGUUGAGUUUUCAUUAACUUCAAUACCCUAGAACUCUUAAUUAACAUCUCUAUUACAAUUAACUGAUUCAUAAUACAAUCGAUACAAUCAUAUUUACUGCUAGUUCGGCUGCCCAAUUAGUUCGUAUGCUGCUAGCUCGCACAGCAGAGAACUUUCUAAUGCUUGAAUUUCUGCACUUUACUACUCCUCUUCGAGCCUAUACCCAAUUCCAAUUAACUUAAUUCAUAGUACUUAUUAUACGCUCUUUAGAGUAACCCUAUCACUGUCAACUCAGAAGAAGAACUAUUCACAUCCUCAAUUUUGAAGCUUCACUAGUUUCUUUUCAACUCCAAUAGCAAGUAAUCUAGCUUGAAAAUUCCUGCGCAAAUCAAAAUUUCAGCACCUCGCUUCUCUAGGUUGCUCUUUAACUUCUAGAGUUUCGUUUUAGCUGGCCUCCCUGAAUCAACAGCUCAAUAGGCCCAGAAUCUCUCAGCUGUAAUCCUUCGAUUUGGCAGUCCCAAACACAUCCAAUUUUCAAGUCUCAUAUUUCACAGUAAUUGAAUCCUUAUGGGAUUAAUUCUGAGCAAUUAAUUGAUCAUAAUCACUAAGUAUUAACUUAUAGCUUACCAUUGCUGUCUUCUUUCUCUGAGAUUACUCUCAGCUUUUUGGCUACCUUCCCUACUACUUCCAACUAAUUUUUCCCUCACGGCAACCAAUAGCAUCAGUUUCCGUUGCGGCACUCUACAAUCUGGAAGCAAUCCCAAGCUGCUAACUUAUGCACAAAUAAGUCCAUAUAAACAUCAUUUUCUAAGGUAAGUAAUUCAGCCAUAGCCAAUCCCUUUAUCAAUCCUUAAUACAGCAGAGAACAUCAUUAAACCAGGAGAAUUGAAAAUCAAAUUCAUCGNNNNNNNNNNNNNNNNNNNNNNNNNUGCCCCUGAUGACACUUUAGGACAAUUUGAUGGUCGACAUGGUUUUCCAAAAUCCCUCAAUUGGCCCUAUCCACUAAAUUCACACAAGUCCUGAGCUCAAUGGGCCGCUUUGAUGACAUUAGCUUUUUCUCCAAUUACACAUGAUAUCAAGUUCGAUGCCCUAAUAUGAAGCCAAUGUCAUCUUUCAUGGUCUCAAUAAAACUUAUGGUUUAAACGCCAUGAUAUCAUAGCUCAUUUACCUCUCUAGAAUCCAUGAAAUCAAACCCCAUAUUAGAAUGCUAAAUGCAAACCCAAGAUCUCCCAAACAACUCUCUUACCUACCAUUAGGAGUCCAAAGAUACUCAUACGUAUAACAUAUGGCAUUUUUAAGCAUUCUAAAAAUCGAUUAAUAAAUACAUUUAAUAUGAGAAAAUGCAUGAAUAAAUUUAGUAACCAAGACUUUCACCAAAUAUGAGAUUUUAUCUAUAUACAAAGGCUAGUGUCAACCCACCGACGACAACGAGAGCUUUCGUUUGCUUCCGGAUUGGAUGCGUAAUCCCAUAGCUUCCUAGCACCUAGGAACAUUCAAAAUUAGUGUGCAUCAAUCGAUUACGAGAUGCAAUAAGCGUCCCUCUUUACAUGAAGCAAAAAGGGGUCAAACUCACCUCAAGAGUAGAAAUCUCUUCUUGGCUCAAAAGGGAGCUUAGAACCACUUCCAAUCUAACCUAGAGCGAAGGUUCUAAUCCAACCAAUUGAGCUUCAAAAGCCCCUAAAACGAAAAUGGCCCAAAGUAAACCCUAAAAUCACAAAUCAUAGGGUUUCAUCUCAAUGAAACUUCAAAAAACCACAAUUAGGAGGAAAGGCAUUUUGGGCAUUACCUCCUUAGAAAGCCUCAAACUCAGCUCAAAGUUCUCAAAACUUCAAGUAUCUUCCUCAAUCAACUCCAAACCCAAGCUCAAGCCUUCAAAAAUGGUGGGGAAUGGGCUCCAGAGAACAAGAAGAGGGAGAAAAACCAUCAAAAAUUUCAAGCUAAAUGGGAUCAAAUCAAAGGUUGAAGGGGGAGGGUGCCCGUACCUUUUCCUGGCAGUGGAGAGCUCAAGAAAGGGCCUAGGAGACGUGGUGCCUAUAUACAGAAGACCCAAAACCGGCAAAAACAAAACCCCUGCCAGUUCGAAACUGGUUGCAAAAUCUGCCUCCUUGUACCGGUACACGGAUCUUUACCGGACAAGAGCUACGCAAAAUGCAAAACCGAGGCUCGGUGUGCGCUGCUGCCCGGGCAUGUACCGUACAAGCGCCAGAUGGCUGUACCGGGGUACAACCAUCAGCAUUGUACCGGCUACAAGCCAUCCUUGUACCGGUACACAGACUGCGAAUGCAAACCGAGUUGCUCGCGGUUUGCGCAGUUGUCUCUGGUACCUACAGGGUCCGUACAUGGAUGUACCCGGUACAGCCGCGCCAGACAGCCAAUCGAGAGUGACCAAAAUCCAAGAUUUUUGGGUUUUGCGAUGCAAGGCUCGCUACCCACCUCCACGUGGACACGUUGCCACAGGUCGAGAACGACAGUCAUACGAUCCCUACCAGGAAUCUGGACAAGCUCAGUUUACGUACGCAAUCAUCGAACCUCGCAAUUUGCCAAAGGUCCAAGUGUGUUACAUUUAUCUUAGCAAAUCCUUCCACAAACCGUCACUAUAGUAGCCGGCAAGGCCCAAAAAGCUCCUGACCUCGGUCACAUUCGUUGGCGAGGCCAAUUCUUUAUUGCCUCAACCUUACCCGAAUCAACUGAAACUCCGUCAGCCGAGAUCACAUGCCCAAGAAGAACGCAACUUUUGAAGCAAAAGUCGCAUUUCUUCAACUUGGCAUAUAACUUCUCCUCCCGAAGUAGCUGCAGCACAAUUCUCAAGUGCUCCACAUGCUCCUCAUCACUCCGAGAGUAGACUAAGAUGUCGUCUAUGAAGACCACGACAAAUCGGUCCAAGUAAGACUUGAAGACACGGUUCAUUAAGUCCAUAAAGCCGCUGGGGCAUUCGUGAGUCAAAUGGCAUAACCGUGAAUUCAUAAUGCCAUAUCGCGUCCGAAACGCAGUCUUAUGCACAUCCUCUGGCUUGAUCUCUUAAUUGAUGAUAGCCCGAUUGGAGAUCAAUCUUCGAAUACACCCGCGACCCUUGCAACUGAUCAAACAAGUCGUCGAUACGGGGCAACGGGUACUUGUUCUUGAUUGUGGCCUUGUUCAACUCGCGAUAAUCCACGCAGAGUCGAAGCGAUCCGUCCUUCUUCUUUCACAAACAACACGCGGGCUCCCCACGGUGAUACACUUCGGCUUAACAAGCCCUUGUCCAGAAGGUCUUGUAAUUGUGCCUUCAAUUCCUUCAACUCCGCUGGUGCCAUACGGUAUGGAGCUUUAGAAUCGGCGCCGAUCCGGAAUUAAGUCUAUCACAAACUCAAUCUCCCGGUCCGUGGCAAUCCCGGUAAUUCUGCGGGAAAUACAUCGCGGAAACUCACAUACGGGACCGGAAUGUCCCCAAGAGCUGGGAGCUCCUUCUGAGUCUCCACCACCGACGCCAAAUAGGCUAUACAUCCACCUUUGAUCAACCUCUUCACUCUAGACGUCGACACCGUCAUAGCAAAGAGCGAGCUCUUGCAUGCACGAUAAGUAACUUCUUUUUGACCAGGCUCACGAAAAGUGAUCACCUUGCCUUUACAAUCUAUGGUGGCAUAAUACUUUGAGAGCCAAUUGAUUCCAAGGACUAUGUCAAAGCCCUUCAUCCGGUUCAACACAAGCAAAUUCACUGGCAUGAUCCAAUCGUCAAUUUGCACCGGACAAGCUCUACAUUCAUCCUUGAUACUAAAUGUGUGCUCAAGUGCAUCCACCCACCAAUAGUCAGCACACAAUGAAAUUUCAAUGUCAUGAGCUUUAGCGAAAGACUUGCUAAUAAAUGAGUUUGAUGCACCAGUGUCAAACAAUGCUCUAGCUCUAGUACCAUGAACUAAGAUAAUACCUGCCACGACAUCGUCGGCUACGGCAGGCUCCUCCACUUGAGCAGCAUAAGCUCGUCCACUUGGCAUUGGACGAGAUCCCUCGGCCUGACGAGGCACCAUGGCGCGGCCAGUAGACAUCGUGGGCGGGUGUCCCACAAAUUGUCGCGGAGCAGGCGGAGCCGAAGCAGAAGUCAGGGCCGGUGACGCACGCAUCGGGCACUCACGAAACUUAUGACCAGCCUGCCCACAUUGGUAACAUUUCCCACGUUGAUCGCAUUCGUGGGGUUGAUGGUUUCCACCACAAAUGGGACAGCGAGGAGGUCGACGAUCCUUCCACGGCUUCCGCGGAUACUUCGGGGGCUUCUUGUACUUUGAUGAUCCACCGGGACUGCUAGCUGCCCGUUUCUUAUCUGCACCCUUAUCAUUCAGCUCACGCUCCGCACGCAUCUUUGUAAUUCCUUGCUCUACCCAAAGGGCUCUAUCAAACACCUCCGUAAAGGUCUUCAACCUUAAGGGUUGCAUCGCCGCAUAGACCUCCCGCCGAAGUCCACGCUCGAAGCAUCCUGCCUUGUCUUCGUCAUUCCGAACCACAUUCGGAACGCAAUUCACAAUGUGAGAGAACUCCCUCUCGUAUUCUCGAAUAGUGCGAUUCCCCUGUUUGAGGUUUCGGAAUUGCUCCUCCAUUUUCUUCUUAUCACUGUCUGGAAAGUGAACGCCAUAAAGCAACCCUCGGAACUCCUCCCACAUCAUCGGGGGUAAUGUAGGGGAGCGAUUCUGACGAGUCGCCUUCCACCAAACACGGGCGGACUUCUCAAGGCAAUGCACAGCUAGGUGCACCUUAUCUUGCUCAAGGGUGUAGAGAUCCUCGAACAAUUUCUCCAUUGUAUCCACCCAUGACUCCAUCUCCCACGGGUCACCCGACUCCCCGUUGAAAAUAGGCGGAUUAAACUUCUUGAAGGCGGUGAGGCAAGCGAGAGCUCGGUCCCUCUCGGCCUCCAACGCCGGAUUAAUAGGAGUCGAAGUACUUGACAUCGCCGGGCAAGUACCCGCCGCAACGCCCGGUGGCGCAGUGUACGCCAUCGGUGGUGGUGCUGCCGCACCCGCCCCCUCAACUCCAGCAGGGGCGCGCACAGGUGAGAUGGGCGGCUGCUGAGUGACAGGUGUCGUCGCCGCCUGUCGGGACACCAACUCCCGAAGUAGCGCCAUCUGUUCUUCUUGUCGCUGGGAGGCCUCAGCCAACUGCUGAGAAGCUUCAGCUUGCCUCCGUACCACUCCAACAAGAGCGGCAACUUGAUCCCGCAAAUCUUGUAUCUCAUCGGAUACCGACGACUCAGGCACAUCAAGAGGCGGUGCCGAAUCAGGAGUGGGUACCAUUGGGGGUGGCCUUCCACGUCUCAUUAUGUCCUGAAAGAAACAACACCCCCGGUUAAACUCCACAAAUUCAUAACUAACAUUAGUUAGUAACACCAACGGGACAAUCCAAUUAGGCGAAAGUUAGGCAAGGGUGCUCAUUCUCUUCUCUCGGCAUCAUGUUGUCGGCCGCCAACAUGACCACCUCAAGUUAAGGAUAAAUCACACCCUGAAUCCAUCUCUAAGAUCCAUUAGAGACAUACAUCACUACUUGACCCAAUCACUACACUUCCGCCACUAACAAAGAGUCAUCGUCACUCACGUCCCUAUGUCCCUAAGGCCAUAAGUCCUAAGGUUUCCUAGGUCCUCCUAGACCGUUCUCCGCUCUGAUACCACCUCAAUCUGUCACGACCCGACACCGCCAAUUUGGACAGUUCGGGCCCAAACAGACCCGCCGAACGGACAGAGUUUCCCCUGCUCGCCCGAAGCGUAACAAAGUCUAUGCAUACAUAUCCAACAAGAGAUGUUAGCAUUCAACAUUGAGAGAGGCAAUCACAGAAACGAGAGAAUUUAAACUAUCUAUUUCAUUACUUGUUCACACACAAGAACCAUUACAUAUUUCACUUGACUUCUCAUACAUACAACCAAAAUGCCAUCCCUCAAAUACAUUACAUUUCUUCACAAAAGGGUUUUACAUAUCAUUCUUUUCUUUUUUAUUCUCGAGGGUAGGGAGCUAACGCCGGUGAUCCACUCUAUCUACUGCGCGACGCCCUUGCCGCGAUCCUCGACACACGCGCUCGAACUAGGCUCUGCAAAACAGGGUGUGAGAACUAUUAUCCAUAGUUCCCAGUGGGUUCGGCCGCCGACCCCGCCGAUUUUCCCACUAGGUCCAAGAAAGGCAUAGAAACAAUAAAGAGGUCAACAUGUCAAAGGAAUAAUAGAUAUAACAAUAAGCCUACCUUGCUCAUCCACAUCUAUAUCAUGCUCGAAUGUGUAGCUAUGCCUUUACAAAUUAUGUCAACAAGUACAUGUUUAAGUUCUCUCAUGUAUGCAACUAUAUACGAAAUGUCAUGAUCAUGCCUGUGUCAAAUCCAAACGAUUCGCCCGAAGGUCGAAUCACUCGCUACACAUACUGUCACGUGACCGUGACCGUCUGCCGAGGGCGCACCGUAGUGACUCUCUCCCCCGUUCCAAUCUCAAUGUGAUUCAACUCCGGAGCUCACUGCUUGGGAGGCGCGACCAUCCACAAGCUAUAACAGACAAUGCGAGUAUGAUCAAGUCCUCUCAUUCGAGGGCCACGUGAGUACCAUAUCCCUAUCCUCACAAGACAUGCUUUGCUCAGGUCGGCCACAUAUGCAUUAGUUUCCAAUUCUCACAAUGUCAUUGGUUUACAUACUAGUUCCUCAUGAAUCUAGUCUAUUCUUACAUCAUAUUCACAUGCAUAUGUCCACUAGCAAUUCAUACAACAUGUACAAUAUUUAUAUUGGCAUCAUAUAAAAGUUCUCAUGCAACAUACAUGUCCACAUCUAUCUCAACAUCAUGCAAAUAGAUAUUCCUACAAGUAUCAUGCAAUCAUGGAUCAUUAUCCCUCACACUAAGCAUGAAAUUACCACAACUCAUAGGAUUCGCACUAUUCUAUGCAUGAUGAUAUAUGAUCAAUAAUAGUAGAACUCAGACAUAGAAUGAAACUCGGCUAUUUCGGAUAGCACCCCCCACCUCGUGAUGUCAACACGAAGCGAGUAGCCUAGCAGCACGAUUUAUGGCCGAUGAUUUCUUCCAACUGUGACAAUUGAAGCAAAUAGAAUUUUCUUCACUUUGACCACCAUCGGCUCAACGGAAUCUCAAUCCGAAUGAUCCUCCGCAUCGGUUUUACCUUCAAUUGCGGAAACAUAUGAUCAAUUGAGAUUAAAACCUCUCAUGAUCAAGAGCUCUCUUUCAAAAUCCUAGAGGUCACUAUUGCAAUAAUAUACUAUAUAAAUUCAUGAUUCAAGCAAAUAGCAACCUAACAUUAACUAGGAUUUCCAUCUAGCUAGAUUCUAAGAGAUUUAAACCCAUCUCUAGCUAUAUGCCAUUAGAGCCCAUGAAGCUUACCUUAAACAAGCUUUCUUCUCUAAUCCAAGUGAUGAAGAAGAUGAAGGAAGUAGCUCAAUUCCAAGCCUUCUUCUCCACUAAGCUUGCUUCACCACCAAGCAACUCCAAUUAGUAUUCUCUAAUCCUCUCUUUAGCAAAUCCUCUUUUUAGCAAAUCCUCUUUUUGAUAAAGAGAAAGAGGGAGAGAGAAAGAGAGACCACAAAGACAAAGAGAGAAAGAGAGAGAAAACCCACUCUCUCUCUCUCCUACGGUUUGGGAAAAAGGGGGCAAGGAUUCACUCACACUCAUAGGAAACUUGCCCUCCAAGUAAACCCUUGAUUUGCACAAUUACACUUUAGUCCCUCUCAUAACAUAGGGAGACUUGCCCUCCAAGUAAUCUCUUAUACAUAGGAAACUUGCCCUCCAAGUAAAACUCUUUUACUUGCACCAUUCCACCUUAGCCCCUCUCAUUUGCACAAUUACACCUUAGCCCCUCUCAUUUGCACAAUUUUAUAUACUUUUAUUUACUCUUAUUUCUAUAUUAAAAAAAUUCGGUACACUACAUGUUUGAACUAGUGACGCCAAUAAAAGUUGUAUUUAUGUUUUAUUUUGGGACUAUGGAAAUAAAUUAAACACCCUAGCUAGAAUUAAUAGAACUCUUAAGCAGUAAAUAUCCCUUGUAUUCAUUGUGCAACUAAUUUGAUAUAAUUGGAGCACACCACAUUAAUUGUAGUAGUUUGGUCUAAUUCAAUUAAACUUUGCAUAAUCUAGUUGAUAUAGUGUCACGACCCGACUCCCAGGGAGUCACCCAUCAAAGAACCCAUGGUUCUAUUAACUAGGUACAAUUGACCCAAUAACUUAUUGGAGUUAUUGGGCCGAAAUCAUCAGCCCCAAAUACUUAAAACUCUGUUAUUAAGUUCGGCCUUUCCAACCUUAUGUACGCCCAUUUCUAGUCAUUCAUAUCCAAUGUGGAACUAUUUUUAAUUAAGCCUUAGAUGCCACAAACUCCCCCCUCUUUUAUGCCCUGACAACCUUAUCGAUCUCAAUCAUACACACUACCCAGAAUCACCAGGCGUUCUGGGACGUAUCCACGUAGCCUUGUCGCUGGUGAGUUGGUUUUGAUACCAUAAUUGUCACAAUCUGAUUCCUACGGGAUCAGCAAUCACAAAGCUUAUGGCUUGGUUAACCGAGUACGUAUUCUACAUCCAAUAACUCGUUGGGCCAAAUCUAUCAGCCCAAAAUGCUUAUUAUAUAAGCUAUAUUAUUAAGUCUAAUGUAUCUAACCUUAUACAGUCCACACAUAACCAUUCCUAUCUGAUAUGAACUAUACUCAAGCCUUGAAAUGCCACAUACUGAAACACCAUAAACCUUCAAUAUAGAAUUCAAUACACUUAUGCUUGAAAUUAAGUGAGAGAGAUAAAUCUUGAUUGCACAAGUACUGCACUUGCUUUAAUAGAAGAGUUAAUUAGCUUAAAACGUUACAUUAGUAAGUGCAUAGGUUUCAGCUCAACUAGUUAUUGUGUAACUUUAGGCUUAAAUAUUAUGCAGUUAUAUUAUCAAGUUCGUCUAAAUGUUUCUCGUACAAGCAAGUUGGGCUGAACUUUAAAUUAAUUUACUGUUUUUGGUAAUAAAAAAACAUAUAUGUGAACUACAUUCGUGGGGGUGUCCUAGCUAGCUAGCUAGCGUAUGCCAGCUAAAGUAAGCAACAUGGGAACAAUAUAUGCAAGCGCUUCUCAUCAUCAUCAUCAUCAUCAUCAUCAUAUAUAUAUAUAUAUAUAUAUAUAUAUAUAUAUUCAUAUAUAUAUAUAUAUAUAUAUAUAUAUAUAUAUAUAUAUAUAUAUAUAUAUAUAUAUAUAUAUAUAUAUAUAUAGGAUUAAAUCUAUUGAGAAUUAGCUCAUAAGAACAUGCCAACCCUUAAUAAAUGUUGUGUCCACAAAAGGGCCAACAUACAUGUUCCAUUACAAGACAAGCUUCGUUGUCUUUCAACCUGGUAGUAUGAAGAGCUCAAUGUGCAGCGGUACGAAGAGAAUAAUGUGUGCUGUCCGUGUAAUUUAUUGUAAUGAUAACAUUUUACUACUCGAUAUAUGUAUAUACAACUCCUUUGUUUAUUUACAACAGUUCAAAUAAUUGAUUGGAUAUACAUGCAUGACUUUUCUUAUAUGCUUCUCACUUUCUCUUCUAUCUUCAUGGCCCCAUAUGUCUAGUAAAGCUAAUUGGCCAUUCAUUCAUGGAAUCAUGGCCCCCUUUGUCUAGUAAAGUUUUAUUUAGAUGUAAACAACUGUUGCAAUAUGUAAACAUAUAUAUAUAGAGAGAGAGAGAGAGUCCGGCUACUAUAUUCUUAUGAGUACGAUCGCAUUCGUACUCAUCAGUUGUUUUCGAUGAUAGAGUUUCUAAAUUGACGAUCCAUACUGUUAAAUAUUAUCUAGAGAAUUUAAAACUUAUAGAAAUCAAAUUUUAUAAUUUUUCGAUAUCAUUUACCUUACGAUCAAAAGCUCACAAAAUUGACAAUUUUUAACGGCCGAUAUGAGAUAUUUGCUAGUUUAACGGUGAAAAAAAAUCGGAAUAUAUAGGUUGAAUUUUUUAUAGAAAAUUCUAUUCACUACCUAAAUAAAGAUCAAUAACUCCGAUCUUAAAUUGAAGGAUCCGAUCAUCCAUUUUUAUUAUGUCGUUCGAUUUUAACCGUCAUUUUAUACCCGCUUGAUAGACUUUAUAAUGAUUUUGAAAAAUUACGAAAUUUAUUUUCUAGAAGUUUCAAAUACUCUAAAUUAUGUUUAACGGUGUGGAUCGUCGAUUCUAUAGAAAGUGCGCAAUUCACGUAUCCUCGGCCAUCACUAUGCACAUGAGCUGUCUCGCGUAGCACACCAACUAUCAUAUGGCUCUCAUGCUACCAUUGGGUUGGGCUCUUAAACAUUGCUAAACCACAGAAUUAAUGAGGACCAACCUCACACAUGCUUAAGAGUUCACUCUUAAAGCGGGAUAACACUAACCCAAACGUGAACGCUCGCUCUCUGCAGCGCUCUUAGCUCCAUCCGGAUGCAUCCCAACUACUAGAUACCUAGUGGACACCUCGGCUCCUUUGACUGCAUUCGCCAAACCGGCUAUUGAGACAGCUACUCAAGCUGUACCUCAGUGCUUGCUCAUCAAGCACACUUAAGUAACACUCUUGCUAACUACAGCCGGCACGGAAUACUCUCUCUUCUGUUUCACCAGAAGUCCUCUGUGAACCUACACUUACCGGGGCACCAAACCCCUGACUACGAGGAAAUUCCUAACUUAACCUCUACACCAUCUCACACGAUAGAGCACUAUCUCGUUUCUAAGCUAACUCUAGCCUCGUGAGCGCUAAUCAGCUACGUAAUACUCUAACGAAAACUCGUUACGACCACUAGUUCAGCCUCACUUUAAAAGGCUAACUCGUUUCUUACCAAGAAACGUAUUAUCAUUACGUGAAUAUCUCAGUAUGCACCGUUUACACCCAUUCAAACCAGAGUGUAAGGGGCAUUACCCGGAACUUCAACCAAGUUUUUCCCGUUUUUCGGAAUGGUUUUAUCUUUUACGCAAUCGUGGGAGUUAGCGAGCUCUUCGACUUAGCUCCAUAUCUAACUUAAAGCGCCUGUUUUAAGAAAAUUCCCCACGUCUUACAUUGUAUGGCUUUAUAUCCACCUUAUAUAACCUGAAAUCGGUUUAACCGGUUUCACGGGCUUUCUUUAUCAACGUGUUCAAGACAAUUGUAAGGUUGGUACAACCUUCCCAAUUUUUCCUCAAGAUUUUCUUAAUCUUUCCAAAAUCACUAUUACCCUCGAUUUAUCUCAGUUUUUCUACGCUUUUUAUCUUUAGAUCUCGAACACAUGGCCAUGGUACACUACCGACAUGGCCAUGUUGGUAGCGAUUGGUUCCCUCUUUCGAGAGCCCAAACUCGACCUUUUUCCGACACAUGGCCACUGUCCUAAAGCACAUGACCAUGUCACGUGGCAUCUGGUGGCUUUUUCCGACAACAUGGCCACUGUCCUUGGGCACAUGGCCAUGCCACGUGGCACCUGGUGUCCGCGUCGGACGAUGUCUUAAUCUCUCAACCUCCCGGAUUGACGUUAACAUCGUCGGGUUUAUGCUGGGUUUGGGAGAGUAGAGAAGUGUCGUCGUUCCUCUAGUGAGAGAGAGAGUAAAAGAGAGGGAGAGAGAGAGAUCUUUGAGAGAGAGUUCCACCCUAUCUCCACCUAACCUCCUCUUGAACACCCAAAACCUCGAACCCUUCCUAGUUCUUCGAGAGGAUGUUCAACCUGAACCUACUAGAACACUGGUUCCACUCCAAAAUACACUUCAUUUCGGAUCCCGAACCAAAACACGAGAUUCCUCGAUUCAAAACUUCGAAGAUGUUCACAUCUUUGUAAGAUUACCGGUAUCUUGUGUACUUUUGGUUCCAAAAAGUACCACGAGAGUACCACCUAACGAUCCCAGGCACAAACUACGGGAUCCUUACCAAGAUUACCGAUUACCUACCAUAAUCUUUCGAAGGAUCAACUAAGAUUCGAUCAUAAACGAAUCCCUGUUCUAUCCUCUUUUAGGUUAUACUGUAACAAUCCCGUGGUUUAAACCCCGAAAACGGAGGCCCACAAAAGCUCCAUUUAACUGGAGAACCUUUGAAUUAACCCCCAUAAAGGCGGCGCAACCACGCGAGCCAAACCACUUUGCUUUUCAGAUGCGCUUCAAUAACUGCUUUGCCAAUCAAAACCAUGUCUAUCGGCGUCGCGCGCCUUAUCUGCAGACUUUUAGUACUCUAGCCUAGGCCUCAUAGCACCUCAGCUCCUUAUUUGAGGUCUUAAAAGUUUAGCGCCUAACCACCGGCAAGCCCACCAGCGAGCUCUCGAGCCCGGCUUGGCCCAGUGCCCACGGCGUCCUCCGGCUAACAUUCACUGCUAUUCGUUAGCCUCGCAUAAAGCUCCACCCAACACAAAUGGCUUCGCUGAUCCAGCGGACAUACAGAUUCUAUGUAUUAAUAGUAACUACGUGCAUCAUCAUCGAUCACAAUCUUAUGUACUUAUGUAUUUUACUUACAAUACAAUUCGAUGGUAUAAAACAUAUACCUAUGUUACAUUCUUACGAUUCAUGUACGAAUCUUACUAUAAUCGAUUUCUGUACUCUAUUUCCCAAUAACGUACAAUUGUAUUUCAUCUUUCGUACGAUCACUAUUACGGAUUACCGUUCAACUCUUACUAUUCAUUUCUUGAACACAUAUACCUGUAUUUACGUGGAUAUCUAGCUCACCGUAACUUGGAUCACAGUUCUUGUAUCCAACUUGUUUACACCGUACUUGGAAUACAAUCAUUUGUAUCAAACCUGUUCUCUUUAUUACUUGGAUCACAACUACUUGUAUCCAAUUUAUCCCUACCGUAAUUUGGAUUACAAUCUCUUGUAUCCAACACUCUAUUUCUAUUGCUUGGAUCUUAGUGUACUUGGAUCCACCCGUUUCCAUUACUUGGAUUUCAAUUAUUUAGAUCCGAUACUCAUACCUCCGUUGCUUGGAUUUUAUAAUUGAAUCGAAGUCAUUUCCGAACCUGGAUCUAUCCAGUUAAAAUAUCCCUAUUCUGGUUGGGAAUACACUACACUUUACCUAAGGCCUUAGGGUUUCGAUUUACCUAUGUGGCUCUCCCCACACCCCACACACGCUGCUAAAGCGGCGGGUACCCGAUAUCUUGGUAACAGCACCGCACACGCUGCUAAAGCGGCGGCCUACCAAUCGGCCAAUCACCUAGUAUGGCGAACAACUGACUUAGUAGCUGUACCGCACACGCUGCUAAAGCGGCGGCCCACCGAUUCAGUACUGGAUCCGACAACAACCCACUCCACGCUACGCAAGCGGCGGUCUGCCGAUCCUGUCCUCAUGCCAUCCGACACCAAUCGACUCCUCGUACACUCUCAAGGAAGUGGAUCUCGAUCUGUCACGCGCCUGAUAGGUGCUAACUAACUGAAAUCUGGCUCAGCUCACCGUAUCAACCGAUUCCAUUUCAUUGGAAUCCUUUCUUGCCGUUUACGAUUUCAUAUAGUUGUUAGUUCUUACAGUUUCUUAUUUCUUAGCGGUUACUCAUAUUACAUUUGUCCCUUUACUACAUUUCUUAUCGAUUACUUACGCGUAUCGAUUUAUUCAUUUCUUGCCGAUGUACAUUUCUUACUGAUUAUUAUACAUCAUCUUAGUUCAUUUGAUGAACGUACUCAAUGUCCAAAACGUAUAGCGUAAAACACUCCGUACAAUAGACAAUCAACAUAUUAUUGUACCACUAUAUAUAUAUACAUAUAUAUACACAUAUAUAUACACAUACAUACACAUACAUACACAUAUAUAUACAUAUAUAUAUACAUAUGUAUAUAUAUGUGUAUGUAUGUGUAUAUGUAUGUGUAUGUAUGUGUAUAUAUAUGUGUAUAUAUGUGUAUAUAUAUGUAUAUAUAUAUGUAUAUAUAUAUACAUAUAUAUAUACAAAAACCUGAUUGUACUAACGUCACGGAGGAACCUGGAUAACCAGCUCGAAAAGGGAACCCACCGGCAUGGGUGACCCUUAGUAACUCAACCAAGAGUGGAGUGCAACAAAACCCCACAAUGUCCAUGUCUGCACUCGCCGCGCCGCCGCGCUCCGUUCCCGCAUCUAAGCAUCUAUCGCGGGAUGGGGUCUCUGGCUCCAUCGUCAAGGGGUCAGUCGAAUCGAUCCCCAAGCUUUCCCUACUGUUGUUGGUUGAACAUAAUUUAACAUUUCUUAAACAUUAACAUAAACCCUCAAAUUACAUCUUCUUUUUACCUUGACACUACAUGUUACAUUCACUCUACACUUAUGAAUAUUACCGUUCAUCUAAAUACAAAAGCUGUGAAGGAAUACGUUAGAACUAACAAUAGUCAAGGACCAACCUUGUAAACAUAACAUGUCCAACGCUGCGGAAUUUCCCCUUUGAGACAGCAAGCCGCCAGACAGCCGCAUGGGCUUGGACUGGUUUAUCCGACCCGUACCUCGCACUGUUGAAACUGGUAAAAGUGGGCUAUAUAGUAUGAUAAGUUGAUUCGUGGGUGAGUUGAGAUUAAUUCCUUAGUGGUAGUAGGAUUAGCGUAUCGGGAAGUAGGUUACCGUUUUUUGGAUUAUCGUUUACCACCUAUGAUAAUUAUCAUAUCAUCUGAUUAAGAGAUAUAUAUAUAUGUAUAUAUAAAGGUCGAAAAGCUCGGAUUAAGCUCGCUCGGGCCAUUAUGAGUUCGAGUCGAACUUUAAUUAAAGCUCGGAUUUAAAUCCGAGUUCGAGUUGAACUUUAAUUAAACUCGGCUCGAGCUCGCUCGGCUGAUAGCUCGGCUUGCGCUCAGCUUGUGCUCGGCCGAGCGAGUAAACGGCCGGGAUCAAUUGCCGCCUGAAAUCCAAACCGGUAAUUUUCAUGAAAAAUAAAAUCACCGAAAAAUAAAAGGAUAAUUAUAAAGCACAUAAUCACCGUUUAAAAUAUAAAAUGGUGAUAACAUAAGAUCACAAUAAAAUACGUAUAAUAAACAUCUUCAAAAAUUUUAUCGACAUUUUAUAUAAAUUAGUAUCAUCGUUAUCAAAUUAAAACGGUGAUUUAGUACAACCAAUGUAAUCACCGGUAUAUACAUAGUUAUUUAAAACUCAUAUAAACACCGUCAUCAAUGAAAACCAACGAUUUUCACCAGAACUAAAUUUACAGUAAAUUAAAAAGACAUUUCAAAUUCUUAUUAUCAUCGUUAAAAAAUAAAACGGUAAUAAUGAAUCUCGUAUUACUUAAAAACAAAGUUUUUAUAGAGUUUAUAAAAAAUAUAAAAAAUAAACUUUAAUUUAAUUUUAAAAAUUGAAAUUGAAAGUGAUUUUUAUAUUCAACUUUAAAUCUUUAAUUGAAAAAUCGAAAUCUAAGAUUAAACUCGAAUUUAUGUUUUAUUUUUAAAAAUUAAAUUUUAAAUAAAGAUUUAUAAUUUAUAAUUUUAAAUAUAUCUAAAAUUUAAUUUAAAAUAUCUAAUUUUAACCUUAAAUUUAUCAUUAAAGUUCACGUUUAAACUUAGUUUGGUUUUUAAUUAAAAUAGAAAACUUAUCAGGUUAGUCAAAAUUUAAAGUUAAAAAAAUUUUUAAUUAUAAUGUAUCUUUAAGGAUUAAUUCACUAUUAUUUUUAGUUUAUAAUAUUUAUAAUCCCCACUUUCACGUAAAUAAGAAAUUUUUAGAUCUCAGGACACCCGCAACUCCUAUUAAUUAAUUAGAAGAAACGUCGGCGUGGGUUAUCAACCAUGCUCUAAUGAUUAAUUGGUAUAUAUAUAUAUAUAUAUAUAUAUAUAUAUAUAUAUCAACUCGAUCUUAUGAUAGCCAUCGUUUGGCCGAGGCAACGGUGGGUAAACAAAAACUACUACCUCGGAGGUUUAGCUACUAGUUGUGGCAACUUGUACUAGAUAUGGCGAAUUUCAUAGAUCUUUAGUUUAAAGUACGAAAAAGCUAUAAUAAGAGACCAGGUAGCCCAUACGCGUUUUUACUUGUCGACUUUUACUUAUAUGAGAUUUUUCACUACUAUCCUUAAAAUAUUAAUUCUAGCUCUCAUAUCUAGAACAAAAUUUAUCAAAUUUCUUAAAAGAUUGGUUUUAAGUUAACUAAACCUAUCAAAAUGUGGCAAUUUACACUUUUGUGGAGUAUAGAUGGUAAUUUUAAUGUUUAAAACUUUGGGCAACUAGUAAUCCAGUUACUAUAGGUUUUCUAAACUUUAAACCAAAGAUUUAUGAAGUUCACCAUAUUUAGUACAAGUUGCCACGACUAGCAGCUAAGCCUCCGAGGUAGUAGCCUUUGUUUACCCACCGUUGCCUCGGGCAAACGAUGGCUAUCGUAAGGUCGAGUUGAGAUAUAUAUAUAUAUCUCAGCGGAAACAUGAGUAUUCAACAAAAACUACUAUCUCGAAGGUUUAGCUGCUAGGUAUGGCAAUUUGUAAUAGAUCUCAUAAAUUUUGAAGAUCUUUAAUUUAAAAUAUUAAAAAGAUAUAGUAAUGGAAUGCUAGUUUUCGAGUGUUUUAACUAUUAAAAAUUGCCGGCCAUACUUUAUAAACGAUCAAAUUGCCACAUUUUCUUAGCCUUAUAUAACUUAAAAACUAGCUUUUAAGAUAAGUGAUGGAUUUAUUUCUAGUUAUUGAGGCUAGAACUUAACUUCCUAGGCUAGUAGGUAAAAAUCCUACAGCAAGCUAAAACUGGUAAAUAAAAUAUGGGCGAACUACCUGAAAUAUUACUAAAGCUUUUUAAUGCUUUAAAUAAAAGAUCUUCAAAGUUUAUGACAUCUAGUACAAAUUGCCAUACCUAGCAGCUAAGCUUUUGAGGUUGUAGCUUUUGUUGAAUACUCAUGCUCCCCGAAAUAUGAGUAUUCAUCUGGACCGUUAGAGCUGGGUAUGGGCGCUCACGGGCGCCCAAUGGGCGUUUAAAUGCCCAUACCCAUGGUUGAAAAAGUUGGGUUUUUUAAUGCCCAUUUUGCCCACCCAUGGGUAAUUCGACACCCAUAAAACCUAUUGGGCGCCCAUGGGUGCCCAUGGGCGUGUGUUUAAAAAAUUAAUGUUUUAUAUAAAAAAAAUUAAUUUUAUGUAUAUAUAAAUAAAUAGGAAGGAUUUUUAAGGUUGAUAUUACAGAAUAGCACAGAAAAUAUAAUGCUUAAAUUCGAGAUUCUGAAAUUUAUAGAAAUAAUAUACAAUACUAUAAAAUUUAUUACUCAAUACAGUAUAAAAAAUUUGAAUAUCUAUACAUAAAAUGUAAAUUUUUUAUAUUCUCUUUUUUUUCAUUUUUUUUUUAACGCCCAUUAGACGUAUGGGUGGGCGGGUGGGCGCCCACCCAUACCCAUUACUACAACCGAUGGAUUUUUAAAUACCCAUUUAAAAUGAGUACGGGUUCAUUGGGCGCCCCUGUUACUGGGCGGGCGCCCAAUGGGUUGGGCGGGUAAACGGUCCAGACGAGUAUUCUCAUAUCAUCGGGAUGAGAGAGAGAGAGAGAGAGAGAGAGAGAGAGAGAGAGAGAGAGAGAGAGAGAGAUAUAUAUAUAUAUAUAUAUAUAUAUACUCACCCGACCAUACGAAUACCUUCGUGCCUCGGGAAGCAUGAAGGUUCAACAAAAGCUACAAGCCUGAAAGCUUAGCUGCUAGCCGAGGCAAUUUCAACUAGAUCUCAUAAACUUCAUGGAUCUUUUAUUUAAAACUAUAGUAAACGGAUCACUAGCUUCCCCAAGUUUUAGUUAUUAAAAUUACCGGCACCACUCGGCCAACGUUCAAAUUGCCACAUCUUUAUAGGUUUAGUGUACUUUAAAACUAUCUUUUAAGAAAUAUGGUAUAUUUUGUUCUAGUUAUUGAAACUAGAUUUUAAAAUUACAGUAUAGUAGUAUAAAACAUUCUAAAAAUAAAAGUCGGCAACUAAAACUCGGUGAAGCUAGUGAUCCGUUUACUAUAGCUUUUUAGUGUUUUAAAUAAAAGAUCUAUGAAGUUUGUGAGAUCUAGUUCAGAUUACCUCGGCUAGCAGCUAAGCUUUCAGGCUUGUAGCUUUUGUUUCACCUUCGUGCCUCGGGAGACACGAAGGUAUUCGUAGGAUCGGCGUGAGAUAUAGAUAUAUAUAUAUAUAUAUAUAUAUAUAUAUAUCUCAAAACGAUCUUAUGAUAGCCAUCAUUUGUCGAGUCUAAUGAUAGCUAAAUAAAAGCUACUAUCUCGAAGGUUUAACUACUAGCUGUGACAAUUUAUAUUAGAUUUGAUAAAUUUGAUAGACUUUUAGUUUAAAGUGUGUAAAAGCUAUAACAGGAGAACAGGUAGUUCACUUGUCUUUUUACUUACCGAUCUUUACUUAUAGGAAGUUUUUCACUACUAUGUUAAAAAUAUAAACUCUAGAACUCAGAUCUAGAAUAAAAUUUAUCAAAUUUCUUAAAAAAUUGUUUUUAAAUCAACUAAACUUGAGAAGAUAUGGCAAUUUGCUCGUUUGCGUGGUAUAGCCGGUAAUUUUAAUAUCUAAAACACUGGGAAACUAGCAAGUCAAUCACUACGGUUUUUUAGUACUUUAAACUAAAGAUCUAUUAAAUUUACCAGAUCUAGUACAAGUUGCCACGGCUAGCAGCUAAACCUUCAAGAUAGUAGUUUUUGUUUAGCCAUCAUUUGGCUCAUCAAAUGAUGGCUAUCAUCGGGUCAGUUUGAGAUAUAUAUCUUGAUCCGACAUUAUAAUAAUUAUCGUGGUUACUGAAUCACGAUAAUUCAAAAGACGGGAACCUAAUUUUAUACACGCCAAUACUACUACAUCCGGAGGAUCCCAACUCACCCACCAACCAACUUAUCAUAUUAGCUUACCUAUUUUUCUAUUUUCUCCAUUUAGAUUGCCAUCUUUUGAACUAUCGUGUUUUAUAAAGCACAGUAGCUAUCAUGGGGCCUGAGAUAUAUAUAUAUAUAUAUAUAUAUCUCUCUCUCUCUCUCUCUCUCUCUCUCUCUCUCUCAUCCCGACGAUAUGAGAAUACUCAUAUCUCGGGAAGCAUGAGUAUUCAACAAAAGCUAUAACCCGAAAAANNNNNNNNNNNNNNNNNNNNNNNNUGUAUAUAUAUAUAUAUAUAUAUAUAUAUAUAUAUAUAUACGUACAAAAAAAAAAAAACUAAUUAAACAGCCAUUGCUGAGAAUAAAGAACUGUAACUUAUGAUGGACUUAAGUACUAAUGUGGACAAUUUGAUGAAUUCGUUCAAAUUUUUAGCGUACGUAGUAUUGAAUGUAUGCUUUUCACACACUUGUUUUGUUAUUUUAGAUUUCACUAAAUGAAAGAGCUUGGCUAGCUUAUGCUAUAUAUCCAGAGUUCAUUAGUCACUCGAUAUGCAAAAAGUAGACAAAUAAUUAAGAUCAAUCUAGUGAUCGAAUGCCAAACUUUUCUUUUUCUGUAAUAAUUCUUUCUAAUUAGCCCAUAUCUAAAGGAAUAAAUAAAAUUCUCCUGAAGGAUGAGAAAACCUGCUAGGAGGGCUUAAUUUGUUUAUAUUCUUUUGGAUAUCCAUGAUAUUGAAUGAUCAAAUUAGUGUGGUAAAAUAAGCCUUUUUCUGUUAGGAUUAGGGUUUACUGUUAAAUUCUGAUAUUUGGUACUAAACUGAUGUAACAAUUUAUCAUACUUAUUCGAAUAAAUACAACUGUAUAUAUAGAUGGCUACAAAAUUAAAGUUAUAAAUAGAAGACCUCCGUCAUGAAUGAUCUUCUAAUUCCCAUGACACAAAUCGAAUCGAGGAUUACUAGUGUAGGAACCCGCGCGAUGCGGCGGAUAAAAAUUUUUAGUAAAAAUUUUUAAAAUAAAUAAACAAAUAUGGAACAUAAAAAAGAAAAAGAAGAAUAUAAGUAUAUUUGAUUGAGAAUAUUACAUAUUUUCUCAUAAAUGGUAGACCAAGAGUCACUAAAAAAAAAAAGUAAAUGUGAGUAAAUGAAAUGAAAAAUAAAGAGUCAUUUAAAAAAAUAAAAUAAAUAUAAAUUUUUAGAAAAGAGAAAAAAUGACUUAGGGCCUCCACCUCCCUCAAAUUAAGGAGAUACAUCCACAUAGGAUUUAGGCAUGAGAAUUCAUGUAUAGGUAUAGAUAUAGAUAUAGAGGUAUAGAUAUAGAUGUCCUAAUGUCUGAAGAUUCUUAAAGAACCACCUCCCUCAUGCAAAUUGAAAAGAAAAUUUUCACUUGGUGCUCUUUGUCCUUCUUUCAUGCCUUUUCCUUUCUUCGUCCUAUGAUACAUCAGAAAGGAGAUUUCAUUAGGCGCUUCUUCACUCAUAUGCCUACUCCAAUUUGUACAUGGUGCCAAGUUACUUUCUCUCCACAUUACAUAAUUCUUCUCUCUAAACGGUAUGCAUAGAUAUGAUCUGUUGGAACCAAGAUCCUUCUUUAGGAAGACGGAUCGGUAGUUUGUGAAACAACUGUUAAACUAAAGAACACUAGCAAGUGAUGAAGGGGCCUUCAAAGAGAUUUUAUAUUCUACCAAAAGUAAACAUAUAUAGUGUGAAAUAUUAGAAUAAAGCUCUUUACUUAAUUUCCUUUUUCCCUUUCAUGAGAACAACUCUCUUGCUUUCUUUUGGUGAUAAUUAGUAUGUAGGCAUCUCACACUUCAAAUGAAAAAUCACAUUCAUGUUGAGGCCAUGUGCAUGACCAAGCUUUUUAAAAUAUGCAGUUCAUGUGAUGGUUAAUUAUAUUGUUAAAGCUAAAUCUGAACACCAACGCUAGCUCUUAUACGAACUUCCUUGAAUGAUCCGAGAUACAAUAAUUGAGAGAGUAGGUCGACCUUGUUGCUUAGACACUCAGCAACAGCAAGUACCAUCUGAAGAGUACAAUUAUUAGCAUCAAUUAAUUUAGGAGUUCUCUGUCUUCAAUUGAUGAUUACUUAAAUUAAUGAAUCUGGUUGCAAUUAAAGAAUUCUUGAAUCAGUAUGUAAUAAGACAAAGGCAGCUGCUCCUAUAUAUAAUCACAACAAGAGGCUAUAUAUAUAUAUAUAUAUAUAUAUAUAUAUAUAUAUAUAUAUAUAUAUUGAUUGAUUAUGAUAAUUAACCUUGUUCACUCUUAUAGGUGUGAACAUGAGGUGAUGCACGCACAUGCUGAUGCGAUUACAACAUGCCUAAUUUGAUGGCUGAAACUUGGAGAUAAGCCAAGAAUGCAAACUCUUCAAGAGAAGGAAUCCAUGUCAGCUUUGCUUUCUUUUUUGACAUAUAUAUGUAUAUAGACGAAGGAAAAAAAAAAUCAAGAAUAAGAAAAUAUAAAUAUAUAUAUAUAAAUAUGUAUAAGAGUUGAAGCAUAUAUGUCCUUUCCCUGACUGCUUUUGGUAAGCUUUCAUGACCUACCAGUACUCAUGGAAGGAAAGAACACCCAAAAAGGAAAAACCCAUGAAUAAAUUCCCAUCAUCUCCCAAUGGAGGCAUGGGUAAGCAUAAUUAGGUUUUGGAAGAAAGAAGAUGAAAAAAAAAAAAGAAGAAGAAAAAAGGUAUGAUUUGAAGUUUCAUCACUAUGGGCAUCUUUUCUUUCAUCAUGAAAAAAAGCAGUUGCCACAUCAAGAAAACCCUCUCUCGACAAACACAUGCCAACAGAACAAUUAACUGCAGCAACAUGCUAGCCUUAAAGAAUUUACCGUACAACAAGAAAGAAUUAAUUAAGAUGAAAAUUAGAUCUCAUAAUUCACUUACUGUGGGAGGAGGUAGCUGCUAGUGAUCCACAAUUCUCCAUCUUUGGUCUCUCUUUGUAAUUUCCCACAGCUUUAUUGAACCGCAAGCAUGAGCCCACAUCUGCCUUUUCGUUUUGAAGGAUAUACAGAUGCAGUUCAAGAAAGCUGUGGAAGACUACAAAGAGGGCCAUCCAUCUAUCUAUAAUCAAGUCCUCCUCCCCCCUACCACACCCCCCACCCCCCUCCCCCCGGGAGGGAGGGAGAGAGAGAGAGAGAGAGAGAGAGAGAGAGAGAAGAGAAGAGAAGAGAGGGUCGAUAAUUGGGAACAUAUAUAUAUAUAUAUAUAUAUAUAGGAGAGUGUAGAGUAGAAUACACAUACGUGUAGGUGUGUCGGUGAGGAAGGAUUGAAAGAAGAGGAGAGAUCUACAAUUAAACCUAAAAAAAAGGGGAGUUCUAAAACCUGCAAGGGAAGGGAAGGGAAGAGGGAUGGGUAGUGUAGGCUUAUUUAGAGGAGAAGAAGAGGAUAGAAGGGGUAUUUAUAGAGGGGGAUGAGAGAAGGGUUUGUGGGGGGUUGGGUGAGAACUAAGGACCCAAUCCCGAGAAGAAUAUAGGCCUGAGCCGAAGAAACUGAACCCCCUUUUUCUUUUUUUUUCUUUUUUUUUUUUUUUUCUUAAAAGAACCCCGCCCUCCCUGCAAAGCAUCCUCCAUGCACUGGUAAAACUCAGAGGAUGAUUAAAAUUCUGAGCGUAAGUUAAUAACAAUAUUUCAAUCUAACCUUAUAACUGCCAGCAUAUUAACUGGUAUGAAGUGAAAUAUUUUGUUAACGUAAAUGCACUUUCCGCUUUCCCAAUAAGAGAUUGAUCGCUAUCAUUUUUAUUAUUAUAAAAUUAGCUGGUUCGUAAACUGAUAAAUCACAGUAAAUACUGUUUUCACAAUAACGUAUAUAUAUGGCAAAGACAAAUAAAAAAUUCUAUGCCACAAAUAUUCUAGAAAAUUGAUCUCACUAAAAAAUAAUAAUAAUGAAAGAGUAACAAAAAAAAUGUGAAAGUUUAAUCUUCAAUAGAAAAGGCAAUCAAUUAUUAUAUAAAUGGUGAAAGAAAUUUUGAAUUGUGAUGUGAACAAAUUAAGUAUGCUAUUGGUGAUUGAAAUUGAACCUUUAAUUUUUAUUUCUUGAUGCGUCUUUUGCUUUGCAGUGAAUUUUGGGCACCUGUAUUACCACUUCUUUCCUAAAUUAUUUUUUUAUGGAAAAGAAAAAAGUAAUGCUCUUCGUGGGAUAGAUUUAAAGAGCUAAAGAAGAAGACUUUUGUGGUCAUCAAUCCAGAUUUUAAUUUUUAAUUACAAUUCGGUGGGAACAUCGCCGAUUCUUUAUUGUUAUGCACUAUGAUGUAAUAAAAUUCACUUUAAUUUAUUGGUUCUCGAGGUGGCUAGGUAAUGGCCAUCUAAUCAAAACCCACCGCGCUACCGUGUCAGUCUCUAGUACAUGAUGAAUACAAUAUAUCGACAAAGAUUCUAACUAUUAAUUUAUUUAUAUCUAUACUACUUAUAAAAGUGAGAGUUUUAAAUUUUUUUUCUUUUCAAAAAUAUUACUAUCUUUUCUACUAAUAUUUUAAUAUCCAGUAAUUUUUAGCCAAUCAUUUCUGUUAGGAUUCGUCCAUAUUGGACUUAUCUAAAACAUUUCAAAUCCAUAUGGGAUAAAAAAUAAAUAUUUGUAAUUAUCUGUUAUAUUCAUAGUCCACAUGGGAUAAGAAAUAAAUCUAACAGAUAAAUCAUAAUCGGUUUAAAUAUCUAUUUAUGAGAGAUUUAGUUAGAAUAUGACUAGAAUUAACAUCUUCCGUAUGGACUAUAAAUACAUGAAGUAUUGACCACAUAUAUGAUCUUGGUAAUCAUAAUAUAUUCCGCUACAAAAGAGGUAUGAAAAAAUCUAUGUGAUUUUUGCGAAUUGUUCAUUGGAUAUUUAAUUAUUUUAAUCAACAGUGGUAUCAGAGACAUACCGUGUUUGUUUUCGUUCGAUAAUUCGUUUCUUUGACAUCGAAUAUAUUUUUAAUUUGUUAAAAAUAUAAAAAUAAUAUCCGGUGAAGUUUUAAAUCACAAUUGGUAGAUCAACCUGUAAUAUACUGAACUUUUACAAAUUGCGGAGUUCGAGUAUGUGGAAUGGUGUGUGGAUCAAUCCUACAUGUUCUAAAAGGUUAGACCAAGUUUUUGAACAAGUUAGAGGAUGAUUGGAAUGCUAAAAGUGAGAAAGUGCAUUGAACUGGCGAAAAUCAGCAUUUUCUGCUUGCUUUACCGGUACAGCCAUCACCUUGUACCGGUACAAGCUGGCAGAUUCGUGGCAGCAAGGUUAGUUUUGUAAUUUCACAUUUUGAUCCCUAUCUACUUGACCCAGCACGACCUGGGAUGUUCAGUGAAGGGUGCUUGAGUUCAGAAAAGCUUCUUUUCCCUUCUUCUCUCUCUCUCUCUAGGGUUUUUCUCUCUCUACGNGUUUCUCAUAUGUUAGGUUUUAGGGUCGUUUUCCUCUUCUUCAUUCUUGAUAUUGUAGACCUAGUAGUUGAGUAUAUGUUGUGUCCCAUGUGUUUUUAUAGACAUGUGUCCAUCAGUGAGAUAUGUUACCUGUAGUGGGAGCCGGCAUCGGGCUCAUCGUUCCACUAGCUGAUCGUGCGAGGAUCGUUUCAGAUCGAUCUGCGCUGAGGGAACGGUGCUAGGGAUCGGAGAGGACGUCUACCGAGACAUUUUUGUUGGUGGUUUUCCCGCACUCUUGAUAAUUGUUAUCAAGGGUCACCCAUUCGGCGGUCGGAGCCGCUUAAUGUGGUGAUCCGAGUACUACAUGACUUUCAUUCAUUUUCGUUAUUCACGUACGAUAUCUUUAUACGUAACGAUUGGCCAUUGUCCGUACAUAGGUUGUACAUUUGUACUAAAGACGUCAUUACUUAGUUGACUUAUUAUCUUCAUAGCGUUGAUGAUAUUUGUACUUGUAUUUGUAUUAGUUUCUUCACAUUCAUGAUGACAUGUGAUGUUGACUAUGAGUAAGUAAUGAUAGUAAUAAGUGAUCCUGGAUGGGUUCCAUCAGGUCGAACGCGGCGCGGAUUACCGGGGCACCAUCAUAUGUGAGGGGUGCCGUUAGGUGAAGCCGUGGGUUAGGGCGUGCCCGCUCGUUGACAGCGCAUCCGGUUGAGGCCUCACGGCCGAACAUCCCUCGAUGGGAGUGUUCGCACACGCUUACUCGUGCUACCGUUCGUUCGUUUCAGGUAACAGGUGUACAGUGUUAAAAGUAUAAAAGUAACGUUCCAAGAAUGGGAGCUAGGAGACUAGCCUUACAGUUAUGUGUUUAUCCUUGUUUUCGAUCAUAGGUGAUCUAACAUUUGUACAUUACCAUUUCGAUUUAGUGUAUCGUAAUAUUAGAAAGGUGAUCGUACCGUGAUAGUUGUAUCAGUACUCGUACAGUAUCAAGAGAUGCAAUCUCAGUUCUCUUACAGUAACAAGAGAUGAAAUUUCACGUAGGAUGUGAACAAGUAUUCAGUAAGUUGACUUAACUUAUACUUAUCUUUAUGAAAGUACCUAUUCACAAGAGAUGAAAUAUCUCUAAAGUAAGAUAAAUUCGUAGUUUGUAGUGCUACUAUACAAAGUUUAAGAGAUAGUCAGUGUAUUCGUGAUUUACGUGGAUACGCUAAUAAGAUAUCUAUGUAUAUCUUGUAUCCCCUCGAGGUGAACGAGACCAAUCCAGGCUGGGUGGAUCAUGAUCCGAGGUUGAUAAGUGUUCUUCAGGGUGUUAACCGAGUUGCUUCGGGGUUUCGACGACUUUUUUGUUUGCAGUUCUAACUUAAUUUAGAUACCGGCUUUACAGGCUAAAGCCGAGUUAAGUGUAGAGCAUAGUUCAUCAUUGUAUUUAGCGACAAAAUCAAGUGAAAUCAUGGAGGUUAAUUCAGAGAUUUCCGAAGGGUUUCGGUUGGUUCCUACUGGGUUUCCAGCCAGCUUGAGGGCGACACUAGUUGUGGUUGUGCUGUAGUUUUAGUAGUAUAUAAUUGUUUAUAUCAGCCUUAGAACGCUUAAGUCAAAAGAUUGACUUUAAGGACGAAUGGAGUCCAAUCUUAUGGAAGGUUUGGUCGAAGAUUUUCAUGUUCAAGUCGAGUUGCUCUGAGCUUCUGGACGACGCUUCUCUUUUAAGGUUUAACGUAGUUAUUAGGCGCAUAUCAAGGCUAAUUCGAAGUAUUUACCGAUUUAUAAGGUGAAUUCGAAGUUUCAUCGAAUAGGGACCAGAUUCUUCCAAUUUAGUGUCGAUUAAUAGAGUAAAAAUUAACGACUUUAGAGUCGGAUCGUGUCGUUCUUCGUUUUUGGGCUUUAAUAAUGAGUUUAGCAGCUUAUCUUGCAGCUAUUGCCGCUUUCACUCAGCGAAUGGAAGAGUUCGACGGUUGGUCACUGGACGACCAGGUCCCGACGCUUUUGGACAGGUUUUAUGAGAGAGUGUGCAGGUGCAUUCGAGACGCUGCGAGCGUUUGUCGCUUCUUGCGUGCGCCGCUGCUUUUGUUCGCUUUAGCCGCUUAAGCUGCAUCUCUCUCUUUUUGGGAUCUCUCUCUCUUUUUUACUGAUAGUAUAUCGACUGGUACAUUGCUCUGAUAUCAGGAUAGGACUCUCUUUGUUUUACUUCCUAUCAACUUGCUUUCUUCGUAGACGCCUUAUAUACUGCAGGUGUAUGGCGGGUCUGUGCACGUGCCGGAUAUGCUUCCGCUGGUACCCGGGCGUGACACAACCUCAUAUAUAUAUAUAUAUAUAUAGGUUAUUUGCAUACACGUCCCUGCAAACAUAGUGAAUUACAGAAAUAUCCCUGCAAGACGAAAAUUUCAUAAGUUGUCCCUGCAAAAGUCCUAAGUUAUGUAGAUAUGUCCCUCUGGUUGAAAUCUGUUAGAAAACUAUUAAUUUUUUAACAGUUUUCUUGUGAAAUGACUUUUUUACCCUCACAAAUAUAUCCCUCCAAAAUAUUUCUCUUUCCCUUCCCUUUCUUUCCCUGUUUGGGCCACCGGAGUGGACGGCGGCGGCAGCGGUGGCGGCGGCGUGGGGUUGUGUUCGCCGGCGACGAAGAAGAGGGAAGAGAAAGAAGGAGAGGAAGAAUGAAAGGAAGAGGGAGAAGAAAAGGGAAGAGGAAGAGGAAGAGGGUUUGCUUUCACCGCCGCCGCCGCAUCUCCUCCCUCGCCGGCGACAAAGAAGAGGGAAGAGGAAGAGGGAGAGGAAGAAGAAAGGCGAAGAGGAAGAGGGAAGAGGGAGAGGGUUCUUCGCUGCUGUCGCCGCCGCAUCUUCUCCCUCGCCGGCGACGAAGAAAAGGGAAGAGGAAGAAGGAGAGGAAGAAGAAUGGGGAAGAGGAAGAGGGAGAGGAAGAGAGAAGAGGAAGAGGAAGAGGAAGAGGGAGAGGGUUCACCGCCUGUAAGGUACCGGACUUCUAAAACUAUGAAGUUACGGUGUAUAUUUAAAUGGUUCUGGUGAGGUUGCGGUGGAACGUAACAUACCGGAUUUUAAAAAUAAAAGUGAAAAUAAAUAAAAAUAGUAUGAGAUACUAUUUUUAUUGGAUUUAGAGAAGUGAAAUAUAAGUUGGGAAUAACCUGUGCUGAAAUCGGAGCGAAAACAGAAGAUUUAAAAUUUUCUGUAAGAAACGGAGCAGAUAAAUUAGCAGAAAAUGCAUAGUGUCAGAAAAUUAUGAAAAUUGGCGGAGAUGUCAGAAAUAUUUUUAUGAGGCUAGAUUUAAAGUUUCAUAUUUUUCUGACACCCGUAGAGUGAGAAAUAAAAUCCGACAGCUAUCUGAUAAAGAUUACAGUUCGGUACAGUUUUCGGCGACCAAACGGGGUCGAAACUAAAAACUUAAAAUAUAUUCUUGCUCAAUACGUAAAACUGAAUAUGACUGUCAAGUUUGAGCUCAAACGGACAUUCAGGGAGCUCCGACGAAAGUUAUCAGAUUUCAAGCUGCCUGGAGUGAAUAGUGUUUGAGGGGUAUUAUAAAGAAGCUGAUGCUUCUUCUCCCUCAACCGUGUGCCACACACACACCCGCACGCCACACACGCACACACGCUUGGAGAGGGAAAGAGAGAACCCACCCAUUUUCUCUCUAAAUCUCUCCCAAAAUUGAAGGUUUUGGUGGAGAAGCAAGCUUGGAAGUUGAUCUUCAUCUUUUUCGUCUUCUUCCUCUCUAUUAGAGUAAGCUUUGAAGGUAAGCUUCAAACCCUUUAAUGGCAUUUCUCUCUAGUUUGGUUUUUAAGCUCUAAGAAUGAGUUUAGAGGUAUUCUAGCAUGCUAAUUAGAGGUUUGAUACUUGAAACCGAGGCUCUAAUGGUGGAUUUUUACCUAGUUGUAAUUUAGGGCUCAAAAAUGCUAGUUUUGUAAAUAUGAGGGUUUGAUCUCAUUUGACCCUCUGUAAACCUAAUUGCUAGGUAAACGAACGCGUUGGCGAAGACGCUAUUAGAGCGCUACGAUUAGUACAUAAGAUCCUAGAGAUAUAGUAAAAUGUACGUAGAUGAAUCGUAAAAUGUAAUAUAAUAGGUGUACGUAAUAAGUGUAGUUGAUACACGUAGUAGGUGUACGAAUAAAUGUAAAUGUACGUAGUGGAUGUACGGAGCAAAUCGUAAAUAUACGUAGUUAUAUCUAAGAAUUAAAAGAAUCUGUAUUCCCGCUGGAUCAGCAAAGCCAUUCGUGUUGGGUGGAAUUGAAUGAGAGGCUAACGAACAUCAGUCAACGUUAGCCGGCGGGCGCUGUGAGCGCUGGGAUAAACCGAGCUUGAGAGCACGUUGGUGGGUUUGCUAGAGGCUAAACGCUAGGCCUUUAAUUUCCAGCAUCCAAUACACGGUGUCACGAAGUUUAGGCAAAAGUACUAAAAUGCUGCAGCGGAGCCAGGAGGUCCGCCUUUACUUCGGAUUUGCAGGCAAAGAAAUUAUUGAAACAUUGCCGAACAGCCUAACGGCUUGNUAACCUAGUGUUAAAGAACAUAGGUUGUGAAUGAAUCUAGAGUCAUGUGAACUAGAUCGAGUGGCAUCUAACCUAGUGUAUAAAACAUAGGUUGGACAUGAAUGACAAUGAACCUAGUGUUAUUGAACAUAGGUCAAGUGACAUCUAACCUAGUGUUAAAGAACAUAGGUUGUGAAUGAAUCUAGAGUCAUGUGAACUAGAUCGAGUGGCAUCUAACCUAGUGUAUAAAACAUAGGUUGGACAUGAAUGACAAUGAACCUAGUGUUAUUGAACAUAGGUCAAGUGACAUCUAACCUAGUGUUAAAGAACAUAGGUUGUGAAUGAAUCUAGAGUCAUGUGAACUAGAUCGAGUGGCAUCUAACCUAGUGUAUAAAACAUAGGUUGGACAUGAAUGACAAUGAACCUAGUGUUAUUGAACAUAGGUCAAGUGGCAUCUAACCUAGUAUAUAAAACAUAGGUCGGACAUGAAUGACAAUGAACCUAGUGUUAUCGAACCUAGGAUGAAUCAUGAGUGGCAUCUAACCUAGUGUUAAAGGACAUAGGUUAUGGAUUGAACCUAGAGUUAAGUAAACCUAGGUUAUGUGAUAGAGACGUUGAACCUAGAGUCAAUUGGACCUAGGGUGAAAAGGACAUUGGGCCUAGAUAGGUCAAUACUAUAGGGUUUGAAAUCAACCCUUGAGCUAUAUGAAGUGGAUUCCGGAAUCCCGAGUGAUGUGGCCACACAUGGAGUGGUGGAAAUUGUGGUAAAUGAGAUGGCAAGCGAAUCCUAACUGCAGGUAUGUGUGGUUCUCCUCGCCUGGUAGUGAUUCAACGGGUAUGUGUGGUUCUCCUCGCCCGGGAUGCCAUGAGAAUAAGCUGGAAUUGGGUAUGUGUGGUUCUCCUCGCCCAUUAGCUUAUCAGAUGAUGCCGCCUAGAUUGACUUGAACCUUGCUGGGUAAGAGCGAUGUGGUCGCUGCCAGAUGCUUAAGUCAUGUCUUGAACCAUUGUUGGGUGAGGUGCGAUUAGUUCGCCGCCAGAUGGCUAAGUCAUGACUUGAGUUGUUGUUGGGUUCGAUGCGAUGAGUUCGCCACCAGAGGGUUAAGUCAGAUUUGCGGUAGGCUGUGACGGCAGCCAGGAUGAUGUGCAGCCAGUGCGCGGACUAUCCGCGGAUGNNNNNNNNNNNNNNNNNNNNNNNNNNNNNNNNNNNNNNNNNNNNNNNNNNNNNNNNNNNNNNNNNNNNNNNNNNNNNNNNNNNNNNNNNNNNNNNNNNNNCCUUUUGAACAAACCAUAUGCGACUAAAACCAUACACAAAUCUGAUGCGACAUAUCAUACACCAAUCCACGAAUUGAAUCCAAGUCAUGAAUCAAUCAAGUUCAUGAGCAUGAAUCAUAACACAAACCGUCAUCAAGUUCAUGAACCCAUAAACCCAUGACCAUAGUAUGAACCAUAAACCCAUGAAACCAUAAGUCUAUGAACAUAACCCUAUGAACCAUACGUCAUGACAUAAACCAUGAACCAUAUCUAAGUUCAUGAACCAUAUCCCAUUAUACCCCAUCCCAUAACCUUUUGAACCAAACCAACCUCGACCGAAACGUCAGUGAACAUAAUCCACCAAUAUCAAUGACCGAAAUGUCGUUAACUAAACUCAAAUUCUUUUCCACGAACAUCCCAUUCCAAAUAUUCGAUUCUCUAGCAUAUACAACAUAGAAGUCUACAUCACCAAUAUGGGUUCAAACUUGAUCAAAUAUCUAAACCUAUAUUAUAGAUUGAUCAAUACAUCUGAUAAAAUUAAGUUUGUUGGAUUCCUAAUACAUAACUUUGGAGUUUAAUUAAUCAUAUCUGACUAAUUCUAAUACAUGAUAAUUCAGGAUUUAGUUAAUAUUCACCUUGAGCAUGGAAACCAAAUUCAAAAUGUGAAUUUCACGAGCUUAAUUUUAUUCAGACUCUAAAUAUAUAAAUUAGCGUCUGAUUCAAGAUAUUUGGGUUAAUCUAACACAUAUAUUUUAGGAUUGAAAGCUCAAAUUAAACUCCUAUUGGACUUUAUUACUAUAUUUAAAGUUUCAGAUGUUUUAAUCAAGUUCGAUUAAUUACAAUGUAUUAUAUGGGAUCUUAUCAAUUUCAUUAUGGAAAUUCAAAGUUGAGCUCCAAAUAUUUUAGAGCUCAACAAAUUCUGAUCAUCAUUGGACCUUUUUUUAUCACAUAAUUUAAGUUCAAUUACACAAUCAAACUUUCUAAUACAUAUUAAUUAGAGCUUUAAUCUUGAAUUAUAAUGCAUUAAAUUCCAUGCUAUAUAUAUGGAAUUUAAAUCGAUCUUUUCAUCUUAGGUGUAAUAGUGUUGAGCCUCCACAACUAUAGUUCCAACCAAAAUUUAAUUUGACCAUAAUAUUGGGUUCUUAGAAUUAUAACUAAUAGAUACAAUUGAAAAUAAAUUUUCUUUACGCUCUAUUCAUGGACACUGCGCGCGAUUAACCCUUGGUUUAAAGCCAUGUACAUUGAGCAAUAAAAUAUAAAUUUCCUUUUGUGCCAAUUCCAGUUUAUCUUCAGCAUUUCAGAGGUCUCUUAAUCGAAGGUGCCCUAAUAUUCUGUAGGGGUAAUUAACAAUAAACGCUUGCGUUUAUUGGAAGCCAUGGAUCCGCAAUACCUGAUAACCAUACAUACACAUACUUUAAUCUACAUCAUGAAUACUACCCCACGGGAGAACCAAAAGAUAAAAAUUCCCCGUGCGAGGUGCGUCAUUCGUGGUGGCAGACACCUUGAUGACUCUAGGUUGAGAAUCGGCGAGUGUUCGGUUGCCGAUUGCGAUUUCGGGUUGAACCGGACCACGCGUGCCGCGAGAGGCCGAUUGCAAGUGACUACAAGCAAUCGGAUAGCGUUGCAAGGUGGGUUGUGCUCACCGAAAAUACAAGCUCACUUCCGUGUCGAAGUGAAGUGUUAAUUAUCAUUGAUGCAUAUAAUGAUAGUUAAUUGCUAAACAUGUAAAGGCAUGAAGUAAAUACUAGAAGAAUACAUGAGAUGAAUGCUUUGUUAGACUACCUUGGUUUCUAUAGAUGUAUGUAUGUAUAUUUGGUAGGUUGUACAUGAUAAUAUGAGUGUAGGAAUCAUAUUAUGCUUGAUGUUGUUACCUACCAUGAGAUGCUAUAUGAAUGCAUGAGAAGAUAUAUGCAUGUUAACAUAUUGUGGAAUGUGCUAGAUGGAAUGUGCAUGAUGACAAGUUGUAGCAUGUGCUAAAUUCAUGAAGAUGUGAAUUUGAGUCGAUAACUCUAGGUUGAUUAGAGAAUUCAACAUUAGAAAACAAGUGAUGAACUUGGGCAAAAUAUUUAUGUAAACGAGUGGCAUGUGAAAUAGUAUGGUAGAGGCACUUAAACAUGAUUACAUAAACGAGUGGCAUUUGAUCUAGUAUGGUAAAAACACUUGGAAAACAUAAUGACAUGAAUGAGUGGCAUUUGGACUUAGUGUGGUAGAAACACUAUGAUGUGAACCUAGGGAUAGUAGAUUUCCCGAGUUGCCAAUGGGGUAUUUGAAUCUAGUGCGGUAGAAGCACUAUGGCCUUUGUAGACAGGAUAUCCUCUGUAGACAAGGAUUGAAUCAUACUCACUUAGUCUGUUUUUCGCUUAGGGUGGUCACUCCACACAAGCAGUGGUCUCCGGAGAUGUCACACUAAGGGGCAGACGUAGUUUCCCCAGGGCAAAUGUAGUUGUCCCGCAGAUGGUCUUGGUGUGCGAGUGCAGAUUCUCCUCACCUAUGAGAUUUUGAGAAGUGAGUCGAGGCGUAACCUUCGAGUUAGCCAAGCAGAUUGGGUCACAUGUGAGCUGUAGUUGAAUCCCAGUAGAGUGGAUUCGGAAUCCCAGUUGAGUGGAUUUAAGGCUGAGGUGAAUGUGAGACGUCAUUCACCUCGAGCCUCGCUUUACGCGGUAUCCCGCGGAUGAUUUACUCAAGACCGAGUCGGGUGGAUAGCAUUGUGAAAGUAGAUGAAACCUUAUGAGCAGAAUUGUAAAUGACAUGGGUCUAAGAUAGAGGAAACCUUAGAUGUCAAUUGGAUGAGCUGUGGAUAGCAGGAUUGAAAGUAGAAUCAGUCGAUCUACUUAGCUUAUUGCAUGUUGAGUUGAAUAGUUGCAUAAUUUGCAUUGUUGCAUGUUGAGAGGCAUAACAUGUAUUUUAGUACUUGCAUAUAUAUAUCUGUUGGAUAUUUGUUGGACUAACAUGUUGUAGUGCCUCCUUCGGACCUGGUGGGUCGAGCUCUUUCCUUGGGUGGCCGUACCCACUGGAAACUAUGGACAAUAGUUCUCACCCUACGUGGUUUUGGGGUUUCAGGUUCACACGCGAGAGGCGCAGCGGCGCGAGGAAAGAGCAUAGCUUCGUAAAUAACGCCCUACCAUUGAGACCAGAGAUAGCGGUACCCCGAGUCAGCCUACCUAGGGGUGUAGAAAAAGAAGGAAGGCAUUAUUUAUGAAAUCUUGAUUGUAUUUGGAAGAAGAGAAAAUGAAAAUGUAAUAUGUAAAAAGCAUGUGAUGUGAAUGCUUGUAAUAGCAAGUAGAUUUAUGUUUUUGAUACUUCCUUAUGCAAUCUUGGCCUGAAAUUUGUUCCUGGUUGGAACCUCACGCUUUGUAUUGAUUGUGACGCCUAGGAUGUACAGGAAAAACUUUAUCCGUUCGGCGGUCUGUUAGCGGGCUCGAAUCCGACCAAAUAGGCGGGUCUCAGGGCGUGACAGAUAAAGUAGUAUCAGAGCAUAAAGUAGAGAAUGGGAAUGGUUUAGAUGGACCUAGGGGACUCUAAGAUAGUAAACCAUAGAGGUUAAGGCUCAUGAGAGACGAGAACUUAUGACUUGUGGCGAAAGAUUGAUCGAUUGAGUCAAGUUAGUAAACCUCUAAAACGGAUGUUAGAGGUAGAUUUAAGGUGUGGUUUAUUCUCAACCGAGGGUGUUCAUGUUGGAUGCAUACA